AAAUUGCAGUUAAGAGGCUUUCAAGAACCUCAGACCAAGGACUCAUUGAGUUGAAGAACGAAGUCAUCUUGAUUGCCAGACUACAACACAGGAACCUCGUCCAAUUAUUGGGAUGCUGUUUGGAAGAACAUGAAAAACUCUUGAUAUACGAAUACAUGCCCAACAAAAGCCUGGAUGCCUUCCUUUUUGGUUUGAGCUUUAGCAGAUGCAAUGAAUUUUUGAGCUAGUUAAUUUUAGUUUUAUAAAGUUGAGUUUCAUCUGAGUCUCUCAUCUUUGACAGAUUCGAAUAUAGGGCAAUAUCUAGAUUGGAAGCUGCGCAUGAACAUCAUCUGUGGAAUAGCUCGGGGACUUCUCUAUCUGCAUGAGGAUUCUCGCCUGAGAAUUAUCCACAGGGAUCUGAAGGCUAGCAAUAUUUUGCUAGAUGGCGAGAUGAAUCCAAAGAUAUCCGAUUUCGGAAUGGCAAGGAUCUUCAGUGUAGAUCAAGACAGGGCAAACACGAACAGGGUCGUUGGAACCUAGUAAGUGCCUCAAUAUCUUUCUACGUCCUUUACAUGUUUUGAUUGAUUCAGUAGGCCAACAAAGGACUCUGAUUAUCUGCUCAACAACACCAGAUAGAGCACAUUCAUAUUUCAGAAGUUCCAUACAGAAGUUUUACUUUUCUCUUUUUCUUACUUCCAACUAAUUGUUCUUCAUUACAUAAUUCUGGUUAGUGGAUACAUGGCACCGGAGUAUGCAAUGCAAGGACUCUUUUCUGUAAAAUCAGACGUCUUCAGUUUUGGAGUUCUCUUGCUAGAGAUAGUAAGCGGGUGCAAGAAUAAUGGUUUUCAUCUCCAAGUAAAGGGUGAAAGCCUUCUCACAUUUGUAUGUUCCUAAUCACCAUCCCAGUUUAAUAUGAAAUCAAAGAUUUUCGUGUAGCUAUGCUUGUUAAAUUUCCUUGCUAAAUGACAGGCAUGGAAGUUGUGGUCCGAAGGUCGAGCAUUGGAACUUAUCGAUCCAUUAAUUGAUGAGUCAUGUGGUGAAGUUGAAGUGCUGAAAUGCAUACACAUCGGUCUAUUGUGCGUCCAAGAAGACCCGGCGGAUCGACUGACUAUGUCACUCGUGGUUCAUAUUUUAGCUGGCGAUACUAUCACACUCAGCUCACCAUCGCAGCCUGCAUUCUCCGUUGGGAGAGAUGCGGAAAAACUUAAUCGUGCCUCGACUGUCAAUGGAGUAACCCUUUCGGUUGUUGCGGCUAGGUGAUCAAGUUUUAUACAAUGGAAAUGCUGUUAGAGAUAAUUAUGGUAUAUUUUGUCUUUUAGGACUGUGUAUAUAUAUUUCCAUUGUAAUAUAUUUAUAUCCUCCUACUUUCUAUAUUUUUUAUCACGUAAAGCUGGCUUAUGUUCUCUUCUGUAUAUAUACGGAAUAUAUAGAAAUUAAAGAAUUCUUUCACAUAUUUCUUAUCUUAGUGUUAGAGGUAGACGAUCUUGAGCAAUUUUUGAGUGCUCGAGUGGGACACAUCCGAGUGCACACCCGGAGCACACCUUCACGUAUCGCGUCAUGUGAUUCAUUUUUGUUAUAAUUACUGAUUCCCUUUCUGAACAUCAAUUCUUAAUAUUUUCAUUACGUACGAAUAAACGUCAGCCUAUUGCUGCGUAAUCUACACGUUGGUCGGUUCACUCUUCAGCACAUGAAAUCACCUCUUUGGAUCUUUUCUCCCAACUCCGUUUGACUUCCUCUUCGUCACAUUGAGUUUGAGAGUUUGUUUAAGAUAAUUAAGAUUUUUAACUUGAUCCUCCAUUUUUUAGGGUUGUGAAUAUAUAUUUCACUGGCAUGUGCUAUCAGUAAUUUCUUAUGCAAUGCAAGGACUCUUUUUUGUAAAAUCAGACGUCUCCAGUUUUGGAUUUCUCCUGCUAGAGAUAGUAAGCGGGUGCAAGAAUAAUGGUUUUCAUUUCAAACAGGGUGAAAGCCUUCUCACAUUUGUAUAUUCCUAAUCACCAUCCCAGUUUAAUAUGAAAUCGAAGAUUUUCAUGCAGCUAUCCUUGUUAAAUUUCCUUGCUAAAUAACAGGCAUGGAAGUUGUGGUGUGGAGGUCGAGAAUUGGAACUUAUCAAUCCAUUAAUCAAUGAAUCAUAUGAUGAAGUUGAAGUACUGAAAUACAUACACGUCGGUCUAUUGUGGGUUCAAGAAAACCUGAUGGAUCGACCAACUAUGUCUCUCGUGGUUCAUAUUUUAGGAGGCGAUACUAUCACACUCAGCCAACCAUCACAGCCUGCAUUCUCAAUGUGGAGAGACGUGAGUAAACUUGAUCGUGUCGUGCCUAGUCACGAAGCCUUAACUGUUAAUGGAGUAACCCUUUCGAUUGUUUCGGCUAGGUGACCGAGUAUCAUCACUCUUCCUUCAGUUUAUUUCUCUUUUAUUCAAUGGAAGGUAGAAUGAUAAUAAUUAUGGUGUGUGAUCUCUUUUAGCAUCGUGACUGCCAUUUCUGAAUCAUUUCCGUGAUCAUCAAUUAGUAAGCGCAAGGUUAAAAAGCUUGUUAAUUAGUCAUCAUUUCUGUUCAAUUCGCCGCUUAUGUUCUAUCAGAAUGAUACAUAUAAUUGCUUGAGUAAUAUAUCAAUUCUACAAGUACCCCAUCGAUAUAUUAAAAAAAAAAAGCAUAAAUAAAUUCUAUAUUCUAGCUUUAGUAUAUAUAUUGACACAUAAUUCGUGAAUAAUACUAGGGCAUUUAAUACUAAACUACGGCUAAGUAGGAGGUCCUAAAUUCAAUCUUUUAAGACCCUUAUUUGUCUCUUUUACUAUUAUGUCUACACUUUAAUUUUAGGCCAAAGUUCGGUUUACAUGUGUUGAGGAGUGUCACGACCUCUUAGAAAGCGGGUUGGAUCUAAACUUAACUCGAACUAUCCUAAGCCUAUACCAAUUCACGACUUAGGUUUAAGUUAUUUAACAUGCAAAUGAUUUUUAUUUAAGUGUCGCUACCAAUUAAUUUAUGAUAGGUUGAUUAGAUAACUAAGUAAAAUAAUGUGAGAAUUAUUUUACUCUUACGAAUUAAAGAUUUUGGGUACGGAGACUUGAUCACACUAAAUUACUCUAACACCAUUUUGGUACAUUUUUUCUUUUAUUUUCAAAAAAUGUUUAGCAGGCGCCUUGGAUCAAUUUUAUUACACUUAACAUGUAAGAUAAUCAUGCAGGUGUGCAUAUCACCAAUUUAACAAUGAAUAAAGCAGUAAAUAAAUUGCAGGAGACACCUUAUAGCAAUGAAAACAUCUACAAUAUUAGCUCAGAAUUCACAUCAAUAAUCAUAGAUAUGAUCUAUCAUUAACAUGUAGUUGCUAGGGGUGAGCAUCGGUCCAAGGGUUGACCCUGGACCGGCCCAACCUUGCUGGUUCUGGUCCGGUUCCUAGGGAGACUAGGCCGGUCCUUGAUCCUAGAAUUCCUAGACUAGCACUGUGUUGGUCGAUCCUCAGUCUUGAGAGUUCUGUGUCAGUCCAACCCAGACCAAUCCUGACUAUAUAUAUAAAAUAUUAUUUAUAGUUUUUUAUAUAAAGAAAACCUUAAAAUAAAUAACGUCAACAACAUUAAAUGGCUUUUUAGUGAGGAGUUCAAGUAAUUUUACAUUUUAUUUUAAUAACUUAGAUUUUUAAUGUUUUUUACAGUGUCAACAGUCAUAAUUUACGAAAGAGAAAAAUGUUUUUGUUAUGAGUUCUCAGGGCGUUCAAAAAGGCUUAAAUAGCUCCUUAAGGCAUCCUCAUAUAGUAUUCGUUUUCUUUUGUCUUAUUUGUCAUCUUAGUUUUCAAUUUGCCAAAAUUGAAAGAAACAACUUCUCCGCUUGCUACUUAACACUCACCUAGCUCACUUUGGUCAUUUGUGCUACUCGCUACUCAAUGCUCACCUGACUUGUUGCUCCCCACUCGACAUUCGAUGCUUAUCUUGUUCGAUGCUCACCCCACUUAACCCUCACCACUUGCCUUUUUUAGCUGACCCCUUUCAUCAUCGAACCCGUUGGGUCGGUACGGUCCUCGGUUGCCCUUUUAAGGAGUACAAAAAAUGAAAUAAAAAAUUAUUGAUUGAUCUUGGGUUACUUAGAAACCAGACCAAAUCCAUUGGGUCAAUCCAGUCCUUAAUCGCUUUUUUGAAAAGUACGAAAAAUGAAAUAAAAAAUUAUCGGUUGGUCUCGGGUUGACCUUGGAACCGGACCGAACCCAUCGGGUCAGUCCGGUCCUCAGUCCCAAGCUCAAUAGGGUUGGUUCCCGGUCCCGAAAAUUGAGGACCAAUACUGUAUGGGUUGGUCCUAGAGUUAGGGGUGGACUGACCCAACCUGAACCAUGCUCACCCCUAGUAGUUGCUCAAUUGUUUUUUUUGGGGGGGGGGGUGGUUUGCACUUAUUUAAAUGAAAUCUAUAAACUCUGUGCAAUGCAAUGCAAUGACGUGAUUAUAAUUACUUCAUUACCUUCACCGAUGAUCAGUCACGGUAUGAUUAUUUACAUCUCAUGAAGUAUAAAUCUGAAUCCUUUGAAAAGUUCAAGGAAUUCAAGGCUGAAGUUGAGAAAUAAAUAGGAAAAUGUAUUAAAGCUCUUCGAUCGGAUUGAGGAGGUGAAUACCUUAGUACUGAAUUUCUGGACUAUCUUAAAGAUAAUGGUAUUUUAUCACAAUGGACACCUCCUAGAACUCCAAAACAUAAUGGUGUAUUUGAACAAAGAAAUCGUACUUUAUUAGAUAUGGUGCGAUCUAUGAUGAGUUACACCACAAUAUCCCUUUAGGGAUAUGCCCUUGAGACAGCUGUAUAUAUACUUAACAUAGUACCAUCCAAAUCUAUUCCAACCAUGCCCUAUGAGAUAUGGCAUAGUAGGAAACCUAGUCUUAAUCAUAUUAAGAUUUGGGGUUGUCUAGCUUUUGUAAAAAAGCUGAAAAUGGAAAAAUUGGAGGCAAGAUCUGAACAAGGUCGCUUCAUUGGGUAUCCAAAGGAAACUCUUGGAUAUUAUUUCUAUUUUCAUUCAGACCAAAGAAUUUUGGUAAGCAAGCAUACUUCUUUUCUGGAGAAUCAGUUCGUCCAAGAAGGUGGUGUUGGGCGGAAAACAGUCUUAUAAGAAGAAAAUAAUGAAUUACCAAAUAACCAAGUUCAGAUACUAAUCUCUGAUUCAGUGGGAAAUUCUAAUACUCUACCUCUUAGGAGAAGUGCGAGAACAUCUCACUCACUUGCUCGUUAUAGACACUUGGUUGAUCAUAUUGAACCAUUAUUCAUUGUGAAUGCUAGAGAUCAACUUGGUGAUUCUAAAACCUAUGAUGAGGCGAUGUCGGACAUCGAUUAUGGUAAAUGGCUAGAAGCCAUGAAAUUUGAAAUGGAUUCAAUGUAUUCCAAUGAAGUUUGGACCUUAAUUGACUUGCUUGAUGGUAUUAUACCAAUUGGCUGUAAAUGGAUCAUCAAGAGGAAGAUGAAUGCCGAAGGUCAAACUAGAACUUACAAAGCACAGCUGGUGGUGAAAGGAUAUCGUUAGAAAAAAGGAAUUUAUUAUGAUGAAACUUUCUCACCCAUGGCCAUGCUAAAAUCCAUUUGAAUUAUGUUGGCUAUAACUGCACACCUAGAUUAUGAGAUAUUCCAGAUGGAUGUCAAAAUGGCUUUUCUAAAUGGUUUUCUCAAAGAGGACAUCUAUAUGGAACAGCCACAGGGUUUUGAAUCCAAUAGUGAAAAACGGAAGGUGUGUAAGCUUAAAAGAUCCAUUUAUGGACUUAAACAACUCUUCAGAAGUUAGAAUAUCUGUUUUAAUGAGGUAGUCAAAUCAUUUGGCUUCAUCAAAAAUCCGGAUGAACCUUGUGUAUACAAGAAGAUCGGUGGGAGUGCAAUUGUAUUUCUAGUUUUGUAUGUCAAUAAUAUACUUUUGAUUGGAAAUGAUGUACCAAUGAUAUCAUUGAUAAAACUAUUAUUGUCACAGAAAUUCUCCAUAAAAGAUUUAGGAGAGGCAACCUACAUUUUAGGUAUCAAGAUCUAUAGAGAUAGAUCAAGAUGAUUGAUUGGCCUUUCAUAGUUUAGGUAUAUAGACAAAGUGUUAAUACGUUUUAACAUGCAAUGUUCCAAUAGAGAAUUAUUGCAUUUUAGGCAAGGGAUCCAUCUUUCUAAAGAGAUGUGUCCCAACACUCAUGAAGAAAGAGAGCGGAUGGCAAAGAUACCAUAUGCAUCUGCUAUUGGAAGCAUAAUGUAUGGUAUGCUAUAUACUAGACUUGAUAUUACACAUGCUAUAAGUAUUACUAGUAGAUAUUAGUCUGAUCCAAGAGAAGAGCACUGGAUAGCAAUCAAGAAUUUUCAUAAGUACUUGCGAAGGACUAAAAUCUAUUAUUGAUAUAUGGAGAAGGAGAAUUUAAAAUUGUAGCUUAUACCGAUUCCAAUUUUCAAUCAGAUUCUAAUGAUUAAAAGUCUACGUCUGGGUUUAUCUUUACAUUCAAUGGUGGUGCAGUUAGUUAGAAGAGUUCUAAGCAAAUCAUAACUGCCGAUUCCACUACUAAGGCAAAGUAUGUAACCGCUUUUGAAGCAACAAAGGAAGCUGCUUGGAUGAAGAAGUUUAUUUUUGAACUUGGAGUUGUUCCCUCAGUUAAGCAACUGAUUACAUUGUUUUGUGACAACAAUGGGGGGAUAGCUCAAGCCAAGGAAUCAAGGUCUCACCAAAAGUCCAAGCACAGUGAGAGAUGCUUCCAUCUCAUCAGAGAAAUUGUUGGGAGAUGUGAUAUCGCUUUGCAAAAAAUUUCCUUAGUAGAAAACGUGGCAGAUCCCUUCACUAAGGCCCUAUUUUAGUCUUCUUUUGAAAGACAUAUUGACAAAAUGGGUUGAGGUACCAGACAAGUUGGAUUUAGUGCAAGUGGGAGAUUGUUGAAUGUAUGCCUUAAAGCUACUAUGUAAUAGUUACAUGUUAGGGAUUUCAGUUGUACUAUCAUUAUUAUUAUUUAAUUAAUGGCAAUGACGUAUUCAUUCAUUUGUCAAAUUAUUUUAUAUUUAUAAAUGAUUUCAUAAGAUUAGUUGUAACUAGACCUAUUAUUAAAACAUUAAGAAUAUAUGUGACAGGGUUAUAGUUAGACCGAAUAUUUAAAUCGUUCCUAAUUGAGACAGGUGUGUUCAUAACUUCAACAAUAACUUCACCAUUAAGUAUUUGAUACUUAAGGGAAUGAUGAGUCACAAGUUAUUGGGUAAUGUGAUGCCUAAAUUAAGAACACGAGUGUUUUUUUUUGGUACCUAGGGAACCUCCGUGCGCCGCUUCGCGGCGGAGUAAACCCUGGAGGAGCAGUAGAGUCACCACCACCCUUGCUGCCUCGGAUAAGUCGUGGGUUCAUUUCUCGCAAGGCAGACAACACAGCGAUUUGAACUUAGGACCUCUCCUGAAAGGAACCUGCGCUCAACCACUACGUUGCCACCACAGGUGGUUAAGAAUACAAGUGUUUGUAUUAGACAAGUUCACUAAACGUGACACAUAUGGAACAAUUAGCAACAUGAAAGUUAUUAGCGUGGUCAAUGUCUAAUUGUUCAUGCUUUGGUCUUGUGUAAUUAAUCUUUAGACCUGAGAUACAGUGUUAACUUGUGUGUCGAACAACUAUGGUUCACAGGUGCACGUAAUGCCGGGUCGUUGAUCUGUCUUUAUACCUGAUGGUCAUAGUUUGUUUAUAUACAAAGUUGCACAUGUGCGCAAUAUGAAAUAUGUCUCAUUGUUACAUAUAAGGUAUAAUAAUGAUGUCCUAUGUGAUCUAAUUAUGACAUUGCAUCGAAAUCCUCGGCUGAGAUUGUAACCGAGAAUAAAUUGUUUAUAUCUCAAAUAAUAUGCACGUCAAUUAGAUUUGUAUAUAUGAUUGAAUUUGUGACUUGACAAAUAUUCCAUGGUCUUUAUUUGAUCGGGACAUAGUAAGAUAAAGUGAUUGAAUUACACUAUAGCAAAAACUAAUACGUUCAUUAUGUUCUUAAAGCAUUCAUACUAUCUAAGUAGCCAUGAUAGAUUGCUAGAUGUCAAUCAUGGCUUGUAGGACCAAAAGAUUAAUCGAGACAAUUAAUUCUUUUGGGAGUACUAAUAUGUUAGUACAAGUCUUACCAUCAGCUUAGUGAUGAACCUAGGGAUGUCACACACCAUAAACAAUUAGGAUAACGUGGAACAAGAGAGAAAUAAUGUUGUAAAUGUGUUUGCAAUUAUUGCAAUCGAAUUGAGUCGACUUGAAAUUAAAUUAAAUAAGAUUUACUUUAAUUUGCAUUAUAGUCAUGAGCCUACUUGCAUAUGAUGCACUUGCAUGCCCAAAGUGAAUACAUAUUAAUAUAUUCCAAAUGUAAAUAUAAAAAUUAUGUUCUUUUUAUUUUUAAGGGGAUUGAUUAAUUAUUUAUUUAUUCAUUUAAUUAAUUAAUUAAUUAAUUAAAGUGGAAAUGGUCAGCAAUUCUUGCUGACCAUUUGGCAUGAAUCAUUGUGAACAUGUACGAUUGUGCAUGGUUGCUCAUCGUUUAUUUUUUUUUUUUUUUAAAUACUGCUUAACGAAGGGCUGAAAAGAUGGUUGUUGAAAAUAGAAAAACGUGUGCAUGUUCUUGUGUUUUUUGAGAUGCGAGAAAGAAGAGGCAUUCUCUCUCGUUUGAGUUGUGACUAAAAACAUCAAGGAUACGACGGAUUGUCUCCACGAGAUUGCUAGCACGAUCAUAGUGGUGAUUAUCCGAAAGUUCUCUCUUUCAUUCGACAUCCAUUAUUGGUGUGUCUGAACUAAAGGUCCAACGUUUGUGGGAUUCGAACUGAAGAACAUUCGAACCAAUUUGUUUAAAGCGUGAUUCGAGAGAUAAUUCGUUUAAUUCCCUUUUCAUAUUUAGAUUUUUUAUUAAAGCACACGAACAACGCAUUCGAAGAAUCAUGUAUAAAAUAUAUUAUGUUUGUUUCUGCUACGUUCUUUUUUUGUUAAUUUUACCUAUACAUAAUUCGUGAAACCCCAACAGAUAAUAGUCGUUGGUGGGAACUCAGCAACAGGAAGUGAGUUGCGGCCGUCGAUAGAAGGAGUUGAGCUGAAGUGUCAAGCACCGUUUCCAUGAAUGUGUCAGAUAGGACGCGGGUCUUCUCUUUUUGCUUUUUCACUGGAUAGUAUCUUUCGAGAUGAAAGUGUCCUCUUCUCUAUUCACAGACCUUGGGAACCAGCAAGAAGAGAGAAAAUAUUGGCUGUAGCUAUGAGGCCAGCUCAGCAAAAAUUCAGUCUACAGCCUCACAAGUCAUUUUCUGUCUCCACUUCUCCCUCCCUCACCCUUUCUUCUCUCUCUUCACAUCUUCCUCUUUUUCUCUCUCCUUCGCCUAACCCCUUUUCCCUUCUUCGACCUUGACCUUGAGCUCGACCUCAAACACACUGCCAUUGCUUUCGGCACGUUGUCUCUAUCUAUGCCUCCAUCUUCGCUUAAUUCUUCCCCGACCUCCACUGCCGCCACCUCUUGUUCAACUCUUCCUGUGUCCUCUGUGUUUGCACUUGCGUCGACCAGGAGGUGGAGGUCCUACACGCGUCGACGAACCAUGCCUUUGCCGCCACCUCGCCGUUUCCUAAGCCGACCCUAGUCAACCUUGAACCAACCCAAAUUUGAGGUUAAUCUGAGGCUCAAGUUCGCCAGCCAAGCUCGAGCUCAAUGAUAGAGGAUUGAGACGGCGAUGAGAUGGUCGACUGAGAUGGUAGUGAGGAGGUGGUAGUUACGUCUAUGCUUGUCCCCGUCGGAGUGAAAGGAAGAAGAAUUUUUUUUUAAAAAAAAAAAGAAAAGAGAAAAGGGGUUAGGCGGAGGACACAGAGGAAGAGGAGACGUGAAGAGGAAGAUAGAAAAAUAAUUCUCUCUCUCUCUCUCUCUCUCUCUCCACGCCAUCUCCUUGGCAUGAUUUCCCUCAAUGUGCUGCCUAUUCUAGUGUGUGUGGCCCCCUUUCUUUUGCAAAUCACACUGGUUUUUAUAAUGCCCCCUCACCAACUUCCUCUUAGGAUAUCAGCAUAUUUUCUUUCUUUAUUUCAUCAACAAAAAGUUCUUAAUUUUGCCGAUCGAAUCCCACCUCAACGUACUUUUUUCUUUUAUUUAUGAAUAUAUGAAAGAUCCACCACCAUAUGAUUUUAUCUUUUUGUUUCUUUUCGUUGGCCAAAUUUUUCUUCUAUGCUUUUGAACGACUAUUGGAAGAAUAAUACCGAUUUUUUCUGAAAUAUACCAAUCUUUGAACUCGUCUCUCCUCAUAAGUCAAUUUUCAGCCAUUAAAGAAUGACAGGCUUGGCCAUGUCCUUCUCACUAUGGGCUUGGUCCAACUAGUUAAAUUAAAGCUCAAAACCAUCCAUUCAAACCCAUCUAUCACUGGUCCAAUGCAAACGCAAUAAUAAAAACAAUAAUAAAUGCUCCCAAAACUAUAUGCUAUGUAAUUUAAUAUUAAUAUUUUUGUUUACGGGUUAAAAAUUAAUAUCUAAUUUUCUAUGCAAUAAAUAAAUGAUUAGAUCGCCAAAAUUUAGGUAUCAAUAGCUGCUCAUCUUUGAAGGUGAGCUCAUAAAGGUUGCAUACAAAAACAAAUUGAGACCUAAAUUUUUACCAUGCAAAUAUAAUGUGAUAAAUUUUUAUGUGAGGACAUGUGUUUUGAUGAACCCAUGCCCAUUUUUUAACGUAAAAUAUGAUGCAAAUGCUAAUAAAGAAAUAGAAAACAUACCUUUAGUUACUCACCUGAGGAUUUGAGAAAGUAAACUUGGAUAUAGGGAUUUUAUAAACCAUGGGUUAUGAAAGCUCGCCAUGCUGAUGAAAAGAACUUCGAGUUACAGAAGUACGUCACGUCAAUAGAAAGAGACUCUGGGCUAUGAAAGCAUGCCAAGUCGAUGAAGAAGAACUCUUAGUUAUGGAAGCACACCAGCUUAAUAAAGAGACUCUGGGUUAUGGAAGCACAUCGUGUCGAUUAAGACAGAUAUCAGGUUAUAGAAGCACGCUGUGUUGAUAGAAAUAGACUCUGGGUUAUGGAAGCGCACUAGGUUGAUGUAGAGAUUCCGGGCCACGGAAGCACUUCGUGUUGGUUAAGAGGGGCAUUAAGCUAUAGUAGGACGCUAUGUCGAGAGACUCUAGGCUACAAAAGCAUACCAAGUAGAUGUAGAGGAACUCUGGGCUACAUAAGCACGUCAGGUUGAUAAAGAGAUUCCAAGCUACAGAAGCACACUAUGCCAAUUAAGAGGAGACUUCGGGCUAAGAAAGCAUACUGUGUCAAUAGGAAUAGACUAUAGGUUAUGGAAGCAUGCCAGAUUGAUGUAGAGGAACUCCAGGCUAUGGAAGCACACCAGGUUGAUGAAGAGACUCCGAGCUAUGAAAGCAUAUCAUGUCAAUUAAGAGUAGACUUCGAGCUAUGGAAGCACGCCAUGUCAAUAGGAAGAGACUUUGGACUAUGGAAGCAUGCUAGGUUUGAUGCAGAGGAGUUCUAAGCUAUAGAAGCAUGCUAGAUUGAUGAAGAGACUCCAAGCUAUGGAAGCACACCGUGUUGGUUAAGAGGAGACUUUAGAUUACGGAAGCACACUGUGUUGAUAAGAAGAGACUCCAAGUUACAAAAGUAUGCCAGAUCACUAUAGAGGAACUUUGGGCAACAGAAGCAUAUCAGGUUGGCAAAGAGAUUCUGGGCUACGGAAGCACAUCAUGUUGAUUGAGAGAGACAUCGAGUUACGGAAGCACAACAAGUCAAUGAAGAUAACUCUAGGCUACGGAAGCACACUAGUUCAAUAUAAAAGAACUCUAGGCUAUGGAAGCACACCAGAUUGAUAAGGAGACUCUGAGCUACGGAAGCAUGCCAUGUCGAUUACCUAUGGAGAUAAAAUUCAAGAAUGUUUAGAUGCAUUUCGAGGCUUCAGAGAGUAAUUGGAACAUCGGGUAUUACUUGAUCUUCAAGGAAAUAUUACCUGUCAAACAUGGUUAGAGCUAAAACAUAUAUGUAGUCAUCAAAGAAAUAGACAAUCUGAGCUACUCUAGAAUGCACACUCCAAAGUCCACUAAAGCUUUUAUCAAUUCAAUCAAUGUUUAUGCAUAAUGAUUCUACCAUAUUUGCACCACCAAAUUUCCACUGGAGAGAAUUAUCAUUCAAGACAAUUUUCACUUAUAAUUUCAACUUCUUGAAAACGUUAAUUGAGAGAUUUUUAGUUAGAAAGGACUUUCACUCACUUCAUUUAGAAAUGCUAUUUUAUGAGAAUCAUUUCAUCUCACCAUCAUCAUAUUGACAAGGGUCUAAGUAUUCUCGCGAGCGGUACAACCUUACCAAUCCGAGAGGAAUUUUUUAGGACCGUAAUGUAGGCUUGGUCAAUGACUUAACAAAGGGGGACUCUUUGAGUCAAGGUUGUUGAAAGAACAAAACUCCACAAUCAUCUCCGGGUUUACAAGUCAAGAAAAUUGCGAAAUGAGAUAGAAAUAAUCUUGCUCACACUUCUUCGAGCAAUGUUUAUAAACAUAUGAACACCUAUGUUAAUUCAAGUGCCAUAAUCUAAAAAAACUUUGCAAGGAACAAAACAUAGGCUAGGUUUAUAGGUUGAAAAAUGAAAUGAUUAUUAGGCUCAAAAUGUGUAUAGAGGGAUAAGAGUUGAUGAUCAUCUUGGCAUUGCCAUUAGUUUUCUUCUUAACCAUCGGGGAUUGUCUUCAUAAUACUCCAUUGAUUGCAACACCUUGGUAUUUGGGUACUUUGAUUAUUGCUCCAUUGGGGAUAUAUCUCUUGAUAACCGAUGGCCAUCUAUCUUGACUUUUUUUUUUUCAUUUUCCCCAUGGACAUUGGCCUUAUUUUUACUAGGCACACUGCUUUUUCGUGUCCUUAAAUUUCAUUCAUUUUUUCUUCACCUCUUUUUUCAUGAACAUUGACUUUACUUUUAUUAGGCACACUACUUUUUCACGCUUCUUAGUUCUAUUUUGAUUUCAAGUUUUGACUUUUGACACAUUGUCUACAUUUAUAUUGAACAGCCACACACAUUGGUUUAUUUCUACCAAAUGAUUUAACAUUUGAACUCACAAGGUAUUCCUCUUAUGUUGGCACUCUCUGUCUUUUGCUGGCACUCUCUAUCAUGCUACUUGAAUGAUUGUCUUUUGCCUUACCCCAGUUUAGGGGAUAAUCACCAAUCGGGUUUGUAUGAAAUGAAAUGCAAGCUCAAGUGAGCUAUGCAAAGGAUAUGAGUGUAUAAGAUAGAGAAAUGACCGCUCUUCAUCAUCUUAAGGCACUUAAUUACCAUAUGAAUUCAUCUCUAAUAGCAAUACUUGAAGAUUGAUGUAAGUGAGAGCAGGAAAAUUCCUAUCUAUUUCCUCACCUAAUGAUGUUGUCCUACCUCAUGUUUGUCCCAAUUUUGGUUUUUCUUGAUAGGGGUAAUUUGAAAAAAAAAAAAAAAAUUCUCCCCAAGUGUAUGGGCUUAAAGGGAUUAAACAAUAGAUUACUUGUAGUGUUUGGGAUAGAAAAAUGAAUUACCUCUCAUCAUUUUAGUCAUCAUACCUUUCGUGAGAGAACCUUUUACCUUGUGGAUAUGGAAUUUUUCCACACUCACCUCACCUUGUAUAAACAAGGGAUUGUGUAUAGAUAAGGCUUGCCUUUCUUCAUCUUGAUGCAUCUCAUUUAGCAUGCUCAAUCCACUUCACAUCAUUCAUUAGAUUAAUCUAUCUUGAAAAAUCUCCACACAAAAUUGGCCAAUAAAACAGGUAAAGUCACCAUGUAAAUUCUCUUUUCAAAAGCACCUAGCAACUUUAAGCAUGAAAAACUUGGUAACUUCUGAGCAAACAAUUUACCAUACUUAAAAAAUGUUUUCAUAAGCAUGAAAACAUGUUUUUGAGUAUUCAUUCAAGGAAUUGCCUGGUGAAGGGAUUGUCUCAACAAUAGGUGCUCUUGGAUUGCCCUUAUCUAAAUGGAAUGAACAUACGAGUUGAUCAAUCGAGACUAAAAAUUCAAUUUUUGAUUUGAUAAACACUCCAUUCAUGCUUUUGUUCCUGCACAAGAGAACGUUCAUGAAUAAGAUACUGUACAAACAAAAGGAAAUGCAAAUUGAACAUCUAGUUUGGCUCAGAAUGAGAUUUUAUUUUGGUUGGGUCAUUGCCAAAACCUAUCAUGCCCCCAAUCUAUAGUCUUUGAUGGAAAGAAUACAGAGUCAUUUCCAAAAUCAUUUAUGUUCAUGAAUGAGAUGUACCUCUUUUAUCAAAUAUGGACGAUCCUCACUUGACUUGCCCCUCAUUUUCUCAUUAUGUCGUUUGGCUCUUCGGGGUUGACAUCUCACAUGAGAAGUAAUGAGAUGUGCCUUCACAUCUCACUUUGAAAGCUAGGUGAUCUUCUUUUGGCUUGCCCUCAGUUUCUUAUUGAUGUGCAAGAAAACAGCUUGGGACAACAGUGGAAAUAGGAAGUAAUAGGAAGUGUUGAACACCUUCUUCAUUCUUUGGAGAUGCCAUCACAAUCAACCAAGAAGUGAUCCUUUGCUCCCACGUGAAUUUUUCCUUCAGAUGUAUGUUCCCAAAUUUGUUGAUUAUCAAUUGAAUCAAAUUCUCUAUUAUAAAAUGCUGUUGAAUUAUACUCUGAGACGUGAAGUAAAUGAGUUAGAAAAACAAAUAAGCCUAAGCUAAUGUAUGCUUUAAACAAUUGCUACAAAAUGAUUAUUUUAUUUUAUUUUUUUUUGAAUUUUUUUUUUUGGGUGAGGAAAUAUGAUGAAGCCCAGGUCUCAGAAUUCUCCUUGGAUCUUACACUUUUUAUCAGUUGGAUAUCAUCAUCGGGCCAGUUUGGUGUACCCCAUCAUGCCCUCAAAACAAAACUUGUAACUUUAGUGAAAUUCACCAAUCAAAUUAUAUUUAUUGGAGUGAAAAGUGCAACAAUCAAUUCCUAGAAAUGAAAUGAAAUCCUAGCAAGCAAGCAAAUCUUAGAAAGCAGCAAAAAUUCCCACGUAAGGGAGGGUGUAACUGAACAUGCCACUAAUUAAAUAAGGAAAUCAAGCUACUUAGAACCAUGAAUUAUGUGUACUUGGGUUCUUCACCCUCCUUAGUCUCUUGAGGUGAAUGCUCUAGGGUCAAACAUUCUUCCUUCUAGAUACAUCACCAAUCUUACUUGGUGGCAUCAAAUUCGACUACCUUAGAAAAUUAGAUGGUUCAAGAGUCCCCUUAGCUCUCUUCUUUGGAUUGAAAUUUCCCACUGAAGAUGAUGUAUCCAUGUGAUCAUAGCGCUUUCGCUUGACAAGACAAGCUACAGUAGCAUGCAGCUCGUCAGCUUGACUUUUUGGAGGCUUGCAAUUCACUUGUUCAUAUCAUUGUCAAAAUUAGCAAUAUUGCUCAGCACUUCAUUUUGGGGAUAAGUACACUAAUGGUGCUAUAAGUUGUGUACGGCGCUAACUUUGGUGUCAAAAGUUUCCGUUGGAUCACUUAAGUGCCAAAUCGGAGGAAAAACGAUCACUUUGGUGCCAUCAGCGAGAAAUUCUAGCCAAAAUGAUUACGUGACUUUUAUAUUUAAAAAAAAAAUCGACGUGGCUUAAGAUUGUCCACGGUGGAUAGCAUAAAACGAUGCAUUUUUCCUUUCUUCGUAGAAAUGAUGUCGUUUCUUGUCAUCCACCGUGGAUUCACAUAUAAACGACGCUGCGUUGCUCCAUAACAAAAAACGAUGUCGCUGAAGAGGGAGUAAAAUAGGGUUCGUAUACGGUUCUCCUCGACGCCGGCCGUAGCUCGCUCACCCACCGUUGUUCACCACCGUCGUUCGCUCGCCUGCCGUCGCUCGGCCACCGCGUAGUUGCGCCGUCAUUCACGAUCGUUUAGGUUUGUCUUGUCCUCUAUGUGGAUCAAUUUUGCGAAAAAUUUAGGGUUCUAAUGGGCAAGUUAGGGCACGGAGGGCAAAUUGAGGGUUUGGCUCAGGGGGAAAGUAGUGGGGAAAGUGGUGGGGAUGUCACUUUUAUGGGGACAUAAUAGAAAAAUUGAUUCUUCCAUCGUUCGUUUGCUUUCUGUUGUGGGGACUGAAUAGAAAAAUACGGUGCGGAAGGCUUGACUCGGAGGGAAACGGUGGUGGGACCGAAUUUGUUUGUUUAAUUAAUUUGUCUGCUUUUGUGAGGGACCGAAUGUGAAUGUGAUUGAAUUGAAAAAUGGGUGGUGGGGACCUCACUUUGUUUAUUUAAUUCAGUUUCUUUUGUUUCUGUAAAUGCACCGAAUUGGGGAUAUUUUAGUCGCAUUUGUUCCUUAACAACAAAACGACAAGGACUUGCAUGUGAAGUUGCCGAUUCUGUCAUGUGGUUCCAACAAAAUGACAAUGACUCUUUUCUUUUUUUCAUUGAGUGCAACAUCGACAUGGAUGGGAAUCAAGUAGGCGUCAUUGUUUGCUAUGGUGGAGAGUUUGUUAUUGGCACUGAAGAUUGGGAAUAUAGUGGUGGAAAUGAGGUACUAUUUAUGUCAAUGUUUGGAAGCCAUCAUAUAUUGAUUUUCUGAGGGAUUUGGUGUAUUUUUUACGAUGCAAAGUGCAAAAACUACAUUACUGUGUUCCUGGGAAGGAAUUGAAGGAUGGGUUGAGAUUUUUUAAUGACGAUAAUGAUAUUAAGAAUAUCAUUUACCAUUAUCUUCACGGUGAAGAAGCUAAGGUAUAUGUUGAGUAUUAUAGUGAGGAUGAGGAUGGGGAUGAGGAUGGGGAUGAGCAGACCACCAUUGAAGGAGGAGAAGUGAGGGAUCCUGUUCAAGCGAGUAAUCAGGUCGGAGAUGAGUAUAGGUUAGAUGAAGGACAAAAUGAGAGGGAGAUAAGUCAUAUUGAUAGAGAUAAACAAAGAGGGAGAUGUCCUGAAAUCUUGAGUGAAGAUUUGGGUGAAGAUGUGGGCGAUGAAGACUUCAUUGGAUUAGAAUGAGAAAUUACUUUAUCUAGUGAAUCGGAAGAUGAAUGUUUGGCUUUAGUAAAUUUCCCAAGUGACAAAAAUGAUGAUGAACUCGCACAGUCAAGACAAAAGCAAAAGGAAUUUCUGAGAAAAAAACUUGCAGCUUCAGCAAAAAGGCCCGAGCUAAUAAAUAGGGAUGGAGAUCCAGUUGAGGGUAAUAGAAGUGAAGAGAAGAAAGCUAUGGCGAUGAAGUUGCUAGUUCGGAAAAUGAGCUUGACAAUGAUGAUGAAAAACCUGCUCCUCGAAGAAAAAGUAAGUACCAUUGCUAUGAUCCGACUGUUGAUAAACCUGUUUUGUUGGUGGACAUGAGAUUUGACGAUGCCAAACAGUUCAAGGAAGCUGUUGUGAAGAACUCAAUUGGUGAACAGAUGAGCGUUAAAUUCAUUAGAAAUACGAAGGAAUUUGUGAGAGCUAAGUGUUCACAACCUAAUUGUUCAUGGAAGCUCUAUGCCGCACUUAGUAAGAAUGGUUUAUUUCAGAUUAGGUCCUUUCAAGAGGAGCAUACUUGUCUAAUUAUCUUUAACAAUAAAAGGGUAACAAGUGUGUGGUUAUCAAAGUAUUUUUUCAAUACUAUCAAAGCAUUGCCCGAGAUCAAGAGUCCUUAAUUUCAACAGUUAGUGAAGGAGCAAGUGGGGGUUAAUGUGUCGAGGAAUUAAUGUAAGAGAGCUAAGAUGAGGGUGAUGAAGAUAUUGAUGAAUGGGUAUAAGGAAGAAUAUGCGCAGGUAUGGGAUUAUGCUAGUGAAUGCAUGUUUCAAAACCCAUUUAGUAUGGUAUAUGUAGAGGUUGUGGAGAGGCCACUCCUUGAUCUUGGGCCUAGAUUUGAUAGAUUUUAUGUCUGUUUUGAUGCAUGCAAAUGGGGCUUCUUGGCUGGUUAUAGAAGAGUUAUAGGAUUGGAUGGAUGCUUUCUAAAGGGUUUAUGCAAGGGGGAGUUGUUGGCUGCUGUGGGGAGAGAUGCCAAUAAUCAAAUGUUUCCGCUAGCUUGGGCAAUGGUAAAGAUAGAGAACAAGGAUAUUUGGUCCUGGUUCCUAAAAAAUUUGAUGGUUGACCUUGAGAUAACCGAUGGGGGGAUGGGCAUUCAUGAGCGACCAACAGAAGGUAAUUUCAUUGUCAAUUAAUUCACUCCCUUUUAAUAUUAAUCACUUGCAUAUUUUUCUUGACUUGUAUUUAUUGGUUUGAAUUUUUGUAGGGACUUAUUCCUGCAUUGGCUGAGUUGAUGUCACAUGCUGAGCAUAAAAUGUGCGUGAGGCACAUAUGUGCAAACUGGUCAUGGAACUUCAAAGGAGAUAGGCUGCAGAAGCAGUUCUGGCAUAUAGCAAAGAGUACGAAUAUGACUAAUUUCAGAUUAGCCAAACAAGGAUUGUUGCAGUUGACUAAGGAAGGUUUUGAUGCACUAUUCUAGACAGAAGCUAAGCAUUGGUGUCGGGCCUUCUUCAGCGAAGAAUUCAAAUGCGAUAUCAUUGAUAACAACCUUAGUGAAACUUUCAAUGGUAGAAUUUUAGAAGCCAGGUGCAAACCAAUCAUCAGCAUGCUUGAUGAUAUUCGAGUUAUGGUUAUGACUAGACUACAUAGGCAAAGAGAUGAGGCUACAAAAUGGAGUAGAGACUAUGGCCCUAGGAUUGUGAAGAGAUUGGAUGCAAAUGUUGCUGCUAGUAGGUUUUGCCAUCCAGUUUGGAAUGGAGAUAAUUGAUAUGAGAUUAUUCAAAAUCAGGAUAAGUAUGUUGUCAACCUGGAUAGAAGAAAAUGUUCAUGCCGAGCUUGGCAACUGAAUGAAAUUCUCUGUGCUCAUGCCAUUUGUGCUAUUCAAAUGAAGCAAGAAAACCCAGAUAAUUACCUAUAUGAUUGGUACAAAAAAAGCUCAUACCUUGCUUCAUACCAAUUCAUGAUGCAGCCUAUCAGAAGCAGCAAAUUUUGGGAGCCAACAAAUCAUGAAAGCUCUCUACCUUUACCGCUAAAGAAGCAAAUAGGAAGGCUGAAAAAGAGAUAAAGAAUGCAGCAGGAAGAUGCAUCAAGUCAAAGGAUGAGUAGGACUGUAUCAAAGAUGAAAUGCUCUUAUUGUAGCAAGGAAGGGCACAAUAAGAAAGGUUGUGAGCUGAAAAAGCAGCAUUAACAGCAAGAUGUAAUGGCUGAUUCAGUGCCAGGGACAGGACCUACUGAAGAGUUUCUUGUUGGGCCUAUUGAAGGGAGGACAGAAGGCCCUGUUGUAAUGCCUAUUGAAGGGCAAACAGAAAGCCAUGCUGUAAGGUAAGUAUCUUCUUUGUCUCAGUAACUUUACAGUUCUUAUUCGAUAGAGUUUGAUGGUUGACCAUGUGUAUUAGCUUCUCUUGUGCUUUUCCUCUGUCAUGCACUUGUAAUUUGAGAAGUUCUCUCCAUUUGUUUCCACCAUGAAAAUGAGUAGAUGUCUAAUUAUUCAUUGGAGUUGGUCAUAAUCCUAAUAUAGUACAUUGUUGUAAGACUUACUAAAGGGCCAGAAAAGGCCCUGUUGUAGGCUCAAGUGCAGGGACAAGGACUGGAAUGGGCAGGAUAGCAACAACAACAACUGAGUCCACUAUUGAGCAAAUAAGAAAAAAAUAUCCUAUAAGUUGUACAUCGCUGUGUUUGGUCUUUUAUGAGCUAAAAUUUACAUUUAUUAUGUGUUUCUCAAGUGAGAAGACGAGCAACUGCACAAGUUGCAGAUAUUGCUACAAGGAUUGUUGUUCCUGAAAAUGAUGCACCACAACGAACAAGAGGGGCUCUUGGAAAAAGAUUAAGGCAAUAUGGUUAUGAGAUUUACACAGAUGAACGUACUGGAAUGACUAUUUUGAAUGUAAGAUUUAUAGGUCUCAUGCAUUUUAUUUGUUGUACUUCAAUUCAUUUGGUUGAUAAUAUCACUAUGUUCUUGUAGCCUGGGAGAACUUCGGAGGUACUUCUUUCUUAAGGUGGACCAACUCAAGUGAUGAUGCCAGCUUGACAUGCACAUGCCUUUUUUUUUUUUUUUGUAUUUUUCAUUAAAAUAUUCGAAAUUAAUUAUUUACUCUAAUUUAAACGUGCAAACUAUCCUAUAAAAGAAUAUUCAGUUUAUUCUAAAACAAUAUUUUGGUAAUUUAUUAAAUUCGGAAUUAUAAAAUAACCAAAAUAAGCAUGCAAUCUAUCCUAAAAAACUACAAUAUAAUGUUUUUGGAUUUUUUUAUUAGAAAUAAAGUCAAUUAAAAUCAAACAAAAGUAGAAAGAAGUCAAAUCCAUAACGAACAUGCUGUCAAAUCACACUAGAUAUUAUCGAUAUCCAUUUAAUUUUUCAAAUAAAUUAACGAAUUGUAUCUCAUGCAUGAGAUCAGAUUAGCCAAUUCUUAUGACAUGGCGAAUCAUAUUUUGGGCAUAAGAUUGAAUUGACGAUUUUCUGCGUGAUUGUGAGUUGUAUUUCGGGCCUUACACGUUGUGAAGUUAGGAAAAUUUCCUAAUUCAUGGGGAUUGAAAAGAAAUUUUUUUGGAUAUGGUAAUAUCAACCAAAGAUUAAAGCAAGAUCGCAAUUUUAUGAAUUAGGUAAUGAGAUAUAUGCAAAUCAAAUUAAUUGAGAUUCUUACAUAAUUCAGGAUGUUACACGGAUGAUGUUUCUGAAUUUGGACGGACAAUGGAUCACGGGAAUCGUGAUGAGGAUGACCAGCAAUCGGCGGCGCUCAUGGUUGCUCGAUAGUCGCCAGACGGGUUCCACAAGCUACGCAAGGGACCGAGAAUCGUCGAUGGAUGGGGGCAAGGACAGCAGGUAUCGGUCCUUCGAUGUUGGUGUUGUGGGCUGGAAGCAGAUAGGUACAGGAGCUCGCGGUGAUGCUGAUCACGGUGCGGUAUCCUCUGUUCGUGCGUUUCUCACUUAUCGAAUAUUCCGGAAUUCUGUCCGAGAACUUAAGCUUCUUUUGACUUUGCUUACAAACUUCACCUUUUAAAAAAGCUUGGGCAAAACAGGACAAAUUUCACCGCUUCUCUCGUAUUGCGAACGCCCUCUUGUGCCCAUUGAAGAAUCCAGGCGAUGUCGCCAAGAACCUGCAAAGGAAAAGUGCAAUCGUGAUUGACGUGGGGGCUCGCUGGCCGCAGGACGUGAGCUUUUGUAAAUUCCCCAUAAAAGUACAUGGAGAGAAAACAUGCACCUAAAUAGGCAACUACAAUCAAGCGAAAGAUUUCGAAAAGUAAAAUCGUAUUCACUCCCUUCAGCCUUAUACAGGGCAACCCUAGUUUGUAUGAAACUAUCACAGGACCAAAAUUUUAGAGGAUUAAGGCAGCAACCCAGCCGCUAGCACUACCCUAUAGCUUACUCACCAGACAAACACACACAAUCACACACCAUACCCAGCCCCACCUCAGCAAACAGCAAUCACCACAAAAUAGAACCGACACGUUGAGGAGGAUCUUGAAAAUUGUAAGAGUUAUACUACUACUCACAAGGCCUUGCUAUUCGAUCCGGUGGGCCCAAUAUCUCCAAAGCAAACCCUUGAGAAACGCCCAAAAUCAAUUUUGAGAGCCACGCCAGCUUAGCCCAUGUUUGGCAAAAAGUAUUUAUGUUCCCCGGAAUAAAAAUUUAUGUUCUUUUGUUCCGGGAAACAAAAAAAAUAGAAACAUGUUUAGUAAAACUUUUAUUUUCGGGAACAGAUUUGUAAUAGAAACAAGAAGUAGAAAAAAAAUUGCUUCUUAUUCUCGAGAACAAUUCUGAAAACAAUUUUUCUCUCUCUUCUUUUAUCUUCUUCUUUUUUCUUUCAUUCUUCUUCCUUUUAGUCGGUCGCUGGCUUCAGCCAUUGCUGAUGACCUUACUAGAGCAUCGCUAGCCGGCGCGAGGCUCGACCUCGCCAUGCUAGGGCGAGGCCGACCUCGCGUCGCCUGGGAGAGGUUGAGCCUCCCAGAUCUGGUGAGGCCGAGCCUCGUAGUGGCCUAGCGAGGGUCAGGCAAGCUCGCCGAACCUCACCCAGCCAGUCGCCAGUGGAUGCCAUGGCCGACGACUAGCCAUAAAGGAGAGAGAAGGAAAAAAAAGUAAUAAAUAAAUAAUAAUAAUAAUAAUAAUAAUAAUAAUAAUAAUAAUAAUAAUAAUAAUAAUAAUAAUAAUAAUAAUAAUAAUAAUAAUAAUAAUAAUAAUAAUAAUAAUAAUAAUAAUAAAAAUAUUGAAAAAUUAAAAGAAAUAAUAAAAUUAUACAAGUUUAUUAAACACAUUUCUAUUCCCGGAAUAGAAAUUUUUUGCAGUUACCAAGUGCAUUCUUAUGCUCAGAAAUUGUUCUCGGGAACAGAAAUAGAAAAAACUAUUUAUAUUCAAAAAUUGUUCUCCAAAACAGAAACGUUACCAAACGCUCCCUUAAUUGAUACCCACAUCCUCAUCAAAAACCCUAGAAUCAAACACACAAACUUUGAACCAAAUAGCUCAAAGCAAAAGAAACAACAGUCUUUGGAACUUUUUCACUCCUAUGAAGUCACAAAUUGAAGUCUCGCAACAAUCCAAUUAGUUCUCGAGGUAAAAAAACAUUAGACAUUCCACCAGCAAAACUAGUUCAAAAGAGAUCUGAGCACUUCGGAUCUUCUAAUGUCAAGCCCUUGAAGUUUCGGUCAUGGCGAAGAGAGACGGAGAUGGAGUGAAGUCCCUAAUUGAAGUCGUGACUCACAAAAUGAAUUCUUCUCUCUGUGUUUGUCACUCUCACUAAAAAAGAAGGAAGUUCAGAUGAAGGGUGUAGCUUGUUUGGUAACCAUUCCGUUCCUGAGAACAAUUUAUGCUUAGAAAUAGUUUUUUCUAAUAUUGUUCUUUGGACGAGUUAUUUAGCAUUUGACCGUAUUAGUAAUUGCAUAAAAUUUAUGUUCCUCAAAUAGCUAGUCACUGAGCCUUAGCGAUGGCUAGCGGCUAGCCAGAAGGGAGAGCUAGCGACUUUGUUUGCUUUGGGGGCCACUCGUCGGUCUUGGGGGAGCCUCACUGGCUCUUGGUGAGGCCGACCCACCCAUCCACGGUGAUGUCAAGCCUCACCAAGAGUCGACGAGGUCGCUAGACCUUGUCUUUGGUUGGUUACUGGACAUUGCCGAGCCUAGCAACGAUUAGAGAAGGAAGAAGAAGAAAAGUAUAUAUAUAUAUAUAUAUAUAUAUAUAUAUAUAUAUAUAUAUAAAGAAGAUAAUGACUUGAUUUCAGAAUUUGUUUCUAAAAACAAAUAAGUAACUUUUUUCUACUUUUUAUUUCUGUUCCAAAUCUAUUCCAUGACUACUAAUAUGUUUUCGGGAAUAGAAAAAUUAACUAAUAGUAUUAAACGGAUUUUUGUUCUUCGGAAUAAAAGAACAAAAUUAAUUAAGAAUUAACUGGUUACCAAAAAGGGCCGAAGUAAAGCGUAAAGGUAUAUAGAGGGUCGUGGACUUGUGGGUGUCGUGUGGGUUUUGAAAAUAUGGGUUAAAAUAUGGGUCACGUCUGUCUCGUGGGUCUCGUGGGUCUCGUGGGUUGGGUAUAUUGGCUCUUUUUUUUGGUCUUUAGUUUUCCAUAACCCACUUAACCCAUUUUGAAAGAAAACGAGUUACCCUAAUAAUAUUGCGCCUCUUAAAACUGAGUUAUAAAAUAGGUACACGAACCAUUUUGCCGGCCCUACUUCUGACCAACCAUAUCAGGGUCAAAUUAGUCAGCAUCCUACUUUAUAUAUUCUCCUUCUGGCUUUCACCAUCCAUGAAAUCAAUAUGGAAGAGAAUGGUUUUUUACUAUCAUUUGCCAACAUAUAAUAAAGAGGAUAUCACAUCGUCUUCCAGGCCGUGCUUAUAUAGGCAAGUACAAAAGAAGAAUGGCAGACCUGUAAUAUACUCAAUGAACCUCCGCAAAAGUUACGGAGCUUCAUGACUUUCGAAGCAGAGAACACACAUUUGGAAGAAAAUCAAAAAGACAUAGAGUGCUCUCGAGUGUUCACUUUCAAAGAGCAAGAAUCGAUAUCUCUGAGCUUCAAGAACGUAAUAAGCAGCUAAGUCUUGUCGGAUCAAUCUCCUUAGUCCCAUCAUCUUCAUCAACAUGUAUUCGAGUUUCCUUUUGGCUCUUUAUUUAACAAAGGCAUCCGCACCCUUGUGACUCUGAAGAGAAUCACAUUGGGUGUGGCAGUUACCCAUCCCACAUAUACCGAAUAAUUUAUGGGAGAUGUGCAUUCCUAUGCUCCUGGAUGACUCCAAGAGAAUACGCAAGAAUGAUGAUUCAAAUUAUGAUCUUGAACACGAGAGAUGAACACACGUAUGACUUGAGCAACCCUAACUCAUAAUUGGACUUAUAACCACCUCCUAGUCCUUGUCAGCCUUCCAGUCAACCGCUUUUUUGUUAGGUAGCGCAAGCCAGGAAUGUUCAUCCUCAUUUCUUCUGGGAAAAUGAAGCCAGUUGGGUAGUCUCUAGUGAUUACAGCAAUUGAAUAUUUGACUAAUCCGUCAUUUCUGAAGCCGGCAUCAGGGGGGGCACCUGCAAAACUUGUUCUUGGUCAAAUCAGACAAAUGCAAGACCUGGAAGUUACUGAUAUCAAACAAGUUUGUGUAUCUUGCCCUCCGAAAGUUGCUCAUCAUCUACUCCUCUUUGAAUUACUCUUAUUGUACUUGCGUUCUUUCCAAAUUAACGGAUCAAGAUGAUUAUCGAUGCACCAAGAUAUAUUGCAUUCGCUUUCUUGAUUUCAGGCCCGAUCCUCUUCAUCCCAGACACUCCUGUCAAUGCACAGACAUAUCUUCAAGAGGGGAGCUCUAGUAAGGGCAAGUACACUGCUUUUAGCAAGUUCCAAAACAACCUCUACAGCCUCCUCGACAGGUAGCUUCACAACGAAGGACGCGUUAACUGUUUCUACAACAUGACAGAAGCGGAAUAUCCAGACAAAGUUUAUGGUCUAUUCCUCUGCAAGUAAAUCACAUGGAAAAGACAUCCAAAGUUUCUACUCUUUAGUAAUACCUUUAAAUUCAAUCCUUAUAAUCUUUGGAAUCGGCUCACUUGGUACUAGGUGAUGCAAGCCUAGGGUAGGCUUUCUCGAACAGUAGGAUCGGGAGAGUGACUCACACAUGGGAAACAGGACGAACAUAAAUUUCAGCACUAUGCAAGCUCAGGAGAACACAGAUCGGAUCGACUUGAUUCCAAAGCCAAAUGAACAAAGACUUAUCGAUCUACAAUUUCUCUGUUUUGGGUUUUAUGAAAUAAGCACUGUAGAAUGUUCGAAUUUGGAUUGGAAAUAACGAACAAAACAGGAAAAGAUAGAAACUCCGUUGGUUGCUCUUCUAGGCCUCCAAGGAAGUUGAGGGGGCACCGAUUCUUCUAGAUCGAUGACUGCAACUCUUCAAGGAUGCAGAUUUCGAAAGCUCCGACUCUUCAAGGACGGAGUGAAAACUCUUCUAGGUUUUCAAGGGUAUAAACUCUACAAGGUUCACGAUACUUGCUUCAAAGCAAAGUUUUCAUUCAUCAAAAGUCGUUUGUCUUCUACAAGAAAUUGGAUGGCUUAUAUUGUCAAAGAAAUAAAGAUAGAGCAUUGAAACUAGGAGAAAUAUCAAAUAGCAUAGAAACGAUAAACUAGUAAAAGCGUCAUGCGGGCUCCCAAGGUGUCUUUCAAGCUUCCGAGAUGGACUCAAGAUAUCGAUACGGCUUCUCGAUUUUGUUGAGCUUGAAUGCAGGCCGAUCUUCUUGGUUGAGAGAGCUGGUCUUCAAUGCGGGCUGCAUCACUAGGAUUUAUAAUGAACCUGAUGUGUUGGUCUUAAUUGAGAUCCUCUAAAAGUAUGGUGAUCCAAUGCCAACAAUUUGGUUGAUACUAUCCAAACUUAAGUAACUACCAAUGCAACUUUCCUAUCCCUUUUUAGAGGUUAUGUUGCCGCCAAUCUCUGUCAGUCUUGCAUUAAAUCAGCUACUGGCAACAUCUUAGAAUGAUGUCCAGGAGAGAAAGGGGUGACCAUAGGGUACGGUGAGUGUCUCGUGCACUACUCUGACAGAUCAUUCUUCUCUAUCAUGGAGUCAAUGCCGGCUUUUUCAAUGUACAACCUUAUGAAUGUACCAGAUCCCAACCAGUUCCUCCCGGUUGUAGGGGAAACUUUCAGGAAAGUGAUGGACUCGGCAAUCUCCUCAGAAAGCUUAUUCGCAACCAUCAAUGUUAGUGUCUCAAGUUCAGUGAGCUUGUAUACACUUGCGCAGUGCACCCUUGACUUAUCAAAGUCAAUUUGUGAACAGUUUCAGGGCUGCUGCAAUCGCUCAUUUUCCUACCUUCAUUAGCGAUGGAAAGCAAGGUGCGAGAGUUCUUCUGCUGAGUUGUCAGGUGCAGUUCGAACUGUAUCCUCUUUAUGAGGAAAUUAGAUGCCAAGCAACAGCACAUUCUCCAACUAACAAAACCAGCAUCAAUUCCGGUACUAGAGGUAUAAAAAUUGUAUAAUGCUCAAAACGUGCAUUCAAUUUUCAUGGUAAACAUAUAAAGGUACUCAUUAUAAGCUGUUUUGUGUAUCAUAAUGCACUUCACUUGCUUUUACGAUCUAAACUUUGAUCAUUCUCUGAGUUCCUGUUACUAUUUAUGCCUAGUGAGAAAAAUCUGCAGACUAAAUUCAAGGAAUCACUUUGUCUUGAUAGGGGUGAAACAAACAAAAGUUCCAUGGAUUGCAAUAGUUAGCUCAGUCAUUGGAUCGUGUUUACUCUAUCCAUCAUAGGUUCAUGCAUUUUUUUAAACAGGACAAAGAGAUUGAAGAAAGGUAUAUAUGAAUUCAUCUUGCUUGCCAUUAGAAGACCAUCUUCUAAACUUCACCUUAUAAGAGUAACCUCUUUUACUGUCAGAGAAGGAAAACAGCCUAGAGGUUCAGUUACUUUAUCUGAGACUAGAAAUUGGAGUAGAGUUUUUAGAGGAAAACUAUCGAGGAGAAAAGCCAGUGGAUCCUCGAGAAUUCACUCUGAUACGAUUAGACGUUAUAUGCACAGCCACCGGGAACUUCUCUGACGAAUGUAAGCUUGGGGAAGGCAGGUUUGGUCCUGUAUACAAGGUAAGCAUUUCAGUGACUAAACACUUAUUUAUGGGGAUAUUAGGAAAUUCUUCUAAUGGCAGCAAAUUGGCUGUCAUUAUUGUCAAAUCUCUACUAACGUUACGCUGUUUCAGGGCACAUUGGGAGAUGGAAAAGAAAUUGCAGUUAAGAGGCUUUCAAGAACCUCAGGCCAAGGACUCAUCAAGUUGAAGAACGAAGUCAUCUUGAUUGCCAGACCACAACACAGGAACCUCGUCCGAUUGGUGGGAUUCUGCUUGGAAGAACAUGAAAACCUCUUGAUAUAUGAAUACAUGCCCUACAAAAGCCUGGAUGUCUUCCUUUUUGGUUUGAGCUUUAGCAGAUGAAAUGAAUCUUUUGGCGAUUUUUAUAAAGGGCAAAUCCAUUUGAGUCUCUCAUCAUCAACAGAUUCAAAUAUGGGGGCAAUCUCUUGAUUGGAAAUGCGCCUGAACAUCACCUGUGGAAUAGCUCAGGGACUUAUAUAUCUGCAUGAGGAUUCUUGCCUAAGGAUUAUCCACAGGGAUCUGAAAAGCUAGCAAUAUCUUGCUAGAUGUUGAGAUGAAUCCAAAGGUAUCCAAUUUCGGGAUGGCAAUGAUCUUCAGUAUAAAUCAAGACAAGGCCAACUCAAACAGAGUUGUUGGCAUUUAGUAAGCGCUUUCAAAUAUGUUUCUACAUCUGUUAGAUAUUUGAAUGAUUCACUAGGCCAAAAAAGAACUCUGAUGAUCAGUUCAACAUGACCAAAAUGUGAAGAUUCAUAUUUCAGAAGUUUCUUAUAAUCACUUGUGAAUUUUUUUCUUACUUCCAUCUAAUUGCUCCUCAUCACAUAGUGGACACAUGGCACAGGAGUAUGCGAUGGAAGGGCUCUUUUCUAUUAAAUCAAACGUCUUCAGUUUUGGAGUUCUCUUGCUAGAGAUAAUAAGCGGGUGAAAGAAUAAUGGUUUUCAUAUCUGAGAGCACGAUGAAAGCCUUCUCGCAUAUGUAUGCUCCUAGUCUCUGCUUCGAUUUAUUAUGAAGUUCAAGAAUUUUGUGCAGCUAUUCUUGCUUAUUUCCCUUGUGAAAUGACAUGCAUGGAAAUUGCGGUCCGAAAAUUGAGGGUUGGAACAUACCGAUCCGUCAAUCAAAGGGUCAUGUGAUGGAGUUCCAGUGCUAAAAUGCAUACAUAUCAAUCUGUUGUGCGUUCAAGAAGACCCGGUGGACCGAUCGACUAUGUCACUUGUGGUUCAUAUGCUAGGAGGUGGUAUGAUCAUUCUUGCCCAAAGAUCGCAGCCUGCAUUCUCAGUUGGGAGAUAUGUGAAAACACUGGAUACUAUCGGAACGAUCCACAAUGUUUCCACCGUUAAUAAAGUAAACCAAGAAUCAUCACCUUUCUUCAGUUGUUUCUCUUCCAUACAAUGGAAAUGCUUCACGAUUUGACAAAAUAGAACUAGUUACAAUGUAUGAUCUCUUUAUUAUUGUGACUGCCAUUUCUUAAUCCUUGAAUUACACAAUCAUGAAUUAUAUAUUGUGAGGAAAAAAAAACCUGUUUAGUAGUCGUCAUUUCUACUGUAAUUCACCACUAAUGUGCUUUAAGAAUGAUAGAUAUACUUACAUGAGUGAUGUAUCAAUAUUCAAUUCUAUAAGUACCCCAUUAAUAUAUAAGAAAGAAUAUACAUAUACAAAUUCAAUAAUCUAAUUUGAGUAUGUUCACCGAAAUCUUAAUGCAUGAAGAGUGUAGAGUGUUUAGAUAUUAAAUCACGUUUGAGCCGGACUGAUUGCAUUCAAAUCUUUCCAAACUCAUGUUUGCCUCCCCAAUUAGAUAUUUUUACACUUCAGUCUCAAACUAAAGUUUAGCUUACACGUGAGGAUAGUGUUAGAUUAUUUAAGUAUUAAAUCACGCUUUUAUCUAAUAGCCCAAGAUGGUUAGAAAACUUUUUACAGAGGAGCUACCAAGUCAAGGCAUCAUUUUGUAAUAGUUUUGAAAUGGUCAUGUAAUGACUUUCUAGACUUUGUAUCAAAUUUACUUUGGCUUUGUAAUGUUUGAUUUAUUUAUUUUUUAUAAACUCUUAUUUAUUUUGUAACGGCUAUAUAGCGGUCAUCUUAUCCUUCAAUAAUUACUAAUUUAUUUACAACUAUCUCUUAAUACUCUCUCUUUCUUUUACCUACAAAUUGUUACUCCGAAUAUAAUUGGAAAGCGAAAUUGAUAUAUCAAGACAAAAAUAUUCCUAUUUCUCUUUAUGUAUCUUUCUUUUCCUCGUUGAAUUAUACACAUAACUUUGUUCCCAUUCCUUCUGUUAUUCUAUCGCAUUGAGUUUCUAUUUUGAGGGCCGGAAUUAUACUUAAAAAUGGUGCUUUGUACACUUCAAACAUUUGAUUUUAUUCUCUCAGCAUUUUCAAUAGAUUUCCAACAAUUAUUAUUUUCAUAUUAUCUAACGUUUUCUCAACAAUCUUGACGGCAAUUGCCUUAUGGAUUCCCUGGUCUCUACUGUCUCGCACCAGUUUCUCCGGCGGUUUGAUGUUGGCUAGCGGUUUUACUGUCGCGACACCUUUAAUCAUUGUCGUUGCGGCUCUUCUUAACCGAUCGCGAUGUUAGCUGGGUUCACUCCUAUGUGGAGGAGGCCCAAUGAGUUGCAAGCCCAAAAAGGGCUUGAGUCCAUAUGAUAAGUUAUAUGAGGAAAUAUGGUUUCUUACUAUUUAUAUAAAGUGAUGGUCGCAAAAGAAAAUAGUUACAAGAGAAAAAAAGAAAGAAUAAAAUCUGAGGUUUGGGGCAAGAUCUGAUUUACAUCAAGCUAGCGUGGAGGUCGCUUCAUGGUCCGAUUGAGCUAAAAUUUUGUCAGCAUGUUCAUGGCGCAAUUUUAUCGAAUCUGAACGGUUUGAUUUUCGUUUGAAGCUCCCUACAUCAGGUUUUUCAUGGAUUGAUCAAAACCUACAUUUUUGGUCAGAUUUAUCCUUGAUCUCUUGUGAAAUUCAUGUGUAUUACCAAGAAUUAUGUUCUUGAGGUCUUUGCUGCUAUGUACUUCUAGUAUUUGCUAGAGAAGAACAAUUUUGUUGAUAGUGAAGAAUUUUGGGUGGACUUCGGUCCCGUGGUUUUUGAUCUCCUCACAUCGAGAAGGUUUUCCACGUAAAAAAAAUCGUCUUGUGUUCGCUUGAUUGGUAUUUAUUUUACUCUACUAUAUCAAUUCCUAUUAGGUUUACACAAGAGUGGAUAUUAUUUUAUUCCACUGUGUUGAUUCGAUAUUGUUCGAAUUGUUUCUGUUCUCCCAUCAAAGUGGUAUAAGAGCAUCUAGUUAUUGCUUGAUUUUUCUGCCUUGUGUUAAACAAUGGAAACGAAUACGAGUAGAAUGGUUACUUUGAAUGGUUCGAAUUAUCAUAUUUGGAAAGGGAAGAUGGAAGACCUUUUAUAUGUGAAAGAUUUUGAUUUGCCCGUAUUUGCCGAUGAGAAACUAGAGAAUUAAACUGAUGCUAAAUGGUCUAUAUUUCAUCGUCAAGUGUGUGGUUAUAUUAGGCAGUGGGUGGAUGAUAAUGUUUUGAACCAUAUUAUUGAGGAAACACAUGCACGCAGUUUAUGAGAUACGCUCGAACAAUUAUAUGCUCGAAAGACUGGGAAUAAUAAGUUAUUUUUGAUAAAACAGAUGAUGGCUUUGAGAUAUCAAGAUGGUACUCGUUUGACUGAUCAUUUAAAUUCUUUUCAAGGAAUUAGAAAUUAGUUGGCUGUGAUGGGAAUCAAGUUUGAUGAUGAGAUACAAGCAUUAUGGUUGCUUGGUACUUUGCCGAACUCCUAGGAGACAUUCCAACAUCUUUGUCUAAUUCUGCCCCAGAUGGUACAAUUACCAUGGAUUUGGCUAAGAGUAGUAUUUGAAUGAAGAGAUGAGAAGGAAGACACAAGGAUCGUCCUCUUCACAUUCUGAUGCCUUGGUUGUUGAGAAAAUGGGAAGAAGUGAAUCUCGAGGUCCGAGAAAUAGAGAUAAAAGUCAAGAUAAAAGCAGAAGUAAGUAUAAUAAAUUUGCUAAUGUUGAGUACCAUUAUUGUCAUCAGAAGGGACAUAUUCAAAGGUUUUGUCGCUAGUUAAAAAGGAAGAAACAAAAGGAGAAAGGUAAAGAGAAGAAAAGUGAUAAUGACAGUGAUGACAAUCGUGUCGCUGCACUUAAAGAAGACUUUCUCGUUAUUUUUUAUUGUGAUGUGGUGAAUUUUGUAUCUCAUGAGACCAGUUGGGUAAUUGAUAGUGAUGCAUCCGUUUAUGCUACGUCUCGUAGGGAUUUCUUUACAUCAUACAGGUCAGGUGACUUCGGAUUUGUGAAGAUGGGAAACAAUGGGCUAGCUCAAGUUGUAGGCAUCGGUGAUGUGUGCCUAGAAACCAACAAUGGCACAAGGUUAGUAUUAAAUAAUGUUAAACAUAUACCUGAUAUCCGCUUGAAUUUGAUUUCUACAGGCAAGUUGGAUGAUGAGAGGUAUUGCAGCAUCUUCAGUAAUGGUCAAUGGAAGCUCACCAAAGGUUCUCUUGUUGUGGCUAGAGGUGAAAAAUAUUCUUCAUUGCAUAUUAUGCAGGCAAAGUUGUCCACAGUCAAAAUUAAUGCAAUAGACAACGAAGAUAUGGCAUCCGGGAAUUUCAACCCGAAAUAUUGAUUUUGAGGGAAACGAUAUUUGACUUUGAAUGGCCAUAGGGACAAUUACAUCAUCGGCCACGAUAUUUUAUCUCUUGGACUGAACCCCUUAUGAAAAUGUUAAUUGAUUAUGAGAAUGUUAAUUGAUUUCUAUAAAUAAAAAUCAAAAUCAAAUGCCCUAAAGUGGUAUAGGAAUUAUGGGCUUAUUAUCGAUAUUUUUCUAUGGGCUAUUUAAAUUGGACAUAGGACGAUUUGAUAAAGAAGACUUUGUUCUUGACUAUGCACUUUAUAGAUUUGAUGGAUUAAUGUCACAAAGUCUUUUGGUCAUUUUAUUAUGCAAUUAGGUAUUUAUUUAAAUGAGGAUUAAAAUGUAUUAUUAAAAAUAAACUUGGGCCAUUUAAGUUUGGGCUUUAGGCCCAAGUGAGAUGGGCCUAAAGUGGGCCAUAAGCCCGGCCCAUGUCGACGCAUGUAGGGGGAAGGAGGAGCCGCAUGGCUUCCUCCAAGUGUCUUCGGCAAAGGAGACACUUGUCUCCUUCUUAGGGACAAGUGUCCCCCAUGCAAAAUAAGAAUGCAUGCAAAUAUAUAUACGACCAAAAAGUGAGAGAGAGAGAGAGAGAGAGAGAGAGAGAGAGAGAGAGAGAGAGAGUGAGUUGCGAGAGAGAGGAACCGAGAGGGAGGAGAGGAAGGAGCUCGCCGUUCGUCCGCCCGCACGCUGUCCGCCGCCCGUCCGUCGCCGUCCGUGUGCUGUCGUCCGCUUGAUCUUAGAGCCAAGUUAGGAUCAAUUUCUACUCUUGCAUGUGUGUCUUGCAUAUGUGAUUGGUUGGUGGUAGAUCUCGGAUGUUUAGGGUAGGCAAAACCAAAGCUAGAGUGUGACUUGUUCUUGAAAAAGCUUGCUGAUUUCAUGUAAACCGCCUGACCCAGAAACUUGUGGAGGCUUGCAUGCAUGUUUCGAAUUGGAUUUCGACCUUGAUUCCUUCAUGAAAGUUGUAGCCAACAUCUUAAACUACAACUUACUAAAAUUUGGGACAAAAUGGUGGAGAUUUAAUGUGGCACCCCUCGACGGCCCCCGAUCCGAUUAGGGUCGCCACAGUUCGCUUACCAUUCACUUUUCCUAAUAACAUGUCACUCCGCUACCAUUUCAAUUGCAGCGGGUCCAUACAACCUGGGGGUUUACAUCUUUUAGAUUGGUCCCUUCCACAAUUUAUAUACGGAAGCACAUCCAACAACUCACUUCCCUAUAUUCAGAAAACGAUGCACACCUACUAAACAUUUAUAGGUAAAAGCCGUACACUUUUAUUCACUUAAACCAUAUGGACAUCGUUCAUCGGUACAUCAAAAUGCCAUAGUUUUCUAUACUUGGCUAUACGUCAAAGGAUGACCAACAUGUCUUCCAACAGUUGUAUACUUAAAGUCCAUCGAUCAGUGUCGGUGUCCAAAAGUUCAUUCAUUUGCUAUCCUCCUCCUCGCGGUCAUAUCCAACUACUUAAUCCAUCUACUAAUUUGAAAUGUUGGUCCCCGAAGGGGUGAGUACAGCCACUCAGCAAGUAAAGGACCAAUAAACCACUCAAUGCAUCAUGCCACACAAUCAUCACAAUCAUAGCAUCACAUGACAUUUAAGCAUCCAUGCACAAUUUACCUUGAUAUCAUGCACAUAUCAUCAUACCUCAUGUACAUACAUUAUCAUAUAGUCAUCACCAUCAUGUCAUACACUUACCAUCAUCAUUACCAUGCAUCCAUGCACAUAUCAUCAUCAUAUUACAUGUACCAUCAUCAUUACCAUGCAUCCAUGCACUCAUCAUCAUCAUAUCACAUGUACCGUCAUCAUUACCAUGCAUCCAUGCACAUAUCAUCAUCAUAUCACAUGCAUCCAUGCACAUAUCAUCAUCAUAUCACAUGUAUCAUCAUCAUUACCAUGCAUCCAUGCACUCAUCAUCAUCAUAUCACAUGUACCAUCAUCAUUACCAUGCAUCCAUGCACAUAUCAUCAUCAUGUCACACAUGCCAUCAUGCCACAGGUGCNNNNNNNNNNNNNNNNNNNNNNNNNNNNNNNNNNNNNNNNNNNNNNNNNNNNNNNNNNNNNNNNNNNNNNNNNNNNNNNNNNNNNNNNNNNNNNNNNNNNGCACUUACCAUCAUGCAUUCAUGCAUAUAUCACCAUGCCAUAUGUGCACAUACCACCAUGAUUCAUAUCAUCCAUGCUAUCAAGCAUACAUCACCAUGAGAUCCAUUCAUGCCUUCAUGAUCGCAUUUUCAAUAUCAAAUAGCAUCAACUUAUUUUCAUAAGCCGAUCAUGCAUCAUGCCAUAUGCAUACACCCAUGCACAUGAUUCAUUUUCAAUUCUUAUCUUUCAUAAGGAUCUCAUCAGUUUUUCUUUCCAGGGACCAAUGUUUGCAUCCCACAAUUUAUCGCUCGCACCCAAUCCUGGCAUCGUAAGGAACCUCCGGGCAUAUAUUCAAAAUACAACCGAGCAUCCGGCCCCCCACAUUCCGAGCAUCUCGCAUCCCAACUAGCAUCACGAGGCAUCCCCCCGAGCACAAACCUCUGGGGCUUCCGGAAUUACGUACCGACAUACCACCAGGAUCCCCCCCCUCUUCUGGAAUUACGUACCGUAUACCACCGGGCAUCUCGAAACUCCCGAGGACCCUCCGGAAUUAUGCCACUAGGCCACCGGGCAUCCGGCACUCCCUAGCCAGGCAUCCCGACACUCCCGGGGCAUCGUCGGCUCACACCUCCGACGGCCUUCUCACUUAUCUCAAUUCACAUCUUCAAUUAUAGUUCAAUUUUAACAUGGCAUGUGAUGUGAUGGCAAUCAAGAUCAUUUUCAUCCUUUGAUUCAUACAUGCAUCUCAAAUCAUCAUCAUACAUGCAGCAAGACACAAUCAAUCAUAACAAUACAAUUCAUGGAGUCCAUACAAUUUAGAAUAGUCCAUUUAUCAUGCCUUUUUGAAGUUUACUAAAUUCCAGCUUGUACCAUUUUAGAAAACAUUUAAAUUAAAUAUCCAUAUAAUCCUCAAAAAUCAUGAAAUCAGGACAUGUGAUAGACAAGACAGUAAGAUAAAAAUUUCAUGAAGAACACAUGCCCGAAAGAGUUUCACACAAGAAGAUAUAAUUCACGCAAAUACAGCAUGUAAUUUCGGAUAGAAACAGAAUGUGCAGUUUUUGAAAUAAUUCGAUUAAAAUACCCGAAUGACCUCCGAAAAUUAUGAAAUUUUACCAGGUUAUAUUUAAGACACUAAAGUAGAUUUUUCAUGCAGACAUCUAGGCCAUAUUCGUUCUCGAUAAUUUUCUACAGACGUCCGAAUCUCCUGUUUCUAGCACCGAAACGUCCAGUUUAGCUAUCUCCGAAAUAUCGAGUUUUCACCUACUUAUCCUUCUUCGUUUCCUCUGAAAUUUUGAUAAUGUUUGCCUCAAGAGGUCCCCUACAACUUUCAUUAAGAGAUAUAAGUGAAAUUUCCAAAGAAUAGUCACCAUAUGGGUCCAAGAAGUCUCGGGUGUCCAGUACCGUAUUUCCAGAUUUACCAUCUUCAAGAGAAAGUCGAUUCACUAGGCUACACUUGUUCAUUUUACCUCACAUUUGAGUAUGUUAGUCUUUAUGAUGUUCUCUACAAGUUUCAUGAAGAAGUCGAAGGGAAAUUCUCGGUAAAAAGCAACAUGCAACCCACAAAACUACCAAAAGGUCAGCAAAGCAGUUCCAGAUCUAGUGUCUUCGUAGGAAGAGGGUUUUACCCCUUAAAUCUCAAUAAUUUUGUCCCAACUUUUAUUAUGUUAUAUUUUGAGAUGUUUUCUACAACUUUCAUGAAGGAGUCAAAGUCAAAAUCCAACUCGAAACAUGCAUGCAAGCCUCCACAAGUUUCUGGGUCGGGCGGUAUACACGAAAUCAGCAAGCUUUUUCAAGAACAAGUCACACUCUAGCUUCGGUUUUGUCUACCCUAAACAUCCGAGAUCUACCACCAACAAAUCACACAUGCAAGACACACAUGCAAGAGUAGAAAUCGAUCCUAACUUUCCUCUAAGAUCAAGCGGAUGACAGCACACGGACGGCACACCGGCGACAGACGGACAGCGUGCGGGCGGACGAACGGCGAGCUCCUUCCUCUCCUCCCUCUCGGUUCCUCUCUCUCGCAACUCACUCUCUCUCUCUCUCUCUCUCUCUCUCUCUCUCUCUCUCUCUCUCUCACUUUUUGGUCGUAUAUAUAUUUGCAUGCAUUCUUAUUUUGCAUGGGGGACACUUGUCCCUAAGAAGGAGACAAGUGUCUCCUUUGCCGAAGACACUUGGAGGAAGCCAUGCGGCUCCUCCUUCCCCCUACAUGCGUCGACAUGGGCCGGGCUUAUGGCCCACUUUAGGCCCAUCUCACUUGGGCCUAAAGCCCAAACUUAAAUGGCCCAAGUUUAUUUUUAAUAAUACAUUUUAAUCCUCAUUUAAAUAAAUACCUAAUUGCAUAAUAAAAUGACCAAAAGACUUUGUGACAUUAAUCCAUCAAAUCUAUAAAGUGCAUAGUCAAGAACAAAGUCUUCUUUAUCAAAUCGUCCUAUGUCCAAUUUAAAUAGCCCAUAGAAAAAUAUCGAUAAUAAGCCCAUAAUUCCUAUACCACUUUAGGGCAUUUGAUUUUGAUUUUUAUUUAUAGAAAUCAAUUAACAUUCUCAUAAUCAAUUAACAUUUUCAUAAGGGGUUCGGUCCAAGAGAUAAAAUAUCGUGGCCGAUGAUGUAAUUGUCCCUAUGGCCAUUCAAAGUCAAAUAUUGUUUCCCUCAAAAUCAAUAUUUCGGGUUGAAAUUCCCGGAUGCGACAUUUAAGGGGUAAAACCCUCUUCCUACGAAGACACUAGAUCUGGAACUGUUUUGCUGACCUUUUGGUAGUUUUGUGGGUUGCAUGUCGAUUUUUACCAAGAAUCUCUCUUCGGCUUCUUCAUGAAACUUGAAGAUAACAUCCUAAGGACUAACAUACUCAAAUUUGAGGUAAAAUGAGCAAGUGUAGCCUAGUGAAUUGACUUUCUCUUGAAGACGGUAAAUCUGAAAAUACGGUACUGGACACCCGAGAUUUCUUGGACCCAUAUGGUGACUAUUCUCUGGAAAUUUCACUUAGAUUCAUUAAUUAAAGUUGUAGGGAACCUCUUGAGGAACAACAUAUCCAAAUUUCAGAGGAAACGAAGAAGAAUAAGUGGGUGAAAACUCGAUAUUUCGGAGAUAGCUAUACUGGACGUUUCGGUGUUAGAAACAGGAGCUUCGGACGCCUGUAGAAAAUUAUCUAGAGCGAAUCUGGCCUAUAUGUCUUCAUGAAAAAUAUACUUUAGUGUCUUAACUAUAACCUGGUAAACUUUCAUAAUUUUCGAAGGUCAUUCGGGUUUUUUAAUCGAAUUAUUUCAGAAACUGCGCAAUCUGAGUUUAUCCGAAAUUACAUGCUGUAUUUGUGCAAAUUAUAUCUUCUUGUGCGAAACUCUUUUGGGCAUGUGUUCUUCAUGAGAUUGUUACCUUAUUGUCUUGUCUAUCACAUGUCCUGAUUUCAUGAUUUUUCAAAAUCAUAUGGAUAUUUAAUUUAAAUAUUUUCUAAAAUUGUGCAAGCUGGAAAUUUAGUAAAUUUCAAAAAGGCAUGAUAUAUGGACUAUUCUAAGUUGUGUGAACCCCAUGGAUUGUAUUGUCAUAUGUGGUUGCAUGUAUGAUGAUGAUUGGAAACGCAUAUAAGAAUUAAAUUGAUGAUAAUGAUCUUGUUUGCCAUCACAUUAUAUGCCAUGUUGAAAUUGAGCCACAAUUGUGAAUAUAAACUAUGAUAAAUGAGAAUGCCGUCGGAGGUUUGAGCCAACGAUGCCCCGGGAGUGUCGGGAUGUAUGGCUAGAAUGGUAAAGGCCGGAUGCCCAGUGGCCUAGUGGCGUAAUUCCGGAGGGUCCUCGGGAGUUUCGAGAUGCCCGGUGGUAUACGGUACGUAAUUCCAAAUGAGGGGAGGAUCCUGGUGGUAUGUCGGUACGUAAUUCCGGAAGCCCCGGAGGUUUGUGCCCGGGGGGAUGCCUCGUGAUGCUAGUUGGGAUGCGAGAUGCCCGGAAUGUGGGGGGCCGGAUGCCCGGUUGUAUUUUGAAUACAUGCCUGGAGGUUCCUCGUGAUGCCUGGUUGGGUGUGAGUGAUGAAUUGUGGGAUGCAAACAUUGGUCCAUGGAAAGAAAAACUGAUGAGAUCCUUGUGAAAGAUAAUAAUUGAAAAUGAAUCAUGUGCAUGGGUGUAUGCAUAUGGCAUGAUGCAUGAUCAGCUUAUGAAAAUAAAUUGAUUCUAUUUGAUAUCGAAAAUGCGAUCAUGAAUGCAUGAAUGGAUCUCAUGGUGAUAUAUGCAUGGAUGCAUGAUGGUAAGUGCAUGGAUGUAUGUGCACCUAUGGCAUGAUGGUAUGUGUGACAUGAUGAUGAUGAGUGCAUGGAUGCAUGGUAAUGAUGAUGAUACAUGUGAUAUGAUGAUGAUAUGUGCAUGGAUGCAUGGUAAUGAUGAUGGUACAUGUGAUAUGACGAUGAUGAGUGCAUGGAUGCAUGGUAAUGAUGAUGGUAAGUGUAUGCCAUGAUGGUGAUGACUAUAUGAUGAUGUAUGUACAUGAGGUAUGAUGAUAUGUGCAUGAUAUCAAUGUAAAUUGUGCAUGGAUGCUUAAAUGUCAUGUGAUGCUAUGAUUGUGAUGAUUGUGUGGCAUGAUGCAUUGAGUGGUUUAUUGGUCAUGUACUUGCUGAGUGGCUGUACUCACCCCUUCGGGAACCAACAUUUCAGAUUAGUAGAUGGAUUGAGUAGUUGGAUAUGACCGCGAGGAGGAGGAUAGCAAAGGAAGGAACUUUUAGACAUCGACACUGAUCGAUGGACUUUAAGUAUACGACUGUUGGAAGAGAUGUUAGUCAUCCUUUGAAGUAUAGCCAAGUAUAGAAAACUAUGGCAUUUUGAUGUACCGAUGAACGAUGUCCAUAUGGUUUAAGUGAAUAAAAGUGUAUGGCUUUUACUUAUAAAUGUUUAGUAGGUGUGCAUCGUUUUCUGAAUAUAGGAAAGGGAGUUGUUGGAUGUGCUUCCGUAUAUAAAUUGCGCAAGGGACCGAUCUAAAAGAUGUAAACCCCCAGGUUGUAUGGACCCACUGCAAUUGAAAUGGUAUCAGAGUGACAUGUUAUUAGGAAAAGUGAAUGGUAAGCGAACUGUGGCGACCCUAAUCGGAUCGGGGGCCGUCGAGGGGUGCCACAGAAGAUGCAGUUGAGUUAUGGCAUAAGAGACUCAGUCACAUUAGUGAAAAGGGUUUGUCACUAUUGGCCAAGAAGAAGCUCCUUUCAGGAUUGAAAAGUUCAGCGCUAAAGAAGUGUGCUCACUGUUUAGUAGGAAAACAGAACAGAGUUGCAUUUAAAAGCUCCUCUCCUUCAAGAAAGUCAAGUAUACUAGAUUUAGUGCAUUUUGAUGUUUACGGUCCUAUGAAAACAAAAUCACUUGGUGGCUCUCUUUAUUUUGUUACCUUCAUAUAUGAUUUUUCAAGGAAAAUUUGGAUUCAUACCUUGAAAACUAAAGAUCAAGUGUUAGAUACUUUUAAGCAAUUUCAUGUUUCAGUUGAGAAACAGAUUGGAAAGAAAUUGAAAUGCAUCUGAACUGAUAACGAGGGAGAAUAUAUUUGACCUUUCGAUGAAUAUUGCAGACAACAAGGUAUUCGACAUCAAAAGACACCUCCCAAGACGCCUCAGUUAAAUGGCUUAGCUAAGAGAAUGAACAGAACACUAGUUGAAAGGGUAAGAUGCUUACUUUCACAGUGAAAGCUACAUGGAUCCUUUUGGGAUGACGCUUUAAGUACGGUUGUACAUGUAUUAAAUCUUACUCCAUGCAUUCCUUUAGAGUUUGAUGUUCCUAACAGAGUUUGGACAUGCAAAGAUGUUUCUUAUGAUUAUUUGCAUGUCUUUGGGUGCAAAGCAUUUGUGCAUAUUCCCAAAGAUGAGAGGUCUAAACUUGAUGUGAAAACACAACAGUACAUAUUUAUCGGUUAUGGACAGGAUAUGCUUGGCUACAAAUUUUAAGAUCCGGUUGAAAAGAAAAUUGUAAAAAGCAAAGACGUUGUGUUUAUGGAAGAUCAAACAAUAAAUGAUAUUGAGAAAGUAGAGAUGAUUUCAGCAUCACAGGUUAGUGAUAAUCUAGUUGAUUUAGAUCCAGUUCCUCUUACAAAUAUUCCUACACAGGUUGAUGAAGAGCAGCUGGAAGUCAAUGUUCCAAAUAAUGCAUAUGUUCCUAAACAUGUUGAAACAGACAAUAAUAUUCCUGAACCAGAGGCUCAAUUAGAUGUUCCAUUGGAUGUUCAAGUCCGGAGAUCCGUUAGAGACCGACGACCUUCCACCAGGUAUUCUGAAGAUGAGUAUGUAUUAUUGACUGAUGUAGAUGAACCAAAGUGCUAUGCAGAAGCAAUAGAAGAUGAGUACAAAAGCAAUUGGUUCGAUGCUAUAAGAGAUGAGAUACAGUCACUUUAUGAUAAUCAUACUUUUGAGUUGGUGAAGUUACCUAAAGGUAAAAGAGCUUUGAAGAACAAGUGGGUAUAUAGGUUGAAGUAAGAUGAACAUACUUCACAACCACGAUACAAAGCUAGAUUGGUUGUUAAGGGAUUCGACAGAGAAAUGGCAUUGAUUUUGAUGAUAUAUUUUCUUCGGUAGUGAAAAUGUCUUCUAUCCGUAUGGUACUAGGCUUGGCAGCUACUCUAGAUUUGGAAAUUGAGCAAAUAGAUGUUAAAACAGCCUUCCUACAUGGUGACUUGGAGGAAGAAAUAUACAUGGAACAACCUAAGGGUUUCAAAGUGAAAGGGCAAGAUGAUUAUAUAUGCAAAUUGAAGAAAAGUCUCUAUGGCCUAAAACAAGCACCGAGGCAGUGGUACAAAAAGUUUGCGUCAGUUAUGACAGAACAUGGCUAUAAGAAGACUUCCUUGGAUAACUGUGUGUUUGUCCAAAAUUUUUCUUAUGAUGACUUUAUUAUUCUCUUGCUUUAUGUUAAUGAUAUGCUGAUUGUUGGCAAUAAUGCUUCAAGAAUUGAGUUAUUGAAGAAACAAUUGAGCAAGUCUUUUGCCAUGAAAGACUUGGGCUUGGGCUUGGCGAAGCAGAUUCUUGGCAUUAGAAUUACUUGAGACAGAGAUGCUAAGAAGUUAUUUUUGUCGCAAGAGAAAUAUAUCGAGAAGAUCCUUCAGAAAUUUUACAUGGACAAGGCUAAAAUGGUUAGUACUCCUCUUGCUGUUUACUUUAAGUUAAAUAUGAAGCAAAGUCCCAUGACUGAUAAAGAGAAGAAAGAUAUGGAAAGUGUUCCAUAUGCUUUAGCUGUAGGAAGCUUAAUGUAUGCAAUAGUAUGUACACGCCCAGACUUGGCGCACGCAGUUGGCGUUGUUAGUCGCUAUUUGUCAAACCAAGGCAGAGAGCACUGAAAUGCAGUGAAGUGGAUUAUGAGGUAUCUUCGGGGAACUUCAAAUUUGAAACUCAGUUUCGGGACCGAGAAACUUGAGUUAGUUGGACACACAAAUUCUAACUUGGCAAGAGAUAUUGAUACUCGUAAAUCUACUUCUAGUUAUUUGAUUUCUUUUGCGAGUGGAGCUGUGUCAUGGAAGUCAAGAUUGCAGAAGUGUGUUGCACUUUCUACAACCGAAGCUGAAUUUAUUGCAGCGAUUGAAGCGAGUAAAGAGAUGUGAUGGAUGAAGAAUUUCUUAGAACUUGGGUUCAAGCAAAAGAGGUAUGUGCUAUUUUGUGAUAAUCAAAGCGCAAUUCAUCUUGGUAAGAAUUCAUCUUUUCAUUCUAGAUCAAAACAUAUUAAUGUUAGAUAUCAUUGGAUAAGAGAUGUUCUAGAUGAAAAGUUGUUGGAACUUGAGAAAAUUCAUACGAAUCAUAAUGGCUCUGAUAUGAUGACGAAAACUCUAUCAAGAGAGAAGCUUGAACAUUGCCAAUUGAUAGCAGGGAUGGUGAAUCCUUACUAUGUGGAGGAGGCCCAAUAAGUUGCAAGCCCAAAAAGGGCUUGAGCUCCUAUGAUAAGCUAUAUGAGGAAAUAGGAUUUCUCACUAUCUAUAUAAAGUGAUGGUCAUAAAAGGAAAUAGUAACAAGAGAAAAAGAGAAAGUAGAAAAUCUGGGGUUUGGGGUAAUAUCUGAUUUACAUCAAGCUGGCAUCGGAAGUCGAUUCAUGGUCCGAUUGAGCUGAAAUUUUGUCAGCAUGUUCGUGACGCAAUUUUAUCGAAUCUGAACGGUUUGAUUUUCGUUUGAAGCUCCCCACAUCAGGAUUUUCAUGGAUUGAUCAAAACCUACAUUUUUGGUCAGAUUUAUCCUCGAUCUCUUGUAAAAUUCAUGUGUAUUGCCAAGAAUUAUGUUCUUAAGGUCUUUGCUACUAUGUACCUCUAGUAUUUGCUAGAGAAGAACAAUUUUGUUGAUAGUGAAAAUUUUUGGGUGGACUUCGAUCCCGUGGUUUUUGAUCUCCUCACAUCGAGGAUGUUUUCCACAUAAAAGAAAUUGUAUUGUGUUCGCGUGAUUGGUAUUUAUUUUACUCUACUAUAUCAAUUCCUAUUACAUUUACAUAAGAUGGGAGAUUAUUUUAUUCCGCUGCGUUGAUUCGAUAUUGUUCGAAUUGUUAUUGUUCUCCCAUCAUGUGACUUAGUUCACUUCGACGAUCGCAAUUCCAAUGGGGCAACCAUGACUCCGGCGGCUUUAUCUACAAUCUGCUGUCACGUCUCCAGCUCUGCCGCUGUGUAUCCUUCUCCAUGACACUCAGGCGAUGAUGAAAUCCAUCAACUAAGACCCAUGCCUGCAAGAGGGACCGGCGAACUUCAGGGCGUUUAGUGGAAAUGAGGUCAGGGCGUAGGAACGGAUCCAUAGCACAGCUGCUUCAUGAUAGCUAUGCGCGUUAUCACCUCACCACCGCUAGAGCCACAAUCAACCCUGAAUCAUCUCACUCUACUGAAUCAAGCCAAGCAUCGUUGUUGGACCAUCGGGUCAUUUCGUAUUAAACUCAGAUUCUCUGAUUUAUCUCUACUACAUUGUCUAGCUGAGUAUCCUAGGUCAUAUUUUGUUUUGAAUUGUUAGCUAUUCUGUUUAUUAGAUGCUUCACACCACAUGCUCACAACUUGUUCGACAGAAUGCCUAACUCAAUCGUGGAUAGUUAGUCCUAUUGCAUUCUGUUUAUAAACAUUUUGAUGUCCAAUUGAUGUCGGUUGCGUCUUGCUGCAUUUCCUGUACAUAGUUCAUUAAUAUGCAAAUGGAUUGGAUAUAUAGGUGAUGUAUGUCGAAUGCUGUUCACAAGUGUUUUGAAUGUAUCAAAUCCUAUUCAUAUGUGGUUGUGCAUGUCAAAUGAUGCUCAUGCGUGUUACUUUGAGAUCGUGAGGUGCUGAAGGAAAGAGAAGAGAAUGCGGGACGUUAUCAAUUAGAGGUGAAUUUGAAUGAAAUAGGCUUAGUUUGACUAUUCUCUUACAUGUUCAUGAUUAUGGGUAGUGUCUAAUCUCUUUUUCAGGGUUCAAAGCAUGUUUACAAAUCAAGACAUUGCUUGGCAUGUUUUGACAUACUUCAUUGAACAUGAUUCCUAACAAAUUUGGCUUAAUUCAAUGCUAAUUUACUUGUUUGUAAAUAGAGGCUCACAUGUCAAUAGUUUUUAGGUACUUUUUAAGCAUGUUUAGACCUCAUUUUUAGUUCCAGUUCAGGACCGUGCUUGCUGGGUGUUGUUGGACCGUGCAUACUAGCAAUGUGGUCUAAUAUAUCCAUGAUAUGGAUUUUUUUUGUGGCCAGUAUGAUGACAUGGAGUAAGUUAUAAUAUAUAUAUGAAAAGAAUGAAAAACAAGAACAAGCGCCACCACACACCAAGAAUUUUGUAUGUUCCUACUCACAUUCCAUUUUUAUAUGAAAUCCAAGAAUUUUGUGCAGCAUCCUUCCUUAAUUUUUCUUGCAAAGUGAUAGGCAUGGAAGUUCUGAUCUAAAGAUUGAGGGUUGGAAACUUACUGAUCUGUCAAUUAAAGAGUUAUGUGAUGGACUUCAAUUGCUAAAAUGCGUACACAUUGGUCUAUUAUGCAUUGCAGAAGAUCCGGCAAACUAACUGACUAUGUCAUUUGUGGUUCAUAUGUGAGGAGACGAUACUAUCCGCGAUACUAUCACACUUACCCAACCAUCGCAGUCUGCAUUCUCAGUUGGGAGAUAUGUGAAAACACUUGAUUCUAUCGGCCCGAUUCACAAAGCUUCCACUGUUAAUGAACUAACAAUUACAAAUGUUUCACCUAGAUGACCAAGUAUCAUCAAUCCUCCUCCAGUUCAUUUCUCUUUUAUACCAUGGUAGGUAGAAUGAUAAUUAUAGUGUGUGAUCUCUUUAGCAUUGUGACUGCCAUUUCUUAAUCCUUGAUUUCCGCAAUCAUCGAUUAGUAAUUGUAAGGUUAAAAAGCCCAAUAGUCGGCAUUUCUAUCCAAUUUAUCACUUUUGUUCUAUCAUAAUUAUACAUAUACUUACUUGAGAUAUAUAUCAAUUUGUAACCCAUUGAUAAAUUAAAAUUUAAGCAUAUAUAAAUUUGAUAUUUUACCUUUAGUAUAUUCAUCGAAAUCUAAUUUGUGAUGAAUAUUAUAAUUAAAUACUAGAUAACAAAUGAGUAGAAAGUCCUGAAUUCAAAUCUCUCUAAACCCCCAUGUACCUCUUUUACUUGCGAAUGUUCAACCUAUGCAUGUGGAGGAAUGUUAGAUUAUCCAUAUAUUAGAUGACGUCUUCAUCUAAUAGUUUAGAGAAAAUCAUUCAUAAAGUCCUACACCUAUUGUACUCUUGUUAAUUCAAUCAUAGACAUUUUUACCUUUUGUCAAUUGAGUCUAUCCGGCUAAGUUUAAUAGAAAAUCGCUAACAUGAAUGCUGGAUGUCUUAUGUGUCACAUGAACAUUUUAAAUAAUAUUUAAUAAAUUUUUUAUUUUUUUAUAUUUUUUAAUCCUUCCCUUCCCUUUCUUUUCUUUUCUUUGGACUCAAGUCGGCAAAGGUAUCGCGGCGUUGCCCCAAAAGGGGAGAGGGCAUCGUGGCCUUUGCUUCGGGCCAAGGCUAGCAAGGGUCACCACGCCCUUGCCUUGCCUAGAUUUCGUAUGGGCAAUGCGGCCAUUGCCAAACUCCUAACCCUUGCCCACUGGCUGGCAAGGGCCAUACACCCUCUCUAGCCCGAAUCCAAAAAAACGGUAAAGAAAAAAAAAAGAGAAAACAUAAUUAGAAAUUCAAUAAGAUGUUAAAAUAUCAUUAAAAAAAAUGUCUACAUUAGCGUCAGCCAUGCCAUGUAAGACGUUUGGCAUCUACGUCAUCCAUUUCUGGCCAAAAUUGCCUAGAUGAGUUCAAUCGAUAAAAAGUGAAAACAUUUAUAACUCAGUUGGCACAAUUAGAAGGUUUUAAAUUGAAUUGGAAAAAGCGUAAUAGGUUUAGGAUAUUUUGGAUAAUUUUCUUCACAAAAAUUCAUAAUCAAUGACCUAUUUUCAUUUGAUAUAAUUAAGUAAAAAGAAAACAAUGUGUAAUGCCAAGCAAUAGUAUCAAGUAGGGGUGUGCAACCAAACUAGUUCUACCCAGGAACCGAAUCGGACCGCCUGAAAAAUAGGUCUAGGAACCGGUUCAGGAACGAGUUCCAAAUUUUUGGAAUUGGUUGUAAUAGGUCCAGUAAUAGGUUCCGAGUGAAUACCCACUCGAGAACUAGAUCAGACCGUCCUAUUUUGGAACCGAUUUUAUAAGCUAAAAAGCCAAAAUCCUAAUUUCUUUUCCCAUAAAUUCUAACCUUAGCAAUUUUUCGUCAUUUGUCCUUCCUCAAAGCUCCUCACCAAUCUUUCCUCUUCCCUAAUUAAUGACCUAUUUUCAUUUGAUAUAAUUAAGUAAAAAGAAAACGAUGCGUAAUGCCAAGCAAUAGUAUCAAGUAGGGGUAUGCAACCAAACUAGUUCUACCCGGGAACUGGAUUGGACCGCAUGAAAAACAGGUCCACGAACCAGUUCGGGAACAUGUUCCAAAUUUUUGGAACUAGUUGUAAUAGGUCCAGUAAUAGGUUCCGAGCGAAUACCCACUCGGGAACUAGAUCAGAUCGUCCUAUUUUGGAACCAAUUUUAUAAGCUAAAAAGCCAAAAUCCUAAUUUCUUUUUCCCAUAAAUUCUAACCUUAGCACUUUUUCUUCCUUUGUCCUUCCUCAAAGCUCCUCACCAAAAAAAGAAAAAGAAAAAUAGUUAAUGAUACAUUCAUCCAAUGAAUUAUGACUUCUCUUUCCUCUUCCCUAAAGUUUUAUGGAUGAUUGGAGAAUGUAAUUUUAUAAUUUACGUUAUAUGUUACAUGUUUGAACUUUUUGUCACUAUAAUUGUACGGGAUUACGUAUUCAUAAUAUGAAUUUCAUAUUAUGGAUUGUUGUUUAUGGUGGAUAGCAAUUUCUGUUGUUCAUCUUUUACAUUAAAUCGUUUCGUUACUCAUAACCUCAUAUGAUUUUGCUAGCAAAAAUGAACCCAAAAAAGGCAAAAAAUAUAAUAAAAAAGGUUCUCGAGUAGACUUUGGAACUGGACUGGAAAAAUAUGAUAGGUUCCAGAAUCGAUUUCAAGCAAACAGGGUAGGUUACAGGGUCCAAAAACUUGGAACUGGUUAUAACAAAAUACGUUCAGGUUACCUUGAAACUAACCACCUUGGAACCAACCACCCUUAGUAUCAAGUAAUGCAUGUGGAUGACUCAGCAACGGUAUUUGUCCACUAGACCUCCUCGUUGGCGCCCAAGGGAAAAACAUUAGCUGGCUAAGCUCGCCUAGUGGAGAAACCUUCCUUCUUUUAUUUUUAAAAUUUCUAGCUAGGGAAACAAAAGGAAAAUAAAAAAUAAUCAUAGGGUUUUGUGUUAUAUUAUCUUAUCUGUGAGUUUACUACUAUUUUCCUCUCCUAUAUCGGAAUUUUGGGCUUAAUUUGUGCUACUAGUGUUUAUAAAAUUUACAUAUCAUAGUAAAAUCACUAAUAAAUGGAAAAGCACCAAAACAUAUAUUAGCGUUCAUGAACGACCAUUCAUAUAUCUUUACUUUUGGGAAAAAAAAAAACAUGCUAAGUGUUACUUUUGAAAACCACCAUUCACAUCAAUUAUCAGUGAUAUAGCUAGUAUAAGCACCUAGAUGGGGGUGAAUAGGUGUAAAAAUAAUUUCUCGAGAUAUGAAAACAAUACUAGACAAAUUAGAAAGGAAGCUCUCCUUUAGUUAACAAAUUGAAGUAUGAUUAAAGUAAAGCAGAGAGUGGGGAAGAGAAAAUUGAACACAAAGUUUAUAGUGGUUCGGUUUAUUCCAAGCCUACGUCCACUCUUCUGCACUGACAGCCCACUGGCUGGAUUUCACUAUGAACAAAAGAGAUGUUACAGCACUGCUUUCACUUGAUUCCACAGUGUAGAUAUUCUACCACACUUCCUCAAGGUAUCUCAAAAUAUAGAUUCUCUUUUGUGUACAAGAUUUCGCUCAGUAAGUGAAUUGACUAAGAAUCAAAGAGCUUCAGACUUUGGAAUUCUUCUAUCGUGCACACUUCGAACAACUGGAACGUCUUCCUUUUAUACUCUUUUGUGCCAUCAUACCCGUUGGCACUUACAAAAGGAAUUCUUCCAAUCCUCCCGUUGGACAGAAUCAAUUAAGGAAGAUUAUUCGAGCUAUUAAAGGAACAUGUCGAUAGCCCAUCAAUCCUGCUCGCCCAUACAAUCAGGAUCUUGGUAUCCAUAAGUAGAACCUUCCAAGAAUACUUCGUCAAUCAUCGGAUCUUUAAUCAUUCUUGAUUUGAAUAAAGGAAUCCGUUAUGUCAUAUCCAGCCAAGAGAUCUUCUCCAGUCGAUAAGGCCAAAUCCUUAAUGAAGCAGUUCUGGAUAGCCUUUCUUCAACGGAUUAGAAACUGUCAAUGAGAAUAGACUUUGAGUCUUGAGUCUGGUAGUCCGGAGGUCUUCAGACUUUAAUAGAAGAGUCUGCAAAACUUCAGACUAGACUGAUAGAAACGUUUUGUCAGCUUCAAAAUAUUCCAGAAAGAUUUCUCCAACAAUCUCCCCCUUUUUGAUGGUGACAAAACUUUCCUGCAUAUUUGAAUAACUUUGACCUGCAAAACAUUACUCAAGCAAAUAUGGAUAUCUCAUAAAGAUUAAUAGCUUAAUGAUAACACUAGAAUCUGCAACCACAGAAAAUAAGUUAGUCUUGCAUGAGAGUAAAGCCAUUCAUAAGAUAUCAAUAAUACUUAAUAUAAACAGUAGUCAAAUCCAAAUCCACGUUCAGUCAAUCCUCAUCCAGACACAGACACACAAGUCAAACAUCAAAACAAACUGAAAAUUCAACAAGUUUAAGUUCAAAGAUUUCAAAUCUCACAUCUCUCUCCCCCUUUUUGUCAUCAUAAAAAAAAGGUUGAGAUGGGAAUAGAAUGGAGUCAAGUUUGCUUGGGAAUGCGAACAAGCUGGAAAUCUCCCAUGGACUGGAUGAUGCCUUCCAGCUUUUUCAAUUCUUCCUUCAGUUGAUCCACCUCUUCACCUUUAGCAUUGGCUUGAAUCUGAAGAGUAAGGGCUUGGAUCUAAUCAGACAAUGAAACGGAAGAAGCUUGUCCUGCAAUCUUCAAGUUCUGAACUUUGCUUUCCAAAGCAUAUAUCUAACCCCGCAAUUCCAAAAGAACAUCAAUGAUCCUACGAAAAUCUGCUGAGUUAUCAGUUUGCGUACUGGCUUCGGUACGAUCUGAUGGAGUAAAGGCAGACGAUGGUAUAUCGGCAUAAUCACGCAGAUUUGGCGACAAAGCACCAUGUCCCUCCUCAGGAAAUAGAGAGGCAUGAAUGUCUUCUGAAUCUGCUGGAGAGCGGCUGACUCCUUCACUGGUAACAGGAUAUGAGGACAUUCCUCUGUUCUCACCAUCUCCCCCUGUUUCCAUGGCUUCAGGUGGAGAAACGUUUUCCUCAUGCUCUCCUUCCUCUUGAUUUUCUCUUUCUUCUUCUUCUUCAAACCUUUCCUCCCCUGCUUCUUUUUCUUCAGCUUCUUUCUCCUUUUCUUCCUUCUCCCCUGCUUCUCUCUCCUCUGCUUCUGUUUCUUCUUCUUUCUCCUGUUCUUCUCUCUCCUCUGCUUCUUUCUCCUGUCGUUCCAUUGAUUCAGGAACAUAACGACUCAGCUUCUUUAAUGCUAUAGCAGAAAUUGUGAGGUCAUCCUCAUCAUCUUCAUCAGUAAUGAGAGCUUUUCUCUUCUUGGAUGGAGCAACCAUGGGUUCCUUCCCUUUUCUUUUCGCUGCUGAAGAGACUUGAUGAGAUUUGACAGGGGUUUUCUCCUUAAAUUUCUCCAACGCCUUGUCGAGCUCUUUCAGACACAUUUUGGACACCAUUUUUAGUCCUACCACCAUUUUGUCACAAGGUCGAACACAGAGAAUUUGUGGAGGCUGAAUAUUCAAAUGUCUGAAUAUCUUUGACAUAAGACCUAGAUAAGGAAGUUGGCCCUUGUCCUUCACCACUGCUCUAUACAUGUGAAACAGAAUAGUGUGAGGAAGAGAAAACUUUUUCCCAGCAUUGAUGGCGUACAUCAGCUUUGCCUUUGAGUUAAAAACAUCAGUCUUGGAAGUUGAUUUCGGUCUGAGGCAAUUGAUCACAAUCUUGUGAAGCAAAAUGUUGAACGCAUGCAUCCUUGAGUAGGAAAUCCUUCCCUCAAUCAUUUUGUCUUUAACAAGUUUCAAUGUGGCACGAGCUAUAGAGACACUGAUAGGUUGAUAUCUCCCUCUCUCAACCCCAAUAACAUCUGCCAACAUAUCCACAUCCACUACAAAUUCCUGAUCUCGGACACUGAAAGAGAUUCUAUUUGCAUCCAAGAAACUAAGAUUUGAAUAGAAAUAUGCAGUUAAUUGAGCAUAGGCUUCUGUGGUGUCAGAACAGAACUGUUCAAGUUGAAGAAAACUGAAAUUUUCCCGCAAAUUGACAUUCACAGCAUCAAGGAAAUCAAAAUCUACACUCCUAGGGUUUAUCACCCCACACUUCAACAAUUUGGAGUAUAGAUCCUUCUGUUCCUUCGAUCUAAACAACUCUGUUCUUUUUCCUCGAAUUUUUGCCGCAACACCCAUUUUCGGUUGAAAUUGGCUGUACAAUCUGUCAUCAUCAUUCCCAUCUAUCGGAUUAAAUCCCCCAACACGCGGAUCACUUGGGAUAUUUGCAAGGGUUUUUUCUGCCAACCCUUUAGGAGCAAUUGCCAAACUCUCCAUUUUUCGCAAAAAGAUGUACUCAUUCCCAUAUCCCUUGUCCUUAAGAAACUCAUCGAUGUAGUUCAAUGGAGUACCAAUGCUCUUUAAAGCACGAUAAAGCUUAUAAAUAAAAGAGGGCUUUUGAACUCUUACAGGAUCUGCGUCUUCAACGAUUUCUUCCUCUUGUUGAUGAACAGCAUUUUGUGGACUAGAUGGUGGAGAAUGACGCUACUGAGAAUGUUGUGGGCUCUGCUGCUAACUUGGUGACUCCUCUUCCUCGGUGAGAUCAAAGUGAGUAGGCCCCUUACUCAUUCGCCGUGGUCCCCUGCUUGCAAUUCUCGAAGACUUUCUUGAAGACGACAUCUUUCUCAGUCUUUGAAAGAUUCCUUGCUUGACUUUCCCAAGAAAGAUGACAACUUUUUCAAAGAUUAAACAAGGGAGGAAGACAGGAAUGGAGGAUCAAUGCUUUUUAGGGUUUUGGAGUUAAGUGAAGAGGAACCGACUGUAUAUAGUUCAGUCGAAUAGAGGCAUACCAAACGUCGUAAAGGAAGGUUAAAAGAUGCAUUUUAAAAAAAAAAACUGCAUUUUUCAAAAAUAGAUAACUGCCAUUAACUCUUUUUGAAAAGGAAAAAAUUGCACUUUUCACGGAAAUUGAAGAUAGCAUAAAUCAAUUAUGAAUGGAUAAAUGAUCGUACCUUUACGGGAUUUAAUAUAAAAUAAAAUAACUUACAUUCAAAAACCAUGAUUGUCUGAGACUGCGAGUCUCUAGACUUUAACUUCUUCAAGCUUCAAGAUGUUGAGUCUGGAACGGAUGAUUUCAAAUUGAUUUUUCUCCAAAGGCUUUGUAAAUAUAUUCGCCAGUUGGUUCUUUGAGUCAACAAACUGAAUCGAAACUUCUCCAUUUUGAACAUGAUCUCUAAUGAAGUGAUGUCGAAUCUCUAUAUGCUUUGCUCUUGAGUGAAGAAUUGGAUUUUUGGUAAGAUUGAUUGCACUGGUGUUGUCACAGUUAAUCUCCGUGCAUGAAUCUUCAAUCCCAAAAUCUCUUAAUUGUUGUUUUAUCCACAGAAUUUGUGAACAACAACUUCCAAGAGCUACAUACUCUGCUUCUGCUGUAGAAAGAGCUACUGUAUUUUGCUUCCUUGAAAACCAAGACACUGUCCUACUUCCAAGUAACUGACAAGUACCCGAGGUGCUCUUUCUAUCAACUCUGCAACUGGCUAGAUCUGUGUCUGAAUAUCCAAGGAGAGUAAAGUCUCCCUUUUUAGGAUACCAAAGGCCGAUGCUUGAAGUUGAAGCAAUGUAUUUGAUAAUACGCUUUGCAGCACUUAGAUGAGAUUCUUUAGGGUCUGCUUGAAAUCUGGCACAAAUGCAAACACUAAACAAAAUGUCAAGUCUAGAAGCAGUAAGAUAAAGAAGUGAACCGAUGAUACUCCUGUAUAGCUUCUGGUCAACUUUCUUUCCUCCUUCAUCUUUGUCUAUCUUCAAGGAAGUUGACAUUGGUAUAUCAGUCUUUUUGCAAUUUUCCAGUCCAAACUUUUUGACAAGAUUAUUAGCAUAUUUUUCUUGAUGAAUAAAAGUCCCUUCCUUCAAUUGUUUCACUUGAAGUCCAAGAAAGAAGGUUAGUUCACCCAUCAUGCUCAUUUCAAAUUCAUCCUGCAUAGACUUAGAGAAUUUCUUGCACAAACUUUCAUUAGAGGAUCCAAAAAUGAUAUCAUCAACAUAUAUUUGAACAAGCAUAAAACUUUUGCUUUCUCUUUUGAUAAACAGAGUAGUGUCUACUUUACCUUUUUCAAACCCAUUUUGAAUUAAAAACUUACUCAGCCUAUCGUACCAAGCUCGAGGUGCUUGCUUUAAUCCAUACAAGGCUUUUUUCAGUCUGAAUACUAAGUCUGGCUUCCUUGGGUCUUCAAACCCAGGUGGUUGUUCCACAUAGAUUUCCUCAUGAAUAAAUCCAUUCAGGAAAGCACUUUUGACGUCCAUUUGGAAUAACCUGGAAUUCUUAUAACAAGCAAAAGCAAGUAAUAAUCGAAUUGCUUCUAACCUUGCUACUGGUGCGUAAGUCUCGUCAUAGUCUAUCCCUUCUUCUUGCGUAUAUCCCUUGGCCACGAGUCUUGCUUUGUUUCUUAUGACUUUUCCUUUUUCGUUCAUCUUGUUUCUGAAAACCCAUUUAGCUCCAAUAAUAGAUUUACCUUUUGGUUUAGGAGUCAACUCCCAGACAUUAUUAAUACUGAAUUGUCUGAGUUCUUCUUGCAUAGCUUCAAUCUAGCUUUCAUCAGAUAAAGCUUCUUCUAUGCUUUUUGGUUCUAUUUCAGAAAUAAGAGCUACAGCACUAGACUCUUCGCGCCUUUUGGAUCUUGUGCGAAUUCCUUCAUUAAUGUUGCCAAUAAUGAGGUCUUUGGGAUGACUGGACUUAUGCUUCCAGUUACUGGUUGAUUUGUCAGGUUGAUGAUCACUUCCUUCAUUUGAAUCUUCAAUAACCAUUUGUUGCUGGUCUUUCAGAGUCUGAGUUGCUUCUUGAGAUUUAGACUUUGUAGAGUCUGGAGCAGGUUCAGAUUCUUCAAGAUAAGUCUGAGCAGAUUCAUUUUGCAUAGAAUCCUGGAAUUUGACAUUCAUUGAUUCCUCCACAGAUUGACUCUUCUUGUUAUAGACUCUGUAGGCUUUGCUUGAGGUAGAAUAUGCAAGGAAGAUUCCUUCGUCUGAUUUUUCUUCAAACUUUCCAACUCUAUCAUUUGCAUUUUUCAAUAUAAAGCAUUUGUAUCCGAACACAUGAAAAUAUGAAACAAUAGGCUUCUUUCCUUUGAAUAACUCAUAGGGUUUUUUUUUUUUUUUCCAGAAUAGGCCUUAGAAAAACUUUAUUGAGAAUGUAACAUGCUGUUGAAACUGCUUCAGCCCAAAAUCGUGAAGAGAUGUUACUUUCAAUUAAAAGAGUUCUAGCCAUUUCUUGAAGCGAUCUAUUCUUUCUUUCCACAACUCCAUUUUGCUCUGGAGUAUAUAGAGAGGAGAACACAUGCUGAAAACUAGAUUCAUCAUAGAAUUUUGUAAAAUCUUGAUUUUCAAAUUCACCUCCAUGAUCUGUUCUUAUACACGAGAUAACAUACCCUUUUUCAUUUUGAACCUUUUUAGCAAACUUUUCAAAGUAAGAGAAAGUUUCAGACUUACUUGCCAGGAAAUAUACCCAAGUAAAUCGUGAGUAAUCAUCCACAAUUACUAGGAAAUAUUUCUUACCUCCAAUGCUCUGAGUUCUGGUUGGUCCGAAAAGGUCCAUAUGCAGAAGCUGUAGUACACGAUUAGUGGAAACUUGAUUUAUUGGUUUAAAGGAAUUUCUUACCUGUUUUCCCAAUACGCACGGCGUACAUAGAUCAAACUUUUGGUAUGACAAUUUGGGUAGACCACGAACAAGCUUCUUUGCUGAAAUUUUGGCUAUCUGCUUCAUAUUGAUGUGCCCAAGCUUUCUGUGCCAUAAGCUCGCUUCAUCUUGAAUUGAGAUUAGACAUUGCGAUUCAUUUGGUUUCACAUCCAAGAGGUAGAUGUUUCCAUGUCUUCGGCCCAUGAAUGACUGAGUAGAAUCUUUACUGGUUCCUGAACAUAUUCCCUCUUGAAAGUUGAUUUUGAAACCAGUAUCACACAGCUGACUAAUACUGAGUAGAUUGUAGUUGAGUCCUUCCACUAGGGAGACAUUGCUUAUAGUGAGGUUUCCAAUCUUUACAGUUCCAAAUCCCACAAUUUUUCCUUUGCUGUUUUCUCCAAAUGAGACUUUUCCACCAUUUACUUGAACGAGCUUUAUGAAGCAAUUUGAGUCUCCUGUCAUAUGUCUUGAGCAUCCACUAUCUAGAUACCAUUUUACCUUUUUCUUGAUAGUGACCUGCAUUUAAAAGAGAGACUCAAGCUUUCUUUGGUACUCAUAUUUUCUUGGGUCCAUUGGUGUUAGUAUAAUAUGCGGUUUUUGCCUAUACUUUCUUAACAGGUUUCCAAACCGUAGGACACUCUUUUUCAAAAUGAUCUGCACUAUUGCACUUUGAAUAUCUGAGAACAUUUCAACCCACUGGUUUUACAAACACUUUUUGAAAAUGAUUUUUGUAAAAUGUCUUUGAAGGUCUCUGAUUAAUUCUUUCCUUCACUUUAGGAAAAUCAAUUAAAGGAAUGGUUUCUGCUGUCAUUCCUAAACCAGAUUUAUUGAAAUAAGGUCUUUAUGCUGAAAGAAUUUUUUCAAGUUUCUCAGAUCCUAUUGAAAAUAUUUUUGAAAUAUUUGAUAAGUCAUUUUUUAAAAAUGCAUUUUCUUUCAAGAGAUUAUCUUCACUUUCUUUAAGAGUAGAAACAUUCGUGUCUAAAUGUUUCAACUUUUCUUUCAAAACAUUUUCCUAUUGUUUUAGUGUAGAGUUUUCCUUUUUAAGUUCGGAAAUCCUUUUAAGAGAAGUCUUAAGACUAAAACACAGCUCAUCAAUGUAUUUGGAAACUUUAACAGGGAUUUUAAAAUUACUUACCUCAAAUUCACUGUCUGAAUCUGAGUUUGUCUCGGAGUUUGAUGCAGAAUCCGAUUGUGCCAUCAGACAUAUAUUGGCAUAAUCAUCAUCACUUUCUUCACACUCUGUAUCACUCCAGGUUUCUGCUUUAAGAGCCUUUCAAUACUUUUUAGCUUUUCCUUUCUUCUUUUUCAGAAGAGGACAGUUGGGUCUGAUGUGUCCCUUUUUCUUACAUUCAAAGCAGACUACAUCUUUGUUUGAUUCAUCAUCAUCAACAGACUUGGUCUGUUGCUUUUGAAAACUCUGUUUCUUUGGAUUGAAUCUUCUUCCUUUUCUGUUCAACUUUCUGAAUCUUCUUAUCAUGAGAGCAAGCUCCUCAUCAUCCAUAUCGUCUUCAGAAUCUGUGACAUCAGAAUCAUCAUUGAAUUUUAAUGCAAUGGAUUUCUUACCUUUAGGAUCUUCGUCUUCAUUGAUUCGUUCCACUUCAUAAGACUGAAGAGUUCCAACCAACUCAUCGACAGAUAGUGGCAUGAUUCUUUGUGUCUCUCUUAUUGAGGUCUUUAUGUGAUUCCAAUCCUUGGAGAGUCCACGCAGUAACUUGUUUACCUUCAUGGGAUUAGAAAUUGGUUGAUCUUGAUUUUGAAGACCAUUCACGAUUUUUGUAAAACAACUAAACAUGUCAGUUAUAGAUUCUCCUGAUUUCAUUUUGAAUGCUUCAUAUUGACCGAGGAGAAUGUUGAUUCUAGUCUCUUUCACUCGAUCAGUUCCUUCAUAGGUGAUAUGUAAUCUAUCCCAGACUUCUUUUGCUGUAACACAAGAAGAUAUUAUGUUAUAUUCAGUAGGUGAUAAAGCACAAUAUAAAGAAUAAAUUGCUUUUGCAUCAAGAGCCUGUCUCUUGAUUAUCUCUUCCUGAGUCAUUUCACUUGACUUAACAGUUUCUUUUCCUUUCUCUGUGACAGAUGCAGCUUUAGGAGUGAUUCCUUUUUCUAUAACGUCCCAUUCCAGAGGAUCCUUUGAUCGUAGAAACGCUUUCAUCUUGUUUUUCCAGAUGUUGUAAUCCUUUCCAUCAAAGUAAGGUGGUCUGGUAUUGCUCUGCCCUUCCACCAGCCCUGGAGCUAGCAUACUAGCCAUGGAUCUUUAACUCUGAAGGAAAACACUUCAAACAAAGUGAGUACACAGGCUCUGAUACCAAUUGAUAUAGCUAGUAUAAGCACCUAGAGGGGGGUGAAUAGGUGUAAAAAUAAUUUCUCGAGAUAUGAAAACAAUACUAGACAAAUCAAAAAGGAAGCUCUCCUUUAGUUAACAAAUCGAACUAUGAUUAAAGUAAAGCAGAGAGUAGGGAAGAGAAAAUUGAACACAAAGUUUAUAGUGGUUCGGCUUAUUCCAAGCCUACGUCCACUCUUCUGCACUGACAGCCCACUGGCUGGAUUUCACUAUGAACAAAAGAGAUGUUACAGCACUGCUUUCACUUGAUUCCACAGUGUAGAUAUUCUACCACACUUCCUCAAUGUAUCUCAAAAUAUAGAUUCUCUUUUGUGUACAAGAUUUCGCUCAGUAAGUGAAUUGACUAAGAAUCAAAGAGCUUCAGACUUUGGAAUUCUUCUAUCGUGCACACUUCGAACAACUGGAACGUCUUCCUUAAUGAAGCAGUUCUGGAUAGCCUUUCUUCAACGGAUUAGAAACUGUCAAUGAGAAUAGACUUUGAGUCUUGAGUCUGGUAGUCCGGAGGUCUUCAGACUUUAAUAGAAGAGUCUGCAAAACUUCAGACUAGACUGAUAGAAACGUUUUGUCAGCUUCAAAAUAUUCCAGAAAGAUUUCUCCAACAAUCAGUAUGUCUCCUUUUACUUUGUAAAAUGCCAGCUCUAAAUCCUAAUUUCUCACACCCACCCAAAUUAGCCAAAACCAACUAAAAACUAAACCAUUUAAACCCUAAGUAGUAUACUAAAAUGAAUUUUGCAAGGAGGGGUAAUUUGCUCUUUUCAAGGUGGAGUUUUGCUUAGAGGUUAUAUGAAUGGUUUGCAAAGAUUGUUUAUACGUUGGGUCAAAAGUGAGGUAUGUAUUUAGACAUAUUUUUGUAAUUCUUUUUAAUAAUAAAGGCGCAACAACACAAGCCUCAAGCUCUUGCCUAGACCUAGCCCACCCGUUGACCAGACUUGUCCAAGCUCACUAAAUAGGCUUAAAAAAUUUAGCCAACCUCACUUAUGAAUGAGGUCUAUUAGCACAACCACUGGGGUUUGCCCUAGUGGCCACCCUUCCAACAUGAAAGGGGGAGGUGGGGGAUUUGAAUCUUCACUUGUGGGGACGAAUUAGUUUCAAGUGUGGGUUGUGACUCCCACGUUCUGCAAGGAGGCAGUGCAAAAAUUUGAGAGUGAGAAUUAAAAUAGAAGUAGAAUAUGACCGACAAAAAAAAAAAAACGUCUACUAGCGCGAUAUAGGGAAAAGUUACUAAAUCUGACCAAUCAUAUCUAUCAAAUCAAUGAGGAAAAAAUAUUUUCUAUUAUCAUUUGCCAACAUAUAUUAUAGAGAAAAAAUCAUUGUCUUUCAAAACGUACUUAUAUAAGAAAUUACAAAAGAAAAAUGAUAGUCAUGCGAUAUUCCCAUCAAAUUUGCGCAAAAAUUACGAACUUUGAUGAAUAUUGCAUCAAUCUUUCGAAACACAAUUUCUUUCUCUAACACCUCUUACAAGACCCCAUAAACUGCAAAAUUCAGAGAAAUUGGAUCUAUUUAUAUUUAGUGCUGGCUUUUAUUGGCUCUUUGUUGGGACCCGGUUUAAUAACUUUUUUCGGUCUUUUGGGUUCCACCCGAUCGUUGGGAGUACAAGCCGGGAGCGUGGGAACGUGGAAAUCGUCCCUGUUGACAGGGGAACAUGGAAAUCGGACUAAUUCGUCUUUGCUAACCCCGGUAUAUGGGAGAGCAGCUACAAAACUUGGUUCUUGAUCAAUUUCUUGACCCAGACCCCGAGGCCUAGAAAGGACAAUAUUAUGGCUUGGGAGAGGGAUGGCUCCCAAGGGGGGGAGAAUGUGACGACUGACCCUAAUCUGGGGCAGUACGGAGGGACGGACUAAGAUCGCCUCGGUAGUACGCGGGCGAGGCUAAGGGCAUGUCUCCCGUCCCGCUUAGGGGGAGUCCUGGAGGACAAUAUUAUGACUUGGGAGAGGGAUGGUGGUUUGUCCGCACCUCUACCCCUGCAUAACUCGUUUUAAAGCCGUAAGGGCCGAAGGUCCAAAGCGGACAAUAUUACAUAGUGGGGCCCAGGUCCUUUGAGUAAAAUUUCCUUAUUUUAAAAAUGUAUACUCUUCCUCUUGCAUAAUAAUAAUGAAAGAUUAUAGUCAAGGGUCUAAGGUGACGGCCUAGGACGUCACAAAAGCUAAUAUCUGAAACUUGGUCGUGGAUUUCUAUAUUAUUGUUUUAAAUUCUAAAAUCCAAUUUAAUUUUAAGCUCAAAUUCGAGGCAUAUUUUAACAAGGGUUACUCAUUUAAAGCAUAAAAAAAUACAUAUAAAUUCGAACAGACAUCACGAGCUGUCGACAUAUAAAAGGAGUGUUAGAUUUUGAAGAGCCAAAAAUCAACAUUUCAAAAAAGUGGUGAGUUCUUAGUCCCGUGUCUUCGUCAACGAGCAUUGGACUUUCAUUGGAGCAUCGUACUUGUUUUUUCCACGAAAAACGUAUGUACCCCUAUUCCUUCCGAGCAGGUCUCACCUGAGAGGAUGUGCACGUGUGGCGAUUCCAACCGAGCCUUGAACGAGGAGAGGAGGAACAUGUGAUUCAUAACCAUUGCCGAGUCUUUGUCGGGUCUUUUCGGUUUGUAUCUUAGGUUGGUUUUAAACCACCGAGGGGACAAAAACCUUUGGUGUUUUUUUUUUUUUUGGUCAGAAAAAACCUUUGGUUGAUUUAUUUAUAUUUAGUGCCGGUCUUUAUGGGGUCUUUUUGGGUCCCUCUCCCCAGAUUCUUCCUCUGGUAGGGCAAGCCAGGAACGGUCACCCUCAUUUCUCCUGGAAAAAAGAAGCCAAUUGGAUCACCCCUGUUGACGAAGGAACGUGGAAAUUGGACUAACAGUCACCCUCAUUUCUCCUGGAAAAAAGAAGUCAAUUGGAUCACCCCGUUGAUGACAUCUUCAUCUAAUAGUUUAGAGAAAAUCAUUCAAAAAGUCUUACAUCUAUCGUACUUUUGUUAAUUCAAUCAUAGAUAUUUUUACCUUUUGUCAAUUGAGUCUUAUCCGGCUAAGUUUGAUAGAAAAUCGCUAACAUGAAUGCCGGAUGUCUUAUGAGUCACAUGAACAUUUUAAAUAAUAUUUAAUAAUUUUUUAUUUUAUUGUUAUUAUUAUUUAAUCCUUCCCUUCCUUUUCUUUUCUUUUCUUUGGACUCAAGUCGGCAAGGGUAUCGCAGCCUUGCCCCAAAAGGGGAGAGGGCGUCAUGGCCUUCGCUUGGGGCCAAGGCCAACAAGGGUCACCAUGCCCUUGCCCACUGGCUGGCCUAGAUUUGGCAUGGGCAAUGUGGCCAUUGCCGAACUCUUAACCCUUGCCCACUGGCUGGCAAGGGCCAUACACCCUCUCUAGCCCGAAUCCAAAAAAGGGUAAAGAAAAUAUAAAAAGAAAACAUUAUUAGAAAUUUAAUAAGAUGUUAAAAUUUCAUAAAAAAAAUUGUCUACAUUAAUGUCAGCCAUGCCAUGUAAGACGUUUGGCAUCUACAUCAUCCAUUUCUGGCCAAAAUUGCCCAGAUGGGUUCAAUCGACAAAAAAUGAAAACAUUUAUAACUCAAUUGGCACAAUUAGAAGGUUUUAAAUUGAAUUGGCAAAAUCGCAAUAUGUUUAGGAUAUUUUGGAUAAUUUUGUUCACAAAAAUUCAUAAUUAAUGACCUAUUUUCAUUUAAUAUAAUUAAGUAAAAAGAAAACAAUGUGUAAUGCCAAGCAAUAGUAUCAAGUAGGGGUGUGCAACCAAACUAGUUCUACCUGGGAAUCGGAUCAGACCGCCUGAAAAAUAGGUCCACGAAUCAAUUCAAGAAUAGGUUCUAAAUUUUUGGAAUUGGUUGUAAUAGGUCUAGUAAUAGGUUCCGAGUGAAUACCCACUCAGGAAUUAGAUCAGACCGUUCUAUUUUAGAACCGAUUUUAUAAGCUAAAAAGCCAAAAUCCUAAUUUCUUUUUCCCAUAAAUUCUAACCUUAGCACUUUUUCAUCAUUUGUCCUUCCUCAAAGCUCCUCACCAAUCUUUCCUCUUCCCUAAUUAAUGACCUAUUUUCAUUUGAUAUAAUUAAGUAAAAAGAAAACAAUGUGUAAUGCGAAACAAUAGUAUCAAGUAGGGGGUGUGCAACCAAACCAGUUCUACCCAGGAACCCGAUCAGACCGCUUGAAAAAUAGGUCCACGAACCAGUUCAGGAACAGGUUUCAAAUUUUUGGAACUGGUUGUAAUAGGUUUAGUAAUAGGUUUCAAGUGAAUACCCACUCGGGAACUAGAUCAGACCGUCCUAUUUUGGAAUCGAUUUUAUAAGCUAAAAAGCCAAAAUCCUAAUUUCUUUUUCCCAUAAAUUCUAACCUUAGCACUUUUUCGUCCUUUGUCCUUCCUCAAAGCUCCUCACCAAUCUUUCCUCUUUCGUAAAGUUUUAUGGAUGAUUGGAGAAUGGAAUUUUAUAAUUUACGUUAUAUGUUACAUGUUUGAACUUUUUGUCAUUAUAAUUGUACGGGAUUACGUAUUCAUAUUAUGGAUUGUUGUUUAAGGUGGAUAGUGAUUUAUGUUGUUCAUCUUUUACAUUGAAUCGUUUCGUUACUUAUAACCUCAUAUGAUUUUGCUGCAAAAAAUGAACCCAAAAAAGGCAAAAAAAAAAAAAAAAAAAAUAGGUUCUUGAGUAGACUUUGGAACUGGACUGGAAAAAUAAGAUAGGUUCUAGAACCGAUUUCAAGCAAACAUGGUAGCUUACAGGGUCCAAAAACUUGGAACUGGUUAUAACAAAAUACGUUGAGGUUACCUUGAAACUACCCACCUUGGAACCAACCACCCUUAGUAUCAAGUAAUGCAUGCGGAUGACUCAGCAACGGUAUUUGUCCACUAGACCUACUCGUUGGCGCCCAAGGGAAAGACACUAGCUGGCCAAGCUCGCCUAGUGGAGAAACCUUCCUUCUUUUAUUUUUAAAAUUUCUAGCUAGGGAAAAAAAUUAAAAAAAAAAAUAAUCAUAGGGUUUUGUGUUAUAUUAUUUUAUCUGUGAGUUUACUACUAUUUUUCUCUCCUACAUCGGAAUUUUCGGCUUAAUUUGUGCUACUAGUGUUUAUAAAAUCUAUAUAUCAUAGUAAAAUCACUAAUAAAAGGAAAAACACCAAAACAUAUAUUAGCGUUCAUGAACGACCAUUCAUAUAUCUUUACUUUUGGAAAAAGACAAAAGCAUUCUAAGUGUUACUUUUGAAAACCACCCUUCACAUCAAUUAUCAAUGUCUCCUUUUACUUUGUAAAAUGCCCGCUCUAAAUCCUAAUUUCUCACACCCACCCAAAUUAGCCAAGACCAACUAAAAACUAAACCAUUUAAACCCUCAGCAGUAUACUAAAAUGAAUUUUGCAUGGAGGGGUAAUUUGCUCUUUUCAAGGUGGAGUUUUGCUUAGAGGUUAUAUGAAUGGUUUGCAAAGAUUGUUUAUACGUUGGGUCAAAAGUGAGGUAUGUAUUAAGACAUAUUUUUGUAAAUUUUUUUUUAAUAAUAAGGGCGCAACAGGACUAGCCUCAAGCCCUUGCCCAGACCUAGCCCACCCGUUGACCAGACUUGUCCAAGCUCGCUAAAUAGGCUUAAAAAAUUUAGCCAACCCCACGCGUGAAUCGGGUCUACUAGCGGGAUAUAGGCAAAAGUUACUAAAUCUGACCAAUCAUAUCUAUCAAAUCAUUAAGGAAAAAAAAUAUUUUCUAUUAUCAUUUGCCAACAUAUAUUAUAGAGAACAUAUCAUUGUCUUUCAAGAUGUACUUAUAUAAGAAAGCACAAAAGAAAAAUGAUACUCGUGAUAUUCCCGUUGAAUUUGCGCAAAAAUUAUGAACUUUGAUGAAUGUUGCGUCGAUCUUUUGAAACGCAAUUUCUUUCUCUAACACCUCUUACAAGACCCCAUAAACUGGGUUGCUUGCUCAAAGCAUAGAAAAACACAUUAGAAGAAAUUCGAAAAGAUAUCCAGAGCUGUUCACAUAUAAAAGGAGUGUUAGAUUUUGAAGAGCGAAAAAUCAACAUUUCUGACCUUCAAAAACGUGGUGAGUUCUUAGUCCCGUGUCAUCGUCAACAAACACUGGAGUUUCAUUAGAGCAUCCUAUAUAUAUAUUUUCUACCAAGAACAUAUAUACCCUUAUUCCUUCGAAACAAAUCUCAUCAGGUAUGAUGGUCCUCCGCUCCCACACGGAAAAAUUGCUAUGCUUCUGGAUGACCCCAAAAGAAUGUGUAGGUAUGGCGAUUCGCACUCGGGCCUUGAACGAGGACGAGGAACAUGCUUAGGAUGACUCAUAACCAUUGCCAAGUCUUUGUCGGAUAUUUUGGGUUUGACCCUUAGUUGAUUUGUAUCCAUUGUGGGGACCAAACCUUCGGAUGAUCUAUUUAUAUUUAGUGCUGGCCUCUAUUGUCUCUUUGUCGGACCCCGUUUAACAACUUUUUUCGGUCUUUUGGGUUCCACCCGAUCGUUGGGAGUACAAGCCAGGAACGUGGGAACGUGGAAAUCGUCCCUGUUGACAAGGGAACGCGGAAAUCGGACUAAUUCGUCUUUGCUAACCACGGCAUCUGGGAGAGCAGCUACAAAACUUGGUUCUUGAUCAAUUUCUUUACCUCGACCUCCAGAAGUUGCUUAUUAUCGUACUCCUCUUGAGUUGAAAGAGUCCAUGGCCGUCUUUGAAUUACUUUUGCUGUACUUGCAUUCUUUCCAAGUUCAAGCAAAAAAGAUUGUCGAUGCACCAAGAAAUAUUUCCUUCGCUUUCUGGAUUUCAUGCCUGAUCCUCUUCAUCCCAGGCACUCCUGUCGGUGCACAGACAUAUCUUCAAGAAAAGUGCGCAGAUAGGGGCGAGAAUGCUGCUAAAAACUAUGCUCCUUAUAGCAAGUUUCAAGACAACCUCAACAGCCUCCUCUCCAAGGGCAACUACGCUGAUUACAACAAAGGACCCAUUCACGGCUUUCACAACACAACAGAAGGCGAAGAUCCGGACAAAGUUUAUGGUCUCUUCCUCUGCAGGUAAAUCACAUGCGAAAGAUGCCAAAAAAUUCUACUUUUGAGUAAUAUCUACCAAAUCAAUCAUUAUAAUCUUUGGAAUCGACUCACCUAGAACUAGGGUUUAUAAUGGACCUGAUAUAUUGGUCUCAAUUGAAACCUCUACAAAAUACGGUGAUCCAAUGCCAACUGAAAAAUUACUAUCCAGAUUUAAGUGACUACUCUUGCAACUUUACUAUUUCUCUUUAGAGGGGAUGUUGCUGCCAAUCUCUGUCAGUCUUGCAUCCGUUCAGCUAGCAGCACGAUCAUAGAAAGAUGUCCAGGACAGAAAGAGGCAAUCAUAUGGUACGACGAGUGUUUCUUGCGCUACUCCAACAGAUCAUUCUUCUCUAUCAUGGAGACAACGCCGUUUCUUUUCAUUGUCAACCCUGCGAACGAUUCGGUUACCUUCAACAGGACUAUGGAGCAAACUUUUGAUAAUGAGAAGGACUUUGUGGCAGAAGUGACGGAUUUGUCGAGGAAUGUGACGGACUUGGUGAUCUUGUCAGAAAGCUUAUACGCAACCUUAAACGUUAGUGUCUCAAGUUCAGUGACCCUUUACGGGCUUGCACAGUGCACCCCCGAUAUAUCAAAAUCAGCUUGUAAGAGUUGCUUGCUUUCUGCUAUUGAAAAGUUUCCAACCAUUCUUAAUUAUCGAAGGGGAGGUGCCAGAGUUCUUCAGCCAAGUUGUAAUGUACGGUACGAACUGUAUCAUUUUUAUGGGAAGACUAGAGGGAAAACCAGCACCGAUUCCAGCAUUAAAGGUAUGAGUUAUAUAAUGUUCCAAAUGUGCACUCAGUUUGUCAUGGUAAGCGUAUAAUGGUAUCAUUCCAUUGCUUCUAAUUCUCAAUAUGAGCUGUUUUAUGUAUCAUAUUGCACUUGACUUGCUUUUACGAUCUAAACUCUGAUCAUAUUCUCUUGAUUUCAAUGAGUUCUUGGUAAUAUUUACACUUAGAAAGGAAAAAAAAAGUCUGCAGAUUUGUGGUAUGUUUAGAUCCAAGGAAUUUCUCUUUCUUGACAGGGGUAAAACAAAAUCCAUGGAUUGCAAUAGUUAGCUCAGUAAUUGGAUCAGGGUUACUAAUAGUUAUCGUGGGUUCGUGUAUUUUUUUGAAGAGGACAAAGAGAUUGAAGAAAGGUAUAAGUGAAUUCAUCUUGCUUGCCAUUGUAAUGGCCAUCUUCUAACCUUUACCUGACAAGAGUAAACUCUCGGACUCUCAGAGAAGGAAAACAACCAAAAGGUUCUGUUACUUCAUCUGAGACAAGAAAUUGGAGAAGAGCUUUCAAAGGAAAACUCUCGUGGAGAAAAGCCAGUGGCUUCUAAAAAAUUCUCUCUGAUGCGAUUAGACGUCAUACGCGCAGCCACAGGAAACUUCUCCAAUGAAUGUAAACUUGGGGAAGGUGGGUUUGGCCCUGUGUACAAGGUAAGCAAUUUAGUGACUCAAUGCCAACUUAUGUGGAGACUAGGAAAAUCUUCUAAUGGUAGCAAUCUGGCGGAGUCAUUAUCCAUAGCAUGAACUGAAUCGAAUUUUGGUUAUCAUCAGUAAUUCUCAGAUGGGGAUCUCACCACUUACUACCCUGUUUCAGGCCACAUUGGCAGAUGGAAAAGAAAUUGCAGUUAAGAGGCUUUCAAGAACCUCAGACCAAGGACUCAUCGAGUUGAAGAACGAAGUCAUCUUGAUUGCCAGACUACAACACAGGAACCUCGUCCAAUUAUUGGGAUGCUGUUUGGAAGAACAUGAAAAACUCUUGAUAUAUGAAUACAUGCCCAACAAAAGCCUGGAUGCCUUCCUUUUUGGUUUGAGCUUUAGCAGAUGCAAUGAAUUUUUGAGCUAGUUAAUCCUAGUUUUAUAGAGUUGAGUUUCAUCCGAGUCUCUCAUCUUUGACAGAUUCGAAUAUAGGGCGAUAUCUAGAUUGGAAGCUGCGCAUGAACAUCACCUGUGGAAUAGCUCGGGGACUUCUCUAUCUGCAUGAGGAUUCUCGCCUGAGAAUUAUCCACAGGGAUCUGAAGGCUAGCAAUAUUUUGCUUGAUGGCGAGAUGAAUCCAAAGAUAUCCGAUUUCGGAAUGGCAAGGAUCUUCAGUGUAAAUCAAGACAAGGCAAACACAAACAGGGUCGUUGGAACCUAGUAAGUGCCUCAAUAUCUUUCUACGUCCUUUACAUGUUUUGACUGAUUCAGUAGGCCAACAAAGGACUCUGAUUAUCUGCUCAACAACACCAGAUAGAGCACAUUCAUAUUUCAGAAGUUCCAUACAGAAGUUUUACUUUUCUCUGUUUCUUACUUCCAACUAAUUGUUCUUCAUUAUAUAAUUCUGGUCAGUGGAUACAUGGCACCGGAGUAUGCAAUGCAAGGACUCUUUUCUGUAAAAUCAGACGUCUUCAGUUUUGGAGUUCUCUUGCUAGAGAUAGUAAGCGGGCGCAAGAAUAAUGGUUUUCAUCGCCAAGUAAAGGGUGAAAGCCUUCUCACAUUUGUAUGUUCCUAAUCACCAUCCCAGUUUAAUAUGAAAUCAAAGAUUUUCGUGCAGCUAUGCUUGUUAAAUUUCCUUGCUAAAUAACAGGCAUGGAAGUUGUGGUCCGAAGGUCGAGCGUUGGAACUUAUCGAUCCGUUAAUCGAUGAGUCAUGUGAUGAAGUUGAAGUGCUGAAAUGCAUACACAUCGGUCUAUUGUGUGUCCAAGAAGACCCGGCGGAUCGACUGACUAUGUCACUCGUGGUUCAUAUUUUAGCUGGCGAUACUAUCACACUCAGCCCCCCAUCGCAGCCUGCAUUCUCCGUUGGGAGAGAUGCGGAAAAACUUGAUCGUCCCUCAACUGUUAAUGAAGUAACCCUUUCGGUUGUUGCGGCUAGGUGAUCAAGUUUUAUACAAUGGAAAUGCUGUUAGAGAUAAUUAUGGUAUAUUUUGUCUUUUAGGACUGUGUAUGUAUCUCCAUUGUAAUAUAUUUAUAUCAUCCUACUUUCUAUAUUCAUCACGUAAAGCUGGCCUAUGUUCUCUUCUGUAUAUAUACGAAAUAUAUAGAAACUAAAGAAUUCUUUCACAUAUUUCUUAUCUUAGUGCUAGAGGUAGAUGAUCUUGAGCAAAUUUUGAGUGCUCGAGUGGGACACAUCCGAGUGCACUCCGGAGCACACCUUCACAUAUCGCGUAAUGUGAUUCAUUUUUGUUAUAAUUACCGAUAUCCCUUUCUGAACAUCAAUUCUUAACAUUUUCAUCACGUACGAAUAAACGUCAGCCUAUUGCUGCGUAAUCUACACACGUUGGUCGGUUCACUCUUCAGCACAUGAAAUCACCUCUUUGGAUCUUUUCUCCCAACUCCAUUUGACUUCCUCUUCGUCACAUUGAGUUUGAGAGUUUGUUUAAGAUAAUUAAGAUUUUUAACUUGAUCCUCCAUUUUUUAGGGUUGUGAAUAUAUAUUUCACUUGCUUGCGCGUAUUGGUAAUUUCCUAUGCAAUGCAAGGACUCUUUUCUGUAAAAUCAGACGUCUCCAGUUUUGGAUUUCUCUUGCUAGAGAUAGUAAGCGGGUACAAGAAUAAUGGUUUUCAUCUCGAACAGGGUGAAAGCCUUCUCACAUUUGUAUAUUCCUAAUCACCAUGCCAGUUUAAUAUGAAAUUGAAGAUUUUCAUGCAGCUAUCCUUGUUAAAUUUCCUUGCUAAAUAACAGGCAUGGAAGUUGUGGUGUGGAGGUCGAGAAUUGGAACUUAUCAAUCCAUUAAUCAAUGAAUCAUGUGAUGAAGUUGAAGUACUAAAAUACAUACACGUCGGUCUAUUGUGCGUUCAAGAAAACCCGAUGGAUCGACCAACUAUGUCUCUCGUGGUUCAUAUUUUAGGAGGCGAUACUAUCACACUCAGCCAACCAUCACAACCUGCAUUCUCAGUGUGGAGAGAUGUGAGUAAACUUGAUCGUGUCGUGCCUAGUGACACGACCCACGGACAAAGCAUGAUCCAAGAUCGUCCGUGACGGGCCGUGUCACGUACAAGGGGCUACCCGAGAGCAGCCCACGGUCGACCCAUGAGCAGAACGAGCGAGAAGGCCCAUGCGCAAUCCAUGAGCGGCCCAUGAGCGAUGUUCGAGCAGCCCGUGACGGUUCGGCUGGUCGCGUGUCAGACGGACCUGCAACCCUGAUCUUGCUUCUGACACACGCCCAUGGUCUGCCCAAGGCCUGACGAGCGCGACCCAUGGACUUCUCAAGGGCCUGCCGUGUACAGACCAUUGAGUAGCCUUCGAGUAGCCUGUUGUAUAGCUUUGUAAUGAUGAUACGGAUUUGAAAUGGACCGUUGGAUCGGAGGGACGAUCAACGGCUGAGAUUCGACCCGCUCUUGUAUAAAUAGGGAUCCAUCUCCCACUUUGUAAACAGUUCGUUCACAAGCAAUAUACACUCUUUUUGCCCAUUCAGUUCUUGUGUUCGAGCGUGUGUGUGUGUAAGGUUGACUUGGGAUCACUGAUCCUAAGGCCACGCGGUGUUUGAUCGACCGAAAUUGAUCGACCCGUGACAAGUGGUAUCAGAGCCAACAUUCCAAACGUAAUGGCUGAUCCUCGCGCUGAUGCUCCGGUCGUUCAAGGCGAUGAGAGUGAAGAUCGUGGGCGUCAAGCCGAGAGGAAUACCCGGUCGAAGAAGGCCCGUGCUGCCUCGUGUGCGAGGGAUCCGAAGGGAGAUCUGGACAACCGUCUGACGGACAUAGAGGAGACCGUCACGAACGUCUAGGCGUUGAUGGACGACCUGCACCAGGCCGUUGAAGGAGCGGAAGCCGGUAGGGAGGAGUUCUUGGCCGAAGUGCAAGAGCUCCAAGCCGGCAUGGGAGAGCUCCGUGUCGAGGUGCAAGGAUCCUUCAUGCACGAGCUGCAGCAGCGGGAUGAGACUUGGGAAGCCGUGAUGGCGGCCAUGCGGGCGGAAAUGACGGAGAUGAAGGGCAAGCUCGUGGAGCUUGAAGCGGCACGCGUGAACGGGUGAUCACCGUGCAGUCCCGUGCCGAUGCACCCAAACCAAAGGAGUUCAAGGGCUCCCGGGUGGCAAAGGACGUGGACAACUUCCUAUGGUACAUGGAACGAUACUUCUAGACCAUGGGAACAAUCGACGAUGUGAUCCAAGUGAACACCGCAGCCAUGUAUUUAGCUGAUGAUGCGCUGCUAUGGUGGAGACGUUGGUCGGAUGGUAGGAAUGGCGAUCCUAUUGUGACCUGGGCUCGGUUGGUCGAGGAAUUUCGGCGAACCUACUAUCCCGCUUAUGCGGAGGAGGAAGCUCGAGGGGAACUCAAGCGCCUAGAGCAGAAGGACGGAGUUCGUGACCAUGUGAAGCGGUUCUCGGAGCUGCUGCUCCAAAUCCCGUCCAUGACCGAGACGGAGGCGUUCCACCAGUUCAUGGGCGGACUCAAACCUUGGGUCAAACAGGAGCUCAAACGGUGCAAUGCAACAGACCUCACCACAGCCACUUUCGUGGCCGAGUCUCUUGUUGAAUAUAGGCCGCCAACCGCCGCCAAGCCCGACUUUCGAUCGAGAGAAAAGGCCACUGGUGGGGGAGAUCGAGGCCGGUUCCCUCGACCAAAUGCUGGCAGGCCGUCUCUGACCUCUCAUAGGAAUCAACCCGAGUCGAGCCAUGGAGGAUACCAACGCAAGGUACGCACAUACAAGUGCUUCUUUUGUGACGGUCCCCAUAUGGCUUGGGAUUGCCUGAAGAGAGGAAAGUUGGCGGCCCUGUGCAAGGAGGACAAGCCGCGAGAGGAGGCGCGGUUGGGAUCAUUGCGGAUCCUUGGAACGAUCAAGGCCAAGAAGGCCAAAGAACCAAAAGGAAUGAUGUUCGUAGAUGUGAAGAUCGGAGGUACCACGAUGAGCGCACUUGUGGAUACCGGGGCGUCCGAUCUGUUCAUAUCCAAAGAGGCCGCGAAGAAGCUGCAUCUUCCGGUCGAGGCAAAUGAGUCCGGUUGGCUCAAAACGGUGAAUUCCAGAGAAGUCCCGACCAGCGGCAUGGCCAGGGGAGUGGAGUUCCACCUGGGUCCUUGGACCAGCAAGGAAGAUAUCGAGGUAAUUCCCCUCGAUGACUAUGACUUCAUACUCGGUUUGAGAUUUCUCGACCGGAUCAAUGCGGGUGUCAUGCCCUUCGCGGAUUGCAUAUGUAUCCUGGACAAGCGGUGCCAAUGCAUGGUCCCGAUCUACCGUGAAUCGGGAUGCGAUAGGAAGAUGCUAUCGGCCAUGCAGCUAUCCAAAGGGCUGAAGAAAGGCGAGGUGACCUUCUUGGCGGCAUUGAAGGAGGAGGGCGCGGAGGAAAGCACGGUACCGGAAGAAGCAUCCCGAGUCCUCGAUGCCUUCCAAGAUGUGAUGCCGCCCGAGCUGCCCAAGAAGCUGCCUCCUCGGAGAGAGGUCGACCAUCGGAUCGAGCCGGUACCCGAUGCUCGACCACCGGCCAUGGCUCCCUAUCGCAUGGCCCCGCCUGAGUUAGAGGAGUUGAGGAAACAGCUCAAAGAGCUGUUGGAUGCUGGAUAUGUUCGGCCAUCCAAGGCCCCGUUCGGUGCCCCGGUCUUGUUCCAAAAGAAGCAUGACGGAUCCCUUCGUAUGUGUAUCGAUUACCGGGCAUUGAACAAGCUGACCGUCAAGAAUAAGUACCCGAUUCCCCUUAUUGCUGACUUGUUUGAUCAGCUCGGAGAAGCCCGUUGGUUCUCCAAGCUCGACCUUCGAUCGGGAUAUUAUCAAGUGCGGAUUGCCGAGGGGGAUGAGCUGAAGACAGCAUGUGUGACCCGCUAUGGAUCAUACGAGUUCCUUGUCAUGCCAUUUGGCUUGACCAAUGCGCCGGCUACGUUUUGCACACUCAUGAACAAGGCACUGCAUCCGUUCCUUGAUCGGUUCGUUGUAGUUUAUCUUGAUGAUAUAGUGAUAUAUAGCCGGACGCUUGAGGAGCAUGUUGAACAUUUGAGUCGAGUUUUUCGGACCCUUCGAGAAAACGACUUGUAUGUGAAACGUGAGAAAUGUGCCUUUGCACAAAAAGAAAUUUCGUUCCUUGGGCACAUCGUCGGGGGUGGACGUGUGCGGAUGGAUGCGGCCAAGAUCCGUGCCAUUGUUGAUUGGGAGCCACCAACCAAGGUGACUGAGCUGAGAUCCUUUCUCGGUCUCACAAAUUACUACUGGCGCUUCAUCUGGGAGUAUUCGCACCUCACCGUGCCACUCACGGACAUGUUGAAGAAAGAAAGGCCGUGUGAGUGGACGGAUCGGUGUCAAGAGGCGUUCGAGUGGUUGAAGCGGACCAUGACCAAGGAGCCGGUGCUUAUGCUGCCCGACUACACCAAACCAUAUGAGGUAGAGACCGAUGCUUCUGAUUUUGCCAUCGGUGGUGUCUUGAUGCAAGAAGGUCAUCCGGUGGCCUUCGAGUCCCAAAAGUUGAAUGAUGCCGAGCGACGAUACACGGUCCAAGAGAAGGAGAUGACCGCGGUGGUGCACCGCCUUCGCACAUGGAGGCACUAUAUCUUGGGGUAAUGGUUCAUUGUGAGGACUGACAACGUGGCUACGAGCUACUUCCAAACUUAGAAGAAGCUCAACCCAAAACAAGCUCGGUGGCAAGACUUCCUGGCCGAGUUUGAUUAUGUGCUGGAAUACAAGCUCGGAAAGUCCAAUUCCGUGGCCGACGCCUUAAGCAGGAAGUUCGAAUUGGCCAAUAUGGUGAGCAGGCCCGAUUGCCCGUGGGUUGAUCGUAUCAAGGAGGGGCUGAAGCAUGAUCAAACAGCCCAAGACCUCCUUCGAUACACCCAAGAAGGCUUGACGAGGAGAUUUUGGCUCGAGGAUGACCUCCUCUACACCAAAGGACGGCGACUCUAUGUGCCGCUCCAUGGGAAACUUCGAAAGGAAGUCCUAAAAGAGUGCCACGACUCCAAAUGGGCGGGACAUCCGGGAAUCCACCGCACCAUGGCGCUCAUUGAAGAUCAAUACUAUUGGCCGCAUAUGCGGGAUGAUGUGGAGACAUAUGUGCGGACGUGUCUUGUCUGCCAACAAGACAAGAUAGAGCAACGGUCCCCCGCGAGGCUCCUUGAACCGUUGCCUAUCCCAGAACGUCCAUGGGAGAGUAUCUCCAUGGACUUCAUUGUGAAUUUGCCCAAGUCCGAAGGGUGUCGGACCCUCAUGGUCGUGGUAGAUUGCCUCUCCAAAUAUGCGACGUUCGUGCCAACAACAAAGGAGUGUCCAGCCGAGGAAGCCGCCAAGCUGUUCCUCAAGCACGUUGUCAAAUAUUGGGGCGUUCCACGCACGAUCGUGAGUGAUCGCGACCCUCGGUUCACCGGACGGUUUUGGACUGAGCUCUUCAAGUUGCUGGGGACGUGUCUCAACCUUUCCACCAGCAUGCAUCCACAGACCGACGGACAAACCGAGCGAGUGAAUGGAUUGCUGGAAAUCUAUCUUCGGCACUAUAUGAGCAACACGCAAGUAAACUGGGCACGGCUGAUCGACGUGGCCCAAUUUUCUUACAACUUGCAGCGGAGCGAGUCCACGAACCAAAACCCGUUCGAAAUCGUGACCGGGUAGCAGCCGCUCACGCUAAGCGCAAUCACCUUGGGGUAUCGAGGAAGUUGCCCGUCCGCAUAUAAGCUCGCUAAGGAAUGGGGUGAACAGGCGGUUUUGGCCCGGGUGUGUCUGAAUAGGGCCGCGAAACGCACGAAGAAAUGAGCCGACAAAAAGCGACGCCAUGUGGAGUUUCAGGUCGGGGACUUGGUACUGACCAAAUUGCACCUCGUCCUUCGGUACAGGAAACAAAGGGCUGAUCCGUCGCUAUGAAGGCCCUUUCCGAGUGAUACAGCGGAUCGGGAAGGUGGCGUACAAGCUGGACUUACCGCCCAAGCUCAGGCUACACCCCGUGUUCCACGUGAGCAUGCUAAAACUGUUUCAUGUGGACGAGGAUGAUCUGGAUCGGGGCACAUCACAGCGAGCGCCCCUUGGGGCGAAGACCUCCUAUGAUCGGGAUGUUGAGUGCAUCAUGGCCGAUCGGAUCAUACGGAAGAAAUAUCGGGCACCAAGGAAGGAAUACCUCGUCCGGUGGAGAGGCCUUCCCGAGAGUGAAGCAAGUUGGGAACCCUCCGAGGCUCUGUGGCAAUUCAAGAAGUACGUUGAAGCCUUCCAUGCCACAGACGCGACGAGGACGUCGCCUGAUUAGGUGGGGGAGAAUGACACGGCCCACGGACAAAGCAUGAUCCAAGAUCGUCCGUGAUGGGCCGUGUCACGUACAAGGGGCUACCUGAGAGCAGCCCAUGGUCGACCCAUGAGCAGAACGAGCGAGAAGGCCCAUGCGCAAUCCAUGAGCGGCCCAUGAGCGAUGUUCGAGCAGCCCGUGACGGUUCGGCUGGUCGCGUGUCAGACGGACCUGCAACCCUGAUCUUGCUUCUGACACAUGCCCAUGGUCUGCCCAAGGCCUGACUAGCGCGACCCAUGGACUUCCCAAGGGCCUGCCGUGUACAGACCAUCGAGUAGCCUUCGAGUAGCCUGUUGUAUAGCUUUGUAAUGAUGAUACGGAUUUGAAAUGGACUGUUGGAUCGGAGGGACGAUCAAUGGCUGAGAUGCGACCCGCUCUUGUAUAAAUAGGGAUCCAUCUCCCACUUUGUAAACAGUUCGUUCACAAGCAAUAUACACUCUCUUUGCCCAUUCAGUUCUUGUGUUCGAGCGUGUGUGUGUGUAAGGCUGACUUGGGAUCACUGAUCCUAAGGCCGCGCGGUGUUUGAUCGACCGAAAUUGAUCGACCCGUGACACUAGUCAUGAAGCUUUAACUGUUAAUGGAGUAACCCUUUCGAUUGUUUCGGCUAGGUGACCGAGCAUCAUCACUUUUCCUUCAGUUUAUUUCUCUUUUAUUCAAUGGAAGGUAGAAUGAUAAUAAUUAUGGUGUGUGAUCUCUUUAGCAUUGUGACUGCCAUUUCUGAAUCAUUUCCGUGAUCAUCAAUUAGUAAGCGCAAGGUCCUGUUCAAUUUGCCACUUAUGUUCUAUCAGAAUGAUACAUAUAAUUGCUUGAGUAAUAUAUCAAUUCUACAAGUACCCCAUUGAUAUAUUAAAAAACUAAGCAUAAAUAAAUUCUAUAUUCUAGCUUUGGUAUAUAUAUUGAAAUCUAAUUCGUGAAGAAUACUAGGGUAUUUAAUACUAAACUACAGCUAAGUAGGAGGUCCUGAAUUCAAUCUUUUAAGACCCUUAUUUGUCUCUUUUACUAUUAUUUCUACACUUUAAUUUUAGGCCAAAGUUCGGUUUACAUGUGUUGAGGAGUGUCACAACCUCUCCGAAAGCGGGUUGGACCUAAACUUAGCUUGAGUUAUCCCAAGCCUAUACCAAUUCACGACUUAGGUUUAAGUUAUUUAACAUGCAAAUGAUUUUUAUUUAAGAGUUGUCUUCAAUUGGUUUAUGGUAGGUCGAUUAGACACUUAAGCAAAAUAAUGUGAGAAUUAUUUUACUCCUACGAACUAAAGAUUUUGGGUAUGGAGACUUGAUCAUACUAAAUUACUCUAAAGCCAUUUUGGUACAUUUUCUCUUUUAUUGUUAGAAAAUGUUUAGUAGGCACCUUGGAUCAAUUUUAUUACAUUUUAACAUGUGGAGCAAUCAUGCAAGUGUGCAUAUCACCAAUUUAACAACGAAUAAAGCAGUAAAUAAAUUGCAUGAGGCACUCUAUAGCAAUGAAAGCAUCUGCAAUAUUAGUUCAAAAUUUACAUCAACAAUCCUAGAUAUGAUUUAUCAUUAACACGUAGUCGCUCAAUUGUUUUGUUUUGUUUUUGUUUUUUUGUUUUUUUGUUUUUUUUUGGUUUGCACUUAUUUAAAUGAAAUCUAUAAACUCUAUGCAAUGCAAUGCAAUGACGUACAAAAAUGUCUAACUAAAAUCACAUGCAACAUGUAGCCUAUCAUGCAAGCUAUAUGUCACGCGAUAUUAAUUAAAUUACCCAAUAUAAUGACGGACAAAAAUCAACGUAACUAUUCUAACAUGUCACACGCUUUAAUUUGAACAAUUCUUAAACACACAAUUUCUAAAAAAUAGGUGAACUAAUUCUACACGACACGCAAUUUCAUGAACCUAACAUAUAAUUAUUAGAUGACAUGCGGGCAAUGAUAUGACAGUGAUGAUGCCAACUUGACAUCCACAUGACUUUUUUUUUUUUUGUAUUAUUCAUUAAUAAAUUCGAAAUUAAUUAAAUACUCUAAUUUAAACAUGCAAACUAUCCUAUAGAAGAAAAUUCAAUUUAUUCUAAAAAGAUAUUUUUGGUGUUUUAUUAAAUUCCAAAUUAUAAAAUAACCAAAAUAAGUAUGCAAUCUAUCCUAAAAGAACUACAAUCUAAUCUUUUUGGAUUUUUUUAAAGAAAUAAAUCAAUUAAAAUCAAACAAAAAUUGAAAGAAGUCAAAUCCAAAAACAAACACGCCAUCAAAUCACACGAGAUAUUAUCGAUAUUUAUCUAAUUUCGAAAAUAAAUUGACGAAUCAUAUCUCUCGUAUGAGAUUAGAUUGGCAAAUUUUUAUGACAUCGCGAAUAAAAUGUCGGGCAUUAUAUCGUAUUUUGAGCAUAAAACCGGACUGUUGGCUAUUGCAUUAGGAAAAUUUCCUAAUUCACAAGGAAUCAAAAGAAUUCUUUUCGGAUAUGGCAAUAUUGACCAGACAUUCAAACAAGAUCGCAAUUUUAUGAAUUAGAUAACGAGAUAUAUGAAAAUCAAAUUAAUUGAGUUUCUUACCAAAUUUACGAUGUUACGCUAUGGAUCACGAGAAUCUCGGUGAGGAUGACUGGCGAUCGGCGGCGCUGACUGUUUCUCGGUAGUCGCCAGAUGGGCUCCACAAUACCUGCGAAACAGAAAUUUCCAAGCUACGCAAGAGACCGAGAAUCGUCGAUGGACGGGGGCAAGGACAGCAGGUCUCGUUCCUUCGCUGUUGGUGUUGUGGGCUUGAAGCAGAUCGGCACAGGAGCUCGCGGUGAUGCUGAUCACGGUGCGGUAUCUUCUGUUCGUGCGUUUCUCACUUGCUGAAUAUUCUGCAAUUCUGUCCGAGAACUUAAGCUUCUUUUGACUUUGACAUCAAACUUCACCUUUUAAAAAGGCUUGGGCAAAGCAGGACAAAUUUCACCACUUCUCUUGUAUUGUGAACGCCCUCUUGUGCCCAUUGAAGAGUCCAGACUCGCCGAUGUCGCCAAGAACCUGCAAAGGAAAAGUGCAAGCGUGAUUGACAUGGGGGUUCCGUAAGAAUUAUUGUGGCCCAUAUUAUGUGAUUUAUUAUAUGGUUUAAUAAAUCAUUGAAAUGCUAUAAAUAAUUAUUGGUUACGAGAAGGUACGACUCUAAUAAAAAUGAAAUGGUAUAUCGCUUUGAUGGAAGGCGCCUUUUCAAUGAACGUAUAAUUAGAGUCCGGUCCUCUCUCUACCAAAAAAAAAACAAACAACAAUAACUGAAAGGAAUUUGGUAUUCUCUCCUCCAUCAAUUGAAUACAUUAAGGUUUAGUGGGUUAAGGGAGAGAAAUCGGAUUUCUUCAUUUGGUUCGAGUUCUUUCGGUUUUCUACAACGACCAUCAUCAAGUGCAACGUUAUGGAGAAAUGUAUGUCUUCAUCUAAUUGUGAAAAUCAUGAAGAUCAAAAGAUCAUUGAUUUGUUAUGAAUUUCCGCAUCAAAGAAAUAUAUGAAUUAUCUAACAGUUGGUAUUAUAGCAAUUGGUUUAUGAUCUCAUGAUUUUUCCGUUUAAAGAAAUAUUAUAGUUUAUGUUUGAUGAUUCGUUGAACGAUCCUGUUCGUAUUAUUUAUUAUUGUUAAAAUGUUUUCGGAUGAUUAUGGUAAAAAAAAUCUGAAUGAUGGAACGUUCUUCAUGGACGAAAAUGGCGAAUAAAAGUUACUGUGCGUGAGUGAAAAAGGACAAAAAUGGAAAAAUUCGGAAUUUUGAGGGCAAGUAAGAAACUCGCCGAUUCCGGGGAAAAUCCAGUGACCCACAGUUUGAUUUCGGACUCACACCGUCGCACUGCCAUGAGGAACAUUAGCCAUGAGUUUUUUCGGUAUAUUGGUGUUCGCCGGAGGCUAAUCGAGCGGCGGAAGCCGCGGUGGUGGAGGUUUUGUGUUCUGAAAAUUUUGGUUUGAUUUGGGGCCAAUUUCUUGGUCAUUUUCGCCGAAACUUAAACCCAUGUGGUUGUGCUGGCAUACUCCAGAAAACCCAUUAUUUUAUUUGUGUCUGGGAUGGGCUACCGGAGAAGAAAUGGCCGGCGAAACCGCGGCGGAACGGCGAAAAACGGCGAAGAAUCGCGUCUGUGCGCGAGGAAGAAGGCGCGUGGGCUCCACGUGUGCGUUGCGGUUGUAGGCGCGUGGAACCCACACGCCACGCGCCGUCACGUGCGUGCAAGCGCUGCGUUGUUGGCGCGUGCAACGCACGCGCCCACGCGUUGGACACGCGCGUGUGGGGCAUGCACCUGCGGCGGAUGAAGGCGCGUGCUUGGCACGCGCUUGACGUCCCCACACGCCCUUUUUACGUUUUUGCCCCUAUGUCAUUUUUAAAAUUCCCAUUUUUUCCUUCUCACAAUUUAUUUACUGUUCUGCCCUUGUUUAAUUAAUAAUUACGAUUCUGCCAUUGCUGAUUAUUUACCAUUUUGCCCAUGGAUUAUAAUUUUAUGAUUCUGCCCUUUAUGGAAUUAUGAUUUUACAAUUUUGCCCUUAUGCUUUGAUUGCAUUUUAUCCUUGUGUGCAAUUUGGUAAAUAUUUAUAUUUUACAAUAUUAAAAAUUCAUAUUAUGAAUGGUUUGUUAGUCACCAAAGUGGCCAAACUUUGAAGUUUUUUUGAAUUUUGAUAUUGUAAAUUAUUUUAUUCAAUUACCCAUGAUUAAUUGAUGCUAUGUAUGAAAUUGAUAUGUUUUAUAUUAGUAUUGGAGUUAUGGGUAUAUUGAAGUUCAUUUAUUAUAAGAACUUAGGGAUUAACCCAAAGGUUAAUUAUUUUCUUAUAAUUCAUGAACAUGAUCGUUGAUAAUUAUAUGACUUGUUAAAUUUGUUUGUAUAUCCAAAGAUAACAAAUAAAUUUUAAUAAGAUAUAUUUACAAUUAUCAAAUAAAAGUUAUUAGCAUCAUUAUGGUAUAUAUAUCUUUGUUUAUCUUAGGAUCGCCCAAAGGAGAACUAUGAUGUACAUGUGUCAUUUAGUUUGAAUCUAAUUAGGUGAUAUUCUCAAAGCAUUAAUAUAUGAGUAUUUUCUUGCACAUUUGCAGUAUCUGUACCUGUUUCACUCCAUUCGCACACCUCAUCUGUUCCCUUAUUCAAUGGGAUAAAUUUUCCUGAUUGGAGUGAACAAGUCCAGUUUCACUUAGGUGUCCUGGAUCUUGAUUUAGCGCUUCAAGUUGAGAAACCAGCUGCUAUUACUGAUGAAAGUAGCGAUGAUGAAAAGUUUUUCCAUAAAGCUUGGGAAAGAUCGAACAGAUUGAGCUUAAUGUUCAUGCGAAUGACAGUUGCAAACAACUUAAAGACUUCUCUUCCCAAGACUAACAAUGCUAAGGAAUUUAUGAAAUUUGUGGAAGAGCGUUUUCAAACUGCUGAUAAGUCACUUGCUGAUACAUUAAUGAGCACACUGACCGCCAUGAAAUAUGAUGGUUCGCAUACCAUACAUGAGCAUAUACUUGAGAUGACGAAUUUAGCAGCAAAAUUAAGGACUUUGGGAAUGAAUGUGGAUGAGUACUUUUUAGUACAAUUUAUACUUAAUUCCUUGCCUCAUGAGCAAUAUGGGCCAUUUCAAAUGAAUUACAACACUAUAAAGGAUAAGUGGAAUGUAAAUGAAUUGGCCAAUAUGCUAGUUCAAGAGGAAACAAGGAUAAAGAAUCAAAAGGCUCAUUCUGUUCAUCUCUCAAGUCAUCAAGAAUUUUGAAAGAAUUUCAAGAGGAAAGGUGGAAGGAGCAAGAAGAAAGAACUACACAUCGUGAAUGACUCUUCAAAGGCUUCUCAAAUCCACAAGAAGGAACACAAUCUUAUUAAGUGUCAUUUUUGCAACAAAAUUGGACACUUGAAGAAAGAUUGUCUGAAAUGUAAGGCUUGGUUUGAAAAGAAAGGUAAGCCUUGUGCUUUAGUAUGUUUUGAAUCAAACUUUACUGAAGUUCCUCAUAAUACUUGGUGGAUUAAUUCUGGUGCCACCACUCAUGUGUCAAAUACGAUUGAGGGAUUUCUUACGAUCCAAACUAUAAAGCCAAAUGAAAGUUAUGUGAUUACGGGGAACAGAAACAAAGCUCCAGUUGAAGGCAUUGGCACUUAUCGUUUGAUCUUAGAUACUGGGCAUUAUUUGGAUUUGUUUCGAACCCUUUAUGUACCUACAUUUUCUCUCAAUUUAGUUUCUUUGCCAAGACUUGAUGUGGCGGGAUUUUAUUGUAAGUUUGAAUCUGAAUCUUUCAAUCUAUUUAAGAGUGAUACUCUUAUUGGAACUGGAACUUUAUGUGAUGGUCUCUACAAAUUUAGACUUGAUAAUACUUUUGUUGAGACAUUAUUGACCUUGCAUCAUAAUGUUGGCAUUAAACGAAGUUUGGUGAAUGAAAAUUCUGCUUACUUGUGGCAUAAACGUUUGGGUCAUAUAUCCAAAGAAAGAAUGCAAAGAUUAGUUUAGAAUGAAAUUCUUCCAAAUUUGGAUUUUACUGACCUUGGAGUGUGUAUUGAUUGUAUUAAAGGUAAACAAACAAAACACACUAAGAAAGGUGCCACAAGAAGCAAAGAGCUUCUUGAAAUUAUACAUACUGACAUAUGUGGUCCUUUCGAUGUUCCAUCUUUUGGUAAGGAAAGCUAUUUCAUAAUCUUUAUUGAUGAUUUUUCACGUUAUGGUUACAUUUAUCUAUUGCAUGAUAAGUCUCAAUCAGUAAAUGCACUUGAAGUGUAUAUUAAAGAGGUUGAGAGGCAAUUAGAUAGAAAGGUGAAAAUAGUAAGAUCGGAUAGAGGUGGUGAAUAUUAUGGAAAAUAUGAUGAAUCGGGACAAUGUCGAGGUCCAUUUGCUAAAUUCCUUGAAAGACAUGGCAUUUGUGCUCAAUACACAAUGCCAAGUACACCACAACAAAAUGGUGUAGCAGAAAGGCGUAACCGUACUUUAAUAGAAAUGGUUAGGAGUAUGAUGAGUCAUUCAUCUUUACCCUUAUCUUUGUGGAUGUAUGCUUUAAAGACUUCUAUGUACUUAUUAAAUAGGGUUCCUAGUAAGGCAGUUCCAAAUACUCCAUUUGAACUGUGGAUGGGAAGGAAACCUAGUUUACAACACCUACAUGUUUGGGGUUGUCAAGCAGAAGUAAGAAUUUACAAUCCACAUGAAAGGAAAUUGGAUUUAAGAACGACCAGUGGUUAUUUCAUUGGUUAUGCAGAGAAAUCGAAAGGGUAUAAAUUUUAUUGUCCUAAUCAUAAUACAAGAAUUGUUGAAUCUGGAAAUGCUAGGUUCAUUGAGAAUGGUGACAUCAGUGGGAGUGAACGAAUGCGUGAUGCUUGCAUUCAAGAAGCAAUGGUAGAAGUUCCUAUACCCAAAGCUUCUAAAGUUGUUCCUGAUAUUAUAGUACAAUCUAACAAUAAUCAAGAACAACAAAUUAAUGAACAAACACUCAAUAAUGGAGAUGUCAAUAAUGAACCUCCAAUUGGCUGAGUCACAAGAAAUAGCAUUAAGGAGAUCUCAAAGAGAAAAGAGGUCGGCUAUAUCUGAUGACUAUAUGAUUUAUCUACAAGAGUCAGAAAUUGACUUAGGAAUUGGAAAUGAUUCAGAUUCAUUUUCCCAAGCCAUGGAAUAUGAAGAUUCUAAUGAAUGGUUUAAUGCCAUGGAAGAAGAGUUAAAAUCCAUGCAUCAAAAUCAAGUUUGGGAUAUAGUUGAAUUGCCUAAAGGAUGUAAGAAGGUCAGCUAUAAAUGGGUCUUUAAGACCAAACGCGACUCAAAAGGCAAUAUUGAACGACAUAAAGCCAGACUUGUUGCAAAGGGUUUUACUCAGAAAGAAGGCAUUGACUAUAAAGAGACAUUUUCACCAGUCUCUAAGAAGGACUCACUUAGAAUCAUUAUGGCUUUUGUGGCUCAUUAUGACUUUGAGUUACACCAAAUGGAUGUAAAAACCGCUUUUCUUAAUGGGAAUUUAGAGGAAGAGGUUUAUAUGGACCAACCCGAAGGCUUUUCAGUUAAAGGAAAUGAACACAUGGUAUGUAAAUUAAAGAAGUCAAUAUAUGGACUUAAACAAGUUUCCCGACAAUGGUAUCUUAAGUUUAACGAUACCAUAACUUCAUUUGAAUUUAAGGAAAACACCAUUGAUCGGUGUAUAUAUAUGAAGAUUAGUGGGAGCAAGUUUAUUUUUCUAGUUCUGUAUGUUGAUGAUAUUUUGCUUGCUGCUAAUGAUCUUGGUUUGUUACAUGGAACCAAGAAAUUUCUCUCUAAGAAUUUUGAAAUGAAGGAUAUGGGAGAGGCAACAUAUGUGAUAGGAAUAGAAAUAUUCCGUGAUAGAUCACAAGAAUUAUUAGGAUUGUCUCAGAAAGCCUACAUUGAGAAAAUUUUAGAGAGAUUUAAUAUGAGUAAAUGUUCAGCAGGAAUAGUUCCAAUUCAGAAAGGUGACAAAUUUAGUCUUAUGCAAUGUCCGAAAAGUGAAUUGGAACGAGAACAAAUGAAAAAUAUUCCUUAUGCAUCUGUUGUGGGGAGCUUAAUGUAUGCACAAACUUGCACCAGAUCAGACAUCAGUUUUGCUGUCGGAAUGCUGGGCAUGUAUCAAAGUAAUCCUGGAAUGGAUCAUUGGAAAGCUGCAAAGAAAGUUCUUAGAUAUUUGCAAGGAACGAAGAAUCAUAUGCUCACUUAUAAAAGAUCUGAUCAUCUCGAGGUGAUUGGAUAUUCAUAUUCAGACUUAGCCGGAUGUGCCGAUACAAGAAAAUCAACAUUUGGUUACUUGUUUCUUCUGGCUGGAGGGGCAAUUUCAUGGAAGAGUGCGAAGCAGUCAAUUAUUGCUGCAUCCACUAUGGAAGCUGAAUUUGUGGCAUGCUUUGAGGCCACAAUUCAUAGAUUAUGGCUGCGGAAUUUUAUUUCAGGGCUUGUGAUCGUCGACAGUAUUUCCAAGCCGCUGAAAAUUUAUUGUGAUAACUCUGCAGCAGUUUUCUUCUCUAAGAACGACAAGUAUUCUAAGGGUGCUAAGCAUAUGGAGAUCAAAUACUUGUCUGUCAAAGAAGAAGUUCAGAAACAAAGAGUGUCAAUUGAGCACAUUAGCACCAAUCUUAUGAUAGCAGAUCCCUUAACAAAAGGACUGCCGCCCAAAACAUUUAAUGAGCAUGUUGAAAGGAUGGGCAUUAUUGGACGUCAUUAAUGUUUGUAUUAUGAUUGUAUUGAGUUUAUGUAUUUGACACUUUGAGCUCACUUACGUGUUUAUGAUAUUUCCUGUUUUCUAUUUAGUAUACAAUAUGUAAAUAGAUGAAUGUUAAACAGGAUAAUUUCUAAAGAAACAUUAUGGUUGGACUAUUACUGUACUUCUCAUUUAUGGAUCAUGUUAAGUAAAGUGCUAUAGUUGUAGUACAUAGAAGGGACUACGUCGAUUAAUGACAUACAACCGCUAUGACUCGCAUUAGUUUUCUUUACUUAAUUCUGAUUAUUAUGUGAUUGCCAAUUUAAUGAAAUUUUAUAGCAUAAUCUUAUUGUGCACAUUACAGUCUUUAUUAAACCAUGAAAGGAACAUCAUAUGGGCCAAGUGGGAGAAUGUAAGAAUUAUUGUGGCCCAUAUUAUGUGAUUUAUUAUAUGGUUUAAUAAAUCAUUGAAAUGCUAUAAAUAAUUAUUGGUUACGAGAAUGUACGAUUCUAAUAAAAAUGAAAGGGUAUAUCGCUUUGAUGGAAGGCGCCUUUUCAAUGAACGUAUAAAUAGAGUCCGUUCCUCUCUCCACACAAAAAAAAAAAAAAAACGAACAACAAUAACUGAAAGGAAUUUGGUAUUCUCUCAUCCAUCAAUUGAAUACAUUAAGGUUUAGUGGGUUAAGGGAGAGAAAUCGGAUUUCUUCAUUUGGUUCGAGUUCUUUCGGUUUUCUACAACGAUCAUCAUCAAGUGCAACAUUAUGGAGAAAUGUAUGUCUUCAUCUAAUUGUGAAAAUCAUGAAGAUCAAAAGAUCAUUGAUUUGUUAUGAAUUUCCGCAUCAAAGAAAUAUAUGAAUUAUCUAACAGGUUCGCCGGCCUCAGGAGGCUAGCCGGCAUCAUGUGACUCAGCGAGGAGGUAUCAGGACAGCAUCGCCGUGUUGUGGGGAGCCAGAGGCACAAUGUAGCCCGGUCCACGAAUUGUUGUCACAGGUGGUCUGUUUGGCAAUAGCAGACUCGGCAGGGUUCUUGGCUUUUAAGUGUUGCCGAGAGUGAAUUAAGGGAUGCAAGGAGCGUGGCACGAAGGGUACUCGAGUUGCUGCUGUGAUGAAGAGUAGCAACGAGGAAGCGUCACAGCCGUUGGUGGGAACUUGGCAACAAGAAGUGAGUCGCGGCCGUCGACAGGAGUUGAGCUGAAGUGUCAAGCACCGUUUUCACGAAUGUGCCGAACAGAACGCGGGUCUUCUCUUUUUGCUUUUUCACUGGACACUCUCUUUGGAGAUGAAAGUGUCCUCUUCUCUAUUCAUAGACCCCGGGAACCUGCAAGAAGAGAGAACAUAUUGACUGCAUCUCUGAGGCCAGCUCAGCAAAAAUUCAGUCCAUUUAUUUUGUGACACGUGUCAUGUACGGCCUCACAAGUCAUUUUCUGUCUCCACUUCUCCCUUUCUCACCCUUUAUUCUCUCUCUUCACGUCUUCCUCUUUUUCUCUCUCCUCCGCCUAACCCCUUUUCCCUUCUCUGACCUUGACCUUGAGCCCGACCUCAGACACAUUGCCAUUUCUUCAUGCACGUUGUCUCCAUCUUUACUUAAUUCUUCCUCAACCUCCACCGCCGCCACCUCCUGUUCAACUCCUCCUGCAUCCUAUACGUUUGCACCCACGUCGAUGAACCAUGCCUUUGCCUCCGUCUCGCCGUUUCCUAAGCCGACCCUAGUCGACUUUGAACCAACCUACAUUUGAGUCAAGCUGAGCUCUAGAUCACAAAUCUUGGCUCGCUCGACCUUAGAUCCAAAAUCUGAGGCUCAAGUUCAUCAGCCGAGCUCGAGCUCGAUGACGAAAGAUUGAGACGGCGAUGAGAUGGUGGACUGAGAUGACAGUGAGGAGGUGGUAGUUACGUUUGUGCUUGUCCCCGUCAGAGUGAAAGGAAGAAGAUUUUUUUUUUUAAAGAAAAAAGAAGAAGAGAAAAGGAGUCAGGCAGAGGAAACAGAGGAAGAGGAAGACAUGAAGAGGAAGAGAGGGCGAGGAAGGGAGAUAGAGACUGACUUGUGGGGCUGUGUACAACACAUGUCGCAAAAUCAAUGGAUCAUUUUUUUUUCUGAGCUAGCCUCAGAGCUACAGCCAAUAUUUUCUCGCAAGAAGAAAAGCAAUUCUUGCUCUCUCUCUCUUUCCACGCCAUAUCCGUGGCACGAUUUCUCUCAAUGUGCUGCCUAUUCUAUCGUGUGUGGCCCCUUUCUUUUGCAAAUCACACCAGUUUUUAUAAUGACUCCUCACCAACUUCCUCUUGGGAUAUCAGCAUAGUUUCUUUCUUUAUCCCAUCAACCAAAUGUUCUCUAUUUUGCUGAUUGAAUCCCACCUCAAUGUACUUUUUUCUUUUAUUUAUGAAUAUACGAAAGAUCCACCACCAUAUGAUUUUUUCUUUUUGUUUCUUUUCGUUGGCCAAAUUUUCAUUCUAUGCUUUUGAACGAAUAUUGGUAGAAUAAUACCGAUCUUUUUUGAAAUAUACCGAUCUUCGAAGUCGUCUCUCCUCAUAAGUCAGUUUUCAGCCAUUCAAGAGUGACAAGCUUGGCCAAGUUCCUUCUCACUAUGGGCUUAGUCCAACUAGUUAAAUUAAAACUCAAAACCAUCAAUUCAAACCCAUUAAUCAUCGGUCCAAUGCAAGCACAAUAAUAAAAACAAUAAUAAAUACUCCCAAAACUAUAUGCUAUGUAAUUUAAUAUUAAUAUUUUUGUUUAGGGGUUAAAAAUUAAUCCCUAAUUUUCUAUGUAAUAAAUAAACGAUCGGAUUGUCAAAUUUUAGGUGUCAAUAACAAUCCCUCUUUGAAAGUGAGCUCAUAGAGGUUGCAUUCAAAAACAAAUUUGAGACUUAAAUUUUGACCCUUCAAAUGCAAUGUGAUAAAUUUUUACGUGGGGACAUGUGUUUUGACGAACCCAUGCCCAUUUUCUAACGUAAAAUAUGAUGCAAAUGCUAAUAAGAAAUAUAAAACAUACCUUUAGUUACUCACUUGAAAGCUUGCCAUGCCGAUGAAAGGGACUUCGAGUUAUGGAAGCACAUCGCAUCGAUAGAAAGAGACUCUGGGCUAUGAAAGCAUGCUGAGUCGAUGAAGAAGAACUCUGAGUUAUGGAAGCACACCAGCUUAAUAAAGAGACUCUAGGUUAUGGAAGCACACCGUGUCGGUUAAGAGGGACAUCGGGUUAUAGAAGCACACCAUAUUGAUAGAAAGAUACUCUGGGUUACGGAAGCCCACCGAGUUGAUGCAAAGAUUCCGAGCCACGGAAGCACUUCGUGUUGGUUAUGAGGGGCAUUAGGCUAUAGAAGGACACUGUGUCAAGAGACUCUAGGCUACAAAAGCAUGCCAAGUCGAUGUAGAGGAACUUUAGGCUACGGAAGCACGCCGGGCUGAUAAAGAGAUUCUAAGCUACUGAAGCACACUGUGCCAAUUAAGAGGAGACUUCGAGCUACGAAAGCAUAUUGUGUCGAUAGGAACGGACUCCAGGUUAUGGAAGUACGCCGGAUCGAUGUAGAGGAACCCCAGGCUACGGAAGCACACCAGGUUGAUGAAGAGACUUCGAGUUAUGGAAGCACAUCAUGUCAAUUAAGAGGAGAUUUCGAGCUAUGGAAGCAAGCCAUGUUAAUAGGAAGAGACUUCGGGCUACGGAAGCAUGCUAGGUUGAUGCAGAUGAGCUCUGAGCUAUAGAAGCAUGCUGGAUUGAUGAAGAGACUCCAAGUUAUGGAAGCACACCGUGUUGGUUAAGAGGAGACUCCAGAUUACGGAAGCACACUGUGUUGAUAAGAAGAGACUCCGAGUUAUGGAAGUACGCCAGAUCAAUAUAGAGGAACUCUGGGCAAUAGAAGAAGCACAUUGAGUUGGCAAAGAGAUUAUGGGCUACGGAAGUACAUCAUGUUGAUUAAAAGAGACAUUGGGUUACGAAAGCACGCCAUGUCAUGCGCCGAUCCUCGAGUGUGUGCCCAUCCCUCGGUGGUUGACAAAUUUGCGACGUCCCAGAACGCGUCGCCGACCCUUUCAUUUUUAAUGCACAUGCGGAAGCGAAACAAUACCUCUGACAACAACCAACACGGGAUAGAAAAGCAGGAAACAUAUUCACAACCAAAACACUUUUAUAAACACCCCGGUUUAUAUACAGACUAGUCUAUAAACAAGAGUCUAUAAAAGCAGAUAAGCCUAUAAGUCCUCUAGGCUGACGAAUCCCUAACUGCAAAAUUCGAGGUCUCUUGGAGAUUUGGGUCUACCACUGCACCACUAGGAGGGUCAGCUGUACUCGCGCUAAAGGUGACUUCUAACACCGACAUAGGGACCUCAAAAUCCUAUAGGGGACCCUCUCUAUGUCCAUUGAGCCUGCGACGAUACCAUGCUCUGAAUUGAUGGGGUACCCUCUAGGGUAGACCCGCAUCGACCCAGACGAUGGUCCUCACAAUUUCAUAGACCUAGAUCCCGUGGCACUUGGGAACAUGGAUAUUGGUGACCUGCCCAGUAAUCCACUUGGGCUAGCCAAAAUGUUCCGAAGGAACCACCAUCUAAGGACCUGAAAAGGUUGAGCUCACGACGGGGUAAGUCAAUGUUUCAGUAAGUUCACCUCCUAAACUUCGACUAGGAAUGAAAUACGUCUAGAGGCAGCUAUACACACAAGUCAGAAGACUUACCUUGCCUCAAUUCCCUCCUGCACGUCAGCACAGUUCAUAAUCUCAACCAAUAUAUUCCAUCCAAUCGAUUAUUCAAUCCAUUCAAUACCAUCGAUACCAUCUAUCAAUUCAAUAUCAUUUAUCUAUCAUCGAUACGAUCACUGCUCACACAAGCUGAAAUAGAUGGUCAUAGCUCUCACAAGCUGAUAUAUAGAUGGUAGCUCGCACAAGCUGAUAUAUAUUAUAGCUCACCCAAGCUGAUAUAGUAUACUACUCUCACAAGCUGGCAUAUCAAAGCACACUUAGGUUGAUAUAGUAUACUGCUCUCACAAGUUGACAUACAAUAAUGCUCGCACAAGCUAACGAUUUAAUAAGGCUCACACAAGCUGACGAUUUAAUAAGGCUCACACAAGCUGACGAUUUAAUAAGGCUCACACAAGCUAAUACUCGAUAAAAAUAAUCAUGUGUGUGUACGCGGUUGGUCUGAGCCAAAAUGCUAUAUCUUUCUUUUCAAAACUCCCACUAUUUAAUAUAGUGCCUAAAAAUAUUUUUGGCGUUAAAAACUGACGCCCCGGUAUUUUCUUAUUAAAUAUCGAAAUUACACAAUUUCGGGAUAAAUACCCAAAAUUACAACCAUCACUCAAUUUGCAUAGAAUAGCAUCUGAUUAAAUAAAUCUGAUUAAAUAAAUCAAGCACACCAUUGCAAUCAUCAUGAAAUUCUUGUCACCGGCUAACCCGAUAUAAUUUCCGAAAAAUAACAAAUAAUUAAAUAAAUACCAAAAAUAAUUAAAUAAAUACAAUUAAUUACCAACAAUGCAAACUUAGGCCAAAAAUGCUUAAUUAACUACCUGAACGGGCCGGGAAAAUUUCUGAACCUAUCUAGAUAAAUAGCACAACUUAUCUAGUCUUUAAUUGAUCCGUUCUAAUCAACUAACAUGCACAAAUGAAUAAUUAAAUCAUUAAUCCAUUCUAACUAACCACCUAAACCAUACUUAGCAUAAACUAAACACCCCUUAAACGUCAUUAACUCCCUAAGCAUAGUUUAGCAAGUAAACUCACCGGUUUAGCGAUUCGGUGAGUUCACGGCGACGGCGACGCGGAGACGGGCGACAAACCUCCUAGCAGCGAUGCCAAACAAGGCCUGUAAGAGGACCGAAAUGGCCCACGAAGGCUCAUAGUUGAGCUGGGCUUAUGGUUCUGUCCUAGGCCAAGCUAGCUGAAACCAGCGGCUGAAACGGCAAAGCAGGUGGACCAGUGGCCGCAGCAGGCAACGACGGGCGAUGGCGGCUGCGCCGGCAACCUGAACGGCGACCAGGGGACUUCGACGGUGGCCUGAGAUGGCUCAGGGGCACGGUUGGGUGCGACAGAGGCGAGAUGGAAAAACGAUUGCGCGGAGGACUCGAGCAGCUGCUCAGGCGAGCGACAGCGCUGGACGGCGGCUCUAGUGGCUCGGCGGGCGUGCAACGGCUAGGGGGAAGGGGCUGCUCGGUUUCUUUUCAAUUUCUAAGCUUCAAGAGGUUUGAAAAUGGAGAAAGCAAGUCUGCUGAGGAAGAUAGAGACAGCUAAAGAGUGGAGGGUCUCUCAAAGCCUACAAAGCCUUCCAUUCUAUCCAUUUUGUCCCUUAGCAAGGCCCCACCAGCCAUGGCUAUUAUCCAUGGCCCCUUGGCAGCCCAAGACUUCCUUUAGAAGCUUUACCAAGUGGUCCAAAUGUCCCUCCCCAUGGCCUACGAAUUUUGCACCAAAUUCCCCCAAACCCACUUCAAUUCUCCUUCAAUUGGAUCUAAAUCGGUCCUCAUAAAUUCAACCAAGGUACCAUCAUCCCAUUCCACAUUUUUUCUCGUUAAUUCGUCCAACUGGAAUCCAAAAAAUGCGAUAAAACACGGCCCUCUGAUCUUUCUGGACAAAAACAACCCUACUUUGGAAUUUUGCCAAAAAUCUCGGUUUGCAGAAAAAUCUUCAGAGGGUGAGUCGAUGAUCCUAAAAUGAAUUGUGACAUGACAGAACUUUCAAUUUUUGAAAUCGGGUAUUCGCAGUUAAUUUUAAUCUAGCACAAUUUUAACGUGACUUAAUCUACUAGGUAACUUUUAAGAAUUUUUAGUGCAAUUGACCUGUGGUCAAUUAUUUUCGAGCCACAUUGUACAUCUUCGACAUAUUGACGACUCUUGGUUGUCGUGAAAAUCUGGAGGUUUCAAAUACGAACACAGAGUACCAAAACAACAGACAAAUUGGUCUAGUGCCGAUCGACGAGAAUUUUGCAAUUAAGUAGAAUCACCCACACUUAAUCACAUGGCUCAGUCGAGUCGACCUAUCUCUAGUCUCUAAUCGAUUUUCAACUGUACUGUAAUGACUCUUGCAGACUAGCACGGUUGAGCAGUCGAUUUCUGGUUGACUUCUCAAAUAUAUUGCGUUAAAAUCUCUUAACGGCUUCACCAGAUAGACUACUUAUCUCGUAAGUGAUCAGCUCAGAUAAUAGAACUAUAGGCGCGUUAAUGAAAAGCUCAAUUCAUUCAAUUGAAAACAGAACUGUAAAUUGAGGAUGUCACAACUCUUCCCCUCUUAUAAAAAUUUCGUCUUCGAAAUUUAAACCAUCACAACCUUUCCCCCAAAAAGGUGGGGGUACAGUUGUCUUAUUGAAUCUUGGUGCGUAGAACCUGGUCUUUUCGAUCCACAAUCUAAACCGAUCUUUUCACAUAUGACAUUGUCGUCCACAUCUAAUUCUUUAAAAUUCAGCACAUGGGUCAGGUCAGGUUCAUACUUCCUCAGCAUCGACACGUGAAAGACAUUGUACACUUACGCCAACCUCGGCAGCAAUGCGUUAGAAUCGCUUUUCUUUCCAAAAUCUCGAAGGGACCUACGUACCUCGGACUCAACUUCCCUUUCUUGCCAAAGCAUGAAGUGCUCACCAAAUGGGAAUUCCAAAGGCCUUCGACGCUUAUCAACGUAGCUUUUCUAGUGGCUCUGAGCGGUCUUUAAUCUGUCUCUGAUGAUGGCAACUGCAUCCACUGACUGCUGGACUAACUCUAGGCCUAUGAUCUUUCGUUCUCCAACCUCAUCCCAACACAUUGGCAUUCUACAUGCUCUGCCAUACAACGCUUCAAAACGAGCCAUCUGAAUGCUCUGCUGGUAGCUGUUGUUGUAGACAAACUCGACAAGAUGAAGCUGUUCCUCCCAGCUUCCCCUGAAAUCCAACAUGCAAGCUCACAGCAUGUCUUCGAGGGUUUGAAUCGUCCUCUCAGAUUGGCCAUCUGUCUAAGGAUGAUAAGCCAUACUGUACUACAGCUUCGUUCCUAAGACAGCCUACAAACUCUUUCAAAAAGCAGUUGUGAACCUUAGGUCUUGAUCUGAUGUAAUCGUUACCGGCACUCCAUGCAGACGAACAAUCUGACGCACAUACAACUCUGCAUGCCUGUCCAAAUCAAGGUCCUUUCGUACUACGAUGAAGUGAGUCGACUUCGUCAAUCUGUCGACCACUACCCAAAUGGAAUCAUUACCCCUCUAACUCCUUAGUAAGCUUAUCACAAAGUCCACUGUGAUGUGCUCCCAUUUCCACUUGGGAAUCUCGAGAGGUUGCAAAAGUCCUCCUAAUUUACAAUACAGUGCCUUUACUUGUUGACCUGUCAGACACUUUGCGACAUACUUGGUGAUAUCCGCCUUCAUACCAGACCACUAAUAGUGUUGACGCAGUUUCUGAUACAUCUUUGUACAGCCAGGAUAAAUGCUGUAACUGUUACGAUGAGCUUUUGAUAAGAUCUCUUCUUUAAGAUCUGCAUUGUCAGGUACACACAACUGCCCUCGGAACCUUAGUGUUUCGUUCUCAGAAGUCCAAAAAUCAGCCUUCUUCUUUUCGGUAUUCUCUUGCAGGAUCUUUUGAAUCUUUGGGUCUGUCCACUGAAGUAUCUUUAUUCUAAUCUACACUUCUGGCUCAAUCCUAAGGGUAGCCAUAAGAUUUGAAAGGUGGCCUACCUCAAAUUUGAAAAUCGAAUCUUGAGCUUUCUCGAGUAAAACUCAUUCCUUAACCAUCAUAUGUGCAAUUGAAGACUUCUGACUCAUCGCAUCUGCGACAAUGUUCACCUUUCCAGGGUGAUACAAGAUAUCACAAUCAUAGUCCUUCAGAAGUUCCAUCUAGUGACGCUGUCUCAUAUUCAACUCAUUAUGAGAGAAUAAGUAAUUAAGACUUUGAUGGUUAGUGAAGAUCUGGAAUCUUUCUCCACACAAGUAAUGUCUCCAAAUCUUCAGAGUGAAAAUUAUUGCCGUGAGUUCUAAGUCAUGUGUCGGAUAAUUCAGCUCAUGAGGUCUCAACUGACGGGACGUAUAUGCAACAACCUUACCAUGUUGCAUCAGCACGCAACUCAGUCCUCUAAAUGACGCAUCACUAUAGACCUCGUAUCCUCCAAAACCAGAUGGUAUGAUCAGCAUAGGUGUGGUAGUUAGCUUCUGCUUAAGCUCUUGGAAACCACACUUACACUUGUCUGUCCACACAAACUUCUAUUCUUUCUUCAGUAGUCGAGUCAACGGUGAUGCUAAUGCUGAAAACCCUUCCACGAACCUUCUAUAGUAUCUUGCCAAACCCAAAAAGCUUCUGAUCUCUAUCACAGUUGUCGGUCUUGGUUAGUUGAUAACUGCUUCAAUCUUGGUCGGGUCAUGGAGAUUCCUUUGCCUGAAAUCAUGUAACUUAGAAACGCAACACGAGUCAACCAAAACUUGCACUUACUGAACUUAGCAUACAGUUCAUGAUUCCUUAGGGUCUAAAGUACCAUCCUCAAAUGCCUUUCUUGUUCCUUUGAACUUCUUGAAUACACCAGGAUAUCUUCAAUGAACACGAUCACAAACUAAUUUAGUUAUUCUUUGAACACUCGGCUCAUCAGAUCCAUGAAAGCAGCUGGGGCGUUCGUCAAAUCAAACGGCAUUGCAGUGAAUUCAUAAUGGCCGUAUCGAGUACGAAAUGCUGACUUCGGUAUGUCCUCUUUUCUAAUCCUCAGCUAAUGAUACCAUGUCCUUAAGUCGAUCUUAGAAAAUAUCGAUGCUCCUUGAAGUUGGUCAAACAAGUCAUCGAUUCUCGGGAGCGGAUAUUUGUUCUUGAUCGUCACUUAAUUGAGUUGACGAUAGUCGAUGCAUGGACGCAAUGAACCAUCCUUUUUCUUCACAAAUAGAACUGGUGCUCCCCAAGGUGAUGCACUGGGACGUAUGAAUGCCUUAUCCAACAAUUCAUGCAUCUGCACCUUCAGUUCUUUCAACUCAGAUAACGCCAUUCGUUAAUGAGCCUUAGAGAUUGGCUUUGUUCCGGGUGUUAACUCGAUCACGAACUUAAUCUCUCUCUUUGGUGGCAGGCCUAGCAAUUCUUUUGGAAACACGUCUGGAAACUCUUGAACCACUGUGAUAUAUUCGAUCUUCAGCUCCUCAACUGUCGUGUCCAUGAUAAUCGCCAGGUAACCUUGACAACUCUCGUCUAACAAACAGGUUGCCUCAAGUGACAAGAUUAAGGAAAUUGAGGGUCCUCAUCGACCCCCAGUAAACUCGAAAAUUUCACCCCCUAACGAGUUAAACUGAAUCGAGUUACGAUAGCAGUCCAUCUUAACUCAUUGCUUGGUGAGCCAGUCCAUGCCAAUUAUCACAUCAAAAUUAUACAUAGCUAAGACUAACAAAUCUAUCCUCCCCUCUCGCUCACCAAUCACUAACUUGAAACCAGGACAACCCACUGUAGCUAACACAUUAUCCUUUAACGGUGUAGAUAUGCUAACCACUGACUCCAACAACUCAGGAAUCAAUCCUACUAGCUUAACAAACUAUUCAGCUAUAAACGAAUGAGUUGCACCAAGAUCAAAUAAAACAUAAGCAGUGUGGUCGUUCAGCGAAACCGUACCUAUAAUCACAUUAGACGCGUCCUCAGCCUGCUGUAGUCCCCUCGACUUUCUAGGACAAUCUCUGGCUAAGUGACCCAGCUGGCCACACUCGAAAUAAGCACCCAUCCUUAAAUGGCACAGGGUUAAACCAUGUCAUCUUCCACAAAAGUGACACAUGCCAUUCUGACUCAUCGCUGACUUGUCGAUUCCACCCUUCCUAUUGGGUGGGACAUGAUACCUUCCUCCAGUCAUGGGACUCUUCCCAAAUCGAUUCCCGUCUCUAUUUGAACCGAACCUUGAACCAGGCAAGGCGGCUUGCUCACUCAAACUUCUCUCUAUUAGCUGGGCCCGACCAUAUACCUCAUUGUAAUCCUUGAGAUUAAGCGGCACCAGUGGGUUUCUCAGCUCUGGUCAAAGGUUGUUCCUGAACCUCUGAGCUUUGUCUUCCAGAUCUUCCAUCAAUCUUGGAGCGUACUGAGACAGCUCAGCAAACUUUGAUUCGUACUGAUCCACGGUCAACAUCCCUUGACGGAGGCGCUGAAAUUCGUCCAUCUUCUGCUCUCGGACGCUACUUGAAAAGUACUUGUUGUUAGAGGCUCUGAGAAAAUCGUUUCACAUCGGGACUACGCCUUCGGGGGAAACUGUGCCUCUAGUGGCUCUCCACCAAGUAUUCGUGUUACCUUGUAGCUGGUAUACUGCCAGGACAACUUUCUCCUCUUCAGUGCAUAUCAGAAAUGCAAAGGCUUUCUCUAGGUCUUGGAUCCAGAGCAAUGUAGACUCGGGAUCAAUCUCAGGAUCUCCUACGCCAGUGAACCUCGGCGGGUUUAGCUUCAAAAAUUGUUCCACGAGCUUAUGUAUCGGCCUCUCUCUCUCUCAAUUACUACGUUUCUAGGUGGAACUUCGGCAAGUGCAACAGUGGCUGUGGCUUCAGUAAUGGCGACAACGGCACUUGUAGCGGCAGCAAUAGUGGUGGUGGCUUGAUUCUAGGCUUGCUGCCCCAUCAGUGCUCCUAAUGCCUCAAGCACCUGCAUGAUCCCGUUGAUCCUAGGAUUACCAGGGGCUGCUACCCCAGCACCAAUAGGAGGCGGUGCUACUCCACUAGCGCUAGUCUGAACUAGCACUUUACCACAAUCCCCUCGGGUACCGACCCUUGUCAGCGUCUUACCCCGAGUAACAGGUCCAAUGGUUCUCUUCCUAGGAGUCCUCUGCUCCUGAUCACUCAUGCCGCAGAUUCUAUACAGAAACUUGCCUUCCAAUUCCACAUAAAAUUAAAAGCUGAGCGAUCCCCACAAAACAAUUUACCAACCAACUAUCAAUCACAUGCACUAGCAUAAAACAAAGGUCAUCCUACUAAUUAUCCCAUAACCUAUUGCACCUUAUCACUCCAACUAUCGACCAGCUCUAAUACCACUCCGGGCAGGGAUGUCAUGCCCUAAUCCUCAAGUGCAUGCCCAUCCCUUGGUGGUCGAUAAAUUUGCAAUGUCCCAUGACGCGUCACCGAUCCUUUCAUUAAUGCACAUGCGAAAGCGAAACAAUAUCCCUGAUAACAACUAAUAUGGGAUAGAAAAGUAGGAAACAUAUUCACAAUCAAAACACUUUUAUAAACACCUCGGUUUAUAUACAGACUAGUCUAUAAAUAGGAGUCUAUAAAAGCAAACAAGCCUACAAGUCCUCUAGGCUGAUGAAUCCCCGAUUGAAAACUCCGAGGUCUCCUAGGGAUUUGGGUCCACCACUGCACCACUAGGAGGGUCAGUUGUACCCUCGCCAAAGGCAACUUCUAACACCCAUACAAGGACCUCAAAAUCCUACAAAGGACCCUCUUUGUGUCCAUUAAGCCUACGAUGAUACCAUUCUCUAAAUUAAUGGGGUACCCUCUGGGGUAGACCUGCAUCGACCCAGACGAUGGUCCUCACAAGUUCAUAGACCCAGACCCCGUGGCUUGGAAUAGGGAUAUCGGUGCCCUGCUCGGUAAUCCUCUUGGGCUGGCCAAAACGUUCUGGAGGAACCACUAUCUAAGGACCCGAAAAGGUUGAGCCCAUGAUGGGGUGAGACAAUAUCUCAGCAAGUUCACCCCCUUAACUCCGACUAAGAAGGAAAUAGGCCUAGAGGCAGUUAUACACACAAGUUAGAAGACUUACCUUACCUCAGUUCCCUCCUGCACGUCAAUAUAGUUAUAAUCUCAACCAAUCAAUCCCAUCCAAUCGAUCGUUCAAUACGUUCAAUACCAUCAAUACCAUCUAUAAAUUCAAUACCAUCUAUCCAUCAUCGAUAUGAUCGCUACUCACACAAGCUAAAAUAGAUGGUCAUAACUCUCACAAGCUGACAUAUAGAUGGUAGCUCGCACAAGCUGAUAUAUAUAUUAUAGCUCACCUAAGUUGAUAUAGUAUACUACUCUUACAAGCUGACAUAUCAAAGCACACUUAGGCUGAUAUAGUAUACUGUUCUCACAAGCUGACAUACAAUAAUACUCGCACAAGCUGACGAUUUAAUAUGGCUCACAUAAACUGAUACCCGAUAAAAAUAAUCGUGUAUGGGUACAUGAUCAAUCUGAGCCAAAAUGCUAUAUCUUUCUUUUCAAAACUCCUACUAUUUAAUAUAGUGCCUAAAAAUAUUUUUGGCAUUAAAAAUCGAUGCCUUGGUAUUUUUUGAUUAAAUACCGAAAUUACACAAUUUUGGGAUAAAUAUCCAAAAUUACAAUCAUCACUCAAUUUGCAUGAAAUAGCAUCCGAUUAAAUAAACCAAGCACACCAUUGCAAUCAGCACGAAAUUUCAAUCACUAGCUAUCUCGGUAUAAUUUUCGAAAAAUAACAAAUAAUUAAAUAAAUACCAAAAAUAAUUAAAUAAAUACAAUUAAUUACCAAAUAUGCAAACUUAGGCCAGAAAUGCUUAAUUAACCACCCGAACAGGCCGGGAAAAUUUAUGAACCUAUCUAAAUAAAUAGUACAACUUAUCUAGUCUCUAAUCCAUCCACUCUAACCACCUAACAUGCCCAAACGAAUAAUUAAAUCACUAAUCCAUUCUAACUAACCACCUAAACCAUACUUAGCCUAAACUAAACACCCCUUAAAUGUCAUUAACUCCAUAAGUAGAGUUUAGCAAGUAAACUCACCGAUUUAGCGAUCCGGUGAGUCCACGACGACGGUGAUGCAGAAACGGGCGACAAACCUCCUAGCGGCAACGCCAAACAAGACUCGGAAGAGGCCCGAAACUGCCCACGAAGGCUCACAGCUGAGCUGGGCUUCCGGUUUUAUCCUAGGCCGAGCAAGCUGAAACUAGUGGCUGAAACGGCAAAGUGGGUGAACCAAUGGUUGCAACGAGCGACAACGGGCGACGGCGACUACUUUGGCCACAUGAACGGCGACUGAAGGACUUCAACGAUGGCCUAAGAUGGCUCGGGGGCACGGCUAGGUGUGACGGGAGGCAAGAAGGUGAGACGAUCGCGCGGGGACUCAAGUGGCUGCUCAAGCGAGCGACGGCGUUGGACGGCGGCUCUGGUGACUCGAUGAGUGUGCAACAGCUAGGGGGAAGGGGCUACUUGGUUUCUCUUCAAUUUCUAAGCUUCAAGAGAUCUAAAAAUGGAGAAAGCAAGUCUGCUGAGGAAGAAGGAGACAAUUGAAGAGUGGAGGGUCCCUCAAAGCCUCAAAAGCCUUCCAUUCUAUCCCCUUUGUCCCUUGGCAAGGCCCCACCAGCCAUGGCUGUCAUCCAUGGCCCCUUGGCAGCCCAAGACUUCCCUUAGAAGCUUCACCAACUGGUCCAAAUGUUUCGUCCCCCAUGGCCUACGAAUUUUGCACCAAAUUCCCUCAAACCCACUUUAAUUCUCCUUCAAUUGGAUCUAAAUCGGUCCCCAUAAAAUCAACCAAGGUGUCAUCAUCCCAUUCAACAUUUUUCCUCGUCAAUUCGUCCAACUGGAAUUCCAAAAACGCGAUAAAAAAUGGCCUUCUGAUUUUUCCGAACAAAAACGGCCCUACUUUGGGAUUUUGCCAAAAAUCUCGAUUUGUAGAAAAAUCUUUGGAGGGUGAGUCGACAGUCCUAAAAUGAAUCGUAACAUAACAGAACUUUCAAUUUCUGAAAUUAGGUUUAAAUUCGCGGUAAAUUUCAAUCUGGCGUGAUUUUAGUAUAACCUAAUCUACCGGGUAGCUUUUAGAAAAUUUUAGUGCAAUUGACCCAUGGUCGAUUAUUUUCGAGCCACAUUGUACAUUUUCAAUAUAUUGGUGACUCUCGAUUGUCGUGAAAAUCUGGAGGUUUCAAAUACGGACACAGGGUACCAAAACGACAGAAAAAUCGGUCUAGUGCUGAUCAACGAGAAUUUUGCAAUUAGGUGGAAUCACCUACACUUAAUCACAUGGCUCAGUUGAGUCAACCUAUCUCUAGUCUCUAAUUGAUUUUUAACUAUUCCGUAAUGACUCUUGCAGACUAGCACGGUCGAGCAGUCGAUUUCUGGUCAAAUUCUCAAAUUUAUUGCGUUAAAAUCCCUUAACAGCUUCACUGGAUAGACUAGUUAUCUUGUGAGUGAUCAGCUCAGAUAAUAGAACAAUAGGUGCAUCGAUGAAAAACCCGAUCAUUCAAUUGAAAACAAAACUGGAAAUUCAGGAUGUCACAACAUAUUGAUAAGGAGACUCCGAGCUACGGAAGCACGCCAUGUUGAUUACCUAUAGAGAUAAACUUCAAGAAUGUAUAAAUGAAUUUCGAGGCUUCAGAGAGUAAUUGGAACGUCAGGUGUUACUCGAUCUUCACGGAAAUAUUACCUGUCAAACACGGUUAGAGCUAAAACAUAUAUGUAGUCAUCAAAGAAAUAGACGAUCUAAGCUAAUCUAGAAUGCACACUCCAAAGUCCACCAAAGCUUUCAUCAAUUCAAUCAAUGUUUAUGCAUAAUGAUUUUACCAUAUUUGCACCACCAAAUUUCCACUGGAGAGAAUUAUUAUUCAAGACAAUUUUCACUUAUAAUGUCAACUUCUUGAAAAUGUGAAAUGAGAGAUUUUUAAUUAGAAAGGACUUUCACUCACUUCAUUUAGAAAGGCUAUUUUAUGAGAAUCACUUCAUCUCACCAUCAUCAUAUCAACAAGGGUCUAAGUAUUCUCGUGAACAGUACGAUCUUACCAAUCCGAGAGGUCUUUUUUAGGACCGUAAUGUAGGCUUGGUCAAUGGCUUAACAAAGGGGGACUCUUUGAGUCAAGGCUGUUGAAAGAACAAAACAUCACAAUCAUCUCUGCGUUUACAAGUCAAGAAAAUUGCGAAAUAAGAUAGAAAUAAUAUUGCUCACACUUCUUCGAGCGAUGUUUAUAAACAUAUGAAUAGCUACUUUAAUUCAAGUGCCAUAAUUUGAAAAACUUUGCAGGGAACAUAACGUAGGCUAGGUUUAUGGGUUGAAAAAUGAAAUGAUUAUUAGGCUCAAAAUGUAUAUAGAGGGAUAAGAGUUGAUGAUCAUCUUGGCAUUGCCACCAAUUUUCUUCUUCACCAUCGAGGAUUGUCUUCAUAAUACUCCAUUGACUGCAACACCUUGGUAUUUGGGUACUUUAAGUACCGCUCCAUUGGGGAUACAUCUCUUGAUAAAUGAUGGUCAUCUAUCUUGACUUCUUUUCUUUUCUUUUUUUUUCAUGUUCCCCAUGGACAUUGGCCUUAUUUUUAUCGGGCACACUGCUUUUUCGUGUCUUUAGAUUUCAUUCAUUUUUUUCUUCACCUCUUUUUUCAUGAGCAUUGACCUUACUUUUAUUAGGCACACUACAUUUCAUGCUUCCUAGUUCUUUUUUUAUUUCAACUUUUGACUUUUGACACACUGUCUACAAUUAUAUUGAAUAGCCACACACAUUGGUUUGUUUCUACCAAAUGAUUUAACAUUUGAACUCACAAGGUAUUCGUCUUCCGCUGGCAUUCUUUAUCAUGCUGCUUGAAUGAUUGUCUUUUGCCUUACCCCAAUGUAGGGGAUGAUCACCAAUUGGGUUUGUAUGAAAUGAAAUGCAAGCUCAAGUGAGUUAUGCAAACGAUAUGAGUGUAUAUGAUAGAGAAAUGACCGCUCUUCAUCAUCUUAAGGCACUUAAUUACCAUAUGAAUUCAUCUGUAAUAGCAAUACUUGAAGAUUGAUGCAAGUGAGAGCAGGAAAAUUCCUAUCUAUUCCCUCACCUCAUGAUGUUGUCCUACCUCAUGUUUGCCCCAGUUCUAUUUUUUCUUGAUAGGGGUAAUUUUGAAAAAAAACAUUCUCCACAAGUGUAUGGACUUAAAGGGGUUAACCAAUAGAUUACCUGUAGUGCUUGGGAUAGAGAAAUGAAUUAUCUCUCAUUAUUUUGGUCAUCGUACCUUUCGAGAGAGAACCUUUUACCUUGUGGAUAUGGAAUUUUUCCACACUCACCUCACAUUGUAUAAACAAUGGAUUGUGUAUAGGAUAGGGCUUGCCUUUCUUUAUAUUGACGCAUCUCAUUUAGCCUGCUCAAUCCACUUCACAUCAUUCAUUAAAUUAAUUUUUCUUGAAAAAUCUCCACACGAAAUUGGCCAAUAAAACAGGUAAAGUCACCAUGUAAAUUCUCUUUUCAAAAGCACCUAGCAACUUUAAGCAUGAAAGACUUUGUAACUUCAGAGCAAACAAUUUACCAUACUUAAAAAGUGUUUUCAUAAGCAUGAAAACAUGUUUUUGAGUAUUCAUUCAAGGAAUUGCCUAGCAAAAGGACUGUCUCAGCAAUAGGUGUUCUUGGAUUGCCAUUAUCUAAAUGGAAUGAACAUAUGAGAUGAUCAAUCGAGACUGAAAAUGCAAUUUUUGAUUUGAUAAACACUCCAUUCUUGCUUUUGUUCCUACACGAGAAUGUUCAUGAAUAAUAUACUAUACAAACAAAAGGAAAUGCAAAUUGAACAUCCAUUUUGGCUCAGAAUGAGAUUUUAUUUUGAUUGGGUCAUUGCUAGAACCUAUCAUGGCCCCAAUUUGUCGUCUUCAAGGAAAAGAACAAAGUGUCAUUUCCAAAAUCUUUUAUGUUCAUGAAUGAGAUGUACCUCUUUUAUCGAAUAUGGAUGAUCCUCUUUUGACUUGUCCCUCAUUUUCUCAUCAUGUCGUUUGGCUCUUCGGGGUUGAUAUCGCACACGAGAAGUAAUGAGAUGUGCCCCCACAUCUCGCUUUGAAAGCUAGGUGAUCUUCUUUUGGCUUGCCCUCAGUUUCUUAUUGAUGUGCGAGAAAACGGCUUGGGACAAUUGUGGAAAUAGGAAGUGUUGAAAACCUUCUUCAUUCUUUGGAGAUGCCAUCACAAUCAGCCAAGAAGUGGUCAUUUGCUCCCACAUGAAUUUUUCCUUUGGAUGUAUGUUCCCAAAUUUGUUGAUUAGCAAUUGAAUCAAAUGCCUCUCUAUUAUAAAAUGCUGUUGAAUUAUACACUGAGACGUGAAGUAAAUGAGUUAGAAAAACAAAUAAGCCUAAGUUGAUGUAUGCUUUUAACAAUUGGUACAAAAUGAUUCUUUUUUUUUUUUUUUUGAAAUUUUAUUUUUGGUGUGGAAGCAUGAUGAAGCUCAGGUCUUACAAUUCUCCUUAGAUCUUACACUUUUUAUCAGUUGGAUAUCAUCAUCGAGCCGGUUUGGUGUACCCCAUCAUGCCCUCAAAACGAAACUUGUAAUUUUAUUGAAAUUCACCAAUGAAAUUAUAUUUAUUGGAGUGAAAAGUGUGACAAUCAAUUCCUAGAAAUGAAACGAAAUCCUAGCAAGCAAGCAAAUCUUAGAAAGCAGCAAAAAUUCCCACGUAGGGAGGGUGCAAGUGAACAUGCCCCUAAUUAAAUAAGGAAAUCAAGCUACUUAGAACCAUGAAUUAUGUGUACUUGGGUUCUUCACCCUCCUUAGUCUUGUGAGGUGAAUGCUCUAAGGUCAAAUAUUUUUCCUUCUAGAUACAUCACCAAUCUUUUCUUGGUCGCAUCAAAUUUUACUACCUCAGAAAAUGAGAUGGUUCAAGAGUCCUUAGCUCUCUUCUUUGGAUUGAAAUUUCCCACUGAAGAUGAUGUAUCCAUGUGAUCAUAGCACUUUCGCUUGACGAGACAAGCUACAGUAGUAUGCAACUCAUCAGCCUGACUAUGGAGGCUUGCAAUUCACUUGUUCGUGUCAUUGUCAAAUUAGCAAUAUUGCUCAACACUUCAUUUUGAUAAGUCAUUUUAGCUCUCGACCAUGUAUGUAUGGGUGAGCAGGAUCGCUCCAUAAUCACCUAGUUCAAAUGAAUAAGAACAUAUAAGUACAUGGAAUAAAUAAAGAGCUGGCACAUGACGACGAUCUAAUUUUUUUUUUUUUCAUUUAUUUGCGAAAAGUCUAUACAUGAAAGGAAUUUCCUAAAAAUGAACUAGGAAAAUACAGACAGCAUACUCUAGAAAGGACUAGAAAAUAAGGAUAUCAAAUUCCUAAACAUGAACUAGGAAAAGUAAAAGUUUGAGACUCUCCCUAAUGAGAACAACAAAGGCAUGCAUUGAAAACAAAUUUUCAGAGUUUUCUUUUUGCCAUUUUUUUAAACAACAACAAAUUUCUUGGGAAAUAACAAUCUAUGACACGACUAUGAAAAUAAAAGGCAUAAAUUAAAAGUAAAUUAUCCAAAUUUUUUUUUUAAAGGACUCAGUGAUUGUUACUUCUAAAUCGAAAUGACCAUGAUAUUAACUUCCUAAUUGACCUAUUCCCAUCAUGGACUGACCAAAUGUACGGGAAAGUAAAUAAAUUGCAAAGAAAAGGUUUAGAAGACUUACUUCACCAAGUACGACAACGGCAAACACACAGACAUACACAUGGUAUGUGGCUCAAUUUCUAUUCUAGACAGCUUAAAAAAAUAGAGCCACAAGGAUGAUUGGACUAGCCGCGACGCAUGUGGACUAAGUCAGGUCCUCAUGACUCUGACUUGAUCGAAGAGCCGACUUGGGUCGCAAGCACAUGGACCAGGGUGGGUAUUCUUGACAUCAAGAAAAAAGAUUCGGGAUGGAGAUGGACGACUCGUACUGCGUGCAUGUGAUUGGAGUGAUAUCCAUUUCAAAUCAAUAAGGAAAAAAAUAUUUUCUAUUAUCAUUUGCCAACAUAUAUUACAGAGAACAUAUCAUUGUCUUUCAAGACGUACUUAUAUAAGAAAGCACAAAAUAAAAAUGAUACUCAUGUGAUAUUCCCAUUGAAUUUGCGAAAAAAUUAUGAACUUUGAUGAAUAUUGCGUCGAUCUUUUGAAACGCAAUUUCUUUCUCAACACCUCUUACAAGACCCCAUAAACUGGGUUGCUCGCUCAAAGCAUAGAAAAACACAUUUAGAAGAAAUUUGAAAAGAUAUCUAGAGCUGUUCACAUAUAAAAGGAGUGUUAGAUUUUGAAGAGCGAAAAAUCAACAUUUCUGACCUUCAAAAACGUGGUGAAUUCUUAGUCCCGUGUCUUCGUCAACAAACACUGGAGUUUCAUUAGAGCAUCCUAUUUAUUUUUUCUACCAAGAACAUAUAUACCCUUAUUCCUUCUAAACAAAUCUCAUCAGGUAUGAUAGUCAUAUGACAUCUUGAUUUUCGAGUCUGAUUUCAAUGAGAUGAAAUGGGCUUUUCAUCGACGCGCUUAUGGCCUUAUUCUCUGAAAGGGCCCCUCACGAGAUAACUAGCUUAUCAGGUGAAGCCGUUAAGGGACUUUAAUACAAUAACCUUGAGAAUUCAACUUGGAAUCGACUUCUCAACCGUGCUAGUCUACAAGGGUUAUUAUGGCACCAUCAAAAUCGAUCAGAGACCGGAGAUAGGUCAAUUCGAUAGAGAUAUGUGAUUAGUAUGUGGGUGAUUCCACCUAAUUGCAAAAUUCUCGUCGAACAGCACUAGAUCGAUUUUUCUAUCAUUUUGGUACCCUGUAUCCGUAUUUGAAACCUCGAGAUUUUCACGACAACCGAGAGUCGCCAAUGUGUCAAAGAUGCACAAUGUGGCUCGAAAAUAAUUGACCACGGAUCAAUUGCACUAAAAAAAUUCCUAAAAGCUACCUGGUAGGUUAGAUCACGUUAAAAUCGCAUCAUAUUGAAAUUAACCGCGAAUUUGAACCCGAUUUCAGAAAUUGAAAGCUCUGUCAUGUCACAAUUUAUUUUAGGAAACUCAUCCUUCGAAGAAUUUUCGGCGAUCUGGGAUUUUUGCGGAAAAUCGAUUCGGACGGUUCGGAAAAUAACGGAAAUUUGGAUUGGCCAAAUUGAAUGGAUUUUUGGCCUCCUUACCGAGCCUUUGAGUGUUGGAAACUUGUAGAAAUUUUGUGGGCUUCAUCUUCAUCAAAAUUUGGACGUCAAAAUGGGGAAUUUCGUGGAGGAUUUGAAGCUCAAUUGUUGAAAUUCGGAGCUUUGUAUAAGAGGUUGGAUUUUGUGUAUCAAUUUGAAUUAUUUGUGGAUUAAAAGUUAGAAAGAAAUAGAGGACAAGAGGGAUAAGAUUAGGGGCUUGUGGGGACCAAGAUUUGAUGAUUUAGAUAUUUUAAUUUGGACUUUCAAGGCUUCUCUUGCAAGCUUGCCGCCGGUCCUCAUCUUCUUUGCUCGAGCACCCCGUUGCUCUUUCUUUUCAUUUUCUCUUCCUCGCAUACUUCAAGCCCUCCUUCAAUUUUCCUUCGUCACUGAUUUUCUCUGCCCCUUCCCUGGUGUUAUCCCCCAUCAUUUCCUUUUACUAGUUGCCGCAUCAUCCCCAUCACCUCUAUCUUCACUCCUCCUCUCUCAUCCUGUUUGGUCAACCAUCAGCACACCGAUCCUCCUUCUUCUGCCACGAGACCACUCACCACCGAAGCUUAUCUCCAUGAAGCAAGUCCACCGAGAUCUAUAUUCACCCGAGUCAACCAACAGCCGGUUUGUUGACCCUGCAGCUCCUAGCGAUCGUGGCCAUCUCCACUUCGCUUUCUUGCUGCCACCGUUCAAUCCAGCAAAGCCCACGAUCGACCAGCCGCAGCCCAGCAUCUUCAGUCCACAACAUCACAUCCUCCACCAGCGAUUUCUUUCCACUGCCACCGUCCGUGACUCACCUACCCUCGAAGACAGCCCUUACCGCCAUCUUUCUCCUCGUGUCCUCAGCUCCAUCGACUUCGCUGCUUCCUCGUCCACGCGUCUUCAGCGGUCAACCAGCAAAGCCCAGUUGACCCGAGCAGCGAAGCCCGAAGCCCAGCGUCCCCCUUGCUGCUUCUUUGUUCAGCCCAAUUGAAGCCGAAGUCCAGCCCAGCGAAUUCAGUCCAUGCAUUGUUCUUCAGCCGUUGCAGCCCGUGAACUUAAGCCCACUUGAAGUCAACCCACGGAAGCCCAGCCGCAUCUCAGCCCAAGCCCAGACCAAGCCCAACAUUUUUCUAUGGGCUUGCAAGGCCUUUUUGGCCCCGUCCAAGUGCCCGUUGACGCUGCCGAAAGUUCAGGUUUCAGCCGCCAUCGCAGUGAACUGGUUCUCACUUUAAACUGGUGAGUUUAUACACUAAACUCUUCUUAGUAGGCUAAUGACAUUUAAGAGGUGUUUAGUUUAAUUUAAUUAAGGUUUAGAACGGAUGGUGGUUAGAACGGAUAGAUUAGGGACUAAAGUAGUUGUAUUAUUUAUCUAGAUAGGUUCGGAAAUUUUCCGAGCGCGUUUCAGUAUUUAAUUUAGGAAUUACGGCCUAAGUUAUUUAAAUUGAUUUAUUUAAUUAAUUUCGGUAAUUAUCUAAUUAAUUAAUUAUUUUCCGAAAAUUAGACUGGGAUAGCCGAUGACCGAAAUUUCAUGCUAAUUGUAAUGGUAUGCGUGGUUUAUUUAAUUGAAUGCUAGAUUGUGUAAAUUGAGUGUGUUUGUAAUUUUGGGUAAUAAUCCCAAAAUUGAAUAAUUUCAGUAAUUAAUUAGAAAUUAUCGGGGCGUUGAUUUACAACUCCAAGAAUGUUUUUAUAGACUAUAUAAAUAGUGAGAUUUUCUAAAAGAAAUAUAUUAUAUUUUUGGCGUAGGCCGACCGUGUAUCCACACAUGAUUAUUUUUAUCGGGUAUUUUUAACAUGAAUAAAUUAGGCCAAGAUAUUACUUUAUGUGGCAUCCCAAAAUUCAAAGCCAAGCCAUAAGGUGUGUUAAAGUCUUUAAUUAGGUGAUAUAAUUUCCAUGGUUUAUGUUUUAGCCAUUAGUCUUUUAAUUGGAUGAUUUGUGCUUAUGGUUGUGAAAAUUCAAAUUCGAUAGAUUAAUAAUUUAUGCUUGGCCAUGUGCUUUAAAAAUUAAAUUUCAAUAAAUAAAAUGCCCCAAGACUUUGGCCAAGAUAGAAUUUGAAUUUGGAAAUAAUUAUAGAAAGGAAUUCAAAAAAAAAAAAAAGAGGGAAAAAGGGGGUUAAUUUUCGAAUGGGCCUUAAACCCAUUUGGCCUAAGCUUGAUGGGCCAAGCUAGCCGGCCCAAUAGAGGCCCAAGAGAGGAGUAGUCGCCGGCCAUAGAUGGCCCAAGCCCAAGAAGCCCAAAUUCAAAAUUCAAUUGGACAAGUGGCACAAGGCCCUCAUGCAUUGGCCUAGACUAGGAUGCCAUGCAUUGGUCCAAUUAAGUGGCAUGUAAUCAUUAGCAAUGAUGGGCUCUAGGGGGUAUAAGAGGAGAGGAGAGAGAGAAGGUGGCCGGAUUUCUUUUGGCCGAGAGAGAGGGUGCGAGAGAGAGAGAGAUUUCGAGAGAAAGAGGGAGAGGCCGAGAGAGAGAGGAAGGAGGGAGUCACCGUCGCCGCCGUGUCCGUCCGCUGUACGCCGUCGUUUGUUCAUCCUAGAGGCAAGUGGAGUCCUCUAACUUCUCUUGCAUGCUUGUAUAUUGUUUGUUUGUUAGAUUUUGGGUGUUUUAAGUGAGAAAAACCGAGGUAAGGUUGGCUUGUUCUUAAGUCGUGUGACUGUUCUUGCUCGGGUUGUGGGAGUCCGUAACUUCUUUGAGCUUGCAUGUGUGUUUGGAGUCAGAUUUUGGCUUCGAUGUCUUAAUGAAAGCUGUAGCUAACAUCUUUUACUAUAACAUACUGAAAUUUAGUGAAAAAUUAUGGAGAUUUGAGGGGUUAAAGUAUUGUUAUACGGAGACCUCAGAUCUGGAGAGUUUUUACUGACCUCUUGCUGGAUUCAUGGUUUCAUGUUGGUUUUUGUUGAGAAUAUCACUUAUAUUUCUUCAUGAAAGUUGUAGGAGACAUAUUAAACUACAACAUACUCAAAUUUGAAGUGAAAUGAACAAGUAUAGCCUAGUGAAUCGACUAGAUAUUGAAGAAAAUGAUUCUGGUGGUGUAUUUUGAGAUACCCGAGACUUCAAGGACCUAAAUGAUGACUCCACUCUGAUUAUUUGACUUGGAUCUCUUCAUGAAACUUGUAGAGGAUACCUUGAUGUAUAACAUAUAUAAAUUUCAGAGGAAACGAAAGAGAAUAGCUAGGUGAAAUCUCAAUAUUUCGGAGAUGUGUUUACUGGACGAUGCCGUAAUGGAUCCAGAAGCUUCGUGAGGUUGUAUAAAAUAAUCUAAAAAGAAUAUAGCUUGGAGUUAUUCAUGAAAGUUGUGCGAAAAUGUCUUGGCUAUCACUCUGAAAAAUUUCAUAAUUUUUGGAGGCCAUAUGGAUAUUUUAAUCGAAUUUACUCAGAAACUGUGUAUUCUGGUCAUUAUCCGAAUACUAUGUGCUAUUUUGUGGAAAUUGUGAAAUUGUGUGAAAUUCAAGUUGGCCAUGAAUUUUGCAUGAAAUUGCCAUUCUAUUGGUUUGUUUGAUGAUUGCUUGAAUUUUGUGAUUUUGGGAAAUUAUAGAUAUUGAGUUUAAUAUUUAUUUAUGAAAAUAAAUAAAUAUGAUAAUAAAAUUAAAUAAAAAUAAUAAUAAAAUAAUAAUAAUAAAAUAAAAGGGAUUAUUUUAUUGGCCAUAAAUUCCAUUGAAUUUAUUAAUAAAUAAUUAUGCAUUGUUGUAUGUAUGAUAAGACAUUGGUGUAUGUAUGACCAUGAAUUGUGAUGCAUGUGUGAAUCAUAUGCCAUGUUAAAAUGAGAUCAAAAUGAUGAUAAAUGUGGAUAAUGAUAAGUGAGUAAGUGGUUGUGGUGGAGGAUGAGGCCGGAAUGUACAGAGAUGCAUUGCCGGAAUUCCCUGGGAGAUUCAGGAUGCCCGGAAUGUGGGGGGCCGGAAGCCUUGUCGGAGGUCUUUGCCCGAAAGGAAUGCCUCGCGAUGCCAGGAUUGGGGUGCGAGAUGCCUGGCUAGAAGGGUAAAGGCCGGAAGCCCUGUCGGAGGUUUCUGCCCGAAGGGAAUGCCUCGUGAUGCUAGUUGAGAUGCGAGAUGCCCGGAAUGUGGGGGGCCGGAAGCCCGGUGGCCAUGGGAUGGCUGGAAUGCUGGGAACCCUGUCAGAGGUCUUUGCCCGAAGGGAUGAUGAAAUUGAUGAUAUGAGAAAUGGGUGAUGUGGUGAUCAAAUUUAAAGAUAAAAGAUGAAAAUUAACCCAUGAUAUUAUAUGCAUGAUGAUAUGCAUGAUGAUGAUGAUGAUGAUGAUGAUGAUAUGUGAUGUGAAAUAGGGAUGAUCACCUAUGAUAUUAUAUGCAUGAUGAUAUGCAUGAUGAUGAUGAUGAUGAUGAUAUGUGAUGUGAAAUAGGGAUGAUCACCUAUGAUAUGAUAUGCAUGAUGAUAUGCUUGAUGAUGAUGAUGAUGAUGAUAUGUGAUGUGAAAUAAUGAUGAUCACCCAUGAUAUUAUAUGCAUGAUGAUAUGCAUGAUGAUGAUGAUGAUGAUGAUAUGUGAUGUGAAAUAAUGAUGAUCACCCAUGAUAUUAUAUGCAUGAUGAUAUGCAUGAUGAUGAUGAUGAUGAUGAUGAUAUGUGAUGUGAAAUAGGGAUGAUCACCUAUGAUAUGAUAUGCAUGAUGAUAUGCAUGGUAAUGAUAAUGAUGAUGAUAUAUGAUAUGGCUCGAAGACAUGUAUGAUGAAAUGAUGCUAUGAUGAUGAUGUCAUGUAUGAUGUAAUGAUUCCAUGACAUGUAUGUUACAAUGAUGAUACACAUGAAUGUGUCAUGAAUUGAUAUAAUGAUGCAUGAUAGUAUGCGCAUGGCUUCAAGGUAAGUAACGCCUGCAAUGCAUGUAUGAUUGCAUGAUGCAUUGAGUUGUUAUUGGAUUUCCCUAUCUGCUGAGUGGUUGUACUCACCCCUUUUGGGGAUAACAUUUCAGAUUAGCCAGUAUGCCGCUUCCUGCCGUCACGCGUGGGGUAUUUUAUGGUCUACCAUCCGAUGUAGAUGUCGAGUGUGCUGAGAUAGGCUGUCCCUCUGUUCCCGGACUGACUUUUAUUCGAGUACGCUGUCUAGUGAUGUACGACAUAGGCCUGGCUGGGGGCCCUGUCAUUCAGGAGUUCAUUUCUGUGCACGUUCGUCGGGAUGGAGCGAUGCGAGGGAUGUUGCCGCCGCCACCGCCUGAUGCACCGGGUUGGGUGUGAGACCCGCACGCGCGAUGAGUAGGAGCCGGAUCUUUUUGAUGUAGAUAGCCGACACUUUUGAUGGGGGGUUUAUGCUCGUAUGAUGUUGAGGGUCGACGGUUUCUUUUUGAGGUUUUAGGCUGGACGUGACUGAGUCCUAGCUUUUCCUUUUUGUUGUACCGACCCGAAGGGAAUCCCAUCUUGUUAUAUAUGUAUGUAAGUAAAGUGUCGAGGCUUGUUUAUAAAAUGAUGGUGAAUUAGUAGUGUGUAUUUGUAUCAUGGUUGGUAGGGGGAGAGACGGUGAUAUUUUAAUUUGCUUCCACUAAUGAGUCGCAUUGGGACCGAUUGUUUAAAAAAAAAAAAAUGUGUCUGCGAAUUAGGACACUUUUUCGAAAGAAAGAAAGGUAAUAAGGUGGAACAUCGGCGCUGGUGACGACCUGCGAAGGGUUCGGGGUGUCACACUUUAAUUGAGGAAUUUAUGUGCGAAGCACAUUGCCUUUGGACGUGAGUGAAUAGUUGUGUGAUGGUUUAUAGUCAGGGUGGGUUGAUUAUUGAAAGUUGAGGUAAUAUGUGUCGGGUUGAGGGAACCCGAUGGGUCGUGAGCAGGUAAAGGGCUAAGUACUACACAAGUAUGAGAUUUCAUGUGAGUCACCUCUAGUGCCUUAUACCAUUACUUAUUGUAGUCAAGGGUUAAGUGUUACAUGGCAACUUGAGUCUUAUGGGAAUUACCUCUAGUGCGCUGCAGUAUUAUUAUGCAUAGUGAAGGGUUAAGUACUACACGAGAAUGAGACUUCGUGUGAGUCACCUCUAGUGCCUUAUACUAUUGCCUAGUACAACAAAUGACUAAGUACUUCACGAUAGCAAGAUUUCAUGUGAGUUACCUCUAGUGCCUUAUAUUAUUGCUUUUUGUAGUGAAUGGCUAUGUACUACAUGAUAGCAAGACUUCGUGUGAGUUGCCUCUAGUGCCUUAUACUAUUAUUAUUUGCGGUCAAGGACUAAGUGCCGCAUGAUGACAAGAUUUUGUGUAUGGUCACCUCUAGAGCCUUGAGCCUGAUUUUGAGUUAGAAUGUUGAGAGUAAAUAUCGGAUGUAGAUGGAACCCGAUAUGAUUUACCACACCUGAUUAUAAGACAAAAUUGUGUGACACGGAAUGGGACGUGUCAUAACGAUUUGGCCUUAUAAUCAGGACUCUUGUGGAUUGUUUGAUUGAAUGAUGGAUUAAUGGUGUUGAUUCAAUUGAUUGAGUGAUUGAUUGACUAAGAUUGGAUGAGUUAUCCCAAAGGCUCGAGUGUUGUUACUGCACUUAUAUGAUAUAUGAAUUGUGCUAACAUGCAGGAGGGAACUGAGGCAAGGUAAGUUCUUUGUUCUAAUUGGGUGGUUGUCUGAUUAGAGCACUCUAGGCGUAUUACCCUCCUAAUCGGAAUUUAGAGCAUGAACUCGCUGAGAUUUAUAUCUCACCCCAUUGUGGACUAAAUUUUUAGGGCCGUAGAGUGGAGGACCUAAAGCCGAGUUAUGGUGAUCUGAAGAGUAGGUCAGAUAGGACAGCUUCUUUUUGAGAACUAGUCUUUUAAAGUCUUUUGGAUAUAGACUUUUGUAUAUGACUCAGUGUGUGUGUAUAAAAGCAUGUUUUAUUUGUGAAUCUGUUUCCUGCUUUUCUAUCCCAAGCUAUUGAUGUCAGGGGAUUAGUAAUUUGCUUCGCGUGUGCAAUAAAAUGAAGGGUCGUCGACUUGUCCUGGGAAGUUGCAAAAUUUUUAUCGACCGCCGAGGGAUGGGCACACACUCAGGGUUCGGGGCAUGACAAGUCCUCCGCUCCUUCACAUGGAAAAAUUCCUAUGCUUUUGGAUGACCCCAAAAGAAUGCGUUGGUAUGGCGAUUCGCACUCGGGCCUUGAACGAGGAGGAGGAACAUGCUUAGGAUGACUCAUAACCAUUGCCAAGUCUUUGUCGGAUAUUUUGGGUUUGACCCUUAGUUGAUUUGUAUCCAUUGUGGGGACCAAACCUUCGGAUGAUCUAUUUUUAUUUAGUGCUGGCCUCUAUUGUCUCUUUGUCGGACCCCGUUUAACAAUUUUUUCGGUCUUUUGGGUUCCACCCGAUCGUUGGGAGUACAAGCCAGGAGCGCGGGAACGUGGAAAUCGUCCCUGUUGACAAGGGAACGCGGAAAUCGGACUAAUUCAUCUUUGCUAACCCCGGCAUAUGGGAGAGCAGCUACAAAACUUGGUUCUUGAUCAAUUUCUUUACCUCGCCCUCCGGAAGUUGCUUAUUAUCGUACUCCUCGAAUUGAAAGAAAGUCCAUGGCCGUCUUUGAAUUACUCUUACUGUAUUUGCGCUCUUUCCAAGUUCAAGAAAAAAAGAUUAUCGAUGUACCCAGAAAUAUCUCCUUCGCUUUCUGGAUUUCAUGCCUGAUCCUCUUCAUCCCAGGCACUCCUGUGAGUGCACAGACAUACCUUCAAGAGCGGUGCGGAGAUAGGGGCAACUACGCUGCAUAUAGCAAGUUUCAAGACAACCUCAACCGCCUCCUCUCCAGGGGGCUUUACAACAAAGGACCCAUUUACGGUUUCUACAACACGACGGAAGGUGAAGAUCCCGACAAAGUUUAUGGUCUCUUCCUCUGCAGGUAUAUAACAUGCGAAAACAUACCAAAAAUUUCAACUUUCGAGUAAGACCUUCCAAAUCAAUCAUUGCAAUCUUUGGAAUCGGCUCACUCAGAGGUAGGAUUCAUAAUGGACCCGAUAUACUGGACUUAAUCGAAAUCCUCUACAAAGUACGGUGAUUCAAUGCCAACCGAAAAAUUACUAUUUAGAUUUAUGUGACUACUAAUGCAACUUUACUAUGCCUCUUUAGAGGGGAUGUUGCUGCCAAUCUCUGUCGGUCUUGCAUCCGUGCAGCCUGCAGCACCAUCGUAGAAAGAUGUCCAGGACAGAAAGAGGCGAUCAAUGGUAUGACGAGUGUCUCGUGCGCUACUCUAACAGAUCAUUCUUCUCUAUCAUGGAGACAACACCAGUUAUUUUCAUUGUCAAACCUGCGGACGUUUCGGUUACCUUCAACUGGAUUGUGGAGCAAACUUUCGAUAAGGAGAAGGACUUUGAGGCGGAAGUGUCGGACUUGGCAAGGAAUGUCACGGACUUGGUGAUCUCCACAGAAAGCUUAUAUGCGACGAUAAACCUUAAUGUCUCAAGUUCAGUGACCCUGCAUGAGCUUGUGCAGUGUACCCCCGACAUAUCAAAGUUAGAUUGUAAGAGUUGCUUGCUUUCUGCCAUCAAAGAGUUUCCUACCGUUCUUAAUUAUAAAAGGGGAGGUGGGAGAAUUUUUCUGCCAAGUUGUAAUCUGCGGUACGAAAUGUAUCGUUCUGAUCAGGCACCAACUAACAAAACCCACAAUGAGUCCGGCAGUAAAGGUAUGAGUUAUAUAAUACUCAAAAUGUGCACUCAAUUUGUCAUGGUAAACGUAUAAUGGUACCAUUCCAUCGUUUCUAAUUCUCAAUAUAAGCUGUUUUGUGUAUUACAUUGCACUUGACUUGCUUUUACUAUCUAAACUAUGAUCAUUCUCUCCUGCUUUCAGCAAGUUCUCGGUACUAUUUACACUAGGUGAAAAAAAAAAAAGUCUGCAGAUUUGAGGUUGUUUAGAUGCAAGGAAUUUCUCUUUUUUGACAGGGGUCAAACGAAAUCCAUGGAUUGCAAUAGUUAGCUCAGUAACUGGAUCGGGGUUACUAUUAAUUAUCGUGAGUUUGUGUAUUUUUUCAAAGAGGACAAAGAGAUUAAAGAAAGGUAUAAGUGAAUUCAUCGUGCUUGCCAUUGGAAUGACCAUCUUCUAACCUUUACCUUACGAGAGUAAACUCUUGGACUCUCAGAAAAGGAAAACAGCCAAGAGGUUCUGUUACUUCAUCUGAGACAAGAAAUUGGAGAAGAGUUUUCAAAGGAAAACCCUCGUGGAGAAAAGCCAGUGGCUUCUCAACAAUCAUCUCUGAUGCGAUUAGACAUCAUACGCACGGCCACAGGAAACUUCUCCAAUGGAUGUAAACUUGGGGAAGGCGGGUUUGGCCCUGUGUACAAGGUAAGCAAUUUAGUGAUCAACACGUAUUUAUGGGGAAAUUGGGAAAAUCUUCUAAUGGUAGCGAACUGGCAGAGUCAUUAUCCAUAGCAUGAACUGAAUCGGAUUUGGUUAGCAUUAGUAAUUCUCAAAUAGGGAUCUCACUACUGACUUUAUGCUCUUUCAGGGCACAUUGGCAGAUGGAAAAGAAAUUGCAGUUAAGAGGCUUUCGAGAACCUCAGGCCAAGGACUCAUCGAGUUGAAGAACGAAGUCAUCUUGAUUGCCAGACUACAACACAGGAACCUUGUCCGAUUGUUGGGAUGCUGCUUGGAAGAAGAAGAAAAACUCUUGAUAUAUGAAUACUUGCCCAACAGAAGCCUGGAUGUCUUCCUUUUUGGUUUGAGCUUUAGCAGAUGCAAUGAAUUUUUGAGCUAGUUAAUUUUAGUUUUAUAAAGUUGAGUUCCAUCUGAGUCUCUCAUCUUUGACAGAUUCGAAUAUAGGGCAAUAUCUAGAUUGGAAGCUGCGCAUGAACAUCGCCUGUGGAAUAGCUCGGGGACUUCUCUAUCUGCAUGAGGAUCCUCGCUUGAGAAUUAUCCAUUGAGAUCUUAAAGCUAGCAAUAUUUUGCUAGAUGGUGAGAUGAAUCCAAAGAUAUCGGAUUUCGGAAUGGCAAGGAUCUUCAGUGUAAAUCAAGACAAGGCGAACACAAACAGGGUUGUUGGAACCUAGUAUGUGCCUCAAUAUCUUUGUACGUCCAUUAAAUGUUUGAAUGAUCACUAGGCCAACAAAGGACUCUGAUGAUCAGCUCAACAACACCAGAUUGAGCACAUAAAUAUUUCAGAAGUUCCAUAUAGAAAAUUACUCUUCUUUGUUUCUUACUUCCAACUAAUUGCUCUUCAUCACAUAAUUCUGGUUAGUGGAUAUAUGGCACCGGAAUAUGCGAUGGAAGGACUCUUUUUAGUGAAAUCAGAUGUCUUUAGUUUUGGAGUUCUCUUGCUAGAGAUAGUAAGCGGGCGCAAGAAUAAUGGUUUUCAUCUUCGAGAGGAGGGUGAAAGCCUUCUCACCUUUGUAUGUUCCUAAUCACCAUCCCAGUUUAAUAUGAAAUCGAAGAUUUUCGUGCAGCUACCCUUGUUUAUUUUUCUUGCUAUUUGACAGGCAUGGAAGUUGUGGUCCGAAGGUCGAGCAUCGGAACUUAUCGAUCAGUUGAUCAAUGACUCAUGUGAUGAAGUUGAAGUGCUGAAAGUCGUACAUGUUGGUCUAUUGUGCGUUCAAGAAGACCCGGCGGAUCGACCGACUAUGUCACUCGUGGUUCAUAAUUUAGGAGGCGAUACUAUAACACUCAGCCAACCAUCGCAGCCUGCAUUCUCAGUUGGGAGAGAUGCGAAGAAACUCGAUCGUGUCAUGCCCAUUCAAGGAGCCUCAACUAUUAAUGGAGUAACCCUUUCGGUUGUUGUGGCUAGGUGACCAAGUAUUAUACAAUGGAAAAGCUGUUAGAUAGAAUUAUGAUAUUUAUUUUAUCUUUUAGGAUUGUGCAUGUAUCUCCAUUGUAAUAUAUUUAUAUCAUCCUACUUUCUAUAUUUGUCAUGUAAAGCCGGCUUAUGUUCUCUUCUUUAUAUAUACAAAUAUACAUAAACUAAAAUAUUAUAUGUUUUGCAUAUUUCUUAUCUUUUUAUCUUAGUGUUAGAGCUAGACGGUCUUAAGCAAAUUUUGAGUGCUUGAGUGCGACACACCCGACUGCACACCAGGAGCACACCUUCACAUCUCGUAUCAUGUGAUCCAUUUUUGUUAUAAUUAGUAAUGCCCCUUUCUCAAUGUCGAUUCUUAACAUUUUCGUCACGUAUGCAUAAACGUUAGCCUAUUGCUGUCUAACCUACACACAUCCGUCAAUUCUCUCUUCAGCACAUGAAAUCACCUCUUUGGAUCUUUACUCCCAACGCCAUUUGACUUCCUUUUUCUCACUUUGAGUUUGAGUGUUUGUUUAAGAUAAUUAAGAUUUUUACCUUGAUCCUCCAUUAUUCAGGAUUGUGAAUAUAUAUGUCACAACCUGAUCCACAUACAGCCGCAUGACAACCCUUCCUCAAUACUACUUUCUCUUUGGGUCAUUCAAUUGCAAUGUCUUAGGAGGCAUCGCCAACCCAAAUCAUAAUAACAUUAAAACACACAAGCGGAAAUGUAAACAAAUCUCCAACCAUCAAACAACAGGGAUAGUUAAAAACAUAUUCAUAUAUGUAGAAGAGUGUUACGAAUCAACGUCUCAUACAACAUGAGUUCAGGGGUUAAUCAACUAGUUUCUUCACCUCCGACAUGCCUAACCGCUUCGCCACGACCUCUUCCAAAAAGGGCCCCUGGGCGUAUACCUACGCCUCUAAUACUACGAGGGUGGUUCAAAAAGUGCUAACACCCACAUCUACCUAAACCUCAAUGUCCUCCGGGGUCCAGGCCUCCCAUAUGGUGAUCAGCACAAGGUCAAUCUCGAGGUCAGACACCUCCCCAUCGGGAACGUCCCGAUCCUUGGCAUCCCAGCUGAUGUCGCCCACAGGAUAGGCCCAUGGCUCUUGCCACCUACCCAAAAGUAGCAAGCCACAAAUCGGUGUGGCACAAGGUUAAGUAAACCCUCAUUGACCCAAAUUGUCAUGACAUAUCACCUAUAGUGCGUGUCGGCCACUCCCACUACCAGAUGCUCUGUCACCUCCUGACUAUACUUGACAGGGAGGCCAAAACGAAUCUAAUGAAAUUGUUUAGUCAUUCUUAGAACCUGAAAACAUUUCAACAAAUAAAUAUGAGAUAAACUCAAUAGUGAACUUCCUAGACAUGGAAAUAUCUAGGAAGAGCCCUAAACAUGCAAAUAUCUAUCAAUGGCAAAACAUGGCAACACACUUCUCACUUUACUCUUAUCGAUCUCAUAACAACUUGUCUACCAUACAAGGCCAUCAAAGUAGAUGCAUAGACAAUUUCAUAACAUAACCUUCAUGUUCUCGAGCCAAACAUACUAAUGUGCAUUAUGGUUCAAAUCAUGCGCACAUGCCAUGUAAUAAUCUGAACUGGAACACAUACAAAUCUCAUCCACUUUCCAUACAAAAAUGUGUAGAUUAUUAUGGCCACUCAGAACCCAAAGCCAAUCCAAAGGUUUGCAAAUCAUCUGGAAAAGCUGGGCAUCGUCUUGCCUCAUCGAGCAUAGCAUCCCGUUGACUUGGGGGCAUUCCUAUAAGGAGCUUCAUUCCGAAAUUCAUCCACGAACGGCAUCCUAUUGACUUUGGGGCAUUCAAACUUAAUCGGGCAUCAUCCUACGUAAAACGCCUUAAGACGGGUUCACACCUUGCGUAAAACGCAUCAGGGUCUUAGGUGAUCACACAUGCAUACCAUCACAUACUCCAUUUUGUCUUUAUCAUUUAACCUGUGUGAUGCUCAUGCAAUAUGCAAUUUCACAUGUCAAAUGCCAUCAUUCCACACACGUACAUCAAUUAUCUCAUACACAUAUGGACCAUUCACUUCCUAAACUCAUGACACAUAAUCUACAUAUCAUGUUUAACCACUAAUUCACAUGGCACGUCAUCCAAAUAACAUGUUUAACCACUAAAACACAUGGCACAUCAUUCAAUUAACAUGGAUAACCACUAAAACACAUGGCACAUAACCUAAAUAACAUGUUUAACCACUAAACUACAUGUCAUAUAACCGAAAUAAUAUGUUUAACCACUAAGCCACAUGUCACAUAAUCCAAACAACAUGUUUAACCCCUAAACCACAUGUCACAUAAUCCAAAUAACAUGGAUAGCCACUAAACCACAUGUCGCAUAACCCAAAUAACAUGUUCAACCACAAAACCACAUGUCACAUAAUUCCAACAACAUGUUUAGCCACAAAACCACAUGGCACGUCACUUAAAUAACAUAGAUUACCACUAAUUCACCCUAAACUAUUCCCUAAAUGCAACGAAAGCCCUAAUCAAAUGCUAAAAAGCCACUCGCGGACGACUCGGGCUCCCAAACAUGCCAAGGAAAAGGACUACAAGGCCGGACAACGGCUAGCCUCACAUCCUUCGCGCGUAGGUGAGCUGGACAACAACUGAACAACGGUCUAGCGAUUGCACGUUUGGGGUUCGACGGGUGGUCGCCGGCAAGGAAAACAAGGGGAAAAUGUAAGAAACAAGCUUGAAAUGGUGAUGAAAAUGGCUUGGAGGGUUUGGCUACUCAAAGUGAGGGAGAGAAAGGUGAGUUUGAGAGUUCAAGUGAGAAAAAUGAAAGUGAAAGUGAGAGAGAAAGCGGGUGGCUGGCGGUGAGGGGAGGGAAAGGAAGAGAGGGAAAAGAGAAAGGAACAUUCUAUCUCCAUAAAUGUCCAUCCCAUCCUAUAUCCUUCAACCUACUAAGCCUAGAGUUCUUUUAAUGAGGAAGUGACAACUUGAAGAGAGAACAAAGUGAGAGUGAGGGGGAGAUAGGUGGCCGACAGUAUUGAGGGAGAGGGAGGAGAGAGACAAGAAGAAAUCUUGCUCAUAAAUGCCCAUCACUUCCCUUGACUCUUGUCCAUCAAGCUUGCCCAAAGAAGAAGCAAGAUAUAGCAUUAAAUGGGAGGAUUUGCACUCAAGUGACUAGGAUUGGACUAGACUAGGUAGCAUUUUUCUCUCCUCUCUGCCAUUUUUCCAUUUUUAUCCUUUUGUCUUUAGUCCAAUAGGAGGGCAUUUCCGUCAUUUCACCAAGAUCUCGCAUUAUUCAUGUCAUUUUGUGCAUUUAAUGCCAAGAUUGUGUCAAAAAGGGCUUGAUGGGCUUUGAGGGGCCCAUGGGCCUCCCUUGGUCGCCCACCCCUUAGGUGUGUGGGUCUUGGGUUGCCCACUUAGGCUCAGGCCCAAUAGGUCAUCGUCCUUGACCCGUUUCCAAUUUUUCUACACUCAUAUGCCCUUGCUGAUGAAAAACCGAGGUUUCGCCCUUAAAUGGUCUUUUUUUUUUUUUAUUUAUGCCCUCAUGGCUUAUCAAUCCUCAAGACAUUCUCGUAUGACAAUCACUUACCAGAAUAAUUUCAUUCUGAAAAACUGGGUCAGAACGAGGAUGUCACAACUCUUCCCCUCUUAAAGAAAUUUCGUCCUCGAAAUUUGCAGGACCAACCACUUCCUCGAAUAGAUUGGAGUAUUUGCUCCUCAUAAUGUCCUCGCUUUCCCAUGUCGCUGCCUCGGUGCCGUGAUGCUGCCAAACAUUUUCGACCAAGGGAAUGACUUUGUUGUGCAACACCCGUUCUUUUCUAUGCACGACACGCAUUGGCUGCUCAACAUAAGUCAGUCUGUCGUCCACCUCGAUCUCUUCAUAGCUUAGCACGUGUGUCAAGUCUAAUUCAUACUUUCUUAGCAUGGAAACGUGGAACACGUUAUGAACCUGGGCAAGAUUUGGUAGUAGUGCCAAUUGGCAAGCUAAAGUUCCAAUUAUUUCCAAAAUUUCAAAAGGUCCUACGAAUCUGGGGCUUAGCUUCCCUUUAUUGCUGAAACGAGACAUACCUCUCAUUGAUGAUACUUUAAGGAACACGUGAUCGCCAACUUGGAACUCUAGAAGUCUCUAUCGUUUGUCCACAUAGCUUUUCUGGCGACUUUGGGCUGUCUUUAACCUUUCUCAAAUGAUCUGGACUGCAUCCACAGAUUGUUGCACUAGCUCGAGGCCCAUAAUUUUCCUUUCUCCAACCACAUCCCAACAGACGAGCAUUCUACAUGCACAUCCAUACAAUGCCUCAAAUGGUGCCAUUCCGAUGCUCAAUUGAUAAUUGUUGUUGUAUGCGAAUUUGACGAGGUGUAGUUGGUCUUCCCAUUCUCCUUUGAAAUCUACGACACAUGAUAUCAUUGGUGCCAUAUGCUACCCUAUUCGAUGUAGUCCAUGUUUAUGAUGAUUCACUAUAUUUGUGCUAUGUUUACUAAUGAGCAAAGUUAGGAUCUUGUUGUUUAAUGCCUUGUUUUAUCCUUUAUUGGGCAUUGUUGCUCACCCCUUAUUUUUCCUCUUAGAUCAUUAGCUAUGGAUGUGACACCCUUGAUGACUUAUGGCACAGCUAAGCGGGUAGAUGGCGUGUAUGGGAACUUUGAGGAUGGAGAUUCUAGUCUUGUUUUGACUCAUUAUGUUUGUAUUGUCUGCAUAGAUGAUGGAUGCCCUAAUCAUUUCCCAAUGCGAUUUGUGUUCGUGUACCUUAACGUGAAUGGGAGUUUGUUUGGCCCCAUCUGUUGGUGAUGUUUUGGGCGUGGAGUAGGAGGCGCGCGUGGUAUGGAGGGAUGUAGUGGAUGAGGAAAACUACCGGGUAGAGGAGUUAGGCACCUUUUUGGCCUCUCCUAGGUAUUUUGUUUGGGUCAUCUUGAUGAGUAUUUUUCUAUGUUUGUAAUUGUCAAGAUGUCGUUUUUCUCUUGUAAUCCUUACUUAUGAUGAAUGAAAUGGAAGCAUGUCGUUAUGGAAUUUGUUCUUGAGUAAAAUUUUCAUAUUAAUGAAAGAUUAUAGUCGAGGGUCUAGUGGUAGGUAGGACACACGUGCUAAAACACUGAUCACUUGUGCUUGUUGUAUUGCUAUUUUGUAAAGAAUGAGUAAACCUCGAUUACUCAUAGGGUAUUAGUAACUUAUGUUACUUAUUAGUUGGUUAGGGUAUUCAGUCACUUAAUGACUAGUGACUGAUUUGUAGAAUGGCUAGUGCUUCAAGAGGGAGAGGAACCGGUAGAAGGACAGCCACGAGUGAAUCCCUUAUAAGGACAUAGCCUAGAUUGGAAGGGAUUUUUGCAAGCUCUUGCUAAUGUANNNNNNNNNNNNNNNNNNNNNNNNNNNNNNNNNNNNNNNNNNNNNNNNNNNNNNNNNNNNNNNNNNNNNNNNNNNNNNNNNNNNNNNNNNNNNNNNNNNNNNNNNNNNNNNNNNNNNNNNNNNNNNNNNNNNNNNNNNNNNNNNNNNNNNNNNNNNNNNNNNNNNNNNNNNNNNNNNNNNNNNNNNNNNNNNNNNNNNNNNNNNNNNNNNNNNNNNNNNNNNNNNNNNNNNNNNNNNNNNNNNNNNNNNNNNNNNNNNNNNNNNNNNNNNNNNNNNNNNNNNNNNNNNNNNNNNNNNNNNNNNNNNNNNNNNNNNNNNNNNNACAAGAAGGUGAAGUUUAUGCAGCUAACCCAAAACAACCUAACGAUGGAUCAGUAUGAGCCAAGAUUUGUUGAACUCUCUAGGUUUGCUCCCAAGUUAGUUGAGGAUGGGGAGGAUAAAGCCAAGAGAUUUUUGAAUGGUAUAAGGCUUGACAUGCGUAGGCAUCUAGUGCCUCCGAACCUAAAAGAUUAUCGUGAAUUGUAUGAGCGUGCUUAGUUAGUGGAAUAAGAGCUUGUGACGAAAGGGACCCUAGUAACCCAUCAGGCGAGACCAAUCCAUCAGGCUGGUCAAAGCAAUUUCCACUAUGACAAGAGACCCUUUCAAGCUGGGCGACCAUCGUUCUCAUUGACUAAGAAAAGUUGGACUAGAGGACCUGGGAAGGCAUGGAAUAGUUAGUCAUCGAGGCAACCGCGAACCCAUAUUUCUACUUGUCGGGUGUGUGGUGGAUCACAUGUGAGCAUGUUGUGCCAAUUUGUGAAGGCAUAUUUUGGUUGUGGACAGCCAAAUCACUUGGUUAAAGACUAUCCACAAAGGAGCACCUAGUAGCAACGGCUACCACAAUCAUUGAUUGCAUCGGUGUAACAAGAAAAUAACCGCAGGUUGCCAACUCAAGAAAGAGUCUAUGCAGUUACACGUAAUGAAGUUGAGGCCUCUAAGACAGACAUUAUAGGUAUUAUUUCCUUGUCUGACCAAAAUGCUUAUGCUUUAUUCAAUACUAGAGCUACACACUUGUUUGUGGCUACUCAGUUUGUGCAAUUAAGUAGGAUGAGACCUAGGGAGAUGGAAGUACCCCUUAAUAUCUCCACAUCGUUAAGAGACAUAGUUUUAUCUACCCUAGUGUGUAAGGACUGUAGGAUCUUUAUAGUAGGACAAAGUUUGCCUUCAAAUUUGGUGGUGUUAACUAUGUAUGAUUUUGAUGUGAUCUUGGGGAUGGAUUGGCUUCAUAAGUACCGAGCUAAUAUGGAUUGUUAUAGGAAGAUCAUUUAGUUUAAUCCUCUUGAUCGCCCUAGUUUUGAAUUUUAUGGAGAUAGAGUGACUCCUUCCUUACCGCUCAUUACUACACUUGAGGCUCAUUGACUACUUGAGAAUGGUUGUGAGGGUUAUCUAGCUUGUGUGAAAAAUCAAGAUAGAGAAGGAGUAAAGCUAGAAGAGAUUUCGGUAGUUCGGGAGUUUCUCGAUGUUUUUUCUAAGGAGUUACCAGGCCUACCCCCAGAACAAGAAGUUGAGUUCGUCAUUGAAGUGGCACCCGGUACAAAACCUAUAUUGAAGGCCCCAUAUCGAAUCGCGCUAAGUGAGUUGAAGGAACUAAAUGUGCAACUACAAGAGUUGAUUGACAAAGGGUUUGUUAGGCCAAGUGCAUCACCUUGGGGUGUGUCAAUAUUGUUCGUGAAAAAGAGGGAUGGAUCCUUAUGCCUCUGUAUAGAUUACAGGUAGCCGAAUCAAGUAACGAUUAAGAAUAAAUAUUUAUUGCCUAGGAUCGAUGACCUAUCUGAUCAAUUGCAAGGAGCAUCAAUGUUUUCUAAAGUCGAUCUAAGAUCAGGGUACCAUCAAUUAAGAAUCAAGAAGGAGGAUGUUCCUAAGAUGGCCUUUCGAACUAGAUAUGGACAUUACGAGUUCUUAGUUAUGCCCUUUGGAUUAACUAACGCACCAGCCGCUUUUAUGGAUUUAAUGAAUAGAAUAUUCAAGCUGUUCUUGGGUUGAUUCGUGAUUGUUUUCAUAGAUGAUAUACUGGUGUGUUCCCUUGAGGAUCAUGUUGUAAACUCUUAGAGAACAUCAAUUGUACAUCAAAUUAAGCAAAUGUGAAUUUUGGCUGGACAAAGAUAUAUUCUUAGGUUAUGUGGUGACUGGAAAAGGGAUAUUGGUAGACCUAGAAAAGGUCGAAGACGUUCUAAAUUGGCCAAGAUCGAUGAUGGUAAUCGAGAUUCGAAGUUUCUUGGGUUUGGUGGGAUACUAUAGGAGAUUUGUGGAAGGAUUUUCACGGAUUGCAAGGCCGUUGACUUAAUUAACUUGGAAGAACUUGAAGUUUGAAUGGACAGAGGAGUGUGAGCAAAGUUUCCAAUAACUCAAGAGGAGGCUAAACACGGCACCUAUCUCGACAAUACCUUCAGGACCUGGAGGAUUCGUAGUUUAUAGCAACACAUCACACAAGGGACUGGGUUGCAUUUUAAUGCAACAUGGAAAGGUCAUUGCGGAUGCGUCAAGACAAUUGAAGCCGUAUGAGAUGAAUUACCCUACCCACAACCUGGAACUCGCAGUAUCAUUUUUGCAUUGAAGAUACGAGACUUGUAUGGAGAGAAGUUCGAGAUCUACACGAAUCAUAAGAGCUUGAAGUACCUAUUCUCUUAGAAAGAGUUGAAUAUGAGGCAAAGGUGGUGGAUGGAAUUAUUAAAGGACUAUGAUUGUGAGAUCUUAUACCACCUCGAAAAGGUGGCCAUAGCAAUAGUUAGCUUAAUGGUCAAGGAAUGGAGUUUACUAGAGAAGAUCCUUAAUCCGAAGUUUAAGGUCGAGAUGGAUGAUCUCACGAGCAUAAUGGCUACCCCUAGGAUUGAGCUAGAGAUUAUACAACAAUUAAAGACUCUACAACAAUCUGACUUGGAAAUCUCGAAACUUUUCGAGAUGAGAUUGUGAAAGGGAAGAGACUUGAAUUCCAAAUUUCAGAAGAUGGAAUUGUGAGAUUCCACAAAUGCCUUUGUGUGCCUAAGGACAAUGAGAUAAGCAGGGAGAUCUUGUUAGAAGCCCACAGGAGCAACUACAUCAUCCACCCAGGAAGUACCAAGAUGUACAGUAACCUUCGCCAAAGUACUAGUGUAAUGGAAUGAAGGCAGAUAUCAUGAAACAUGUCGCAAGGUACCUGACGUGCCAAUGGGUGAAAGCAGAGUAUUGUAAGCUUGCAGGGAUGUUAAAGCCAUUGGAAAUCCCAGAAUGGAAAUGGGAACAUGUGACAAUGGACUUUGUGCAAGGAUCGCCAAGGACCUCAAGUGGUCAUGAUUCGAUAUGGGUGAUAGUGGAUCAACUAACGAAGUCAACCGACUUUCUGGCUAUAAGGGUAGAUUGUUCAUUGGAAAAGUAUGCUGCUUUAUAUGUUAAACAAAUAGUACAACUUCAUGGUGUCCCUAUGACAAUAACUUCAGAUCGAGAGCCGCACUUUACAUCGAAUUUCUAGCGAAGUCUUCAAGUGGCAUUAAGGACCAAGCUUCAAUAUAGUACUGCUUUUCACCCCUAAUGUGGCAUCCGAAAAUUCCAACGGCCCUCAAAUAUGCAACGGCCAUGUUUUCUUUUAUCUAUUGGACCGACCAACCGUGCAACAAGAGAAGUCUUUGGACUUUGAUCGUUUGAUGGAAUUCGGCCAUGCAUGAGGAACACACAUGCCGAAUUUAAGAAUAAAAUUUUGAGGAGUUGGACCGUGCAUGAGGACCAUGCACGUCUUUUCUUUGUGCGAUUCGGCAAGUGAGGAAAUGAAUUUUUAUCACCAUACAACUCUGUUGAGUUCUUUCUCCACGCAAGAAUUUCGUUCACAUACUUGUACAUUGUUGCGACACCGUGUGGUCAUGUGAGUAGGCUGUAAUUUAGCUCAUGCAUGGCGGAGAUUAAGGUAAAUAUUUGGAGAAAAUUGGGCCACGCUCGGAGACCAUGCGGCCACGAAUUUGUUGGCCCAAGCUGCCCGACUUUCUUUCUCCUUCUUCAUUCGGUCGACAGCAUGGAGUCAACAAAUCAAGGGAUUGUUGACUGAGAGGAGCCCAGCAACUGCCACGUUGCUCUCCCAUUCGGUGGCCAGCACAUGAGGAAAACCGGACAAGGAGAGACACGCCUCCUCCACCUGUCCAUUUCAGCUUUAGCCACUUAAAUUUCUGAAUGCAAAAAGUGAUUAAUUAGUUAAUCAAAGAACAAAAAGGGAGGAGUUCGGAUUUGAGGGGAAGAGAGAGAGUGAACUGAGCCGAACCCAGAGCAGAGAGAAAGAGAGAGAGAGAGAGUUCGAGCGAGAGAGUGGGCGCACGGGUGUGAGCCGCAAGGGAGGAAGAGAAGGAUCGCCGUCCGCCCGUGCUCGAGCUGCUGCCGUCAAUGCCGCCCGUCUUCAUCACCAUUGAGUCACGCACGAGGUCCCGAGCUUCCCGUUCGGUUUGUCGAUUGAGCUUAGGAGUGAGGCAAGUAGAAGUUCAUUAAUCUAUGUUAUGCAUGUGGUGAUUAUCUGGUGAAGUGCUGGUAGAUUUGAGAAAACGCUGAAAUGGAAACUGCAUGUUGGGUUUUCAGAUGAUUGAUAUGAAGAUUGAGUGCUGUUCUUUGGAGGAUUAAAUGUAUUGUUGCUGUGUUGUGUUGGAUUGAGCUUGAUGAGUACUAGAUCAAAGUUAGAAGUCAUUGCAUGUUGUUUUGAGUCUUGCAUGUCUCAAAAAUUUAGUGAAAGUUGGCUGUUUUGAUUGAGCAAAGUGAAGUGAUGCUUGCCAAGUGAAGAAAUGAGGUGUAUGUUGAGAUGAGUGAGCUUAUAGAUGAAUAUAUGCUUUGAGCUGUGGAAGGUUUCUCUGUUAAUAAGAACUUGCUGAAAAUGUUCUUUGAUGCUGUGGAAGAGUCUUGAAGUGUUAUAAGAUAGAUUGGUUGAGAAACAAAUGGUUUGAUUGAACUAGAAAUGAAGAAAACCGUAUGUACCGAUUCUGUUUUAGAGAAAUUUAGAUAGAAAGUCUUUUUAAUUGUGUCACUCUGAUUUAUAACGAUGAAGAUAAGAAAAUGAACCAUUUUACAUAAUAGAACACCCAUUAUAUUGAGUUUGACAUCUAGCUAUAGCCACAUGAAUGUAAAAAUAUGAAGGUAGAAGUGAACCUAUUGAAAACAAUGAACUGUUUCGUAGAGGAUAGCUUGACCUGUGAUGACUCCGUGAAUUUUCUGUAAUUAUCUAGUUAGAAUUGGACUUUGAACUCUUAAUGAAAGUUGUAGGACACAUCCUUAGGAAUAACAUAUUAAAAUUUGGGAACAAGAGGACAAUAUUAGUUGGUGAAACGAAUUUUCUUCUGUAGGUACUGAAUCUGAAAGUUACUGCAGAAUUUUGAAGGAAAUAGCAAACUAUUACUCUUUAUACACAACGAAUAUGACUUAGUGUCCUUCAUGAAAUUUCUUCCUUUAGGUCUUAUGUAUAACAUAUCAAAAUUUCAAAGCUUUCUGAGUUCAUUUAGGGGUCAUUACGAAAUUGUUACUAAAACUGUGCAUUGUGAUGUUUGAGCUGUUUUGUUCCGAAUUUGCUCAAUUUGUCCCAAAGGUGAAUGCAUCUUGAGUUGUUAUUUGACAUGAUGAUAUUGAAAUUCAGCAUAUCAUGAUAUAUUGAGAUUUGGUGGAGAUUCAUGGGACAUCUUGUCAUUGCAUUGAAAAGUGUUUUCGAAAUUAAGAUGUUAAUUGUUGCCGUUGGACCCUCGGGUCAACGAUGCCCCGGGAGUCGGGAUGCCCAAAGGUUCGAAUGAGUCGAUGCCCUUUGGAUGCCUUUUUUUAUUAUGAAUACAUGCCCAGAGGUUUUCCCAGGGAGCAUUGGGAUGCUCGGUUGUAUGCUUGUCAGUACGUAAAUCCGGAGGUUAGGGGUAACCAUGUCUAUGGUCCCCAGUGAUUCCUCGUGAUGCCAGGUGGGGUGCGAGAUGCCCAAAGGUUCGAAUGAGUCGAUGCCCUUUGGAUGCCCGGUUGUAUGUUGAAUACAUGCCCGGAGGCUUCCGCAAUGCCAGGGUUGGGUGCGGAAUCCCAGAAGGACGCAAACGUUGGUCCCCUAGGGGGAUAAAACCGUUUGAAUAAUUAAAUCUAAUGAUUAUAUUAAGUGUGAGUGUGGUCUAGUUAUGGGACUAAAUUGUAUGGCAUGGAAUGGGACGUGUCAUUAUAGUUUGGCCCUAUGAUCGGGACUUGUGUAACUGGACAUGAUGCAUCUUGAGGGUUUCGAAAUUGUACUUGCCAUUGCAUUGAAGAAUUUCAUGAUUUUGAUGCUUGCUUAUCCAUUGAUUACCUGUUUUUGUCUAUCUUGCAUGAAUCUGGAUAUUGAUGGUACUGCGUGAUAUAGCUUAAUGAAUCUUUUACUACUGAGUAGUUGUACUCACCCCAUUUGGGGACUAACAUUUUAGACUAAGUCAAGAUACCUCUGCUGGCACCGCCACCAGUAGAUGGACUGAGUGAUUGAAUAUGACCACGAGGAGGAGGAUAGCAAAUGAAUGAACUUUUGGACGCCGACACUGAUCGAUGGACUUUAAGUAUACGACUGUUGGAAAAGAUGUCGGUCAUCUUUUGAAAUAUAGCCAAGUAUAGAAGACUAUGGCAUGGCAUUUUGGUGUACCGACGAAUGAUGUCCAUCUGGUUUAAGUAAAUAAAAGUGUUCGGCUUUUAUCUUAUAAAAGUUUUAGUUGGUGUGCAUUGUCUCUGAAUUUGGAAUAGGGAGAUGUUGGAUUUUGCUUCCGCUAUAUAUAUAUAUAUAUAUAUAUAUAUAAACUGCGCUGGGACCGAUCUAAAUGAUAUACACCCCCAGGAUUUAUGGACCUAUUAUAAUUCUAUGGUAUCAGAGUAAUAUAUUAUCAAGUCAAGAGAAAGGCAAGUGGACUGUGGCGACCCUAGCGAAUCGGGGGCCGUUCCGAGGUGCCACACCUAAAUAGAUGGACAAUGCAAGAGGACUAUACAGACAUUGGAAGAUAUGCUUUUAGCCUGUGUCAUUGACUUUAAGGGUAAUUGGGAUGAAAAGUUACACUUGGUGGAGUUAGCCUAUAACAACAACUUUCAACAAAGCAUAGGCAUGGCUCCAUUUGAAGCAUUAUAUGGUAGGAAUUGCAAGACUCCUAUUUGCUAGGAUGAGGUUGGAGAAUGGAUAUUAACGGGACCAUAAUUGGUUCAGGUGACAACUAACACGGUAAAGACAAUUCGAGAUUGGCUCAAAUUGCUUAAAGCCGACAGAAGAGUUAAGCCAACAAGGGGCAUAGGCCUUUGCAAUUCAAUGUAGGCGACCAUGUGUUCUUAAAGGUAUCGCUAUGAAGAGCGUAUCAAGGUUCGGAAGGAAAGGAAAGUUGAGUCCAUGAUUUGUAGGGCCUUCUGAGAUUCUUGAAAGGCUAGGGGAGUCGGCAUAUCAAGUAGCCCUACCACUGAAGUUGUCCAACAUGCACGAUGUUAUUCAUGUGUCCAUGUUAAGAAAAUAUAAACCUGAUCUUGCACAUGUGCUAGAUUUUGAAGUGCUUGAAAUAGAUAAGAAAGUGAAGCAUGUGGAGGAGCCGGUACAAAUUAUGGACCGUAGGGAACAAAUGCUGAAGAACAAAACAAUACCGUUGGUCAAGGUAUUGUGGAGAUACCACGACUCGAAAGAGGUGACGUGGGAGAGCGAGGAAGAGAUGAAGCUUAAGUAUCCGCGUCCUUUCUAGUAAUCAAGUAAGUUUUAAAAUUUCGAGAUCGAAAUUUUAUAAGGAUAGGAGAGCUGUGACAUCCUGAAAUUUCAGUCUGAAAAUUUCAUUUAAGCUAGUGAUUGUCAACGGAAGAGGAAUCGGGAUAGGUGGGAUUGUCCGAUGGGCUUUGCAUGUGGGCUAGGCGUGUGGAAAGCCUAGUGGGCCGAGUUUUGGGCUAAGCGUGGACUGGAGAGAGAAAAGUGGGCUGUGAAUAAGGCCCAAUGGGCUGGACGUGUGCGGAAGGUUUGGUUGAGGUGGAAAAUACCGAGAUUUUGGUCAAUGUAUGUGUUGCGCAAAUUCGAAUAAUUUUGAAUGUUCGAUGGUAUAUUCUUGCAAUUCAAUUGGUGUUGUUGUGAUGUAUGGAAUUAAUAGUGGACAUAAGAUCCUUGAACAUUAGAAAUUGUGGCUUUAAGAUGUGUGCAAUUCCACUAAGUUUUUGGUCAUAUUGUUAGUGGAGGAUCUUGGAAUAAAGUUGCUUGAUUUGGUGCCUAGCGUUUGAGGUGGCCGAAUUCUUUGGGCUAGGAGAGGGAUUAGUUUUGUUUUGUAUAAGAAGCCAAGUAGAAAAAGACAAGAUCUAAGGAUUACUUGCAAUAAGUUUUGGUUUCCCAUGCAAGUUUCAGUUUUCCCCCUUCCCAUCAGCCGAAAACUAGUCCUCCUGAUGGCCCUAAAUCCCCCCAACCAAUCUCCUCCUUUGCAUGGCUACAGCAAGGGAAAAAUUCCCAAGGAAAGCCAUCAUUUCCCCCCAUUUUCUUCCUUCAUUUUCCCUUCUCUUUUGUUCUUCUUCUUUAUUCCCCUCACUCACCCAACGCCUCUCUCUCUCAUUUUUCUUCCCAUUUCCUUGUUGAUUAUUCAAAGGACCAGCGACCAAGGUGCAGCUAGCAUUAAAGGGAACUCAACAAAGCAAUUUUUGAGUCCUAAACUAGGUGAGGGAAUAAGCUAAGUAUUAAACUUCGACAUCCUCUCGAUACUUGAGAGUGGAUUAGUUCAAUCUAAUGGAUUUUUGGGUUAUAGGAGCUAGAUCCAUGGAUGACUUUAGCUUGCAUAUAUCCUGUGAUGUGAGGGAAGUAUUGCAUGUAAGUUUCUCAAAGGUUUUGGGUGCUAAGCUUGCAUGAGAUGCAUUCAUAGAAGCUGAGGUUGGAUUCUCCUUAAGAUCUAUUUUACCGGACCUCCUGCAUUUGCUGUUUUCGUGGGUUGAAAUGCGCUGCGAAUUUAAGGUUGCUUUCUCCUUGAAAAAUAUUUUAAUCAUCUUCAUUUAUAACAUAUAUUUUACUUAAGAUUUUAUGGAUUUGAAGGACCGAUUUUUCAGCUUCAUUGCAUGCAAAUUAGUAUCUUGUUUUAUGCUGGAAUCCGUGACCUUUUAGUGUUCAACAAAUUUUUAUCAACUUUUGUGGUUUGAUUUUUAAAAUGGUUUCUUCACAAAAGUUGUUCAGUACAUCUUGACGUUUAACAUAGUCAAAUUCCAGAGAAAAUGGCUGAAUUUUUAAUUUCAAACCAAGCUGGUUUUGAAAACGUGAUUUCUGGACACGAGGAGAGUUUUGGUGAUUGUUUUGUGCGAUUUACUACUCUUAUUCUAGAAAGAAUUGGGUUAAAUAUUUUCAUGAAAAUUCUUUUUUUAAGUGUUCUUUACUUAUGUUUCUGGAUUUAAUCAUAGAGCCACCCACGCAUGUGGACUUGGUUUCUGCCAGUGAGGGCUAGUUGUGAUCUUGUUGCUAUUUUUGAUGUUUUACUUGCUGGAAAAUGCAUAUUUUGUGAUUGUGGAUGAGUUUGGCAUGUUGAGAACCUAUGCUUGAUGGCUAUGCAUGAGUAGUGAUCAUUGUGUGUGCAAAAUGAUGUGGAAAUAGGCAUGGAGGUGGUGUGAAGGGCAAUUCUGCUUUAUGCGUGCCGAUGCAUUGUGAUCUUGGCAGUAUGGUGGUUUAUGUGUGUGCUGGUGGUGUCAAAAGUGUGCCCAAAUGGAUGAUUGUGAUGUGGUAAAAUGUGUGAAUGAAUCAAAUUAAGAGACAUUCCAUCGGUCAACAUCCCGAUGAGGCCCCCUGGGGAGUGAGGAUGCCCCAAACUGUGUGGUCUAGGAUGCCUCAGUUCAAGUCACAAGGCCAAUGACCCUUGGACACCAGGAUGCCUCGAAGGGAGAUGCCUAGGGCCAACGUCCCUUAGAAGUCCAACCAGCAACCUGGAAGUGACUCGAACAGAUCCAACCAGCGUCUCUGGUUAAAUCCAAUUCGAGGGUGGAUAUGAAAUGUUCUCACAUUGAAAUUAAUUAACAAGGCAUGUGAGUACGUGUGAUGAUGUAGUUGUGUGCCAUGUGACGCAUGAAUGAAUUCAUGUGCACCGUGUGAUGCAUGAUUAGAGUUCGUAUAUGUCUUGUGGUGCGGUCUUCAUGCAUUUUACUCAUUAUAGCUGUGACAUCCUAGAUUUUCAGUCCUGUUUUCAAUUUAAUAAGUCGAGCCUUUCAUCGAUGCACCUAUAGUGCUAUUCUCAAAUCUGAUCACUCGUGAGAUAACUAGACUAUCUGGGGAAGUCAUUAAGGGAUUUUAAUGCAAUAGACUUGAGAAUUCGACCAAAAAUCGACUAAUCAACCAUGCUCAUCUGCAGAGAUCAUUACAGCACAGUAAAGAUCGAUUAAAGAUCAGAGAUAGGUCGAUUUGACUGAGAUGUGUGGUUAAACUUGGAUGAUUUCACUAAAUUGCAAAUUCUUGUCAAUCGGUACUAGAUUGAUUUUUCUGUCGUUUUGGUAUCAUGUGUCCGUAUUGAAACCUCAAGAUUUUCACGAUCACCAAGAGUCGCCAAUGUGUUGAAGAGGUUUAUUGUGGCUCGAAGAAAAUCAACCACGGGCCAUUUGCACUAAAAAUUUCUGAAAGCUACCCGGUAGCCUAGGUCACUCUAAAAUCGCGCCAAAUCGAAAUUAACCGCGAAUUUGAAUCCGAUUUCAGAAAGUGAAGUCUGUCAUGUCACAAGUCAUUUUAGGAACGUCAACUCAAUCUUUGAAAAUUUUUCUGCAAACCAAGAUUUUUGAUGAAAAGUCGACAUAGAGCUAUUUUUGUCCAAAAAAUUCAGAGGACCGUUUUUUAUCGCGUAAUUGGGAUGCAAGUAGGUUCUAUUGGUGAAGAAAAAUACCAAUUUGAUCGAAGACUCGAUAAUGGAAUUUAUAGAUACCGAAUUGAGUUGAUUCAAGAUGGAAUUGAAGUCCAAUUUGGGGAAAAUCCAAUCAAAAUUCGUAGCCCCCCCUUGGACACAACCUUUGGACCACCUCCAAGGCUUCUAGAGGAAAUUUGGCUGUUGGAAAUUGGCUGAGAAAGCCAGCUUGCAAGUGGGACCAAGCUAAGGGAGACAAGAGGAUAGAGAGAGGCCAAGGGGAACCCUCUACCGGCCAAAGCUGUCCCCUUCAGUCUAUCCUUGCUGCCGUCGACCCUCUCCUCCAUUCCAGCUCCUUGAAGCUUCAAAAAUUCCAAAAAACAGAGCUUCAGUCCCCCCUUGCCGUCGCAACCACCCACCAAGCCACUGGACCGCCCCUCGCAACCGCUCGCUCGCCCGCACACCACCCACAAUCGUCUAGCCUACCCGCAUCUCCAGCCACUCGUUCCGCUACUGCUCGCAACUGUCCGGUGUCGCCAAGCCGCCGUGCAUCAUCAUUGUAGUCACCGGAGCUACCGUCUACCCGCCUGCACAACCGUCCAAGCUGCUGUAGUCCCCGCUGACCGUCCUCGCCGCUUCAAGCCGUCAAAGCAACUUCUUUGGCUCAACCACAUAACCGAAUGGAGUGGGUCUCGCCAGCACUUUUUGGACCGUUUUGGUGCCCUUUUGGACCUCGAAAGGCGCACCCGUUUUGGAAUUUAUCGAUCCUCUCUGCCUCGCCAUCAUUUUGGUUCAACCGGUUCAUUAAUCAAGUGAGUUUAACUCACUAAUCCCUACUUAGUAAGUUAAUGACACUUAAGGAUUGAUUAGUUUAAGUUAAUUAGGGAUUAUGUGGUUAGUUAGAACAAAUUAAUGAGUUAAUCGAUCAUUAUUGCAUGUUAGGUGGUUAGAGUAGUGCAAUUAGCAAGUAGAUAAGCUCUAGUAUUUAUCUAGAUAGGUUCGGAAAUUUUCCGAACCCAAAUCGAUAUUUAAUUAGGUUUUUCCGGCCUAAGUGUGCAUUUUUGCUAUUUAUUGGUAGUUAUUAAUUAUUUUCCGUAAUUAUUUAAUUAAUUAUUAUUUUUCGAAAGUUAGACCGAGAUAACUGGUGACCGGAAUUUUAUGCUACUCGCAGUGGUGUGAUUUGUAAUUUUGGGGUAUUUAUCCCAAAAUUUUAUAUUUUUAGUAUUUAAUUAGAAAAUACCGAGCAUCGGUUUACAACGCCAAAAAUGUGUUUAUGGACUAUGGAAAUUAGUGGGAUUUUCAAAAGGAAAAAUAUUGUAUUUUGACUAAGGCCGACCAUAUACCCACACACGAUUAUUUUUAUUAGGUAUCAUAAAAAUGGUGGCAUUCUCAGUUGGUGAGAAUAAGUAUACUAUAUCAGCCUACGGGUGUCAAUAUAUCAGCUUUGGGUGAGCAGUAUACUUUAUCAGCUUAGGGUGAGCAUCAUAGGUAUACUAUAUCAGUCUACGGACCUUAAUAUAUCAGCUUUGGGUGAGCUAUAUAAUCUAUUAUCAACUUUGGGUGUGUUAUACUAUCUAUCUUCAGUUUUGGAUGAGCAGUCCUCAAUGAGAUCGGACUAUAUAGAUAGUAUUGAUUGGAUUGAUCGAGUAAUGGUCGUGAUGACAUGGAAUCGACCGAGUCGAUUGAUCGAUGGUUCAAUCUAAUGUGAUGAUGUGAUUUAUUGAUGUGAUUCGAUUAUUUCGUGAAUCAUACUGACUUGCAUGAAUGUACCGGGGUAAAGGUAAGUCAUCUGACUCGUGUUUGUGCUUAGGCAGCCCUUAGAGUGUAUUCUCUUCCUAGUCAGGUCUUAAGGGAUGAACUUGCUGAGACGUCGUCUCAUCCCGUUGUGGGAUAACAUUUUCAGGUCCUUAGAUAGCCGCUCCUCUCGAGUGUUUUGGACAACUGAAGAAAGUCACAGAACAAGUAUUUACAUCCCACUUCAUGGGAGCCCUCGAGGAUGAGUCUAUGAGCUCAUAAGGUUCAUGGUCUGGGUCGAUGAGGCUUUACCCCCACAAGGUAUCUCAUCAAUUCAGAUCAUGGUACUGACGUGCGCGGGAUGGACAGAGAGGGGGUCCCAUACCGGAGUCUGAGAUACAUGUGUAUGUGUUGGAGGUUGCUUUUGGAAAAGGCACAGCAGAUCCUCUCGAUGGGUCGAUGGUGGACUCGUAUCUAUCAAAUCCAGGGAUCCCGGUGUAUUCAGCUAAAGGCUCCAAUGAGAAUGAGGAUGAGGAUGAGGAGGAGGAAGAAGAUCUGUAGUUUUAUAUAACCCUCAUGUUUUACAGAUCUUGUUUUAUAGACCGGUAUUAUAUAUGACAUAGUUUGGUAUGUAUAUAUAAGUGUGGCUUAGUUUGAUUUUAAAAAAAAUUGGUCCUACUUUCCUAUCCCAUUUUGUUGUUGUCUAGGAAUUAUUUAUUGGCUUCCGCAUGCGUAUUAAAAAGAAUGGGUCGGCGACGCGUCCUAGGACGUCGCUAUUUAAUCGACCGUUAAGGGAUGGGCACGCACUCGGAGGAUCGGGGCGUGACAAUAGCUUGUUUAGUUCACAUGAUAUCAUUAAUGCCAUAUGCUGCCCAAUUCGAUGUAGUCCAUGUUUAUGAUGAUUCACUAUGUUUGUGCUAUUUUCACUAAUGAGUGAAGUUAAGAUCUUGUUGUUUAAUACCAUACUUUAUCCUUUACUGGGCAUUGUUGCUCACCCUUUAUUUUUCCUCUCAGAUCAUUAGCUAUGAAUGUGACACUCUGGGUGACUUAUGGCACGCGAGAUGGCAUGUAGAUGGCAUGUAUAGGAACUUUGAGGAUCAAGAUUCUUGUCUUAUUUUGACUCAUUAUGUUUGUACUGUCUGGACAAAUGAUGGAUGCCAUAAUCCUUUCUCGAUGUGAUUUGUGUCCGUGUACCUCAACGUGAAUGGGAGAUUGUUUGGGUCCAUCCGUUGGUAAUGUUUUGGGCAUGGAGUACGAGGCACGCGAGAUAUGGAGGGAUGUAGUGAAUGAGGAAAACUACCAGGUUGAUGAGUUAGGCACCUUUUUGACCUCUCCCUAGUGUUUUGUUCAGGUCAUCUUGAUAGUAUUUUGCUAUGUUUGUAAUUGUUAAGAUGUCGCUUUCCUCUUGUAAUCUCUACUUAUGAUGAAUGAAAUGAAAGCAUGUCAUUAUGGAAUUUGUUUCUGAGUAAAAUUUCCUUAUAUUAAAAAUGUAUACUCUUCCCCUUGCGUAAUAAUAAUGAAAGAUUAUAAUCGAGGGUCUAAAGUGAUGGCCUGGGACGUCACAAAAGUUAAUAUUCGAAACUUGGUCGUGGAUUUCUAUAUUAUUGUUUUAAAUUCUAAAAUCUGAUUUAAUUUUGAGCUCAAAUUCAAAGCAUAUUUUAACAAGGGUUACUCAUUUAAAGCGUAGAAAAAUACAUAUAGAAGAAAUUCGAACAGACAUCACGAGCUGUCGACAUAUAAAAGGAGUGUUAGAUUUUGAAGAGCCAAAAAUCAACAUUUCAAAAAAGUGGUGAGUUCUUCUUAGUCCCGUGUCUUCGUCAACGAGCACUGGACAUUCAUGGGAGCAUCGUACUUGUUUUUUCUACGAAAAACGUAUGUACCCCUAUUCCUUCCGAGCAGGUCUCACCUGAUGAUAGUCCUCCGGUCCCACACAUCGAAAAAUUUCUAUGCUUCUGGAUGAUUCUGAGAGGACGUGCACGUGUGGCGAUUCCAACCGAGCCUUGAACGAGGAGAAGAGGAACAUGUGAUUCAUAACCAUUGCCGAGUCUUUGUCGGGUCUUUUCGGUUUGUAUUAGGUUGGUUUUAAACCAUUUAGGGGACAAAAACCUUUGGUUUUUUUUUUUUUCAUAAAAAACCUUUGGUUGAUUUAUUUAUAUUUAGUGCCGGUCCUUAUGGGGUGUUUUUGGGUCCCUCUCCCCUGAUUUUUCCUCUGGUAGGGCAAGCCAGGAACGGUCACCCUCAUUUCACCUGGAAAAAAGAAGCCAAUUGGAUCACCCCGUUGAUGAAGGAACGUAGAAAUUGGACUAAUUCGUCUUUGCCAGACCCGGCAUCUGGGAAAGCAGCUGCAAACUUGGUUCUUGAUCAAUUUCUUUACCUCGGCUUCCAGAAGUUGCUUAUUAUUGUACUCCUCUUGAGUUGAAAGAGAGUCCAUGGCCGACUUUGAAUUACUCUUACUGUACUUGCAUUCUUUCCAAGUUCAAGCAAAAAAGAAAAUCGAUGCACCAAGAAAUAUUUCCUUCGCUUUCUGGAUUUCAUGCCUGAUCCUCUUCAUCCGAGGCACUCCUGUCGGUGCACAGACAUAUGUUCAGGAGCGGUGUGCAGAUAGGGGCGACUACGCUGCUCCUAGCAAGUUUCAGGACAACCUCAGCAGCCUCCUCUCCAAGGGCGACUCCGCUGAUUACAGCAAAGGACCCAUUCGCGGUUUCUACAACACAACGGAAGGUGAAGAUCCGGACAAAGUUUAUGGUCUCUUCCUCUGCAGGUAAAUAACAAGCGAAAGAUACCAAAUAUUUCAACUUUUGAGUAAUACCUUCCAAAUCAAUUGUUAUAAUCUUUGGAAUUGGCUCGCUUGGAACUAGGAUUUAUAAUGGACCUGAUAUAUUGGUCUUAAUUGGAAUCCUCUACAAAGUUCGGUAAUCCAAUGCCAACCUAAAAAUUACUAUCCAGAUUUAAGUGACUACUAAUGCGACUUUUCUAUUCCUCUUUAGAGGGGACGUUGCCGCCAAUCAAUGUCAGUCUUGCAUCGGUCAAGCUAGCAACACCAUCAUAGAAAGAUGUCCAGGACAGAAAGAGGCGACCAUAUGGUAUGACGAGUGUCUCCUGCGCUACUCUAACAGAUCGUUCUUCUCUGUCAUGGAGACAGCACCGAUUAUUUUUGUUAUCGACCCUGAGAGCAAUUCAGUUACCUUCAACAAGAUUGUGGAGCAAACUUUCGAUAAUGAGGACUUUGUGGCAAAAGUGACAGAUUUGUUCGCGAGAAAUGUCACAGACAAUGCGAUCUCCUCGGAAAGCUUAUACGCAACCAUAAACGUUAAUGUCUCAAGUUCAGCGACCCUGCAUGAGCGUGCACAGUGCACCCCUGACAUCUCAAAGUCAGCUUGUAAGAGUUGCUUGCUUUCUGCUAUCAAAGAGUUUCCUACCGCUCUUAAUCAUAAAAGGGGAGGUACGAGAAUUCUUCAGCCAAGUUGUUAUGUACUGUACCGAAUGGAUGUUGCUGGGGAACCUGGAGGACAAGCACCAGCACCAGCACCUUCUGCAACCAGUAAAGGUAUGAGCUAAAUAACACUCAAAAUGUACACUCAAAUUGUCAGUGGAAAGCGCAUAAUGGUAUCAUUCCAUUGCUUCUAAUUCUCAAUAUAAGCUGUUUUAUGUAUUGUAUUGCACUUGACUUGCUUUUACGAUCUAAAAGAUCAUACUCUCCUGCUUUCAACGAGUUCUUGGUACUAUUUACACUUGGUGAAAAAAAAGUCUGCAGAUUUGUGGUAUGUUUAGAUGCAAGGAAUUUCUCUUUCUUGACAGGGGUUCCAUGGAUUGCAAUAGUUAGCUCAGUAGUUGGAGCAGGGUUACUAAUAAUCAUUGUGGGUUCGUGUCUUUUUUUAAAGAGGACAAAGAGAUUGAAGAAAGGUAUAGGUGAAUUCAUCUUGCUUGCCACUGGAAUGACCAUCCUCUAACCUUUACCUGACGAGAGUACACUCUUGGACUCUCAGACAUGGAAAACAACCAAGAGGUUCAGUUACUUCAUCUACGACAAGAAAUUGAAGAAGAGUUUUCAAAGGAAAACUCUCGUGGACCGGCGGGUUCUCAAGAAUUAUCUCUGAUGCGAUUAGACAUCAUACGUGCAGCCACAGGAAACUUCUCCGAUGAAUGUAAACUUGGGGAAGGGGGGUUUGGCCCUGUGUACAGGGUAAGCAUUUCAAGGACUCAACACGUAUUUAUGGGGAAAUUGGGAAAAUCUUCUAAUGGUAGCAAACUGGCAGAGUCAUUAUCAAUGGCAUGAACUGAAUCGAAUUUGGUUAUCAUUAGUAAUUCUCAAAUAGGGAUCUCACUACUGACUUUACGCUGUUUCAGGCCACAUUGGCAGAUGGAAAAGAAAUUGCAGUUAAGAGGCUUUCAAGAACCUCAGGCCAAGGACUCAUCGAGUUGAAGAACGAAGUCAUCUUGAUUGCCAGACUACAACACAGGAACCUCGUCCGAUUAUUGGGAUGCUGCUUGGAAGAAGAAGAAAAACUCUUGAUAUAUGAAUACUUACCCAACAAAAGCCUGGAUGCCUUGCUUUUUGGUUUGAGCUUUAGCAGAUGCAAUGAAUUUUUGAGCUAGUUAAUUUUAGUUUUUAAAGUUGAGUUUCCAUCUGAGUCUCUCAUUUUGACAGAUUCGAAUAUAGGGCGAUAUCUAGAUUGGAAGCUACGCAUGAACAUCGCCUGUGGAGUAGCUCGGGGACUUCUCUAUCUGCAUGAGGAUUCUCGCCUGAAAAUUAUCCACAGGGAUCUGAAAGCUAGCAAUAUUUUGCUAGAUGGUGAGAUGAAUCCAAAGAUAUCUGAUUUUGGAAUGGCAAGGAUCUUCGGUGCAAAUCAAGACAAGGCAAACACAAACAGGGUUGUUGGAACCUAGUAAGUGCCUCAAUAUCUUUCUACGUCCUUUACAUGUUUGACUGAUUCACUAGGCCAACAAAGGACUCUGAUAAUCUGCUCAACAACACCAGAUAGAGCACAUUCAUAUUUCAGAUGUUCCAUCUUGAAAUUUACUUUUCACUGUUUCUUACUUCCAACUAAUUGCUCUUCAUUAUGUAAUUCUGGUUAGUGGAUACAUGGCACCGGAGUAUGCGAUGCAAGGACUUUUUUCUGUAAAAUCAGACGUCUUCAGUUUUGGAGUUCUCUUGCUAGAGAUAGUAAGCGGGCGCAAGAAUAAUGGUUUUCAUCUCCAAGAACAGGGUGAAAGCCUUCUCACAUUUGUAUGUUCCUAAUCACCAUAUGAAUUAAAUAUGAAAUCGAAGAUUUUCGUGCAGCUGUCCUUGUUAAUUUUUCCUUGCUAAAUAACAGGCAUGGAAGUUGUGGUCUGAAGGUCAACCGUUCGAACUUAUCGAUCCGUUAAUCAAUGAGUCAUGUGAUGAAGGUGAAGUGCUGAAAUGCAUACACAUCGGUCUAUUGUGCGUUCAAGAAGACCCAGCAGAUCGACCGGCUAUGUCACUCGUGGUUCAUAUUUUAGGAGGCGAUACCAUCACACUUGGCCGACCAUCGCAGCCUGCAUUCUCAGUUGGGAGAAAAGUGAAAAAACUUGAUCGUUUCGGGCACACUCAAGAAGCCUCAACUGUUAAUGGAAUAACCCUUUCGGUUGUUACGGCUAGGUGACCAAGUAUUAUACAAUGGAAAUGCUGCUAGUAAUAAUUAUGGUAUAUUUUAUCUUUUAGGACUGUGUAUAUAUCUCCAUCGUAAUAUAUUUAUAUCAUGUUAUUUUCUAUAUUAUCAUGUAAAACUAGCUUAUGUUCCCUUCUUUAUAUAUACAAAAAUAUACAGAAACUUAAAAAUCCUCUCCUUCGCAUUAUCACAUAUUUCUUAUCUUAGCGUUAGAGUUAGAUGAUCUUGAGCAAAUUUUGAGUGCUCAAGUGCAACACACCCGAGUGCACACGCGGAACACACCUUCACAUCCCGUGUCAUGUGAUUCAUUUUUAUUAUAGUUACUAGUAUCCCUUUCUCAAUGUCAAUUCUAAACAUUUUCGUCAUGUACACAUAAACGUCAGCCUAUCGCUGCAUAACCUACAUACAUCAAUCGGUUCUCUCUUCAUCACAUAAAAUCACCUCGUUGGAUCUUUUCUCCCAACUCCAUUUGACUUCCUCUUUUCACCUUGAGCUUGAGAGUUUGUUUAAAAUAAUUAAGAUUUUACCUUGAUCCUUCAUUUUUCAUGAUUGUAAAUAUAUAUUUCCCUUAAUUGUGCAUAUUGUUGAUUGAUUUAUAAUCAAUAUCAUAAGCCAGCCCCAUUUUAUUGUGCAUGCAUUUCCACCCCGUUCAUCAAAUAGACGUCAUUCCUCGUCUAGUUUACAUGUAAGAGGGUUGGAAUAACACAUGCCAUUUGAUUAUGGGGUUAUAUGUUUGUUAUAUACAUGUGAUCUCUUUCUAUUUAUUAGUAAGAAUCUUUUGGUUGAAUUUUCGAAUUUCGCAAUUUAAUGAAAUAGAAUGAUAAUUACGGUGUUUGAUCUCUUUCGCAUUGUGACAAUCAUUUCUCAAUCCUUGAUUUCUGGAAUCAUCAAUUAAUGAUUUUAGGGGAAAAAAACCUUUUCAUUAGUCAUCUUGAGUAUUCCAUGUGCACAACUCCUAUGGAUUAGAUAAUUUACUUGAGUGUAAAAGUUCAAAAAAAUCAUGUGUGACAAGACACGUGCUAUAAAUUCGACAAAGUGUCCUUUACUUCAUUCUUGAGCCAAGAACGUUUAGACAUCAUCUUAUUUUUGCAUCACGUGAGUAAUAGUGAUGUGUGCAUUUUGUUGAUUCAAAGCAUUAAUUGGCCGAUAUAUUCACUAAACCUCUUUUUUGCUCAAAUAUUUAUAAUAAAAAAAAUUAAGUAAGCAAAGAGUAAGCAUAAGCAAUCUACUCAACAACCUUCAUUGCUAUGAUAUAUGUCAAGCCCCAAACUCCCGAGUGUGCGAAUAUCCUUCAACGGUCAAUUAGUUGCGACGUCCCAGGACGCGUCGCCAACCCAUUCUUUUUAUCUUUCAAUUAAACCCAAGAAAAAGAAUUUAAUAUAAACAACAUCUGAUCAAACAACAAACAAUAGGGAUAAUAAGAACACAACAAACAUUCCAAAAACAGCACUUUAAUUUAUAAACUGCUAACUCUAAGAUAUUUAAUAAUUACAAGCUUUGUUACGGCCACUUCUUACCAACCAUCUCAAAAACCUACAGGGUCAAGUUUAACCUAAACUUUAGUAACGACGAGGCCAACCAAACAUGACACUAGGCACACCAGCGUCUUGGUCCAUCAGGAUCCCAAACCGCAUGUGACAGUUCUCCAUACUACGGACUCGAAAAUAUUUAAUAAUAACAGGAUGAAAUAUAAAUCUCAAUGGGUUAACCGCUUAAGCCUCGAUUAGGACGCAAAUUCAUCUCAAAAGCAGCCUAAACAUGCAACAACCUACAACCUUACCUCACCUUGACACACACCUGCAUAUUGGUACAUCACAUAUGCCAAUACCAAUGCAACAAGCAUAGUCAAUAAUCAAAACACAUAACUCCCAUACACCAAGUAUUCACAUGGGUCCCAAUUAUAAGAUAAAACCCAUUUUGGCCAAUCUUAUACCGUGCUUCACAGUUUUACUUCAUAAUCAAGCGCAAUGCAUUGCAAUCAUUUACAUGUGUUUCGAUUAUUACGACCCCUCGAGCCAUGGCCAACACAGAAGUUCUGGCAUGAACGGGCAUUGUCCCGUCCCAUCGAGUACAGCAUUGUUUAGAACCCCCACCUAGAUGGCAUUUCAUAAAGAAGCAUCGAUCUGACUUCAACCACAACUUGACAUCCAGACCCCCGCCAAGCAUUUGAUAAACAUCGGACAUCAUCCCUUUGGCAUUCUACUCGUCCUCUUACACAAACCACUGCAAGCAUUCCUCUACAAACCGCUUCUCAGUAUAGAAUUUGCUAUGCCAUAUCAUCUCAUAAUUAGUAAUAACUCAUAUAUGCCACACAUUAGUUUCUCAAUUCAUUAGGCUCUCACGCUUAAUUACUUAUGUAAAAUUAUGUUAGGGCACUCGUUGAUGGGAGAAAAUACAUUUACCAAUAAUUUAUAAUGAGCACCACCUCUAAAAUCAAUUGAAUCGUGUAAUUUUUACUUUUGAAAAGUAAAGUGCAUCGCACAGAUAGGAAGGGUGCAAAACGUAGAGGGAAAUUAUUCUACAAUUGUGACAUCCAGAUUUUCGGAUUCUAAUUUCGACUGGAUAAAUAUGGCAGUUUUUGUUCAGUUGAAGCCAGGGAUUGUGAAAUUGGGAUGCAAGUGGGCUACAUUGGUAAGGAAAAAUACCAAUUGAAAUGAUGAGGUGUUGAAUGAAAUUAUGGGAGUCAAUUUAAAUUGAAUCAAGAGGGAUUAAGGUCCAAUUGGGAAGAAAACUUAGCAAAAUUCGUAUGCCACCUCUACCACCACAUUUUGGCCUACCUUAAAGCUUCUAGAAGGGGCAUUUUUGGCAAGGAAAAGUGAGUGUAAGACAGCUGGAAUGGUGGGGCCAAAGAGAGAGAGAGAGAGAGAGAGAGAGAACCGGUUUUUCCUCUCUCCUCCGUCGAGCGUCUCCAUCUUCUUCCCCUUUCUUUGGGCUUCUUCUUCAGCAACAAUCGAAGACCAGUAGGCCGAAGCAGCGAUUCCUCUCGGCGUCAUCGCAGCAAGCAACCGGAGCUAGAGUCACCGCCGUCCGCCGUCCUGCUGCCUUGUGCAGCUUUGCCCCACCCUCUCCCUCUCACCUUGCGAACCAGAGAAGCUGAAGACAGAAGCAACGUCCAGCGUCGCCGGAAGGAGCCGCGACCAACUGCCUGGACGCCACCGCACCGGAGCUGCCGCACCGCCGCCCGCGUGACGCCGUGCGCACCGCCACCUCACGCUCGCGCCUGCUGUCCCCGCUGUGCAACCCCAGCCCCUGCUUUGCCUCAGUUCAGUCUCGUUCGGCCGCCUCCGGCCACCGCCCGACCUCCUCCAGCCACCGUCCGGCCUCACCGGAGUUCCCUCGCCCUCCGCCUGCCCUGUCCAGCUUGAAUCAGCGCCGGAACCACCUCAACCAGCCGUGCACCGAGAGUUCGAAAAUGGGUAUGUCAGCAUACGUUUGGCCCGUUUUGGCCAUCUUCCCGAGCCCGGAUGCUCGGCCCGCUUUGAGGAAAGUCGAUCCUCGCGUCGAGCCCAUCGUUUUGAGUGAGUUUUUCUCACUAAUGCCUUCUUAGUUUGCUAAUUACACUUAAAUGUUGAUUAGUAUUAAUUAAGUGUAAUUAGGUUGUUAGAUUAGGAUAGAUUAGCGAUAUUUGUUAAUUUCAUUGCAUAUUAGUUAGGUGGUUAGUGUACUUAGAUAGAGAAUUGCCUAUAGUAUUUAUUGGAUGCUUCGUGGGAUUUUUCCCGACCCUUAUUGGGUGUUAAUUAGGCGAUUCGGGCCUAAUUGGUAUUUUUAGGAAUUAAUUAUUUAAUUAGUUAUUUUCCGAAAAUUCAACUGGGAUGGCUAGUGACAGAGAUUUUAUGCUGAUGAUCGUGGCGCAGACCGUUUCUUUAAUUGAGCUUCAUAUUGUGCUAAAUUGGAAUUAUUGUGUUUAUUUAUUUAUUUUUCGGAAUUAAAUUAAUUAUUUAUUUAUUUUCCGAAAAUUCAACUGGGAUGGCCGAUGACCGGAAUAUUAUGCUGAUGACCGUGGUGAAGUCCGUUUAUUUAAUUGGGCUUUAUUUUGAGCUAAAUGGAAUUUUUAAUAUUUAUUAAUUAAUUAUUUUUCGGAAAUUAAUGCUGAGGUGACCGACGACCGGAAUUUCGUGCUGAUUGUCGUGGCGCAGUCCAUUUAUUUAUUUGAGCUCUACGUUGUAUGAAAUUAAAUAAAUUGUGAUAUUUUAGGGAUUUACCCUAAAUUGAUUGAAAUUGAGUGAAAUUGAAUUAUUGAUUGGUAAAUGGCCGAGUAUGGCUAGUUAGCAUUUGUACUGCCUUGUUGAGCUGUAAGUGGAGAAAGUGGUGAGAGCUAACUGAGAAUUCUAUUUGCUGAGACCGAUCAAGUACGAAGUAUAGACAAGUGUGGUUCGAUGAUAAAGUACAUCACUGUGCGAAAACGGCGCCUUAAAGAAUGCACAUAGACUAUCUAUGACUUAUGGCAGGCGUGGUUCAGUGAUUAGGGAGAUCACUGUGCGAAAUCAACGCCUUAAAGAACGCACGUAGACUGCCUAUGAAUCGUGACAGGCGUGGUUCAAAGAUGAAGGACAUCACUGUGCGAAAAUGGCGCCUUAAAGAACGCACGUAGACUGUCAGUGAUUUGUGACCUAUGACGAGCGUGGUUCGGAAAUGAGGAAUAUCACUGUGCGAAAACGGCGCCUUAAAGAACGCACGUAAACCGUCUGUUACUUAUGUCACCUUGGCGAAAACGACACCCGACAGCAUUGAUGGAGCUCUGUGACUAAGUGUAUUUUAGAGGUUAUGUGGGAUGGAAUGAAUAACCUAUAAAUGAUCCGACUGACUCGUAAUCGAUUAGGUCGAUUGAUCGUCGCCUUGAUUUGAUGUUGUGGAUUGAAUGAUUGAAUGGAGAUGACCGUGAGUGGUCUUCUUGGUGUGGAAUCGACUAGAUCGAUUUGAUCGAUGCUUCGAUCUUUGAUGUGAUUGCUUGGGUGUCUAUUUGAUCUGUGCUAACAUGCAAGUGGAAUCUGAGGCUAAGGUAAGCCCUCUGACUCAUGUUAUGCAUAGGAAACCCUAAGGUAUAUUAGUUUACUAAUCAGGUCUUAGUGUGGUAGAAUUUGCUGAGACAUAGUCUCAUCCCGGUUUGGGGAAAACAUUUCAGGACCCUGAUGAAGAACCUGAGGAUAAAGAAAUCGAAGAGGAGUAUAUGGAGAAGAACUCCGAGGAUGAUCCAGAGUAGGAUCCUGACGACUUUUGCUAUAGAAUCAAUUUGAGUAGAAACCAGUCGUUUUAGUAUGGCUUGUAUAUGAUCAUAAGGGUGUUGGUUUUCAGGUUCAAUUUCCUAGUCCUACUUGUAUAUCCCAUUACUUUAUUGUCUGGGGAUUUUUAUAACUGCUUCCGCAUGUGCUAUUAAAAAGAAAAGGGUUGGCGAUAUGUAGUCUUGGGAUAUCGCAUUUUAAAAUCUACCAAAAGUAAGGGAUGUGCGCGUGCCUGAGGAUCGGGGUGUGACAUCCCCAUUUUGUGGUAUCAGAGCAAUGGUUAAUGAAUGGAGUGAUAAGGUGCGAUGAGUCAUGGGAUAGUAGUAGGAAUGACCUUUAAAUUCAUAUUGAUGCAUGUCGAUGAUAGCUGAUUUGUAGCUUGUUUGUGGAUCACUCAAAUUCUAAUGUGGCAUUAGAAUUAGAAAACAAGUUUCUAUAAAGAUCUUGUAAUUUGAGUGAUCAGGAGCUGUGAGCUCAUAGUAAGAGGACAGUAACCUUUAUGACUCGGGAAUUAACGCCGACAAGGAUCGAUGCCUGAGGUGGUUGUGGCAGAGUACCGGCUUAGGCUAGUGCGCGUGUAAGAGUACCACCGUGGGUUGGUACUGAGAAUGUAGCAGCACCGAGCGAUCCUAGGUCCAGCAAGAUCGUUCAGGUGCAAGUUUUCCCAAGGAGCUUGUCGAGCCAGUGAGUUCGAGAUCAAGUUGAAGUUAUUGCCACACCUGCCGAGGUUUAGUAAGGAGACGUGAUCCAGGAGCAAGCCGUUGUAACUGAGUUGAGGUUCAGGUUCAGUAGAGUUGGAAAUCGGGUUGGAAAGGAGCCUAUGACCGGAAAAGUGUAUUAUAUUCCACACCUCGGAAAAGACGGGAUAGGCAAGGCAGCAUCGGAUCAGAACAUAGUGUGUCAUGGAAGCCGACAUGGAUCAGCCUUGUAUCCUAUUAAGAUGGGUGUUUAUUCUGACUGUGAUCGACAAGGUCACUUGGCAAGAGAUUGUCUUAGAAGAUCGAUGGGAUAGGUUGGAAGGAGUGAGCCACAGAGCGUACAGUGGAGUUUUUGAAACAAGCCUCCAGUGCAACCGAGAGGGUAUACUAUCACCUGACAUUAGAUAGAGGACUCACUAGGUGAGUGCCGAAAGUAUGGAAGGAAUGCAUGGAUUAAUCCUGUGUUCGAGAAUGACUAGAACGUGCUUUGAUGGUAGUGAGCACGGCCAUCAAGUGAGGGACUAUCAGUUGGGGUUUAAGAAGAACACCAACACUAUUACUACCGUUAGAACGCCAGCAAGAUGGCAAAAGGAACAGGAACGGAACCGACCAUGCCUUAUUCAAUGGAAGAAUGUUUUGAGGUGAUUUUAUCAUAAUAGUGCCAGAGAGUGUUGGGAUUACAAGUGUGGAAUUUCAGUUGUUUGUUAAGGCUGUAGGAAAAGAACCAUUGACUAGAGUUGUACUUGAUUGGCUGUUGGUGUACAACUUAUUCGUCAAGUGUGGAAAGAAUUGAUUCUAGAGCAUUUUGUGGUGAUGAAUUGUUAUAGUGGAGUAACCCAGUUUAUUCCAGGAGCAGGUAGAAGUGCCAAGUUUUAUUGAGAAUUGAGAAGAGUCCUCGACUUCUUUAAUCUCGUCACUUGAGGCAAUCCGUUUGUUAGACAAAGGUUGCCUAGGUUACUUGACGAUUGAAAAAAAUAAGACAGAUUGAAGAAUUGAAAAUUUAAGACUCCUCAGUAGUCCAAGAAUUCCUGGAAGUGUUGCUAGAAGGAUUAUCAAACCGUCGCCAGAGAAAGAGAAGGAAUUGCGAUCGAACUAGCAACCAGAAUAGAACUAUUCUCUAAAGUUUCUUACCGGUUGUUGUUGUCUGAAUUCAUAGAACCAAUGGUGCAAAUGUGAGAAUUGAUGAAUGUGGAAUUCAUGCAUUUCGGUGCAUUACCUAGGAGAAACAUCAGCCUCAUAGUGAGAAAGAAAGAAAGAUGGUUCGUUGCAAUUAUGCAUCAACUAUAGUCGACUCAAGCAAGUGACAAUCAAGGAUAAACGUUCAUUGUCAAAGAUCGACGAAUUGGGUGACUUGUUAUAAAGAGUGCUGAUGUCUUCAAGGAUCGACUUGAGGACAGGUUAUUGUCAGUUGAGAACCAGGAAUGAGGUUAUACUGAAGACAGCAUUUCGCACUUGAUUUUGCCCUUGUGAGAAUAAUGUAAAACCAUUUGAUUUGACGAACGCUCCAGCCGCAGUUAUAGAUUUGACAAACCGAGUGUUCAAAGAAUAUCUAGAUCAAUGGUGAUUGUGUGGUGUAGUGACAUUCUAGGGUAUUUGUUAAAUGAUGAGGAUCACGAGAGCCCCUAAGAAUAGUCAUGUGAGUACGAGUAAAGGAAUCUUCAUGAACACAGCCAAGAUUGAAUCAGUUGUUAAUGGAUCAAGAUCGACAACAAUGUUAGAGAUCAGAAGCUGUGGGAAUUGGACAGAUUACUAUGGAAGGUUUGUGUAAGAAUUUUUAGCAUCAGUAUCAUCGCGGGCUUGACCUCUUGAGAAAGAAGAGAAAUUCAUCGGCAUAGACAAGUAUGAGGAUAGUUUCCAGAGCUUAAAGGACAGGGUACGUAUUGAUACAACAUGAGAAGAUUGUUGCAUACCCAUCCCGCAAGUUGAGACCCAUCAAGUUGAAUAUGAAAUAGUGUCAUGAAUUAGAAUUUUGGCGGGACUAUGAUGGUGUUAUCUAGUAUCAUCCUUGGAGGAACGAAAUGAGUCAUUAAUGUGUUGGGUCGAGAGUCUUCAAUUGUGCAUAGACUAGCUAAAGUGUAGACUUUACUUAAAAAGGGUUCAAAAUGUGGUUUUCAAAUUUGAGGUAGGCUACCUUUUGAAUUUUAUAGCCGCCCUCAAAAUUGAACCAUAUGUUCAAAUUAGAAUCGGCGCCUAAUUGAUAGACAGAGAUGUUCAAAAGAUUGUAUAAGAGGAUACUGGUAAGAAAGAAUCUGACUUUAAGAUUUCUGGGGAUGGAAAGUUUGGAUUCCAUGAGUGAUUGAAUACAAUUGACAGUGUAGCACUCAGGGAAAAGAUCUUGUCAGAAGUUCACUAUAGUAUUGCAGUUUUGACCAGACGGUGCAAGUGAGUCAGAAUUGACGUCAGCUAGAUCGGUAGGCCGAUAUGAAGAUAGAUAUCGUCAACCAAGUUGCUAGUGUCAGAGGUGUCAGUAAGUGGAAGUUCAGUAAUGCAAACCCGGAAGAUGUUAUCAUCACUUAAGAGUCCCUAGUGGGAAUGAAAAUAUAUCACGAUGGGACAUGGUGAUGAGCUUAUUAAGGAUUUAGGGGGUUACUAAUACCAUUUGAGAAUAGUAGUCAAUCGAUAGAUGGAGUUGGUCCACUUUGGUACAGUAUGAAUAGAUCUUGUUUUGAGUGUGUGACAUCCUGAUUUUCAGACUCUGAUUUCGAUUGGUUAAAUUGGGCAUUUCAUCGACGCGACUACAGUGAUUUUCUCUGAGUUGGCCACUCACGAGAUAACUAGACUAGAUGGGUAAGUUAUUAGGGACUUUAAGACAGAUAGACUGAGAAUUCGACUAGGAAUCGACUUCUCGACUGUGCUCAUCUUUAGGGAUCAUUGCGGCACAGUAUAAAAUCGAUUUGAAAUUAGAGAUAGGUCGGUUUGACUGAGAUGAAUGACCGAUCGUGGGUGACUCCAUUAAAUUGAAAAACUCUCGUCGACUAGCACUAAUUUGAUUUUAUUGUUGUUUUGGUACCCUGUGUCCGUAUUUGAAUCUUCGAGAUUUUCACGAUAAUCGAGGGUCGUCAAUGUGUCGAGUGGGUUCAUCGUGGCUCGAAGAAAAUCGACCACGGGUCAUUUGUCUUAAAAAGUUCUAAAAACUACCCAAUAGCCUAGGUCACGCUAAAAACGCGUCGAAUGAAAAUUAACCAUGAAUUCGAAUCCGAUUUCAGAAAUUGAAGAUUCUGUCUUGUCACAGAGUGGGUAUACCGAAGUGUGUGUGCAUCAGAUAAUUCACUGGCAUGGAGUGCUGAGGAUGAAUUAUAUUUCGAAUCUAGAUAAGAGGUUACAAGUUUGGCAGAGUUUUCAGAGGGUUCUUUCUUAAGCAGUGUAUAGCAUAGGGUACAGAAUUUUGGUGGUGAAAAGAAAGUGAAGAAAGAUUACAGGCCAGAGUCAGCUCAGUAAUCAGUGAUGGUAGUUGUCAGAUCAGUGUCAGAGUAAAGACUGCUCAGAACUGUCAGAAAUUUUGAAUCGUUGAGGUUCGAAGGUUUAUUAGGGAGUUGCGAAAAAGAGAUCAGAUGUGAAUGACAUAAUGUCUUAUGUGAGAAGCUCAGUUCAGUUGUUGAUUCAGAAAGAGCAGAGUUUGUGUACCAAGACGAUCUCCUUAGUCAAAAAGGUCGAACAACACCACGAGACCGAAGGAUUAGCAUGGAAUAGUGAGACUCAAUGAAAUGACAAUACCCCCACCUUUUGUAUAAGGAUUGGUAAAAGUUUAAAUUUCAAAAACGAAAUUUUUAUAAGAGGGAAAGAGUUGUGACAUCCAGAUUUUCGGAUUCUAAUUUCGAUUGGAUAAAUAGGGCCGUUUUUGUUCAGUUGAAGCCAGGGAUUGUGAAAUUGGGAUGCAAGUGGGCUACAUUCGUAAGGAAAAAUACCAAUUGAAAUGAUGAGGUGUUGAAUGAAAUUAUGGGAGUCAAUUUAAAUUGAAUCAAGAGGGAUUAAGGUCCAAUUGGGAAGAAAGUGGGCUACAUUCGUAUGCCACCUCUACCCCCACAUUUUGGCCUACCUUAAAGCUUCUAGAAGGGCCAUUUUUGGCAAGGAAAAGUGAGUGUAAGACAACUGGAAUGGUGGGGCCAGAGAGAGAGAGAGAGAGAGAGAGAGAGAGAGAGAGAGAGAGAGAGAGAAAACUGGUUUUUCCUCUCUCCUCCGUCGAGCGUCUCCAUCUUCUUCCCCUUUCUUUGGGCUUCUUCUUCAGCAACAACCGAAGACCAGCAAGCCGAAGCAGCGAUUCCUCUCGGCGCCGUCGCAGCAAGCAACCGGAGCCGAAGUUGCCGCCGUCCGCCGUCCGCCGUCCUGUUGCCUUGCGCAACUUCGCCCCACCCUCUCCCUCUCACCUUGCGAACCAGAGAAGCUAAAGACAGAAGCAACGUCCAGCGUCGCCGAAAGGAGCCAUGACCAGCUGCCUAGAUGCCAUCGUACCGGAGCUGCCGCACCGCCGCUUGCUCGACGCCGUGUGCUCCACCGCCUCACGCUCGCGCCUGCCGUCCCCGCCGUGCGACCCCAGCCCCUGCUUUGCCUCAGUGCAGUCUCGUUCGGCCGCCUCCGGCCAUCGCCCGACCUCCUCCGGCCACCGUCCGGCCUCACCGGAGUUCCCUCGCCCUUCGCCGGCCCUGUCUAGCUUGAAUCAGCGCCGGAACCAACUCAACUAGCCGUGCACAAAGAGUUCGAAAAUGGGUAUGGCAGCGGACGUUUGGCCCGUUUUGGCCGUCUUCCCGAGCCCGGAUGCUCGGCCCGCUUUGAGGAAAGUCGAUUCUCGAGUCGAGCCCGUAGUUUUGAGUGAGUUUUACUCACUAAUGCCUUCUUAGUUUGCUAAUUACACUUAAAGGUUUAUUAGUAUUAAUUAAGUGUAAUUAGGUUGUUAGAUUAGGAUAGAUUAGCAAUAUUAGUUAAUUUCAUUGCAUAUUAGUUAGGUGGUUAGUGUACAUAGAUAGAGAAUUGCCUAUAGAUUUAUUGGAUGCUUCGUGGGAUUUUUCCCAACCCUUAUCGGGUGUUAAUUAGGCGAUUCGGGCCUAAUUGGUAUUUUUAGGAAUUAAAUAUUAAUUUUCAAAAUUAAUUAUUUAAUUAGUUAUUUUCCGAAAAUUCAACUGGGAUGGCUAGUGACAGAGAUUUUAUGCUGAUGAUCGUGGCGAAAUUAAUAUUUAAUUAGUUAUUUUCCGAAAAUUCAACUGGGAUGGCUAGUGACAGAGAUUUUAUGUUGAUGAUCGUGGCGUAGACCGUUUCUUUAAUUGAGCUUCAUAUUGUGCUAAAUUGGAAUUAUUGUGUUUAUUUAUUUAUUUUUCGGAAUUAAAUUAAUUAUUUAUUUAUUUUCCGAAAAUUCAACUGGGAUGGCCAGUGAUCGGAAUAUUAUGCUGAUGACCGUGGUGAAGUCCGUUUAUUUAAUCGGGCUUUAUUUUGAGCUAAAUGGAAUUUUUAAUAUAUAUUAAUUAAUUAUUUUUCGAAAAUUAAUGAUGAGGUGACCAACAACCGAAAUUUCGUGCUGAUUGUCGUGGCACAGUCUGUUUAUUUAUUUGAGCUCUACGUUGUAUAAAAUUAAAUAAAUUGUGAUGUUUUAGGGAUUUACCCUAAAUUGAUUGAAAUUGAGUGAAAUUGAAUUAUUGAUUGGUAAAUGGCCGAGUAUAGCUAGUUAGCAUUUGUACUGCCUUGUUGAGCUGUAAGUGGAGAAAGUGGCGAGAGCUAACUGAGACUUCUAUUGGCUGAGACCGAUCAAGUACGAAGUAUAGACAGGCAUGGUUCGGUGAUAAAGUACAUCACUAUGCGAAAGCGGCACCUUAAAGAACGCACGUAGACUGUUUAUGACUUAUGGCAGGCGUGGUUCGGUGAUUAGGUAGAUCACUGUGCGAAGACAGCGCCUUAAAGAACGCACGUAGACUACCUAUGAAUCAUGAGAGGCGUGGUUCGGUGAUGAAGGACAUCACUGUGCGAAAACGGCGCCUUAAAGAAUGCACGUAGACUGUCAAUGAUUUGUGACCUAUGACGGGCGUGGUUCGGUGAUGAGGAAUAUCACUGUGCGAAAACGGCGCCUUGAAGAACGCACGUAGACCGUCUGUUACUUAUGUCACCUUGGCGAAAACGACGCCCGAGAGCAUUGAUGGAGCUCUGUGACUAAGUGUAUUUUGGAGGUUAUGUGGGAUGGAAUGAAUAACCUAUAAAUGAUCCGACUGACUCGUAAUCGAUUAGGUCGAUUGAUCAUCGCCUUGAUUUGAUGUUGUGGAUUGAAUGAUUGAAUGGAGAUGAUCGUGAGUGGUCUUCUUGGUGUGUAAUCGAUUAGGUCGAUUUGAUCGAUGCUUCGAUCUUUGAUGUGAUUGCUUGGGUGCCUAUUUGAUCUGUACUAAUAUGUAGGUGAAAUCUGAGGCUAAGGUAAGCCCUCUGACUCAUGUUGUGCAUAGGCAACCCUAAGGUAUAUUAGUUUACUAAUCAAGUCUUAGUGUGGUAGAACUUGCUGAGACAUAAUCUCAUCCCGGUUUGGGGAAAACAUUUCAGGACCCUGAUGAAGAACCUGAGGAUAAAGAAAUCGAAGAGGAGUAUCUGGAGAAGAACUCCGAGGAUGAUCCAGAGUAGGAUCCUGACGACUUUUGCUAUAGAAUCAAUUUGAGUAGAAACCAAUCGUUUUAGUAUGGCUUGUAUAUGAUCAUAAGGGUGUUGGUUUUCAGGUUCAAUUUCCUAGUCCUACUUGUAUAUCCCAUUACUUUAUUGUUUGGGGAUUUUUAUAACUGCUUCCGCAUGUGCUAUUAAAAAGAAAAGGGUCAGUGAUAUGUAGUCUUGGGAAAUCGCAUUUUAAAAUCGACCAAAAGUAAGAGAUGUGCGCGUGUCUGAGGAUCGGGGCGUGACAACAAUGGUACGGUCUCCCUUGGAAGAGAGACUAUAACUUCUCUACCUUUCAUUCUCCCAAGAGAACCUAACAAAUCGUUCAUCCGAUUUCUUUAAGAAAUUUGGAAUGAAAUCUCUUUUGUUUGGAUUUCCUCUAGUCCCUCUAAGCGAGCUUUCUUAAACGUGAGUAUAAUAAAUAAAUAAAUAAAUAAAUAAAUAAAAGUAGGAGAAAUGUUAAAUUUGAAGAAAACCCACAAAACAUCCACAAUAGUGCAAAAGUUAUGGUUCAUAACCACUUAUUGAGCUGCCAUAUUUGCAUUGAGCAGUCAUCAACUCAAAACUCUAGUGAUUGGGGCUGCCGUAACCAUGAUUGCCACAAGCUUGGAGCUUGAGCUCAUGACUAUGGCGGUAGAGGUGGCAAAAGGGGUCUUGACCCAUAUAUGACCCAUUUAAAUCAUAAAUGAGUCAUAUAUGGGUCACUUGUUUUUUUGACAAAAAGUAGAUAAUUAGGUUUAACAAUUACAAACUUUGAUAGGUGGGUCUUAAGUGGAUCUUAAAUGGAUUGGAUUUAGAACCCAUUUUCACCAAAACCUCACAAUCUCUCUCUUUUCUCUUUAACUUUACAAAAACAUUUUUAUAAUAAAAACCAAAAUUAUAACUAUAAUUUUUUAUUUUUCUUUUCUUUUCUUUUUUCUUUCCUUUUUUUUUCUUUCUUCUUCCUCCGGUCGCCGGCACGGUGAUGGCCGACAACCGGCUAGGCGAGCCUCAAGCUCGCCCCUCGUCGGAUCUGGCAAGGCGAAGGCCUCGCUGACGCCCAACAAGGCUAGAGCCUCGCUAGAUCCGGCUAGGGGCGAGCUCAUUGGAUCUAGUGAGGUGGAGGCCUCACUGACGUCCAACGAGGCUCAAGCCUCACUAGAUCCGGCAAGGGGCGAGCUCAAGCUCGCUCGACGCCGGCCAGCCUUGAGCUCGUCAAAUCUAGCGAGGUGAAGGCCUCGCCGACAUCCGGCAAGGCUCGAGCCUCACCAGAUCCGGCGAGGGGCGAGCUUGAAGUUCGCCUAUGGCUGGCCAUCGGCCGUCGUUGUGGCCGGCGGCUGGCCAAAGAAGAAGAAGAAGAAAAAAGAAAAAAGAAAGAAAUUAUAUUUUAAAAAAUAAUUUAAAAAUAAAAAUAAUUAAAAUUCUAUUUUCAAAAUAAUUAUUUUGAAAUUAUAAAAUUUGUCCAUUAAAUUUGUGUUGUAUAAACUAUCUUAGCAAUAUCAUUAUAUAUAUAUAAAUAAGAAAUAAGAUUUCUUAAGUUUAGUUAAAUGGGUCGGGUUCGGUAUGAGUCAAAAAUUUUACAUUGCAAUAAAUGAGUCAUAAACAGGUUAAAUGGGUCGAUUUGGAUCGAACCAUUUAUGACUGGACCCAAACCUGACCCGAUCCACCCAUUUAACGGGUCUAUAUGGCGGCUGUGAUGGACCUCCAUCUCUCUCUCAAUUUUGUUUUCUAUUAUAUUGUUUGAUGUGGUGCUUUUUUGGCUAAUAAUAAUUUUCAACUAAUCAUAACAUAACACGCAUGCAUUUUGGUCAAUCUAUGUCAUUUAUUCCGCAAUCCAUGUCAACAAAAAAAAAAAAAAAUUAGGAGAAAAGGUAUAAUGAAAUGACUAUAUGUUGACUUUAAGAGAGAAAGAUGAUUUUGAUUUUCGGACAAAAUAAAGGACAAUGGUGAUAUUAUUCAUUGAAAAGAAAAAAAAAAAAAAGACCUUCAUUCCACGUUAUAUGUUGCUUUUCUAUCUAAGUUCCAUUGUUGAAUUAAUCAAGGUUAGCAAUAUAAUAAUGUAUAUCUUUAGAUUCCAACAAAAGUCCAAUGGAUUAACAUUCCUUUGAAAUGGAAAUUGCGGCCCACGGGCCACCAUCAUCCCCGUUAGGCUAACAUCUCCCAAACGUAAAUUGCAAAUGUUCGUGGUGAUAUUUAGGUAAUUUUCUUUUGAAAAAUAAAGAAAUAUUCUAAAAGAUUUCAUGGAAUUAAAUUCUAAAACUUUCCAAGAGCGUAAUUAAGUCCCAAACUUGUCACAAAAGUACAAUUGAAUUUUAAAAUUUUCAAAAAGCGUAAUCAAGUCCGAAAACUUGUUAAAUUGAUCCAAUCAAAUCAUUUUGUUAUAGUACUUUUUGAAAGUUUUAGAAUCAAGUCAUUCUAUUAAUUACACUUUUUGAAAGUUUUGAAAUUUGAUUACACUUUUCAUAACGGAUUUUAAGAUUUGAUUGUACUUUUUGAAAAUUUUUAAAAUUCAAUUGUACUCUCAUGACAGGUUUCAAGACUCUCGAUGCACUUAUCUCAAAUAUUAAUCACUAAACUUUUUUCAUUCCCAACCUCUACAAGCUGUACUAAAUUAUUUCAAUAUUCGAAUUUACAGUGGGCUAUAACUUUUUGGGAUUAGUUUUAAUUUGAAGUUAUGUAUCUCUUCACGUGAAACAGAAUUUUUCCUUCUGACAAGAAAAAAAAGAAAAAAUAAAAAACUUUUCUGCCUCCCACAUGUCAACAUUGAAGUGUGGACGGCAAAGGAUGUUGGAAAUUCGGUCCGUCUUUUCCCUUCGAUAGUAAUAAUGCCAUAAUCACGUGGGCUUUUUUGUAACGUUAAUAAUAAGCUGUGCUUACGGAUGGCUGUGCUUCGGCCGUCGUGUCGUCACCGCUGCGAACGAGAGCAGCAUAAAAAGGUCAUAUUCUUAUUAGAUUGCCCUAUUUGUAGGUUGUAUCAUUGUUAGCAACAGUAGUAGAGCAUCUCUUGUGCCCAUUGAAGAAUCCAGGCGAUGUCGCCAAGAAGCUGCAAAGGAAAAGUGCAAGCGUGAUUGGCGUGGGGGCUCGCUGGCCGCAGGACGUGAGCUUUUGUAAAACAACAAAAUUAAACAUCCUCAACUUCCAUUCCCGAUAAAAGUAAUAGUACAUGGAGAGAAAACAUGCACCUAACUAGGCAACUACAAUCAAGUGAAAGAUUUCGAAAAGUAAAAUCGUAUUCACUCCCUUCAGCCUAAUACAAGGCAACCCUAGUUUGUAUGAUACUAUCACAGGACCAAAAUUUUAGAGGAUUAAAUAGGCAGCAACCCAACCGCUAUCACUACCCUUUAGCUUACUCACCAGACAAACACACACAAUCACACACCAUACCCAGCCCCACCUCAGCAAACAGCAAUCACCACAAAAUAGAACCGACACGUUAAGGGGGAUCUUGAAAAUUGUAAGAGUUUUACUACUACUCACAAGGCCUUGCUAUUCGAUCCGGUGGGCCCAAUAUCUCCAAAGCAAACCCCUGCGACCAAGAAACGCCCAAAAUCAAUUUUGAGAGCCGCGCCAGCUUAAUUGAUACCCACACCCUCAUCAAAAACCCUAGAAUCAAACACACAAACGCUGAACCAAACAGCUCAAAGCAAAAGAAACAACAGUCUUUGGAACUUUUUCACUCCUAUGAAGUCACAAAUUGAAGUCACGACCGGCAAAACUAGUUCAAAAGAGAUCUGAGCACUUCGGAUCUUCUAAUGUCAAGCCAUUGAAGUUUCGGUCGUGGCGAAGAGAAACGGAGAUGGAAGUCCCUAAUGGAAGUCGUGUCUUGCAGAAUUAAUUCUUCUCUCUGUGUCUGUCACUCUCACUAAAAAGGAAGGAAAUAGAGCCGAAGGGUGCAACGCAUUUAGUAAUCAUUUUGUUCCUGGGAAUAAUUUAUGCUUAGAAAUAAUUUUUUCUAAUAUUGUUCUUUGGACGAGUUAUUUAGCAUUCAACCGUAUUAGUAACUUCAUAAAAUUUAUGUUCAUUGAAUAGAAAAGAAUAGAAAUAUGUUUAGCACAAGUCUUAAAUUUUUUUUUUUUGUGACAUACAAUUUCUUUUUAUUUUUUAAUAAAUUUCUCAAAUUUGUAUUUAUUUUAUUUAUCUUUUCCUCUUCUCGUCUUCCUUCUCUAGCUAGUCACCGAGCCUCAAGAAUGGCUAGUGGCUAGCUAGAAGUGAGAGCUAGCGACUUUGUUUGCUUCGGGGGCCACUCAUUGGCCUCGGGGGAGCCUAACUAGCUCUUGGUGAGGCCGACCCAUCCAUCCACGACAAGGUCAAGCCUCACCAAGAGUCAACGAGGUUGCCAAACCUCGUUUUUGGUUGGUUGCUGGCCAUUGCCGAGCCUAGCAACUGACUAGAGGAGGAAGAAGAAGAAAAGUAUUUUUUUAAAAAAAAAAGAUAAUGACUUGGUUUCAGAAUUUGUUUCUAGAAACAAAUAAGUAAUUUUUUUCUAUUUUUUUAUUUCUGUUCUAGAUUUAUUCCAUGGCUACUGAUACGUUUUCGGGAAUAGAAAAAUUAGCUGACAUUAUUAAAUGGAUUUUUGUUUUUCGGAAUAAAAGAACAAAAUUAAUUAAGAAUUAACUGGUUACCAAAACGGGCCAAAAUAAAGUGUAAAGGUGUAUGGUGGGUCAUGGACUUAUGGGUGUCGUGUGGGUUUUGAAAAUAUGGGUUAAAAUAUGGGUCAUGUCUGUCUAAUGGAUCUCGCGAGUCGGGUAUAUUGGCUUUUUUUUGGGUCUUUAGUUUUCCACAACCCACUUAACCCAUUUUGAAAGAAAACGAGUUACCAAUAUAACAUUGUGCCUCUUAAAAUUGAGUUAUAACUAGGGGUGAGCGGUUCUCGGUUCUGGUUCCGUUCCGUUUGGAACCUGUAACCUACUCUCGGGUAUAGAUUUAUCAUUUUUUGGAACUUGGAACUUACUCAUCAAAACUAAAAACCUGGAACCUACCUGUCACAAGUUCUAAGAUUGGUUUCAAGUUCCAACAGGUUUUUUUUUUUUUUUUCAUUUUCAUAUUUGAACUAUAACGAAGAAGGAAAGAGACAAACCAAAGCUUCUAUGUCCAUAAAUUGCCAAAAAUAGUUCCUUGGGAGGAGAAGCAUAAAACAAAAAAGCACAUUUUUGUCCCUUUGACUAAUGCCACUCCAAAUUCACCAACUGCACAAUGAAAAGUAAUUAAUUGGUGGUUAGACAACACUCAAUGAAGCUAUAUUUAAAGUAAUAUUGAAGAAAGCUGAGACAAGGAAAUAUUUUUCCUUCUGCUCACCAUGCCUUAAUGGAGAAAGCAAAAGAAUAAAUAGAGCCAUCAAACCAAACUCAAAACAAUUGAAGUGCCAUUUUAAGCUUGUUCUGUCUCCAUUUGGGCAACUUAUAGAAAACAUCCUUUGUCAUCCCAAAUUUCUCUCUGAACUCCAAUGAUGAGAAAUAAGUCUGCUACAUUUCAUGCAAAGCAAUGUCCAGGAACAAAAUGAUACAAUGGGAAAAUCUUAUUUAGAUAUUACCUCUUGCAUAGCUGAAAAUUUUUGCAUUGACUGCAGAACCAUCGUCCUGUAGACAGUAUAACUUCACGGCAAUGACAGCAUACAUACUGCAAAUGGACAACAAUGAAGUCCUCCUUAGCAGGCAGGAUUUUUUCCCCAAGCUGUUAUCAAUAAGAGAAAAAUAAUGAGAGCAUAAUUUAAAGAUACAGAAAAGAAGGUAAAAUCAACCAGCCACGAAGUUGCUGAACAGAUAUCAUCAUUUCUCUAAUAAAUGAAUCUUAUUCAGUCUAUGACACAAAAUGACAGUAUUAUAUACUGCUCAGUUAAACAAGCCGAUGCGGAUCUUGACAUUUAACUUAGCCUCUCGUAUGUUCAGAAAAACACAGGAUUAGAAAUUGCCACUAGAUUUGGCACCAUCUAAUGAAAUAGCAUCUUUUUCUUUUUGGUAAAAAAAUAUCAAAAAGAAAAAGGGUUUAAUACCUUGAAAAACCUCAAACUGAUACACCAGUGACAAAUUUACCCCAAAUUAUUUUUUUGACCAUGAAAAAUCUCAAACUGGUACAUCUAUGACAAAUUUACCCCGACUGACCAUAAGAAACCUUAAAUUGGUACAUUUAUGACAAAUUUAUCCCAAACUAAUUUAUGUGACGGCAAAAAACCCCAACCUGAUAAAUUUGUGACAAAUAUACACUCCGUUAAAUUGAAUUAAUACCACAAAAAAUCACAAAAAUUGUAAACUAUGACAAACGGAUCUUAAAAUCGCAAAUUGGUAUACCAGUCAAUUGUCAUGUGCUAUUUAACUUAAUAAUUUGACAGUAAAAUUUAACGAAAACUAAUAAAGGGUAAAUUUCUCACAAGUGUACCAGUUUGGGGUAAAUUUGUCAAAUGUAUACCGGUUUAGGGUUUUUGGUGGUCAAAAAAAUAGUUUUGGGUAAAUUUGUCAUAGGUAUACCAGAAAGGUCCAAACAGAACCUAGUGAAACUCAAUAAUGGCUAUGGAACUAUAGAUCUCAUGGAGUUAGCAUUAUGCAACUAACAUGUGUAGACAGAAUAGGAAAUCUUCAGGGAAAAAAAUAAGAUUGCUUAUUGUCAUACAAGGAUCCCGCAGGAGUAAAGCAACAACUCAAACAAAACAUGACAUGCAGUCAUCACAACAUCAAUUGCAGAGCACAAAAGCAAGUUAGAACCUACAGUCCUCAGCUUUAACAACUUAUCUGGAUUAGAUUAGUCCAGUUUCAUCCAUGAGUGGCUUACAAUGUUCAAUAAAAAGGUCAAACUGAAAUGGAUCCUUCAAAGCCUUAAGUGUACUACUCCACUAUCAAUCACAUGGACUUGAAAAUUGGAUCUUCCAGUUCGUAUUAAUAUGCAACAAGAGAAACAGACCCCAGCUUCUUGUCUGCUUUCUCAAUUCUCCCAUUUUUUCUAAGAAAAUUUUACCCAUAGUUUUUCAUCCCCUCAUAACCAAAUCCAGCAUCCCCCAUCAACACUACCGCCAAAGCAAACCCAAAACCAACAAUCAAAUAUUCACGCUGGAACUUAAUUUUGCUUUACGAAUUUCAUGAGCAUUAUACCAGCACUGAGUUUGUUAAGAUCUUGCAUGUACUGAAAAUAAUAAAUGAUAUCCAUAAAGCAAGCCGAGGGCACAAGAAAAUAUUGGAGCAUAAAGAGGCUCGCGGAAGGGAAAUAAAAUCAAGCACUUGGUGCCCAUUAUACCUGACAAUAUCCCACGCUUCCAUAGAAAGGGGGAAAAACAGUGGUCAUAACUUGCUACCUUGAAAACAAAAACACUUUGAAAUAGAGCUAAACAAAAGUAGUAUUCUUGCAAACAUGAAUUCCCCCCCCCCCCUAAAUCUUACAUACAAACCACAUUCGUUCAGGUCGCCGGCGGCAAAUAAGGGGAAACCAAGAAAAUGAACAAUAGCAACGUAGAGAGGGGGCAGCAAAGAUUACCGGCUCAAAAGGCGAGCUACGAGCAGCGUCGAGGGCAACUGGCCGACCAGUUCGGUUCUUCGAUUUCCGGUUCUAUCCAGGGACCACACUCACCCCUAGUUAUAACAUAGGUACACGAACCAUCUAACCGGCCCUACUUCUGACCAACCAUAUCAGGGUCAAGUUAGUCAGCAUCCUACUUUAUAUAUUCUCUUUCUGGCUUUCACCAUCCAUGAAAUCAAUAUGGAAGAGAAUGGUUUUUUACUAUCAUUUGCCAACAUAUAAUAAAGAGGAUAUCACAUCGUCUUCCAGGCCGUGCUUAUAUAGGCAAGUACAAAAGAAGAAUGGCAGACCUGUAAUAUACUCAAUGAACCUCCGCAAAAGUUACGGAGCUUCAUGACUUUCGAAGCAGAGAACACACAUUUGGAAAAAGAUCAAAAAGGCAUAAGUGCUCUCGACUGUUCACUUUCAAAGAGCAAGAAUCGAUAUCUCUGAGCUUCAAGAACGUAAUAAGCAGCUAAGUCUUGUCGGAUCAAUCUCCUUAGUCCCAUCAUCUUCAUCAACAUGUAUUCGAGUUUCCUUUUGGCUCUUUAUUUAACAAAGGCAUCCGCACCCUUGUGACUCUGAAGAGAAUCACAUUGGGUGUGGCAGUUACCCAUCCCACAUAUACCGAAUAAUUUAUGGGAGAUGUGCAUUCCUAUGCUCCUGGAUGACUCCAAGAAAAUACGCAAGAAUGAUGAUUCAAAUUAUGAUCUUGAACAUGAGAGAUGAACACACGUAUGACUUGAGCAACCCUAACUCAUAAUAGGACUUAUAACCACCGCCUAGUCCUUGUCAGCCUUCCAGUCAACUGCUUUUUUGUUAGGUAGCGCAAGCCAGGAAUGUUCAUCCUCAUUUCUUCUGGGAAAAUGAAGCCAGUUGGGUAGUCUCUAGUGAUUACAGCAUUUGAAUAUUUGACUAAUCCGUCAUUUCUGAAGCCGGCAUCAGGGGGGGCACCUGCAAAACUUGUUCUUGGUCAAAUCAGACAAAUGCAAGACCUGGACGUUACUGAUAUCAAACAAGUUUGUGUAUCUUGCCGUCCGAAAGUUGCUCAUAAUCUUACUCCUCUUUGAACUACUCUUAUUGUACUUGCAUUCUUUCCAAAUUAACGGAUCAAGAUGAUUAUCAACGCACCAAGAUAUAUUGCAUUCGUUUUCUUGAUUUCAGGCCUGAUCCUCUUCAUCCCAGACACUCCUGCCAAUUCACAAACAUAUCUUCAAGAGGGGAGCUCUAGUAAGGGCAAUUACACUGCUUUUGGCAAGUUCCAAAACAACCUCUACAGCCUCCUCGACAGGUAACUUCACAACAAAGGACGCGUUAACUGUUUCUACAACAUGACAGAAGGGGAAUAUCCAGACAAAGUUUAUGGUCUCUUCCUCUGCAAGUAAAUCACAUGGAAAAGACAUCCAAAGUUUCUACUUUUUAGUAAUACCUUUCAAUUCAAUCCUUAUAAUCUUUGGAAAACCUGAUGUGUUGGUCUUAAUUGAGAUCCUCUAAAAGUAUGGAGAUCCAAUGCCAACAAUUUGGUUAAUACUAUCCAAACUUAAGUGACUACUAAUGCAACUUUCCUAUCCUUUUUUAGAGGCUAUGUUGCAGCCAAUCUCUGUCAGUCUUGCAUCAAAUCAGCUACCGGCAACAUCUUAGAAUGAUGUCCAGGAGAGAAAGGGGUGACCAUAGGGUACGAUGAGUGUCUUGUGCGCUACUCUAACAGAUCAUUCUUCUGUAUCAUGGAGUCAAUGCUGGCUUUUUCAAUGUACAACCUUAUGAAUGUAUCAGAUCCCAACCAGUUCCUCCCGGUUGUGGGGGAAACUUUCAGGAAAGUGAUGGACUUGGCAAUCUCCUUAGAAAGCUUAUGCGUGACCAUCAAUGUUAGUGUCUCAAUUUCAGUGAGUUUGUGUGCACUUGCGCAGUGCACCCUUGACUUAUCAAAGUCAAUUUGUGAACAGUUGUAUGGCUGCUGCAAUCCUCUUUAUGAGGAAAUUAGAUGACAAGCAACAGCACAUUCUCCAACUAACAAAACCAGCAUUGAUUCCGGUACUAGAGGUAUAAAAAUUGUAUAAUGCUCAAAACGUGCAUUCAAUUUUCAUGGUUAGCAUAUAAAGGUACUCAUUAUAAGCUGUUUCGUGUAUCAUAAUGCACUUCAAUUGCUUUUACGAUCUAAACUAUGAUCAUUCUCUCUAGCUUUCUCUGAGUUCCUGUUACUAUUUACGCCUAGUGAGAAAAAUCUGCAGACUAAAUUCAAGGAAUCACUUUGUCUUGAUAGGGGUGAAACAAACAAAAGCUCCAUGGAUUGCAAUAGUUAGCUCAGUCACUGGAUUGUGUUUACUCUUAUCCAUCAUAGGUUCAUGCAUUUUUUUAAACAGGACAAAGAGAUUGAAAAAGGUAUAUAUGAAUUCAUCUUGCUUGCCAUUAGAAGACCAUCUUCUAAACUUUACCUUAUGAGAGUAACCUCUUAUACUGUCAGGGUAGGAAAACAGCCUAGAGGUUCAGUUACUGCAUCUGAGACUAGAAAUUGGAGUAGAGUUUUUAGAGGAAAACUAUCAAGGAGAAAAGCCAGUGGAUCCUCGAGAAUUCACUCUGAUACGAUUAGACGUUAUACGCGCAGCCACUGGGAACUUCUCUGACGAAUGUAAGCUUGGGGAAGGCGGGUUUGGUCCUGUAUACAAGGCAAGCAUUUCAGUGACUAAAUACUUAUUUAUGGGGAUAUUAGGAAAUUCUUCUAAUGGCAGCAAAUUGGCUGUCAUUAUUGUCAAAUCACCACUAACGUUACGCUGUUUCACGGCACAUUGGGAGAUGGAAAAUAAAUUGCAGUUAAGAGGCUUUCAAGAACCUCGGGCCAAGGACUCAUCGAGUUGAAGAACGAAGUCAUCUUGAUUUCCAGACCACAACACAGGAACCUCGUCCGAUUGGUGGGAUUCUGCUUGGAAGAACAUGAAAAACUCUUGAUAUAUGAAUACAUGCCCUUCAAAAGCUUGGAUGUCUUCCUUUUUGGUUUGAGCUUUAGCAGAUGAAAUGAAUCUUUUGGCGAUUUUUAUAAAGGGCAAAUCCAUUUGAGUCUCUCAUCAUCAACAGAUUCAAAUGUGGGGCAAUCUCUUGAUUGGAAGAUGCGCCUGAACAUCACCUGUGGAGUAGCUGAGGGACUUAUAUUUCUGCAUGAGGAUUCUUGCCUAAGGAUUAUCCACAGGGAUCUGAAAAGCUAGCAAGAUAGCAAUAUCUUGCUAGAUGUUGAGAUGAAUCCAAAGGUAUCCAAUUUCGGGAUGGCAAGGAUCUUCAGUAUAAAUCAAGACAAGGCCAACACAACAGAGUUGUUGGCAUUUAGUAAGCGCUUUCAAAUAUGUUUCUACAUCUGUUAUAUAUUUGAAUGAUUUACUAGGCCAAAAAAGAACUCUGAUGAUUAGUUCCACAUGACCAAAAUGUGAAGAUUCAUAUUUCAGAAGUUUCCUAUAAUCACUUGUGAAUUUUUUUCCUACUUCCAACUAAUUGCUCCUCAUCAUAUAGUGGACACAUGGCACCGGAGUAUGCGAUGGAAGGGCUCUUUUAUGUUAAAUCAAACAUCUUCAGUUGGAGUUCUCUUGCUAGAGAUAAUAAGUGGGUGAAAGAAUAAUGGUUUUCAUAUCUGAGAGCACGGUGAAAGCCUUCUCACAUAUGUAUGCUCCUAGUCUCCGUUCCAAUUUAUUAUGAAGUCCAAGAUUUUUGUGCAGCUAUUCUUGCUUAUUUUCCUUGUGAAAUGACAGGCAUGGAAGUUGUGGUCCAAAAAUUGAGGGUUGGAACAUACUGAUCCGUCAAUCAAAGGGUCAUGUGAUGGAGUUCCAGUGCUAAAAUGCAUACAUAUCAAUCUGUUGUGCGUUCAAGAAGACCCGGUGGACCGAUCAACUAUGUCACUCGUGGUUCAUAUGCUAGGAGGUGGUAUGAUCACCCUUACCCAAACAUCACAGCCUGCAUUCUCAGUUGGGAGAUAAGUGAAAACACUGGAUCCUAUCGGACCGAUUCACAAUGUUUCCACCGUUAACAAAGUAAACCAAGAAUCAUCACCUUUCUUCAGUUGUUUCUCUUCCAUACAAUGGAAAUGCUUCACGAUUUGACAAAAUAGAACUAGUUACAGUGUAUGAUCUCUUUAUUAUUGUGACUGCCAUUUCUUAAUCCUUGAAUUACACAAUCAUGAAUUAUAUAUUGUGAGGAAAAAAAAAAAAAACCUGUUUAGUAGUCGUCAUUUCUACUCUAAUUCACCACUAAUGUGCUUUAAGAAUAAUAGAUAUACUUACAUGAGUGAUAUAUCAAUAUUCAAUUCUAUAAGUACCUCAUUAAUAUAUAAGAAAGAAUAUACAUAUACAAAUUCAAUAAUCUAAUUUGAGUAUGUUCACCGAAAUCUUCAUUAAUGAAGAAUGUAGAGUGUUUAGAUAUUACAUCACAUCUGAGCCGUACUUAUUGCAUUCAAAUCUUUCCAAACUCAUGUUUGCCUCCCCUAUUAGAUAUUUUUACACUUCAGUCCCAGACUAAAGUUUAGCUUACACGUGAGGAUAGUGUUAGAUUAUUUAAGUAUUAAAUCACGCUUUUAUCUAAUAGCCUAAGAUAGAAAACUUUUUACAGAGGAGCUACCAAGUCAAGGCAUCAUUUUGUAGUAGUUUUGAAUGGGUCAUGUAACGACUUUCUAGACUUUGUAUCAAAUUUAAUUUGGCUUUGUAAUGUUUGAUUUAUUUUUUUAUAAACUCUUUUUUAUUUUGUAAUGGCUAUAUAGCGGUCAUCUUCUCCUUCAAUAAUUACUAAUUUAUUUACAAUUGUCUCUUAAAACUCUCUCUUUCUUUUACCUAUAAAUUGUUACUCCGAAUAUAAUUGGAAAGCGAAAUUGAUAUAUCAAAACAAAAAUAUUCCUCUUUACGUAUCUUUCAUUUCCUUGUUGAAUUAUACACAUAACUUUGUUCCCAUUCCUUCUAUUAUUCUAUCGCAUUGAGUUUCUACUUUGAGGGCUGGAAUUAUGCUUUAAAACGGUGCUUUGUACACCUCAAACAUUUGAUUUUAUUUUCUCAGCAUUUUCAAUAGAAUUCCAACAAUUAUUAUUUUCAUAUUAUCUAACAUUUUCCCAACAAUCUUGACGGUAAUUGCCUUAUGGAUUCCCUAGUCUCUGCUGUCUCGCACCAGUUUCUCCGGCGGUUUGAUGUUGGCUAGCGGUUUCACUGUCGCGAAACAUUUAAUCAUUGUCGUUGCGGCUCUUCUUAACCGACCGCGACUUAGUUCACUCCUUCGAUCGCGAUUCCAGUGGGGCAACCAUGACUCUGGCGGCUUUAUCUACAAUCUCCUGUCGUGUCUUCAGCUCUGCCGCUGUGUAUCCUUCUCCAUGACAGGCGAUGAUGAAAUCCAUUGAUGGUUUUAUCUAUAAGUUGAUGGGCCUUAGUAGGCCUGUCCGCCCAUGUUGGGCCUAAAAGCCUGGCCCGCAAAAUAAGGGCCCAUGGAGGAACGGUUGCGAUGUGAAAGGCUACGUUGUUUAGAAUGAGGAGUUGUGUCUUUUGGGGGAAUGUUUUACAUUGAAGAGUUACGUCUAUUAGAGAAGACGUAAGAGAGAAAAGAAAAAGGGAACGUACCCCUUCAACUUACGUACGUUGUUUUUUGUCUCUCUCCCCCCCUAAGAAACGUAAGAGAAUAGUACCCUCAAAACAACAUUUUUCCCCCUAAUAGCGAUAGCACGCUCCUCGGUAGAAAGAGAUUAAGAUUCUUCCUCGAACUUCAAGGUUGGUGUUUAAUCUGUGGACAAUAAGGUACACUCGAUUCCAUGGUAUAUCUUUGAUCGGUGAUACAUGUGAUUCCUGGGCUCGUCUUCCGCGUUCAUUUUAGGGGUUCGAUUAAGUAUCGGAAACGAUUUUAGGGAAUACGUUAUUCCCAACAUUAGUAUCAGAGACAUUGUUCAUAUUUCUUGAUCCCUUUUCAUGUUUAUGAUUUGUUUUUUGAUUGAAUUUUCAUGAAACACCGCCGUCAGCCGAUUGAGACGGAAAAAUCCCGACACCCACAUAUUGUUCCCCCUAUUUUGUAAUUUUCUGUAAGUCGAAAUUCGUUUUGAUAACGCAGGGUCGAAGCUCUUGUUAAUACAAGAAAAACGAGUCGCGGAUCAUCGCCAGGGGCCGCCAAACGUGCCGCCACACGCGGCUGGAACGGACUGGGGUCGUUGGCGCGUGCCAUGCACGCGCCAGCUAACGUCAUAGUGACGUCAUCCAAGCACGCGCAUGGCACGUACCAAUCGAUUCGUCCUACCGGCCCGACCGACCCGACUCGUCCGACCCGGCCUCAGCGGUCCGACCGGUUUGACCCGUAUCAGCCCGACCCGACAACUAUUGACCCGAUUGACCUGUUGAUUCAAUCCGUUGACCGUUGACCCCUUUGAUCGUUGACCGUUGACUUUGACCAUUAACUAAAAAAAAAAAAAAAGAGGAGGAAAAGAAUGUGUUUCUUUUGCCAAGUAAUUCUAUGUGGAUUAUAAGUAAUCCCUUAUUUGUUCUGCAUUUGUUACAAGAACAAUGUCUCCCUGUAAGGUGCGCACACCUAUUCGCGCAAAUUCAAAUGAACAAAAGGAAAGGCUUUCUAAGUUGAUAACUGAGCUAACAGAUUAUCGAUGGGAGAAUGGUGACUUAAUUGAUCAUGUUCUCGUAGUUAACAAUAAAAUACAACAGGUCAUAUGGAAUGGUCAUCUCAUGCCACAUUCUGAGAUGGUGUGAUUCUUCAUGAACAUUAUUCCACUAAUAUGGCAAGGAGUGUUGAAUCGCCUAUGGGAGGUUAACAGAGCUAUUACGUAUAAGAGGCUUGUAAUGACUUUUAUAGAUGAACAUUACCGGAUUGAAGCCAAAAAGACUGCGACCCAUGGAAUGACUUCGAUCUGGCGGAGAAUGGAUGUAUGAAGGAGAAAUCCUAAGGGAUACUCGUCUGUUUUACCGUGGCUACCUAGAAUGUCUCAAGAAUUUAAAGAAUAAAAGAUCAAUAAAUUAAACAAAAAUGAAUAUUUCCCAGUUCAUGUGUUGUCUUGGCGUUAGAUGUUUUUGACUGAUCUUUAUUUAAGUAUGCUUUAUGGACAUGUUAUGUAAAUGUUUUCUACCUAGAUGUUGUUGGUGUAGCAACUGAUAUGUUAGUUGCAUUAUAUGAAAGCAUUACUAUUCUAUCAUUAUUAGAUGUCGAAUAUUAUUUGCUUCUGUUAUUAUUGACCGUUGUGGAUAGUUCAUAGAAGUUUUUGUAGCUUUAAAGAAUUUAUUUUGUAUAAAAGAUUAUAUUAAUAAUAAUUCCAAGUUAUGAUUUUUGGAUGAUGAUUGGAAACAUAGUGACAUUUUGAUUCCGAAACCAUACUUGAAAUUAUUCAUUAAUAUGAUGGUUUGUGCAAAAUGGAUGCGUAAAUAAUAAGCAUUAAUAAUUCGUGCAUAUAUGUUUGAUAUGUUUAGAUCAAUGGCUUCAGCCACAAAGAGCAUAGUCACUGAGCUAAACAAAGGUGAGAAGCUCAAUGGCGAUAAUUUUGAAAUAUGACACAUGAAAAUCCAAUAUGUACUAGAAGAGCAAGAGGCAUUAGAAAUUCUUAACCUGACUAUGGAAGUACUUGAAGAUAGAAACAUUGCACAACAUAAGAGAGAUAAGGAUGCAUUUGCUACCUGGAAAAGAAAGAACUCUCUUGCUCACAUUACGUUGCUGAGUAGUAUGGAAAAUGAUGUCAUGCAAGAGUUCAGGCAUUUUGAGAAUGCCAAGAAAAUGUGGGAAGCGUUGAUAGCAAGAUUUGGUCAUGCUUUGGUGACCAGACUGAGAUAGCUUACUAUUAGGUUUGUCUCUUAUAAGAAGCCUCAUAGUCAGACUAUGAAGCAACACCUUAGAAAGAUGUCAAACAUGAUUAAUGAGUUAAAAGAUUUUGGACAUGUCCUGACUGAUGAGCAGCAAGUGCAGUGAUUCAUUCCUUGCCUCAAAGGUGGGAGCAUAUGAAAGUGCACCUAACCUAUAAUGAGAAUAUCAAAACCUUUGAGGAUGCGAUGCGUUAUCUUGAGCUAGAAGAGGAUCGUCUCUUGGCGGCUAAGCUUGAAACUGAAAUUUAUCAUGCUGGUUCCAGCUUACAUGGAGCUUUGAGCUCCAAGCACAAACGUCUUAACUGGUUUGAUAAAAGGAAAGGCAAGGAAGCAAGUUCUUCGGGGAAGAAACCUAAGCUUGACCAACAUGAAAGAGGAAAGCGUCCUCCAAUGAAGAAGUUAACAAGGGUGAAGUGUUAUAAUUGUGACAAGAAUGGUCAUUAUGCUCGCAACUGUCGUGAGCCAAAGAAGGUAUACACCCAUUGUACAUUUCAAAACUUUGCUUAUGUGUUGAGUUAUGUAUUCUUAACUGAGUCUAAUCUUUUGUGGACUGUGGAUUCAGGAGCGACAGGCCAUGUAGCGAAGGAUAGAGAAUCCUUCGUGAAAUUCUUAUGAGUACCAACUGGAACUAAAUGGAUCUAUGUAAGAAACUUCAAAGCAGAAGUAAAAGGGAUUGGCACCUGCCAACUUAACAUGCGUGGUGGACGCACUUUAUUCCUACAUGAUGUAUUGUAUGCUCCGGAGAUUCGUUAGAAUUUAUAUCUGUUUUAGUGUUGGUUAAGCUUGGUUUUAAUAUGAACUUCCAUAAUAGUGGUGUAGAUUUAUAUUUAGUUACAAAUUACUAUGGUUGUGAUUAUUUUCUAGAUGGUUUCAUUAUAUUAAAUAUUGACUAUGGUAAUGCCAAUGUUUGUUAUUCGCUUUUCACGUCUCCUAAUUUAUAUGAUAAUGAUGUGAAUGUGUGGCAUGCUAGACUUGGUCAUAUUGGCCAACAACGUAUGAAUAGACUAGCCAAAGAGGGCUUAUUGGGCAACAUUGAAAAAGUCGAUUUGCCCAUGUGUAAGCAUUGUCUAGUAGGGAAAACGACAAAGAAACCAUUUGAAAAAGGUAAAAGAGCUAAAUUUCCUUUGCAUUUAAUCCAUUCCGAUGCCUGUGGUCCGAUGAAUGUGAGAGGAAGGCAUGAGACUGUUUAUUUCAUCACAUUUAUAGAUGAUUAUACUCGAUUUAGAUAUGUUUAUUUAAUUUAUUAUAAAUUCGAAGCAUUGAGUUGUUUCAAGAGGUUUAUGAACUUGGUAGAAAAUCAAUUAGACAAGAAAAUAAAAGUAUUGAGAUCCGAUCGAGGUCGAGAAUAUUUAUCUGAUGAGUUCAGAAAGUUCUGUGAUAAAAACAAAUAAUAGAAAGACAGUUGUAUAUUCCAUAUAUUCCUCAACAAAAUGGUGUUGUGAAGAGAAGGAACAUAACCCUAUUGGAAAUGGUUAGGUCCAUGAUGACGCAUGCUAACUUACCCAUUACUUUUUAGAGUGAUGCGUUGUUAACUGCUGUUAUAUACUUAACCGAGUGCCUUCCAAAUCAGUUACUUCCACUCCAUAUGAGUUAUGGACAAGCAGAAAACCGAACUUAAGUUUUCUUAAACCAUGGGGUUGUGUUGCCUAUACUCAUGAGCCCUCUCACAAGUUUGGGAAAUUGGGUCCCAGAGGAAAGAAGAGUAUUUUUAUAAGAUACUCUAACACUCGAAAGGGUAUGUGUUCAUAGGUGAGCAGGAAAGUAGAAGUAUAACUGAAUUCGAAUCACGGGAUGUCACAUUCUUAGAGAAUGAAUUUCCUAAAAAAUGCGAAAUAGGUGAGGAUCUAAGUAGCAUCAAUACGCGACACGGACACGCGACAUGACACAACACGACACAUCGACACGUCAUUUCUUAAAAAUAUAGAAUUUCGACAUGUUCCGACACGUUAUAUAUUAAAUAAAUAUUUUUAUUUUUAAUUAAUUUUAUUUAAAUUCACAAAUAAAUAAAUAAAUAAAUAAAUAAGAACUUACAAUAAAUUUACACUAAUAAUAUUAAUAAAUCUAUUCAUGAAAAAUUAUUCAUAAUUAAUACGUGUGCAUAUUUAAAAAUAUAUUUUUUAUUUUAACAAAAAUUAUUCCCCUCAAACCCUCCCUUCUCAUUUCUCUCUCCCCCUCUUCUCCCACGCCACCACCCUAAAAUCUCCCCCCUUCGAUUUCUGCGAAUCUACCCCCACUCUCUCUCUCCCCAUCCCCUUCCCCCUACGCCCCCACUUGCUCCUGCGCCCCCAUCAAUUGCCCCCAUCCCCCUCGGAUUUCUUCCCUUCUCUCCUCUCUUCUCUCCCCCUCCCCCUCCCUUUACCCCCCAUGCCACCACCUGCUCCCCUACAAGGCUGCACCCCCCAUCAAUCCCCCUCCAUCCUUGUUCUUCCCCUGCUCUCUCUCUGUGGCAUCCUAGAAUUUCAUGACAACCCUUGGAUAUACCAUGAACCUUAUAAGUUGGAUUUUAUUGAUUAUUGUUGCAAAGUUUUAUGGCCAAGUGAAAAAGUGUAAUUAGGUCUUUAUAUAAGUGGGAAUUAAGGUGGAUUAUUAGGAAUAAUUGUGGGCUGUGUAUUUGAGGACCAAAUCAGCUCAAGACAGCCCAUAAUUUCCCACCAUUCGGCUGACCAAGCCCAGCCCGAGGAGCCCAUGAAGUAGUCGAUCGAAGGAGGGAGAGGCCCGGCCCAUUGAGCCCAUCAACUUGCAUGGCAAAAUUAACAAGUGGCAAGAGAGAUUAGCCAAGUAUCUAAUGCCAUACAAAUCAAAUCUAAUGAUGAAGGGGAAAGAAAAGAGGAGGGGCGGAUUGAGAGAUAGGGUUUUCGACCGAGAGAGAGAGAGAGAGAGAGAGAGAGAGACCGAGCGAGCGUGCGAGAGAAGAAGAGAAGAAGGAGAUCGGUUGCCGCUGUGAGUCCGCCUUGUCCCACCGUCGUGCUUGCUGUGAUUUUCUUUGGAUUAGAGGCAAGUAGAGUCCGUUAGCCUACACUUUACUUGUUGUAGUUGUGAUGUUGAAUGCAGGGAAUGUUUGAGCUGUGAUGUUGAAUGCUGGAAACUCGAGUGAAUGGAGGUAGUUUUCCAAGUGAGCUGUUGCAUGUAGGAACAAUCCGACUUUUGGUGAUUUCGUGAGCUGCAUGCAAUGUUCUAGUUGGAAUCUCACUUCGACUUCUUGAUAAAAGUUGUAGAGGACUUCUUGAAGAUUAACAUAUCAAAAUUUGAGGGAAAACGAACAAGUAUUUGUUGGUGAAACCAUUUUUCUUCAAAGAUACUAGAUUUGGAAACUGUUAUGUUGAUCUAUUGUGAUUCUGUGAAUUUUGUGCAAUUAUCCAGUCCGAAUUUGAUCUCGUGUCCUUGAUAAGAGUUGUAAAUGACAUCUUGAGGGGUAAUAUACUAAAAUUUGAGAAUAAACGAACAAGUAUUGAUCGGGGACAAUCAUUUUCUUUGAAAGGGUUAAAUCUAGAGAGUGAGCCGAGAGUUAGGGAGAGUUAUAAAAAUUAUAAAUUUUAAUCCAGAAGGAAUUAGACUUUAAUUUCUUCAUUGGACUUUUACUUCUAGGCCACAUCUAUAACAUAUUAAAAUCUCAGAAUUUACGAAGUUCAUUUAAGAGCUUAAUCGAAAUUAUUUCCGAAACUGUGCAAAAAUGGCGUUGGAAAUUCUGUUGCUGUGAUGUAUGGACCUAUGCGAUUGAUGUGAAACUGUCUUUGUGGCAUCCUAGAAUUCCUUCCUAAUCUUUAGGGGUAUUCUAAUUCAUGUCUUAUAUUAAGACUUUAGCCAAGCCUAUGGUGAAUAAUUAUUUGAUAAAAAUUUCUAUUUUUGGCCAUGAAGGAUUAUGGGUUGGAAUGUGUUAAGAUAGGUCACAAAGUCUUGUGAAUUAUAAAUUUCAAUUAGGUGUUUAUAAAAUUAAAGGUUUAAGGAGGAUUAUUAGGAUGAGAUGUGGGCCAAAGUAUUAGCUUAAGACCAGCCCAAAAGAAGCCCCACCCUUCGGCCAUUUGGGCCUAGCCGCGAAGCCCAAAGGAGGAGGAGGAAUAGUCAGCCCUUGGCUGGCCCAAGCCCAGCCGAAAGAUGGAGGCCCAUCUUGCAUGAAGAAGGCCAUUUGUCCCUCCUAGCUGCCAAGUGUUCCCCAUGCAAAAUCAAUGAUUGUUCAUCAUUGAGGGGAAAAAACUAAGGGAACCGGUUGAUGAUGAAGGGAGAGGGAAAGCGUCGUCGAUUAGGAGGGAGUGAGAGAGAGAGCUACCGAGAGAAAGAGGGAAACCGAGAGAGAGGAGGAGAAGGCCGCGCGAGGAAGAAGCCGUGUGUUUGUCCACCGUCCGCCGUGCGUCCGUCGCUCAUCACCAUCCGUGUGCUUGCUGUUUGCUCGGUCUAGAGGCAAGUUGGGAUCCUUAAUCUACUCUUGCAUGUUAUAUCUAGCAUGUGUGUUUGAAUGGUGAUGAAUUUCGGAUGUCUAGGGUGUUCUCGAGUAAACCGUCUGACCCAGAAUGUUGUAGUGGCUUGCAUGCGAUUUUUAAGUCGGCUUUUGGCUUCGACUUCUUCAUGAAAGUUGUAGAUAACAUCUUAAAGUAUAACAUACUAACAUUUGAGACAAAAUGGCUGAUUUUUUAGGGGUGAAACCCUCCCUCUACGAAAAUGUUAGAUCUGAAGCUGUUUUGUUGACCUCUUGGUGAUUUUGUGUGUUGCAUGUAACCUUUUACUGAAAAUUUCUCUUCUAUUCCUUCAUGAAAGUUGUAUAGAACAUCUUGAAUACUAACAUACUCAAAUUUCAGGUAAAAAUAACAAGUAUAGCCUAGUGAAACGAUUUUUCGUUUGAAGACGUUAGAUCUGGAAAUGUUGUACUGAAUCCCAGUGACUUCGUGGACUAUAAAGUGACUUUCCUUUGAAAAUAUCACCUUAAUCCCUAAUGAAAGUUGUAGUAAACCUAAUGAGGAAAAACAUAUCAAAAAUUGAGAGGAAAAUAUGGAAGACAAGUAGAUAAAAUCAUGAUUUUUCGGAGACGGCUAAACCUGGAAUGUUCGGUACUAGGAACAGGGCUUCGAACGUUCAUAAUUAAUUAUAUAGGACAAAUAUGACUUCAGUGUCUUCAUGAAAAAUUUAAUUUAGGAUCUUUACUACCACAUAUUUAAAUUUCAUAAUUUUUUAAGGUCAUUAUAGCAUUUAAUCGGAAAUAUUUCAAAACCCGAGUAAUCUGACGGGUACGGGUUUAGUCAGCUUCAAUGCAUGGAUCAUAUUUUUUUUUAUGAAGUUCUUUCGGUAAAGUGUUCUUCACGAAGUAUCAUUAUGUAUGUCUUUUCUGCAACAUAUUCAAAUUUCAUAUUUUUUGAAGUUCAAUUACCUAUUUAACCAAAAAUAUUUCAAAAACUGUGCAAGUUGUAUUGAUAAAAUAGAAAUGCUGUGAUGCGUGAUCUAUAUCAAAUUUUAUGAUGGUCUUUUUGUGCAGUUUCCUUCAUAUGAUAUCUGCCAUUAUGUCUUGACCAGCACACGUUCAAAUUUCAUAAUUUUUAAAGACCAAUUGGGUAUUUAAUGGAAAUAUUUUCUAAAACUGUGCAGGCUGGAUUGUGCGAAUUUGAAAUGCUGAAAUUUAUGAUUAUUCUGUUUUGGAUGAGCCCUACUAAUUAUAUUGGUUGAGGUGAUUGAAUCUUGCUGAGCAUGUGAUGAUAUUUGGCAUUGCAUAUAGAAUCAAAUGCUGAAUUUGACUUGGUUGUCAUUACGUCAUGUGCCAUGUUGAUUGUGAGACAUAAAUUGGUGAACAUGAAUUAUGAUGAAUGAGGAAACUGUUGGAGGUGGGUCGAUAAUGCCCUGGGGGUAUCAGGAUGCUCGGGAUGGGGGGUGCCGGAUGCCCAGUUGUAUUGUGAUACAUGCCCGGAUGUCCUCGGGAGUUUCGAAAUGCCCGGAAUGGUUGGGUGCCGGAAGCCUCAGAGGUUUGUGCCCGGGGAAUGCCUCGUGAUGCUAGUUGGGAUGCGAGAUGCCCGGAAUGUGGGGGUGCCGGAUGCCCGGUGGUGUGUGCCAGAGGUUUCUCGCGAUGCUAGGUGGGGGUGUGAGUGAUAAAAAUGUGGGAUGCAAUUACUGGUCCCGGGAAAGGAAGAUGUGGUGAUCAAAUUGAAAGAUAAAAGUGUAAAUUGAAUCAUGCACAUAUGAUAUGGUGACAUACGCAUGGCGAUGUGAUAUGAUGAUGAUAAGUGCAUAGUUGUAUGUGCACCGAUGGCAUGAUGAUAUAUAGAUGAUAUGAUGAUGAUGAGUGGAUGGUUGUAUGUGCACCUAUGGCAUGAUGGUAUAUGUAUGACAUGAUGAUGAUGAGUGCAUGGUUGUGUGUGCACCUAUGGCAUAAUGAUACAUGUAUGACAUGAUGAUGAUGAGUGCAUGGUUGUGUGUGCACCUAUGGCAUGGUAUAUGUAUGACAUGAUGGUGAUGAGUACAUGAAGAGGUAUGUACAUAUGGUAUGAUGACAUAUGCAUGGCUGCAAGGUAAGUAAUGCUUGGAUGCAUGAAUGACAUGUACUAUGCUAUGAUUGUUAUGAUUGUAUUGUAUGAUGCAUUGAGUGGUUUAUUGGAUCUUUUACUUGCUUAGUGAUUGUACUCACCCCUUCGGGAACCAACAUUCAGACUAGAAAGAUGCCGCUUCCUACUAUCACGCGGGGCACCUUCUAUGGCCUCCCAUCUGAUGUGGAGGUAGAGUGUAUGGAGAUCGACUGCAUUACCAUCCAUGGUCUGACGUUUGUGAGAGUGCGAGUGCUGGUCAUGUACGAUGUGGGCCUAGCUGAGGGCCUAGUCAUUCAGGAGUUUAUGUCGGUUCAUGUUCGCCGAGAUGGAGUGUUUAGGGGGAUGUUGCUGCCACCACCGCCCGACGCGCCAAGAUGGGUGUGAUGGCCGCGUGAGGGGUAAAAAGCUUAUGUUUCUUUUUGGGGGUAACCGACACUGAUAGAUGGAGGAUGACACGUGAUCGUUAUAGGGGUCAAGAUAUCCUUUUGAGAUGUGGCCAAGUGUAGCUAAAAAUUUUGGCUUUCUUUUGUUGUAUCGACCUGAGAAAAUCCAUCAUGAAAAUAUGUAAAUAAAAAUGGCUCGGCUUUAUCCUUUCCUAUGGUGCUUAGUGGUGUGCAUUGUACCAUGAUUGUUGGAGGGAGAGAUGGUGAUAUUCAAUUAUGCUUCCACUAAUAAGUUGCGCUGGGACCGUUUUUUUUUUUUUUAUAAAAAAAAAAAUGCCUAUGAACUAUGAUGUUUCUACUAAGAGAUGUAAUUAGUGUUCGUUAGGUGGAGCGAUAGGUACUUGUGGCGACCUUAGGUGGUUCGGGGUGCCACAGCCGCUGCCCCCCUUUUUGGUAUCAGAGUGAAUGAUUAUAAGUUGGAGUGAUAAGGAACCUCAUUUGGAAAUUGAGGAACAUGAUGACAAUGCACACCAUAGGAUAUUAACUGGAAUGGUUGGGUAACUUUGAAUAACGGGUGAUGAGUAAUCACUCGUAGAUCCUUAGUAGUUAUUAUUAGUUACUUUUAGGUGACAGUAACAUGGUUAUGUUAGUGUUGUUGUUUUUAAUGAAGACAUUGAGUCACAGAUAAUUCCUGAGGCAAAUGCUUGGAAACUGCAGGAAAAUCAUGGUAUGAUAUGGAAGUCAUCAUCCGUCAAGGGCCGAAGCCUCUGCUGCAAGGGCUGAACCCCGGAUGGAAGAUAUCCUGCAGGCAUUGGCCAAUAUAGGAAAUCUGAUGGAAAGACAAGCGCAGCAACAACUCUGAGCAGAAAGCCGUACUCAAGGACUGGUGGAGCAAUUUCUGAAGUUGAAACCACCUAAGUUCAGUGGAAUGGGAAGUCCUGAGGAGGCGGAGCAUUGGAUUGAUGGAAUGGAACGAAUUUUCCGAUUGUUGGACUGCAAUGAUGUUGAGAAAAUAACUUUGGCAGAGUACCAGCUGGAGGAAAAUGCAAAGUUUUGGUGGAGAGCUUCAAAGGACAUAAUCUUUCCACCAAGUACUGAUGUUAAUUGGGGAGAGUUUGUGAGAGCUUUUAAUAGAAAGCAUUUUUUUUUACUGUGCUAAGGACAAGAAAUUUCAAAAUUUGUUCAAUUAGAACAAAAUGAGCUGACAGUAGACCAAUAUGAGGCUAGAUUUUCUGAAUUAUCUAGAUAUGCUCCUAGGCUGAUUGAAGAUCAGGAAGAAAAGACUAAGAGAUUUAUGAAAGGGUUGAGAACUGAUAUCAGGAAACAACUAGUGCCUUUGAACAUAAGGGAUUACCAUGAGAUUUAUGAAAGGGCACAAUUAGUGGAGCAGGAGCUGAUGAGAAAACGAUCAGAGUUUAAGAAACAACUAAACUUUAAUGAUGUGAGAAGGGGUAAGAGACCCUACCAUGGUCAAGGUUAGACUUGGAAUGUGAAGAAAAAGAGCAAUUUUGGAAAUUUUGGGAGAGCAAGAAAUGGCCUGAAUAUAGGGAAAGCACCCUAUCAGCCUGAUGUUUGUCAAAGGUGUAAUGGGUGACAUGGCCCAAGACCUUGCAAUGGACGAUUGAGAUGUUUUGGUUGUGGACAAGUGGGCCACCUUAGGAGAAGUUGCCCACAAGAAAGGUCGCAAAUGAGUGUUGGCUCGGUGUGACAGGGACAACAGAGUGCUGUUAGAUCAAACUUACCAAGGAAUCCUCAGAGGCCACCAGCACAAGGAAGGGUGUAUGCGGUCACCCAAGAGGAGGCGAAAGCUUCCAAAAAUGUUAUCUCAGGUACGAUCCUUAUAAAUGGUAAAAAGGCAUGUGCGUUGUUUGAUAUGGGUGCUAUGCAUUCGUUUGUGUUUGAAAGAUAUAGGCAUUUGAGUAAAAUAGAAGUUACGCCCCUUGAGAUGCCUCUUUGUAUUUCCACACCUGUAAAGAAUAUGGUAUUGUCUACGCUAGUGUGUGGAAAUUGUAAAAUAUCAAUGGGAGGAAAGGAUAUGGAAAUAGACUUGGUCGUAAUGGCUAUGUAUGAUUUUGAUGUUAUUAUAGGAAUGGAUUGGCUUUGUAAGUAUCGGGCCAAAAUGGGUUGUUAUAGAAAAGUGAUCCAAUUUGUCUUACCUGAUCAGUCUAGUUAUGAAUUUUUGGGAGGUUAGACCAACCAAUCUAUAGCACUUAUCUCAAGAAUAGAAGCUCGUGCGUUACUUGACAAGGGAUGUCAAGGGUACCUGGCUAUGGUUAAAGAUUAUACUAGGGAAGAGCCUAAACUUGAUGAAGUUCGAGUGGUUAAUGAAUUUCAAAAUGUAUUUCCUGAGGAGUUGCCCGGAUUACCACCAGAGCGGGAAGUUGAGUUUGAAAUUGAAUUAAUGCCUGGAACAUGACCAAUAUCUAAAGCCCCGUAUAGGAUGGCCUUAGUCGAGUUAAAGGAAUUAAAGGUGCAACUACAAGAGUUGCUUGACAAAGGAUUCAUUAAGCCAAGGGCUUCACCUUAGGGUGCACCAGUUUUGUUUGUGAAAAAGAAAGAUGGGCCGAUGCGCUUGUGCAUUGAUUAUAGGCAACUGAAUCAAGUAACCAUUAAAAAUAAAUAUCAUUUGCCUAGAAUUGAUGACCUAUUUGACCAACUCCAAGGAAAUUCGGUCUUCUCUAAGAUUGACUUAAGGUCGGGAUACCAUCAGCUAAGAAUUAAGAAAGAGGAUAUUCCUAAAACUGCGUUUUGGACUCGUUAUGGACAUUAUGAGUUCCUGGUUAUGCCAUUUGGAUUGACAAAUGCACCAGCUGCAUUUAUGGAUCUAAUGAAUAGGGUAUUUAAGUCUUAUUUAGACCAGUUUGUGAUUGUUUUUAUUGAUGAUAUUCGGAUAUAUUCAAAAGGGCCUAAAGAGCACGAAUAGCAUUUGAGGAUAGUUUUGCAAACCUUAAGAGAUCAUAAGAUGUAUUCCAAAUUUAGCAAGUGUGAAUUCUGGCUAGACUAGAUAAUAUUUUUAAGACAUGUGGUAUCAGGAGAAGGAAUUGCAGUAGACCUGCCAAAAGUUAAAAUGGUAAUAAAUUGGCAAAGAUCGACAACACCUACUGAAAUACGGAGUUUCUUAGGACUGGCUGGCUACUAUAGGAGGUUUAUUGAAGGAUUUUCACGAUUGGUGGGUCCUUUAACAAAAUUGACUCGAAAGAACGUAAAGUUUGAAUGGAAUGGGGAAUGUGAAAGGAGUUUCCAAGAGCUUAAAAGAAAAUUGACCUUGGCUCCAAUCUUGACUAUACCAACAAAAUUGGAUGGUUUUACAGUGUAUAGUGAUGCAUCUCACAAAGGACUGGGAUGUGUUUUGAUGCAGCAUGGCAAGGUCAUAGCCUAUGCAUCUAGACAAUUGAAACCCCAUGAACUGAAUCACCCAACGCAUGAUUUAAAACUAGUAGCUAUAGUGUUCGCUUUGAAAAUAUGGAGUCAUUAUUUAUAUGGGGAAAAGUUUGAGAUUUAUACGGAUCAUAAGAGCUUGAAAGAUCUAUUAUCACAAAAGGAGUUGAACAUGAGACAAAGGAGGUGGAUGGAGUUGUUAAAGAAUUAUGAUUGUGAGAUAUGAUACCAUCCAGGGAAGGCGAAUAAGGUAGCGGAUGCUCUUAGUCGUAAGUCAGCUAUGGAGAUGGCUAGUUUAAGAAUGGCGGAAUGGAGUUUGUUAAAGUCCGUAGAAGACUCAGAGUUUAAAUUGAAAAUGGAUUGUCUUACAAAUAUGCUUAGUGCAUUAAGAAUUGAACCUGAAAUUAUUCAGAAAGUUAAGACUUUACAAGAAUCUGAUCUGGAAAUUAUGAAAGUGAAAGAUGCAGUGUCUUUAGGAAAAAAGACCAGAAUUUCAAGUCUCUGAAGAUGGAGUGGUAAGAUGCCAAUGAUGACUCUUUGUUCCCGACAACGAAGAGGUAAAGAAGGAAAUUUUGUCGGAGGCACAUAAGAGUAAUUACAGUGUUCAUCCAGGUAGUACAAAGAUGUACAGGAAUUUACGUCAGCAAUUUUGGUGGAAUGGUAUGAAAGCAGAUAUGGCUAAGCACGUUUCUCAAUGUUUAAUGUGCCAGCAAGUAAAAGCAGAGCAUCGCAAACCCGCAGGACUUUUGAGACCGUUAGACUCACCAGAAUGGAAAUGGGAACAUAUAACAAUGGAUUUUGUGCAAUGAUUGCCAAGGACAUCAAGUGGUCAUGACUCUAUCUGGGUAAUAGUGGACCGUCUAACCAAGUCUGCUCAUUUCCCAUUUCCUAGCAGUUCGCAUAGACUACCCAAUGGACAAAUAUGCGGAUUUAUAUGUAAGCCAAGUGGUACGCUUACAUGGUGUUCUGGUAACUAUUACCUCAGAUCGGUAUUCAAGAUUUACUUCGAACUUUUGGCGAAGUCUUCAAAUUGCCUUGGGAACUAAACUCCAAUUUAGUACUGCUUUUCACCCUCAGACAGAUGGACAAAUAGAAAGAGUAAUCCAGACAUUAGAGGAUAUGUUGAGGGCUUGUGUGAUUGAUUUUAAGGGAAAUUGGGAUGAAAGAUUGCAUUUGGUGGGGUUUGCUUAUAAUAAUAGUUUUCAGAAAAGUAUAGACAUGGCUCCCUAUGAAGCAUUGUAUGGAAGGAGAUGUAGGACUCCUGUCUGUUGGAAUGAAGUAGGUGAAAGGAAAUUGACAGGACCUGAACUGGUACAAGUUACCACUGAAAUUGUCAAAAUUAUCAGGGAAAGACUUAAAACAGCUCAAAGUAGACAAAAAGACUACGCAGAUAGGCGUAGAAAGCCUUUGAAAUUUAGUGUGGGAGAUCAUGUAUUCCUUAAAGUAUCUCUGAUGAAAGGAAUAUCUCGAUUUGGAAUGAAGGGUAAGUUAAGCCCUAGAUUUGUUGAACCUUUUGAGAUACUUGAAAGAAUAGGAGAUGUGGCUUAUCGUUUGGCGCUGCCUCCUAAGUUGGGAAAUUUGCAUGAUGUGUUUCAUGUAUCCAUGCUGAGAAAGUACCAGCCGUAUCCUGGUCACAUACUCGAUCAUGAAGCCAACAAAGUGGAUGAGAAAGUGAGGUACAUCGAAGAGCCUGUGCAAGUAUUGGAUCGGAAGGAACAAAUUCUCAGGACCAAGAGAAUCCCAUUGGUUAAGGUAUUAUAGCGACAUCAUGAUAUGGAAGAAGUCACAUGGGAAAGUGGAGAUCGGAUGAAGGAAAAGUACCCCUAUUUGUUUCAAAAGGCAUGAGUAACUAUCUAAUUUCGAGGACGAAAUUCUCUAAGGAGAGGAGAAUUGUGGCAUCCUCGAAUUCCUUGCUAAUCUUUAGGGGUAUUCUAAUUCAUGUCUUAUAUUAAGACUUUGGCCAAGCCUAUGGUGAAUAAUUAUUUAAUAAAAAUUUCUAUUUUUGGCCAUGAAGGAUUAUGGGUUGGAAUGUGUUAAGAUAGGUCACAAAGUCUUGUGAGUUAUAAAUUUCAAUUAGGUGUUUAUAAAAUUAAGGUUUAAGGAGGAUUAUUAGGAUGAGAUGUGGGCCAAAGUAUUAGCUUAAGACCAGCCCACAAGAAGCCCCACCCUUCGGCCAUUUGGGCCUAGCCACAAAGCCCAAAGGAGGAGGAGGAAUCGUCGGCCCAUGGCUGACCCAAGCCCAGCCAAAAGAUGGAGGCCCAUCUUGCAUGAAGAAGGCCAUUUGUCCCUCCUAGCUGCCAAGUGUUCCCCAUGCAAAAUCAAUGAUUGUUCAUCAUUGAGGAGAAGAAACUAAGGGAACCGGUUGAUGAUGAAGGGAGAGGGGAAGCGUCGUCGACCGAGAGGGAGUGAGAGAGAGAGCUACCGAGAGAGUGAGGGAAACCGAGAGAGACGAGGAGAAGGCCGCGCGAGGAAGAAGCCGUGUGUCCGUCGACCAUCGGUCGACUGUCCGCCGUGCGUUCAUCGCUCAUCGCCGUCCGUGUGCUUGCUGUUUGCUCGGUAAAGAGGCAAGUUGGGAUCCUUAAUCUACUCUUGCAUGCUGUAUCUAGCAUGUGUGUUUGAAUGGUGAUGAAUUUCGGAUGUCUAGGGUGUGAAAAACCCAAGUUUUGAUUGUGUUGUUUUGAAGUGGUAAGCUGUUCUCGAGUAAACCGUCUGACCCAGAAUGUUGUAGUGGCUUGCAUGCAAUUUUUAAGUCGGAUUUUGGCUUCAGCUUCUUCAUGAAAGUUGUAGAUAACAUCUUAAAUUAUAACAUACUAACAUUUGAUACAAAAUGGCUGAGUUUUGAGGGGUGAAACCCUCCCUCUACGAAAAUGUUAGAUCUGAAGCUGUUUUGUUGACCUCUUGGUAAUUUUGUGUGUUGCAUGUAACUUUUUACUGAAAUUUCACUUCGAUUCCUUCACGAAAGUUGUAGAGAACAUCUUGAAUACUAACAUACUCAAAUUUGAGGUAAAAAUAACAAGUAUAGCCUAGUGAAAUGAUUUUUCGUUUGAAGACGUUAGAUCUGGAAAUGUUGUACUGAACCCCAGUGACUUCGUGGACUAUAAAGUGACUUUCCUUUGAAAAUAUCACCUUAAUUCCUUAAUGAAAGUUGUAGUAAACCUCAUUACGCAAAACAUAUCAAAAAUUGAGAGGAAAAUAUGGAAGAUAAGUAGAUAAAAUCAUGAUUUUUCGGAGACGGCUAAACCUGGAAUGUUUGGUACUAGGAACAGGGGCUUCGACCGUACAUAAUUAAUUAUAUAGGACAAAUAUGACUUCAGUGUCUUCAUAAAAAAUUUACUUUAUGAUCUUGACUACCACAUAUUUAAAUUUCAUAAUUUUUUAAGGUCAUUAGACAUUUAAUCGGAAAUAUUUCAAAAACCGAGUAAUCUGACGCGUACGGGUUUAGUCAGCUUCAAUGAAUGGGUCAUAUAUUUUUGUAUGAAGCUCUUUCGGUAAAGUGUUCUUCACGAAGUAUCUUUUUGUAUUUCUUCUCUGCAACAUAUUCAAAUUUCAUAUUUUUUGAAGUUCAAUUUCCUAUUUAACCAAAAAUAUUUCAAAAACUGUGCAAGCUGUAUUGAUAAAAUAGAAAUGCUGUGAUGCGUGAUCUAUAUCAAAUUGUAUGAGGGUCUUUUGGUGCAGUUUCCUGCAUGAAAUAUCUGCCAUUAUGUCUUUACCAGCACAUGUUCAAAUUUCAUAAUUUUUAAAGACCAAUUGGGUAUUUAAUGGAAAUAUUUUCUAAAACUGUGCAGGCUGGAUUGUGCGAAUUUGAAAUGCUGAAAUUUAUGAUUAUUCUGUUUUGGAUGAGCCCUACUAAUUAUAUUGGUUGAGGUGAUUGAAUCUUGCUGAGCAUGUUAUGAUAUUUGGCAUUGCAUAUAGAUUCAAAUGCUGAAUUUGACUUGGUUGUCAUUACGUUAUGUGCCAUGUUGAUUGUGAGACAUAAAUUGGUGAACAUGAAUUAUGAUGAAUGAGGAAACUGUUGGAGGUGGGUCGAUAAUGCCUUGGGAGUAUCAGGAUGCCCGGGAUGGGGGGUGCUGGAUGCCCGAUUGUAUUGUGAUACAUGCCCGGAUGUCCUUAGGAGUUUCGAGAUGCUCGGAAUGGUUGGGUGCCGGAAGCCUCGGAGGUUUGUGCCCGGGGAAUGCCUCGUGAUGCCAGUUGGGAUGCGAGAUGCCCGGAAUGUAGGGGUGCAAGAUGCCCGGUGGUGCGUGCCCGAGGUUUCUCGCGAUGCUAGGUUGUGGUGCGAGUGAUAAAAUGUGGGAUGCAAUUACUGGUCCCGGGAAAGGAAGAUGUGGUGAUCAAAUUGAAAGAUAAAAGUGUAAAUUGAAUCAUGCACAUAUGAUAUGGUGACAUACGCAUGGCUAUAUGAUAUGAUGAUGAUGAGUGCAUGGUUGUAUGUGCACUUAUGGCAUGAUGAUAUAUAUAUAUAUAUAUAUAUAUAUAUAUAUAUGACAUGAUGAUGAUGAGUGCAUGGUUGUAUGUGCACCUAUGACAUGAUGGUAUAUGUAUGACAUGAUGAUGAUGAGUGCAUGGUUUUGUGUGCACCGAUGGCGUUAUGAUAUAUGUAUGACAUGAUGAUGAUGAGUGCAUGGUUGUGCGUGCAUUUAUGGCAUGGUAUAUGUAUGACAUGAUGGUGAUGAGUACAUGAGGAGGUAUGUACAUAUGGUAUGAUGACAUAUGCAUGGCUGCAAGGUAAGUUAUGCUUGGAUGCAUGAAUGACAUGUAUUAUGCUAUGAUUGUUAUGAUUGUAUUGUGUGAUGCAUUGAGUGGUUUAUUGGAUCUUUUACCUGCUGAGUGGCUAUACUCACUCCUUCGAGGACCAACAUGUCAAAUUAGAAAGAUGCCGCUCCCUACUGUCACGCGGGGCACCUUCUAUGGCCUCCCAUCUGAUGUGUAGGUAGAGUGUACGGAGAUCAACUGCAUUACCAUCCUUAGUCUGACGUUUGUGCGAGUGCAAGUGCUAGUCAUGUACGAUGUGGGCCUGGUUGAGGGCCCAGUCAUUCAGGAGUUUCUAUCGGUUCAUGUUCGCCGACAUGGAGUGUUUAGGGGGAUGUUGCCGCCACCACCGCCUGACAUGCCAGGAUGGGUGUGAUGGCCGCGUGAGGGGUAGAGAGCUUAUGUUUCUUUUUGGGGGUAGCCAACACUGAUAGAUUGAGGAUGACACGUGAUCGUUAUGGGGGUUGAGAUAUCCUUUUGGGAUGUGGCCAAGUGUAGCUAAAAAUCUUGGCUUUCUUUUGUUGUAUCGACCUGAGAAAAUCUAUGAAAAUAUGUAAAUAAAAGUGGCUCGACUUUAUCUUUUCCUGUGGUGCUUAGUGGUGUGCAUUGUAUCAUGAUUGAUGGAGGGAGAGAUGGUGAUAUUCAAUUAUGCUUCCGCUAAUAAGUUGCGCUGGGACUGUUUAAAAAAAAUGCCUAUGAACCAUGAUGCUUCUACUAAGAGAUGUAAUUAGUGUUCGUUAGGUGGAGCGAUAGGUACCAGUGGCGACCUUAGGUGGUUCGGGGUGCCACAGUCUUGACAUGGUGUUCUUCAUGAAAUCUCUUUCUCUAGAUCUUGUCUGCAUUAUGUUAAACUUUCAGAAAUUAUUGAGAUUUUUUACUAAUUUUUCAAGAAUUAUUACUAAAGAGGUGCAUUUUGUUUUAUCCGAAAAUUGUUCUAUUUUCAAAAACCAAUAAAUUGCUUCAUGAAAUGUGAUAUCGUGGGUAUUAUUUGUACUGCAUAUGUGGUGACAUUUAGCAUGUCAUACAGCAUAAAAAAGACUAGUUUAGACCUCGGAUAUUAUUGCAUCAAAUGCUGAUUUGAAAAUGAGAUAUAUAUGUGAAUAUACAUUGUGAUGAUAAUGAUACUGUCGGAGGUGUGAGCCGACGAUGUCCCGAGAGUGUUGGGAUGCCCGGAGUAUGUGUGCCGGAUGCCCGGUGUGUGUGCGCCGGAGGGUCCUUGAGAGUUUCGGGAUGCCCGGUGGUAUAUCGGUACGUAAUUCCAGGGGAGGCCUGGUGGUAUGUCAGUACGUAAUUCCGGAAGGCAAGAGUAACCAUUUUCAUGGCGAGCCCCGGCAAUUUCUCAUGAUACUAGGUGGGAUGCGAGAUGCCCAGAGUGUGUGUGCCGGAUGCCCGGAGGUGUGUGUCGGAGGUUCCUCCCGACACCAAGUUGGGUGCAAGUGAUAUAUGAGGGAUGCAAACACUGGUCCCUGGGAGAAAGAUAAGAUCCUUUUGAAUAUCAAAAUGGGAAUUGAAUCAUGCACGUGUGUGUGUGCAUAUGGCAUGUGGUAUAAUUGCCUGUGAAAUUGAGUUGAUACUAUUUGGCAUUGAGAAUGCGAUCAUGAUGGCAUUGAAUGGAUCUCAUGAGGAUAUACAUGAUUGUGUGGAUGACAUGAAUCAUGCGUAUGGGUAUGUGCAUAUGGUAUAAGAUAUAAUUGUCCAUAAACUUGAAUUGGUAUUACUUGGCAUGGGAAAUAUGAUUAGUAAGGUCGUGAAUGAAUCUCGUGGACAUAUAUGUAUGAUGGCAUGGAUGAUAUGUGCAUUUCGCAUGAAAUUGUGAUUGUCUUGCCUGUUGCAUUGUGUAGUUUGAUGGAUCUUUACUGCUGAGUGGUUGUACUCACCCCUUUAGGGACCAACAUUUCAGAUUGAGCGAUGCCUCUAGCACCUGUCACGCAUGGUAUAUACUAUGGCUUACCAUCUAAUGUUGAGGUCGAGUGCACGGAGCACCCUUGUGUCAAUGUUCAUGGUCUGGUGUUUAUCCGAGUCCGUGUUUUGGUUAUGUAUGAUGUGGGCCUACCUAAUGACCCUGUAGUUCAGGAGUCCCUUUCUGUACAUGUUCAACGCAACGGACUGAUGAUGGGGAUGUUGCCGCCGCCACCGGCCGAUGCACCGGGUUGGGUGUGAUUUGGAGCGUGUGACUGGUGGAGGACGACACUUUUUGGGAUGGCCGACACUAGCUGAUGGAAUGAUGUGCAUGUCUGAUGUAUAGUCGGGUACUUUUGAGUAUAGCCGAGCUUAGUUAAAAUCUUGGCCUUUUGUUGUACCGACUCGUGAAAUCCAUCUUAGUUAUGUAAAUAAAAGUGAUUCGGCCCUAAAGUAUAUAUAUAUAUAUAUAUAUAUAUAUAUAUAUAUAUAUAUGAAAGGUUGUAAUUGGUGUGUAUUGCAUUGUAUUAUUUGGUUUGAUUACAGGUUAGAGAAAUGAUGAGUAUGCUUUCGUUAUAUGAACUGCGCCGGGACCGAUUAAGGUAAUACAAACCCCCAGGUUGUAUGCACCCGCUACAAUUCAAAUGGUAUCAGAGUGACAUGUUAUUAGGACAAGCUUUAAGUAAACGAACUGUGGCAACCCUAGCGGAUCAAGGGCCAUCGAGGGCUACCACACUCUCCCCCCUCCCCUCCCCCAUCAAUCACCCCCUCAGUUUCUUCCCUACUAUCUCUCUCUCCCUCCCCUUCCCCCCACGCCACAACCAGCUUCCCCUUAGUUUCUUCCUCAUUGUCGCACGAUCUUCUCAACUCUUUCGAUCGCCUCAUCGCUGUCACCUUCGGCCCUUCCUCUUUCGCAGUAGCUGCAGCCUCACCGCCAGCCCUCCAUCGCAACGUCACCUCAGUUUAUGCUCUUCCUCUCGCCGUCAUGGCCUCACCUCCACUUCCUUGGUCUCUUCCUCGGCCUCACCUCUACCCACCAUCAUCUUCUUCAACAAUCUCUCUCUCGGACACGCAUGUCGAGAAAAGUUGACCACGUGUCAGAUUUCUCAACACAUGUUGACCACGUGUCCGAUUGUGUCUGAGCGUGUCCGAGCAUGUCGAACACGUCAACACGUGUUGGACAUGACACAGAAGCCUCGGCGACGUGUCCGUGCUUCAUAUGUGAGGAUUACUUCCUAUUUGAAACCUUGGAUCCAGAUAAUGAAUUUAAUGGAGUUCGUCCAAGUAAGAGUAACAUGAGAAGUGAUGAAUUUAAUUCAACUCACUCUCGAUUACAACCACAUGAUGAAACGAUAUUGUCAUUAUCUAAUCCGAGUGGGAGCAUAAUGGGGAAUGAUGUGCCAAGUGUACAAUUUCUCAUAUGGCGAACAAGUCACAAAAGUAUUCCCCGUCGACGCUUUGACAUUAAAGGGGAAACUUUUAUGGUUGCUCCACGAGAUGAAGAUGAGCCAAGAAAUGUUAAUGAGGCUCUAAAUUGCCCUAGUAAGGAAAAAUGGAUGCAUGUAAUGGAAGAGGAGAUGGAGUCAAUGAAGUCAAACCAUGUUUGGGAACUGGUUGACCUUCCAAAAGGACACAAAACUAUUGGGAACAAGUGAGUUCUCAAAAUAAAGCGUAAAGCUGAUGGCUCGAUAGAAAGGCAUAAGGCUCGCCUUGUGGCGAAGGGGUAUAAUCAACAGGAAUGAAUUGAUUAUGAAGAAAUAUUUUCUCUUAUAGUGAGAUUUACCUCAAUUUGUAUUAUUCUAGCAAUAAUGGCUAAUAUAGAUCUUGAGUUAUAUCAAAUAGAUGUAAAGACUACUUUCCUCAAUGGAGAAUUAGAGGAAGAAAUAUAUACAUAUAUAUAUAUAUAUAUAUAUAUAUAUAUAGAACAACCUGCUGGUUUUAUUAUGGAAGGCCAAGAAGGAAAGGUAUGUCAACUUUUGAGAUCGAUAUAUGGCCUUAAGCAGUCGUCGAGACAAUGGUAUAUACAUUUUCAUAAUGUCAUAAUGGCAUAUGAUUUGACAAUGAUAGAUGAGGAUCAUUGUGUAUAUAUCAAAAGAUCCAAAGAUCAAUUUGUGAUCAUAUCAUUAUAUGUUGAUGAUAUACUAAUUACUGGAAGCAAUAUGGAGUUUGUUAAUACUGUCAAGGGUUGGUUAUCUUCCAACAUUGAGAUGAAAGAUAUGGGUGAGGCUAUAUACAUUCUUGGAGUUAAGAUUUCAAGAGAUCGUUUGAAGAGAUCAUUAUCUUUUUUCGCAAGAAACAUACAUAAAUAAGGUUCUUGAAUGAUUUCGUAUGCAAGAUUGUAAACCCAUAGAUAUUCCUAUUGCAAAAGGUGAAGGAUUGAGCCAUAGACUAUGUCCAAGGACUCCACAAGAAAAUGAACAAAUGAAACAUAUUCCUUAUGCUAAUGUUGUAGGAUGUUUAAUGUACGAUAUGAUGUGUACAAGACCUGAUAUAUAUUUCGCAGUUGGAAUUGUGAGUAGAUACCAAUCUAAUCCAGGUCAAGCACAUUAGAAGGCCGUUAAAAGAAUACUAAGGUAUCUGAAGGGAACUGCUGAUUACAAGCUAAAUUACCAAUGAAAGAGUUUGCGACUUGAAAGCUAUUCAGAUGCUGAUUGAAGAGGAGAUUUAGAUGAAAGAAAAUCUACCUUUGGUUUUGCUUUCUUACUGAAUAAUGGCGCCAUAUCUUGGAGCAGUAAGAAGCAAACGUGUAUAGCCUUGCCCACGAUGGAAGCUAAAGCAACAGUACAUGAAGGUGUCUGGCUUAAGAGAUUUUUGGAUCAUUUAUGUGUUAUUGGGAAUGUUGCAAAUCCAUUAUUGGUUAAUUGUGAUAGCGAAGCAGCUAUAGCAUACACCAAAGAUCUAAAAUAUCAUGGCAAGACCAAACAUAUAGAUACAAAGUAUAAUUUUGUCAAGGAUAUGAUUGCACGAAAAGAUGUGAACUUACAGUACAUUUCAACAUAUAGAAUGGUAACAGAUCCUAUGACAAAGCCAAUACUUAGAGAUGUGUUUUAUGAUCCUGUAAAAUCUCUAGGACUGUAUAGAGGCUGAUGUACUAAAUAUUAUAAUUUCUCUGAAGUGUUCACAUUUAAUAAAUUUAUGUUUUUCAUUAUUAAUGCAUAUGAAUCUUUGUUUGACGUUUAUGCAUCUUAAUACUCAGUGCAUUAUAUUAAGUUGAGAAAGUCAGACGGAUAAAAGAUUAGCCCACUCACACAGGUAAUCGCCUCUAUUUACUGUGUGAUAAAUAGAUAUGAGACAGUUUUUAAGCUUAUUAUCUAGGUGAUAAUCGAGAGCUCAAGCUUAAAAUACAUAUGUCACAUUAACUGAGUGUUAAGAUGAGAACAUAAUAUUUAUUAUGUCCGAAAGUAAAAUAACCCACAUAUUUUACUUUAUCUGUCUAUGAUGCCAGAUGUGAGUUCUGAUAAAUUCUGUGUAUGAGUAGAUAUGUGAACUCAAGUCAGACAUUGGGUAUGUCUGAACUAUCAUCUGUACGGUAUUAAAGAUGUAGACAUACGCUCCAUAGGAAAUAAGUUAAGUACUGUAAUACAUAUUUCAUACUACGUAUGCAUGAGCCGACCAAUAAGAGUAGCAAAAGUUUGAUCUCAACUUUUAUAUCGUGUGAGACUCUUGAGGAAAAGAGUUCCUCAAUUUAGUGCCCUCAUGACUCUUACUUAUUCUCAAAAUUUAUAUUCAGUGUUUGCUAUCUUAGGAUGUUGCCAAUGAUCACGAAUUUAUUCGAUCUAAUAGGACAUUUCUAUAAAAGCAAGCUGAACUUAAAUUGUGAGUUUGAAGAAAAGAGGAAUAUCGAAUUUGGAGAAUCACAUUCUAGUUUUGUAUUCACCGGUCGACUAAUUAUGAUUGUUUUUGGAAUAAUCAUAAUUGUGAAUAUAAUAUAUCACUAUUUAAAAGGAGAUCAAGAGAGAGAUAUAAAUGUGAUCGAUCGAUCUAGGGUAUUGCAUACUAAAUCUACUAAGAGUGUGAUGCCUAUUAUAAGCUGCUAUAUAUUCCUAACAGAUGUAUGGUAACGAGCUCUAAAAGUAUGCUGGUCGCACAAAUUAUUCACCGGUAUGAAUGUUGCAGAGAGGUAAAGAGAAUCUUGUUCGGCCCACCAUAUGCGAGUGGGAGAUGAUGGUUUUAUCUAUGUGUUGAUGGGCCUAAAAGCCCAACCCACAAGAUAAGGGCCCAUGGAGGAACUAUUGCGAUGUGAAAAGCUACGUUGUUUAGAAUGAGGAGUUGUGUCUUUAGGGGGAAUGUUUUACGUUGAAGAGUUACGUCUAUCAAAGAAGAUGUAAGAGAGAAAAGAAAAAUGGAACGUAGCCUUUCAACUUACGUGCGUUGUUUUUUGUCUCUCUCUUCCUCUAAGAAACGUAUGGAACGAUACCCUCAAAACAAUGUUUUCCCCCCUAAUAGCGACAGCACGCUCCUCGGUAGAACGGGAUCAAGAUUCUUCCACGAACUUCAAGAUUGGUGUUUAAUUUGUGGACAAUAAGGUACGCUCAAUUCCGUAGUGUAUCUUUGAUCGGUGAUAUAUAUGAUUCCUAGGCUCGUCUUCCACGUUCGUUUUAGGGGUUCAAUUAAGUAUCGGAACCGGUUUUAGGGACUACGUUUUUCCCAACAUCCAUCAACUAAGACCUACACCUGCAAGAGGGACUAGUGAACUUCAGGGCGUUCAGUGGAAAUGAAGUCAGGGCGUAGGAACGUGACCCAUAGCACAGCUACUUCAUGAUAGCUAUGCGCGUUAUCACCUCACCACUACCAAAACCACAAUCAAUCUUGAAUCAUCUCACUCUACUGAUUCAAGCCAAGUAUCGUUGUUGGACCAUCAGGUCAUUUCGUAUCCAAUUAAACUCAAAUUCACUUAUUUAACUCUACUACAUUGUCUAGCUGAGUAUCCUAGGUCAUAUUUUGUUUUGAAUUGUUAGCUAUUCUGUUUAUUGGAUGCUUCACACCAUAUGCUCACAACCUGUUCAACAAAAUGCCUAACUCAAUGUGGAUAGUUAGUUCCUACUGCAUUCUGUUUCUAAACGUUUUGAUGUCCAACUGAUGUUGAUUGCGUCUUGCUGCAUUUCCUGUACAUAGUUCAUUAAUAUGCAAACGGACUGGAUAUAUAGGUGAUGUAUGUCGAAUGUUGUUCAUGAGUGUUUUGAAUGUAUCGAAUCCUGUUCAUAUGUGGUUGUGCAUGUCAAAUGAUGCUCAUGCGCGUUACUUUGAGAUCGUGAGGUGCUAAAGGAAAGAGAAGAGAAUGCGGGGCGUUAUGAAUUAGAGGUGAAUUUGAAUGAAAUAGGCUUAGUUUGACUAUUCUCUUACCUGCUCGUGAUAAUGGGUAGUGUCUAAUCUCUUUUUUAGGGUUCAAAGCAUGUUUACAAAUCACUGUCAAUGUACAAUUUGCUUUACAUCUGCUAGACAUUGCUUGGCAUUUUUGGACAUACUUCAUUGAACAUGAUUCCUGAUGAAUUUGGCUUAAUUUAAUGCUAAUUUACUUGUUUGUAAAUAGAGGCUCACAUGUCAAUAGUUUUUAGGUACUUUUAAGCAUGUUUAGACCUCAUUUUUAGUUCCAGUUCAGGACCGUGCUUACUGGGUGUUGCUGGACCGUGCAUACCAGUAAUGUGGUCUAAUAUAUCCAUGAUAUGGAUUUUUUUGUGGCCAGUAUGAUGACAUGGAGUAAGUUAUAAAAAUAAAAAAUAAAAAUAAAAAAUAUAUGAGAAGAAUGAAAAACAAGAACAAGCGCCAGCACACACCAAGAAUUUUGUAUGUUCCUACUCACAUCCCAUUUUUAUGUGAAAUCCAAGAAUUUUGUGCAGAGUCCUUCCUUAUUUUUCUCGCAAAAUGACAGGCAUGGAAGUUGUGAUCUAAAGAUUGAGGGUUGGAACUUACUGAUCUGUCAAUUAAAGAGUUAUGCGAUGGACUUCAAUUGUUAAAAUGCAUACACAUCGGUCUAUUAUGCAUUGCAGAAAAUCUGGCAGACUGACUGACUAUGUCAUUUGUGGUUCAUAUGCUAGGAGACGAUACUAUCCACAAUACUAUCGCACUUACCCGAUCAUCGCAGUCUGCAUUCUCAGUUGGGAGAUAUUUGAAAACACUUGAGUCUAUCAGCCCGAUUCACAAAGCUUCCACUGUUAAUGAACUAACAAUUACAAAUGUUUCACCUAGAUGACCAAGUAUCAUCAAUCCUCCUCCAGUUCAUUUCUCUUUUAUACAAUGGUAGGUAGAAUGAUAAUUACAGUGCGUGAUCUCUUUAGCAUUGUGACUGCCACUCCUAAAUCCUUGAUUUCCGCAAUCAUCAAUUAGUAAUUGUAAGGUUAAAAAGCCCGAUAGUCGGCAUUUCUAUCCAAUUUACCACUUUUGUUCUAUCAUAAUUAUAGAUAUACUUACUUGAGAUAUAUAUCAAUUUGUAACCCAUUGAUAAUUAAAAUUUAAGCAUAUAUAAAUUUAAUAUUUUACCUUUAGUAUAUUCAUUGAAAUCUAAUUUGUGAUGAAUAUUAGAAUUAAAUAAAAUCUAAUUUGUGAUGAAUAUUAGAAUUAAAUACUAGAUUACGCAUGAGUAGAAAGUCCUGAAUUCAAAUCUCUCUAAACCCCCAUGUACCUCUUUUACUUGCCAAUGUCCUAUGCAUGUGGAGGAGUGUUGAUUAUUCAUACAUUAGAUGACGUCUUCAUCUAAUAGUUUAGAGAAAAUCAUUCAAAAAGUCUUACACCUAUUGUACUUUUGUUAAUUCAAUCAUAAACAUUUUUACCUUUUGUCAAUUGACUCUAUCCGGCUAAGUUUGAUAGAAAAUCGCUAAUGUGAAUGCCGGAUGUCUUAUAUGUCACAUGAACAUUUUAAAUAAUAUUUAAUAACUUUUUUAUUUUUUUAUUAUUUUUAGGGAAAAUCUCAAAUGGAGACCCAAAGUGACCACAUUUUCUCAAAAGAGGACUUGAAGUGGAGUCUAUCUCAAAUAAGGCCCCAAAGUAGUCAUUUAGUCUAAAAAAAGAACCCGACUUGCUGACCGGCGUACUAACGCAUUUUCAAUGCGUAUUCCGAUGACCUGAUCUGGGGCAUUUUUGUCCCAAAAAUAUUCUCUUUUCGUUUUCCUUCUCCUGUUCAUCUUGUUCUUGAUCUACCCAUGAUUGUCCAUGUUCAUCAUCUUCUUCGUCAAUGUUGAAGAUAGGCAUUGUGCAAAUCAACAACAUUGGAAGUGGGGAAAGGCUGGUGAAGGUCUUGGGGUCGGCGAGGGUUGGCCUCGCCUGGGGCCAACGAGGGCUUGAUGCCCAUCGUCGACAACAGGUGCUGGAAGCGGGCGAGGGCUUGCAAGCCCUCACUCGCUCUUACCAAUGGCCAACGAGGUCGGCGAGCCCUUGCCGGCCUCGCCGAACUCACUGAGGACAAAACUAUCCUGCAAUGGCAUCAUCUUCUUCCUCCUCUUUGUCUCCGCUUCCCUCGCACGGAGCAACCUCGACAUGCUCCUAAAGCUUAUAAUUGCCUUGGUCGGGCCUCCCUCCACCGCCAUCGGCGACUAGGUCAACUCCUCCUCCUCCUCCUCCUCGCCGUCGCCCUUUCCGCAUUGCUCCUUCACCAGAGUCACGUGCGAUGCCAACUCAUGGGUCGUCUCUCUCAACAUCAUCUUUGUCGGCCUCUCGAGCUACAUCCCACCCAAAAUUGGCCUUCUCCGCGACCUAAUCAACCUCACGCUCGCCACCGAAAACCUCACCGAGACCCUCUCGCCAAAGCUCGGUAGCCCCACCUCCUUCCGAUUCCUCAACCUCUCCAGGAUCUUCCCCAGCAGAGUCUUGCGGGCGAUAACCCAGCUCGAAGAACUCGACUUGGGCAACGACAAGUUCAUGGGGCCGCUGCCGCUGGAGGUGGUGGGGCUGAAGAAGCUAAAGUGGCUCGAUCUCACUGGCAAUUACUUCACCGGCAAGAUACUGGAGGUUUGCUCGGAGAUGGAGAAGAUGAACAUGGGAAAAGGAAAAUGAAAAGAGAAUAUUUUUUGGACGAAAAUACCCUGAUUAGGUCACUGGAAUACGCAUAAGAAAUGCAUCAGUUCAUUGGCCGGCGAGUCAGGUCCUUUUUUUAGACUAAAUGACUACUUCGGGUCCUUAUUUGAGACGGACUCCACUUCAAGUCCUUUUUUGAGAAAAGGAAGCCACUUCGAGUCUUUAUUUGAGUCCUUAUUUGAGAUUUUCCCUUAUUUUUUGUGGCAUCCCAAAAAUAACUCACGGCCAUGUGUUUUGUAAGUAGGAGUUUAUUGAAUUAUGAUUUCAAGAUUUAUGGCCAAGUGAAUAAGAAUGAUCUGGUAUUUAUAUAAAUGGAUAAUUAUUGUUGUUGGAAAUGCAUCCUAUGUUCAUGUGAGACCAAGGAUUUUAUUUGAUGAGGAAAUUAUGUAUUUGGCCAUGAAUUUUAUAAGUUGGAUUUUAUUAAACUAUGUUGCAAAGUCUUUUGGCCUUUUAUUAUGCAAUUAGGUAUUUAUUUAAAUUGAGGAUUAAGAUGUAUUAUUAAAAAUAAACUUGGGCCAUUUAAGUUUGGACUUUAGGCCCAAGUGAGAUGGGCCUAAAGUGGGCAAGAGGCCCGGCCCAUAGAGCCCAUUGGGCUGUCGGCGCAUGGAGGGGGAAGGAGGAGCCGCAUGGCUUCCUCCAAGUGUCUUCGGCAAAGGAGACACUUGUCUCCUUCUUAGGGACAAGUGUCCCCCAUGCAAGAGAAGAAAGCAUGCAAUAUAUAAGCCACCAAAAAGAAAGAGAGAGAGAGAGAGAGAGAGUGGCUGGUUUUGAGAGAGUGAGAGAGAGGGAGAGAGUUGCCGAGAGAGAGAGUGAGAUGCGAGAGAGAGGGAGGCCGAGGAGGAGGAGCUCGCCCGUCGCCGCCAGCACGCCGUCCAUCCGUCGCCGGUGUGCUGUUCGUGUGCUGCUGUCCGCUUGGUUCUAGAGGCAAGUAGAGAUUGAUUUCUACUCUUGCAUGUGUGUCUUGCAUGUGUGGUUGAAUUCUUGGAUGUUUAGAGGCUAGAAAUCGAAGUACAUGAGGUUUGUUCUUGGAGAUGCUUGCUGUUUUCGCAUGAACCGCUCGACCCAGAAUCUUGUGAAGGCUUGCAUGCAUCUUUUGAGUUCGAUUUUGACUUUUAUCUCUUCAUGAAAGUUGUAUCUAACAUCUUAAACUACAAUACACUAAAAUGUGGUGCAAAAUGAUGGAGAUUUAAGGGGUCAAACUCUCAUCCUACGGAGAUGCUAGAUCUGGAAUGUUUUCGCAUGAACCGUUUGAGUCAGAACUUUGUGAGAGCUUGCAUGCAUGUUUUGAGUUCUAUUUUGACUUUUAUCUCUUCAUGAAAGUUGUGGAUAAAAUCUUAAAAUAAAACAUACUAAAAUUUGGUACAAAAUUAUGGAGAUUUGAGGGGUCAAAAUCUCAUCCUACGGAGACACCAGAUCUGGAACGAUUUCACUGACCUUUCGGUGGAUUUGUGGUUGCAUGUUGAUUUUUACUAGGAAUAUCUCUCCUAUUUCUUCAUGGAACAUGUAGAUAACAUCUUAAAAUAUAACAUACUCAAAUUUGAAGUAAAAUGAACAAGUACAACCUAGUGAAUCGACUUACUCUUGAAGAUGGUAAAUCUGGAGACACGGUACAGGACACCCGAGACUUCAUGGACCCAUAUGAUGACUAUACUCUGGAUAUUUGACUUAUAUCCCUUCAUGAAACUUGUAUAGAACAUCUUGAAGUAAAACAUAUCCAAAUUUCAGAGGAAACGAAGAAUAAUAGGUAGGUGAAGACUCAGUAUUUCGGAGAAGCAUGCACUGGACGUUUUGGUGUUAGAUCCAGAAGCUUCGUAUGAUUAUAGAAAAUAAUAUAAAACGAAUUUGGCUUAUAAGUCUGCAUGAAAAAUAUAAUUUAGUGUCUUGGAUAUAACCUGGUAAAAUUUCAUAAUUUUCGGAGGUCGUUUGGAUAUUUUAAUUAAAUUAUUUCGGAAACUGUGCAUUCUGUUUCUAUCCGAAAAUUGCAUGCUGUUUUGUGUGAAUUGUACCUUCUUGUGUGAACUCUAUUGGGCAUGUGUUUUUCAUGAAAUUGCUAUCUUAUUGUCUUGUCUAGUACAUGUCUUGAUUUCAUGAUUUUUUAGAAGCAUAUGGAUAUUUAAUUUAAAUAUUUUCUAAAAUGGCACAUGCUGGAAUUUUGUAAACUUUGAAAAGGCAUGAAAUAUGGACCACUUUAAAUUGCAUGGACUCUAUGAAUUUUAUUGUUAUGGAUGAUGGUGUCUUGCUGCAUGUAUGAUAAUGAUUUGAGAUGCAUGUAUGAAUUCGAUGAUGAGUAUGAUCUUGAUUGCCAUCACAUCACAUGCUAUGUUAAAAUUGAACUAUAAUUGAAGAUGAGAAUUGAGAUAAAUGAGAAGGCUGUCGGAGGUGUGAGCCGACGAUUCCCCGGGAGUGUCGGGAUGCCCGGUGGUAUACGGUACGUAAUUCCAAAGGAGGAGGGGGAUCCUGGUGGUAUGUCGGUACGUAAUUCUGGAAGCCCCAGAGGUUUGUGCCCGGGGGGAUGCCUCGCGAUGCUAGUGGGGAUGCGAAAUGCCUGGCCAGGGAGUAUAAAUGCCAGAAGCCCUGGAGGUUUGUGCCCAGGGGGAUGCCUCGUGAUGCUAGUUGGGAUAUGAGAUGCUCGGAAUGUGGGGGGCCGGAUGCCCGGUUGUAUCUUGGAUACAUGCCCGGAUGGUUCUCGCGAUGCUAGGAUUGGGCGCGAGUGAUGAAUGUGGGAUGCAAACAUUGGUCCCGGGAAAGAGAAAUGUGGCGGUCCAAAAUGAAAUUGAAAUUGAAUUAUGCAUGAUGAUAUAUGCAUGAUAUGAUGAGAUGUGCAUGGUUGCAUGGUAAUGAUGAUGGUACAUGUGAUAUGAUGAUGAGAUGUGCAUGGAUACAUGGUAAUGAUGAUGGUACAUGUGAUAUGAUGAUAUGAUGAUGAUGUUACAUGCAUGAAUGCAUGGUAAUGAUGAUGGUACAUGUGAUAUGGUGAUAUGAUGAUGAUGUUAUACACAUGGAUGCAUGGUAAGGAUGAUGCCAUAUGUGACAUGUUGAUGGUAAGUGUAUGAUAUGAUGAUGAUGUCUAUAUGAUGAUGAUGGUACAUGAGGUAUCAUGACAUGUGCAUGAUGCCAUGGUAUGUUGUGCAUGGAUGCUUGUAUGACAUGUGAUGCUAUGAUUGUGAUGAUUGCAUGGCAUGAUGUAUUGAGUGGUUUAUUGGUCAUUUACCUGCUGAGUGGUUGUACUCACCCCUUUUGGGGAAUAACAUUUCAGAUUAGAUAAGAUCCCUCUGCUGCCACUGCUACCAGUAGAUGAAUCAAGUUGUUGGAUAUGAUUGCGAGGAGGAGGAUAUCAAAGGGAGGAACUUUUGGACGCCGACACAAAUCGAUGGACUUUAAAUAUUCGACUGUUAGAAGAGAUGUCGGUCAUCUUUUGAAGUAUAGCCGAGUAUAGAAACAUUGGCUUUCGAUGUACCGACUAAAUAUGUCCAUCUGCUUUACGUAAAUAAACGUGUUCGGCUUUAACUUAUAUAAGAUGUUUAGUAGAUGUGCAUCGUUUUCUGAAUAUAGGGAAGGGAGUUUGUUAGAUGUGCUUCCGUAUAUGAAUUGUGCAAGGGACCUAUCAAAAAAAAAAGUGUGAACCCCCUAUGUUGUAUGGACCCGCUGCAAUUGAAAUGGUAUCAUAGUGACAUGUUAAUAAGGAAAGUAAAAGGUAAGCGAACUAUGGCAACUCUAACGGAUCGGGGGCCGUCGAGGGGUGCCACAUUUUUAUUCAUUCCCUUUCUUUUCUUUGGACUCAAGUCGACAAGGGUAUCGCGGCCUUGCCCUAAAAGAGGAGAGGGUGUCAUGGCCUUCGAUUGGGGCCAAGGCUAGCAAGGGUCACCAUGCCCUUGCCUUGCCUAUAUUUGGCAUGGGCAAUGCGGCCAUUGCCAAACUCUUAAACCUUGCCUAGUGGCUGACAAGGGCCAUACACCCUCUCUAGGCCAAAUCCAAAAAAUGGUAAAGAAAAAAAAAACAUUAUUAGAAAUUCAAUAUGUUAAAAUAUCAUUAAAAAUGUUUACAUUAGUAUCAACCAUGCCAUGUAAGACGUUUGGCAUCUACGUCAUCCAUUUAAGGCCAAAAUUGCCCAGAUGGAUUCAAUCGACAAAAAGUGAAAAUAUUUAUAACUCAAUUGGCACAAUUGGAAGGUUUUAAAUUGAAUUGGCAAAAGCACAAUAGGUUUAGGAUAUUUUGGAUAAUUUUGUUCACAAAAAUUCAUAAUUAAUGACCUAUUUUCAUUUGAUAUAAUUAAGUAAAAAGAAAACAACGUGUAAUGCCAAGCAAUAGUAUCAAGUAGGGGUGUGCAACCAAACCAGUUCUACCCGAGACUUGGAUCGGACCGCCUGAAAAAUAGGUCCACAAACCGGUUCAGGAACAGGUUCAAAUUUUUGGAACUAGUUGUAAUAGGUCUAGUAAUAGGUUCCGAGUGAAUAUCCACUCGGGAACUAGAUCAAACCGUCCUAUUUUGGAAUCGAUUUUAUAAGCUAAAAAGCCAAAAUCCUAAUUUCUUUUUCCCAUAAAUUCUAACCUUAGCACUUUUUCGUCCUUUGUCCUUCCUCAAAGCUCCUCACCAAUCUUUCCUCUUCCCUAAAGUUUUAUGGAUGAUUGGAGAAUGGAAUUUUAUAAUUUACGUUAUAUGUUACAUGUUUGAACUUUUUGUCAUUAUAAUUGUAUAGGAUUACGUAUUCAUAUUAUGGAUUGUUGUUUAUGGUGGAUAAUGAUUUAUGUUGUUCAUCUUUUACAUUAAAUCGUUUCGUUACUCAUAACCUUAUAUGAUUUUGCUGCAAAAAAUGAACCAAAAAAAGGCAAAAAAAAAAAAAAGGUUCUCGAGUAGACUUUGGAACUGGACUGGAAAAAUAAGAUAGGUUCCAGAACCGAUUUCAAGCAAACAAGGUAGUCCAAAAACUUAGAACUAGUUAUAACAAAAUACGUUCAGGUUACCUUGAAACUACCCACAUUGGAACCAACCACCCUUAGUAUCAAGUAAUGCAUGCAGAUGACUCAGCAACGGUAUUUGUCCACUAGACCUGCUCGUAGGCGCCCAAGGGAAAAACAUUAGCUGGCCAAGCUCGCCUAGUGGAGAAACCUUCCUUCUUUUAUUUUUAAAAUUUCUAGCUAGGGAAAAAAUGAAAAUGAAAAAUAAUUAUAGGGUUUUGUGUUAUAUUAUCUUAUAUGUGAGUUUACUACUAUUUUUCUCUCCUAUAUCGGAAUUUUGGGCUUAAUUUGUGCUACUAGUGUUUAUAAAAUCUACAUAUCAUAGUAAACUCACUAAUAAAAGGAAAAGCACCAAAACAUAUAUUAGCGUUCAUGAACGACCAUUCAUAUAUCUUUACUUUUGGAAAAAAACAAAAACAUGCUAAGUGUUACUUUUGAAAACCACCCUUCACAUCAAUUAUCAGUAUGUCUCCUUUUACUUUGUAAAAUGCCCGCUCUAAAUCCUAAUUUAUCACACCCACCCAAAUUAGCCAAAACCAACUAAAAACUAAACCAUUUAAACCCUAAGCAAUAUACUAAAAUGAAUUUUGCAAGGAGGGGUAAUUUGCUCUUUUCAAGGUGGAGUUUUGCUUAGAGGUUAUAUGAAUGGUUUGCAAAGAUUGUUUAUUCGUUGGGUCAAAAGUAAGGUAUUUAGACAUAUUUUUGUAAAUUAUUUUAAUAAUAAGGGCGCAACAAGACAAGCCUCAAGCCCUUGCCCAGACCUAGCCCACCCGUUGACCAGACUUGUCCAAGCUCACUAAAUAGGCUUAAAAAAUUUAGCCAACCCCACUCAUGAAUCAGGUCUAUUAGCACAAUCACAAGAGUUUGCCCUAAUGACCACCCUUCCAACAUGAAAAGAGAAGGUAGAGAGUUUGAAUCUCCACAUUCUCAAGGGACUGGGGUGGGAACAGAUUAGUUUCAAGUGUGAGUUUAGACUCUCACGUUCUGCAAAGAGGUAGGGCAAAAAUUUAAGAGAGAAUUAAAAUAGGAGUAAAAUAGGAUUGACAAAAAAAAAAACGUCUACUAGCGCGAUAUAAGCAAAAGUUACUAAAUCUGACCAAUCAUAUCUAUCAAAUCAAUGAGGAAAAAAAAAUAUUUUCUAUUAUCAUUUGCCAACAAAUAUUACAGAGAACAAAUCAUUGUCUUUCAAAACGUACUUAUAUAAGAAAGUACAAAAGAAAAAUGAUACUCAUGCGAUAUUCCCAUUGAAUUUGGGCAAAAAUUACGAACUUUGAUGAAUAUUGCGUCGAUCUUUUGAAACGCAAUAUCUUUCUCUAACACCUCUUACAAGACCCCAUAAACUGGGUUGCUCACUCAAAGCAUAGAAAAACACAUUUAGAAGAAAUUCGAAAAGAUAUCCAGAGCUGUUCACAUAUAAAAGGAGUGUUAGAUUUUGAAGAGCGAAAAAUCAACAUUUCUGACCUUCAAAAACGUGGUGAGUUCUUAGUCCCGUGUCUUCGUCAACAAACACUGGAGUUUCGUUAGAGCAUCCUAUUUAUUUUUUCUACCUAUAACAUAUGUGCCCUUAUCCCUUCGAAACAAAUCUCAUCAGGUAUGAUAGUCCUCCGCUCCCACACAUGGAAAAAUUCCUAUGCUUCUGGAUGACCCCAAAAGAAUGUGUAGGUGCGGCGAUUUGAACUUGGGCCUUGAUCGAGGAGGAACAUGCUUAGGAUGAUGACUCAUAACCAUUCAAGUCCUUGUCGGAUCUUUUGGGUUUGACCCUUAGUUGAUUUGUAUCCAUUGUGGGGACCAAACCACUCACAAAAAAAAAUAUUGGGAAAUUCAGAGCAAAUUGGAUCUAUUUAUAUUUAGUGCUGGCCUUUAUUGGCUCUUUGUCGGGACCCCGUUUAACAACUUUUUUCGGUCUUUUGGGUUCCACCCGAUCGUUGGGAGUACAAGCCGGGAGCGUGGGAACGUGGAAAUCGUCCCUGUUGACAGGGGAACACGGAAAUCGGACUAAUUCGCCUUUGCUAACCCCGGCAUCUGGGAGAGCAGCUACAAAACUUGGUUCUUGAUCAAUUUCUUUACCUCGCCCUCCAGAAGUUGCUUAUUAUCGUACUCCUCUUGAGUUGAAAGAAAGUUCAUGGCGGUCUUUGAAUUACUCUUAGUGUACUUGCGUUCUUUCCAAGUUCAAGAAAAAAAGAUUAUCGAUGUACCAAGAAAUAUCUCCUUCGCUUUCUGGAUCUCAUGCCUGAUCCUCUUCAUCCCAGGCACUCCUGUGAGUGCACAGACAUACCUUCAAGAGCGGUGCGGAGAUAGGGGAAACUACGCUGCGUAUAGCAAGUUUCAACACAACCUCAGCCGCCUCCUCUCCAGGGGGCUUUACAACAAGGACCCAUUUACGGUUUCUACAACACGACGGAAGGUGAAGAUCCCGACAAAGUUUAUGGACUCUUCCUCUGCAGGUAAAUUACAUGUGAAAACAUACCAAAAAUUUCAACUUUCGAGUAAGACCUUCCAAAUCAAUCAUUGCAAUCUUUGGAAUCGGUUCACUCAGAGGUAGGAUUCAUAAUGGACCCGAUACAUUGGACUUAAUCGAAAUCCUCUACAAAGUACGGUGAUUCAAUGCCAAUCGAAAAAUUACUAUUCAGAUUUAUGUGACUACUAAUGCAACUUUACUAUGCCUCUUUAGAGGGGAUGUUGCUGCCAAUCUCUGUCGGUCUUGCAUACACGCAGCUUGCAGCACCAUCAUAGAAAGAUGUCCAGGACAGAAAGAGGCGAUCAUAUGGUACAACGAGUGUCUCGUGCGCUACUCUAACAGAUCAUUCUUCUCUAGCAUGGAGACAACACCAAUUAUUUUCAUUGUCAAACCUGCGGACGUUUCAGUUACCUUCAACUGGAUUGUGGGGCAAACUUUCGAUAAGGAGAAGGACUUUGAGGUGGAAGUGUUGGAUUUGGCGAGGAAUGUCACGGACUUGGCGAUCUCCUCAGAAAGCUUAUAUGCGACGAUAAACCUUAAUGUCUCAAGUUCAGUGACCCUGCAUGAGGUUGUGCAGUGCACCCCGACAUAUCAAAGUUAGAUUGUAAGAGUUGCUUGCUUUCUGCCAUCAAAGAGUUCCCUACCGUUCUUAAUUAUAAAAGGGGAGGUGGGAGAAUUUUUCAGCCAAGUUGUAAUCUGCGGUACAAAAUGUAUCGUUCUGAUCAGGCACCAACUAACAAAACCCGCACUGAGUCCGGCAGUAAAGGUAUGAGUUAUAUAAUACUCAAACUGUGCACUCAAUUUGUCAUGGUAAACUUAUAAUGGUACCAUUCCAUCGUUUCUAAUUCUCAAUAUAAGCUGUUUUGUGUAUCACAUUGCACUUGACUUGCUUUUACUAUCUAAACUAUGAUCAUUCUCUCCUGCUUUCAGCAAGUUCUCUGGUACUAUUUACACUAGGUGAAAAUAAAAAAUCUGCGGAUUUAAGGUUGUUUAGAUGCAAGGAAUUUCUCUUUCUUGACAAUAGUUAGCUCAGUAACUGGAUUGGGGUUACUAUUAAUUAUCGUGAGUUCGUGUAUUUUUUCAAAGAGGACAAAGAGAUUAAAGAAAGGUAUAAGUGAAUUCAUCGUGCUUGCCAUUAGAAUGACCAUCUUCUAACCUUUACCUCACGAGAGUAAACUCUUGGAGUCUCAGAAAAGGAAAACAGCCAAGAGGUUCUGUUACUUCAUCUGAGACAAGAAAUUGGAGAAGAGUUGUGACAUCCAGAUUUUCGGGUUUUAAUUCGACUGGAUAAAUAGGGCCAUUUUGGUUCAGUUGAAGCUAGGGAUCGUGAAAUUGGGAUGCAAGUGGGCUAUAUUGGUAGGGAAAAAUACCAAUUGGAAUGACGAGGUGUUGAAUGAAAUAAUGAGAGUCAAUUUAAAUUGAAUCAAGAGGAAUUAUGGUCCAAUUGGGAAGAAACCCUAGCAAAUUCGUAUGCCCAUAGACCCAAUAUUUUAAACUACCUAAAGUCUUCUAGAAGGGUUAUUUUGGGGCUUGAAAGGUGGGUGGAUGACAGCCAUGGUGGCCCACGUAUGGCUGACCUAAGAGAGAGAGAGAGUGAGAGAAAAAGAAAGAAAAUUUGGUUUUCUCUUCUUCUCUUCUCUCUCCCGUCGACACCCUUUCUCCCUCUUCUUGCUGCUCGUGCCAUGGCUGUGCGAAGACCAGAGCAGCCGAAGCAGCAACAGCAGCUUCGCCCGUCGCCGCCUCUCGUCGCCGCCGUCGCACGCCCGCAAGCACCGGAGCUGCUCGCGCACCCGAGCCGCCGCCGAGCUGCCGUCCGCGUGCGUCCGCCCCUCUCCUCCCUCUGGUUCGAACAGAACCAGCCAGCAGAAACAGAAGCAGCGAUCGGUGUUGCUUGAAGGAGCUACAAUCGCGCCGGAGCUGCCUUCGCCGUCGUGCCGGAACGCUGCCACCGUCCGUCUCUUGCUCGCUUGCUUGAACGCCGUCCACCCUCUGUCUUCCUCUCCGUUUGCUGCUCGGGAUCUCAGAUUUGGGAAGACACCGGAGUUGGGGCAGCAGCUGGCGUUGCUGGACCGGAGCUGCCGCACCGCCGCCAGUGCGACGCCGUGCGCUCCGCCGCUGCUCCGCUCAGCUCGGUCUCCCUCUCGCCCAGCUCGCUGUUCCAGAGCUGCUGUCCAACCCCUGUUCCGCCUCUGUCCAACUCGUGCAAGACCCGCCGGAGCUUCCUCCGACCACCUCCGGCCACCAUGAAGACUUGCCUUGGUCUUGUUCAGCUCCUCCGCCCAUUCCCGAGCUCAACCAGCCCUGGAUCCGCCCUCCUUCGCCUCCAACCAGCAGUGCACAGAGAGUGCAGAAAUGGGUUUGCAGCAACUGUUUGGCCCGUUUUGGCCGCCUUCCCGAGCCCGGAUGCUCGGCCCGCUUUGAGGAAAGUCGAUCCUCGCGUCGAGCCCGUCGUUUUGAGUGAGUUUUACUCACUAAUGCCUCCUUAGUGUGCAAAUUACACUUAAAGGUUGAUUAGUUUUAAUUAAAUGUAAUUAGAUUGUUAGAUUAGAAUUGAUUAGUGAUUAUUAGUUAAUUGCUUGGUAUAUUAGUGAUGUAAUUAGUGUAAUUAGAUAGAGAAUUGCUUGUAGUAUUUAUUGGAUGCUUCUUGGGAUUUUUCCCGUCCCUUAUCGGGUGUUAAUUAAGCAAAUCGGGCCUAGGUGGAAUUUUUAGGAAUUAAAUAUUAAUUUUGGAAAUUAAUUAUUUAAUGAUUUAUUUCUCGGAAAUUCAACUAGGAUGGCUAGUGACCAGGAUUUUAUGCCGAUGAUCGUGGUGCAGUCCGUUUAUUUAAUUGAGUUUUAUAUUGUGCUAAAUUGAAUUUAUUGUAUUUAUUUAUUUAAUAUUCGAAAUUAAUUAUUUAAUUAAUUAUUUUCCGGAAAUUCAACUGGGAUGGCCAGUGACCGGAAUUUCGUGCUGAUUGUCGUGGUGCAGUCCGUUUAUUUAAUUGAGCCCUAUUUCAUGCUGAAUUGAAUUAUUUGUAAAAGAAGGAAUUAUUCUUUAAUUGAAUAAUCUUUGGUUAUUAAUUGAAAAAGAACUGGGCUUUGGUUGAUAAUGCCAAAAGGAUCUGAGUGGGCUAUAGAAAAUGGUGGAAUUUAUAAAAAGGAAAUUAUUAUGUUUUGGCUAAGGCCAAUCGAGUAUCCACUCAUGGCAUUUUAUCGGGAAUGAUAAAAUUGGUUAUUUGAUUAUUUGCUUGGAAUGAUAUGAUAUACCGGCUCGAUGACUCUACGGAGCAUCUGGAGACAGGACGGUAUGAUAAAUUGCGUGUAUACCGGCUCGAUGACUCUACGGAGCAUCUGGAGACAGGACGGUAUGAUAAAUUGCGUGUAUACCGGCUCGAUGACUCUACGGAGCAUCUGGAGACAGGACGGUAUGAUAAAUUGCGUGUAUACCGGCUCGAUGACUCCACGGAGCAUCUUGAGACAGGACGGUAUGAUCUACCGGCUCGGUGACUCUACAGAUUAUCUUGAGACAGUACGGUAUGAUAUACCGGCUCGAUAAUCCUAUAGAUCAUCUUGAGACAGUACGGUAUGAUAAAUGGUUGAUCAAGAGAUAAUUUGGAUGACAUGUAAUCGACUAGGUCGAUUGAUUGAGGAUUCGAUCUGAGUGUGACUUGAUGUGAUUCAUUGCCUUGGUUUGAUGUUGUGAAGUGAAUGAUUGAAGGGAGAUGAUCGUGAGUGGUCUUCCUGAUGUGAAAUCGACUAAGUCGAUUAGAUCGAUGCUUCGAUCUGUGAUGUGCUUGAUUGUGUGCCUAUUUAAUCUGUACUAAUAUGCAGGUGGAAUCUGAGGCUAAGGUAAGUCUUCUAACUCAUGUUGUGCAUAGGCAGCCCUAAGGUGUAUUAGUUUACUAAUCGGGUCUUAGGGAGUAGAACUUGCUGAGACGUGGUCUCAGUGGUUAUUGAAUAACCAUUUCAGGAUCUGGAUGAGGAGCCUAAGGAGCAUGAAUCUGAUGAGGAGGUCCCUGAUGAGGAACCCGAAGAGGAGUACGUGGAGGAGGACAUCGAGUACGACCCGGAUGAGGAUCGAAAUCCUAUCCUGUCUUGUCAGACCUUGUUUGCAUGUAAAAAGUUGUAGUUGUGAAUUUUCAGUAAGAAAAAUGUAUGGCCUGCUUUUCUAUCCCAUUGCUUUAUUGUCUGGGGAUUUAUAACUGCUUCCGCAUGUGCUAUUAAAAAUGAAAGGGUCGGCGAUACAUAGUCCUGGGAUAUCGCAUAAUAAAAUCGACCAAAAGUAAGGGAUGUGUGCGUGCCUGAGGGUCGGGGCGUGACAAGAGUUUUCAAAGGAAAACUCUCGUGGAGAAAAGCCAGUGGCUUCUCAACAAUUAUCUCUAAUGCGAUUAGACAUCAUAUGCACGAACACAGGAAACUUCUCCAAUGAAUGUAAACUUGGGGAAGGCGGGUUUGGUCCUGUGUACAAGGUAAGCAAUGUGGUGACUCAACACGUAUUUGCGGGGAAAUUGGGAAAAUCUUCUAAUGGUAGCAAACUGGCAGAGUCAUUAUCCAUAGCAUGAACUGAAUCGGAUUUGGUUAGCAUUAGUAAUUCUCAGAUAGGGAUCUCACUACUGAUUUUACGCUAUUUCAGGGCACAUUGGUAGAUGGAAAAGAAAUCGCAGUUAAGAGGCUUUCGAGAACCUCAGGCCAAGGACUCAUCGAGUUGAAGAACGAAGUCAUCUUGAUUGCUAGACUACAACACAGGAACCUCGUCCGAUUGUUGGGAUGCUGCUUGGAAGAAGAAGAAAAACUCUUGAUAUAUGAAUACUUGCCCGACAGAAGCCUGGAUGUCUUCCUUUUUGGUUUGAGCUUUAGCAGAUGCAAGGAAUUUUUGAGCUAGUUAAUUUUAGUUUUAUAAAGUUGAGUUCCAUCUGAGUCUCUCAUCUUUGACAGAUUCGAAUAUAGGGCAAUAUCUAGAUUGGAAGCUGCGCAUGAACAUUGCCUGUGGAAUAGCUCGGGGACUUCUCUGUCUGCAUGAGGAUUCUCGCUUGAGAAUUAUCCACUGAAAUCUGAAAGUUAGCAAUAUUUUGCUAGAUGGCGAGAUGAAUCCAAAAAUAUCAGGUUUCGGAAUGGCAAGGAUCUUCAGUGUAAAUCAGCUCAAGAACACCAGAUUGAGCACAUAAUAUUUCAGAAGUUCCAUAUAGAAAAUUCCUUUUCUUUGUCUCUUACUUCCAACUAAUUGCUCUUCAUCACAUAAAUCUGGUUAGUGGAUAUAUGGCACCAGAGUAUGCGAUGGAAGGACUCUUUUCUGUGAAAUCAGAUGUCUUUAGUUUUGGAGUUCUCUUGCUAGAGAUAGUAAGCAGGCACAAGAAUAAUGGUUUUCAUCUUCAAGAGGAGGGUGAAAGCCUUCUCACUUUUGUAUGUUCCUAAUCACCAUCCUAGUUUAAUACGAAAUCAAAGAUUUUUGUGCAGCUACCCCUGUUUAUUUUUCUUGAUAUUUGACAAGCAUGGAAGUUGUGGUCCGAAGGUCGAGCGUUGGAACUUAUCGAUCAGUUGAUCAAUGAGUCAUGUGAUGAAAUUGAAGUGCUGAAAUGUGUACAUGUUGGUCUAUUGUGCGUUCAAGAAGACCCGGCGGAUCAACCGACUAUGUCACUCGUGGUUUAAUUUAGGAGGUGAUACUGUAACACUCAGCCAACCAUCGCAGCCUGCAUUCUCAGUUGGGAGAGAUGCGAAGAAACUUGAUCGUGUCAUGCCCACUCAUGGAGCCUCAACUAUUAAUGGAGUAACCCUUUCGGUUGUUGUGGCUAGGUGACCAAGUAUUAUACAAUGGAAAAGCUGUUAGUUAGAUAGCAUUAUGAUAUUUAUUUUAUCUUUUAGGAUUGUGCAUGUAUCUCCAUUGUAAUAUAUUUAGAUCAUCCUACUUUCUAUAUUUGUCAUGUAAAGCCGGCUUAUGUUCUCUUCUUUAUAUAUACAAAUAUACAUAAACUAAAAUAUUCUCCCUUUUGCAUAUUUCUUAUCUUUUUAUCUUAGUGUUAGAGCUAGACGGUCUUAAGCAAAUUUUGAGUGCUUGAGUGCGAGACACCCGACUGCACACCUGGAGCACACCUUCACAUCUCGUAUCAUGUGAUCCAUUUCUGUUAUAACUAGUAAUGCUCCUUUCUCAAUGUCGAUUCUUAACAUUUUCGUCAUGUAUGCAUAAACGUUAGCCUAUUGCUGUCUAACCUACACACAUCCGUCAAUUCUCUCUUCAGCACAUGAAAUCACCUCUCCGGAUCUUUACUCCCAACGCCAUUUGACUUCCUUUUUGUCACUUUGAGUUUGAGUGUUUGUUUAAGAUAAUUAAGAUUUUUACCUUGAUCCUCCAUUAUUCAGGAUUGUGAAUAUGUACGUCACAACCUGAUCCACAUACAGCCGCAUGACAACCCUUCCUCAACACUACUUUCUCUUUGGGUCAUUCAAUUGCAACGUCCCAAGAAGCAUCGCCGACCCAAAUCAUAAUAAUANNNNNNNNNNNNNNNNNNNNNNNNNNNNNNNNNNNNNNNNNNNNNNNNNNNNNNNNNNNNNNNNNNNNNNNNNNNNNNNNNNNNNNNNNNNNNNNNNNNNUUGGCACACACCGACGUCGGAUAUACCUACGCCUCUAAUACUACAAGGGUGAUUCAAAAAGUGCUAACACCCACAUCUACCUAAGCCCCAAUGUCCUCCGGGGUCCAGGCCUCCCACAUGGUGAUCAGCGCAAGGUUGAUCUCGAGGUCAGACACCUCCCCAUCGGAAACGUCCCAAUCCUUGGCAUCCUAGCUAAUGUCGCCCACAGGAUAGGCCCAUAGCUCUUGCCGCCUACCCAAAAGUAGCAAGCCACAUAUUGGUGUGGCACGAGGUUAAGUAAACCCUCAUUGACCAAAAUUGUCGUGACAUAUCACCUAUAGUGCGCAUUGGCUGCUCCCAGUACCAGAUGCUCUGUCACCUCCUAACUAUACUCGACAGGGAAGCCAAAACGAAUCUAACGAAAUUGUUUAGUCAUUCUUAGAACCUGAAAACAUUUCAACAAACAAAUAUGAGAUAAACUCAAUAAGAGAACUUCCUAGACAUGGAAAUAUCUAGGAAGAGCCCUAAACAUGCAAAUAUCUAUCAAUGGCAAAACAUGGCAACACACUUCUCACUUUACUCUUAUCGAUCUCAUAACAACUUGUCUACCAUACAAGGCCAUCAAAGUAUAUGCAUAGACAAUUUCAUAACAUAACCUUCAUGUUCUCGAGCCAAACAUACGAAUGCACAUUAUGGUUCAAAUCAUGCGCAUAUGCCAUGUAAUAAUCGAAACUUGAACACAUACGAAUCUCAUGCACUUUCCAUACAAAAAUGUGCAAAUUAUUAUGGCCACUCAAAACCCAAAGCCAAUCCGAAGGUUCGCAAAUCAUCUGGAAUAGCCGGGCAUGGUCUUGCCCCAUCGAGCACAGCAUCCCAUUGACUUGGGGGCAUUCCUAUAAGGAGCUUCAUUCCAAAAUUCAUCCACGAAUGGUAUCCUAUUGACUUGGGGGCAUUCGAACUUAAUCAGGCAUUGACCUGCGUAAAACGCCUCAAGACGAGUUCACACGUGGUGUAAAACGCAUCAGGGUCUUAGGUGAUCACACAGGAAUACCAUCACAUACUCCAUUUCUUGUCUUUAUCAUUUAACCCGUGUGAUGCUCAUGCGAUAUGCAACUUCACAUGUCAAAUGCCAUCGUUCCACACACGUACAUCAAUUACCUCACACACAUAUGGACCAUUCACUUCCUAAACUCAUGACACAUAAUCUACAUAUCAUGUUUAACCACUAAUUCACAUGGCACGUAUUCCAUUUAUAAUUUCUAAGCAUCAAUCCACAUGGAAAAUCAUCCAAAUAACAUAUUUAACCACUAAAACACAUGGCACGUAUUCCAUUUAGAAUUUCUAAGCAUCAAUCCACAUGGAAAAUCAUCCAAAUAACAUGUUUAACCACUAAAACACAUGGCACAUUAUUCAAAUAAUAUGUUUAACCACUAAAACACAUGGCAUGUCAUUCAAAUAACAUGUUUAACCACUAAAACACAUGGCACAUCAUUCAAUUAACAUGGAUAACCACUAAAACACAUGGCACAUAACCUAAAAAACAUGUUUAACCACUAAACUACAUGUCAUAUAACCGAAAUAAUAUGUUUAACCACUAAACCACAUGUCACAUAAUCCAAACAACGUGUUUAACCCCUAAACCACAUGUCACAUAAUCCAAAUAAGAUGGAUAGCCACUAAACCACAUGUCGCAUAACCCAAAUAACAUGUUCAACCACAAAACCACAUGUCACAUAAUUCAAACAACAUGUUUAGCCACAAAACCACAUGGCACAUCACUUAAAUAACAUAGAUUACCACUAAUUCACCCUAAACUACUCCCUAAAUGCAAUGAAAGCCCUAAUCAAAUGCUAAAAAGCCACUCACGAACGACUCGGGCUCCCAAACAUGCCAGGGAAAAGGACUACAAGGCCGGACAACAGCUAGCCUCACGUCCUCCAUGCGUAGGUGAGCUGGACAGUAGCUAAACAACAGUCUAGUGAUUGCACGUUGGGGGUUUGACGGGUGGUCGCCGGCAAGGAAAACAAGGGGAAAAUGGAAGAAACAAGCUUGAAAUGGUGAUGAAAAUGGCUUGGAGAGUUUGGCUACUUAAAGUGAGGGAGAGAAAGGUGAGUUUGAGAGUUCAAGUGAGAAAAAUGAAAGUGAAAGUGAGAGAGAAAGGGGGUGGCCGGCAGUGAGGGGAGGGAAAGGAAGAGAGGGGUAAGAGAAAGGACAUCCUAUCUCCAUAAAUGUCCAUCCCAUCCUAUAUCCUUUAACCUAUUAAGCCUAGAGUUCUUUUAAUGAGGAAGUGACAACUUGAAAAGAGAACAAAGUGAGAGUGAGGGGGAGGUAGGUGGCCGGCGGUCUUGAGGGAGAGGGAGGAGAGAGACAAGAAGAAAUCUUGCUCAUAAAUGCAUCACUUCCCUUGACUCUUGUCCAUCAAGCUUGCCCAAAGAAGAAGCAAGAUCUAGCAUUAAAUGGGAGGAUUUGCACUCAAGUGACUAGGAUUGGACUAAACUAGGUAGCCUUUUUCCCUCCUCUUGGCCGCCCCUUCUUUGCCAUUUUUCCAUUUUUAUCCUUUUGUCUUUAGUCCAAUAGGAGGGCAUUUCCGUCACUUCACCAAGAUCUCGCAUUAUUCAUGUCUUUUCGUGCAUUUAAUGCCAAGAUUGUGUCAAAAAGGGAUUGAUGGGCUUUAAGGGGCCCAUGGGCCUCCCUUGGUCACCCACCCUUGGGUGUGUGGGUCUUGGGCAGCCAACUUAGGCUCAAGCCCAAUAGGUCAUUGUCCCUAACCCGUUUCCACUUUUCUACACUCAUAUGCCCUUGCUGAUGAAAAACCGAGGUUUCGCCCUUAAAUGGUCUUUUUUGAUGCCCUCAUGGCUUAUCAAUCCUCAAGACACUCUCGUCCAACGAUCACUUACCAGAAUAAUUUCAUUCUGAAAAACCGGGUCGGAACGAGGAUGUCACAACUCUUCCCCCCUCAAAGAAAUUCCAUCCUUGAAAUUUGUAGGACCAACCACUUCCUCAAAUAGAUGGGAGUAUUGGCUCCUCAUAAUGUCCUCGCUUUCCCAUGUCACUGCCUCGGUACUGUGAUACUGCCAGACAUUUUUUACAAAGGGAAUGACUUUGUUGCGCAACACCCUUUCUUUUCUAUGCACGACUCGCAUUGGCUGCUUGACAUAAGUCAGUUUGUCGUCCACCUCGAUCUCUUCAUAGUUUAGCACAUGUGUCAGGUUUCAUUCAUACUUUCUCAGCAUCGAAACAUGGAACACGUUAUGAACCUGGGCAAGAUUUGGUAGUAGUGCCAAUUGGCAAGCUAAAGUUCCAAUUCUUUCCAAAAUUUCAAAAGGUCCUACAAAUCUGGGGCUUAGCUUCCCUUUAUUGCCAAAACGAGACAUACCUCUCCUUGAUGACACUUUAAGGAACACGUGAUCGCCAACUUGGAACUCUCGAAGUCUUUAUCGUUUGUCCACAUAGCUCUUUUGGUGACUUUGGGCUGUCUUUAACCUUUCUCAAAUGAUUUGGACUGCAUCCACGAAUUGUUGCGCAAGCUCGAGGCCCAUAAUUUCCUUUCUCCGACCUCAUCCCAACAGACGGGCAUUCUACAUGCAUGUCCAUACAUUGCCUCAAACAGUGCAAUUCCAAUGCUCAGUUGAUAAUUGUUGUUGUAUGCGAAUUUGACGAGGUGGAGUUGGUCUUCCAUUCUCCUUUGAAAUCUAUGACACACGAUAUCAUUGGUGCCGUAUGCUACCCUAUUCGAUGUAGUCCAUGUUUAUGAUGAUUCACUAUAUUUGUGCUAUGUUCACUAAUGAGCAAAGUUAGGAUCUUGUUGUUUAAUGCCAUGCUUUAUCCUUUAUUGGGCAUUGUUGCUCACCCCUUAUUUUUCCUCUUAGAUCAUUAGCUAUGGAUGUGACACCCUUGAUGACUUAUGGCACGUAUGGGAACUUCGAGGAUGGAGAUUCUGGUCUUGUUUUGACUCAUUAUGUGUGCACUGUCUGCAUAGAUGAUGGACGCCCUAAUCAUUUCCCAAUGCGAUUUGUGUUCGUGUACCUUAGCGUGAAUGGGAGGUUGUUUGGCCCCAUCUGUUGGUGAUGUUUUGUGCGUGGAGUAGGAGGCACGCGUGGUAUGGAGGGAUGUAGUGAAUGAGGAAAACUACCGGGUAGAGGAGUUAGACACCUUUUUGGCCUCUCCCAGGUAUUUUGUUUGGGUCAUCUUGAUGAGUAUUUUUCUAUGUUUGUAAUUGUCAAGAUGUCAUUUUUCUCUUGUAAUCCUUACUUAUGAUGAAUGAAAUGGAAGCAUGUUGUUAUGGAAUUUGUUCCUAAGUAAAAUUUUCAUAUUAAAAUGUAUACUCUUCCACUUGUGUAAUAAUAAUGAAAGAUUAUAGUCGAGGUUAUAAGGUGACCGUCUGGGACAUAACAGUUACAUUGGUAUCAGAGCUAUAGGUUAACCAUGGAGUGAUAAGGUGCGCUAGUGGUGGAAGAAGGUAGGACGCACGCGCUAAAACACUGAUCGCUUGUGCUUGUUGUAUUGCUAUUUUGUAAAGAACAAGUAACCUUGAUUACUCAUAGGGUAUUAGUAACUUAUGUUACUUAUUAGUUGGUUAGGGUAUUCAAUCACUUAUAGUGACUGAUUUGUAGAAUGGCUGGUGCUUCAAGAGGGAUAGGAACCGGUAGAAGGACAGCCAUGAGUGAAUCCCUUAUAAGGACAGAGGCUAGAUUGGAAGGGAUUUUGCAAGCUCUUGCUAAUGUAGAAGCCCUGACGGAGAGACAAACUCAACAGCAACAGCAGGGCGGUGAAUGCCGAAUGCAAGGGUUGGUUGAACAAUUCCUUAAGUUGAAACCAUCAAAAUUUGCUCGUUUGGGAGACCCUUUGGAGGCUGAGGUAUGGAUAGAUGAGAUGGAAAAGAGUUUUACAUUGUUGAACUGCAUGGAUGUGGAAAAAGUAUCCCUGGCGAAGUACCAACUUUUGAGAAAUGCUUACCAUUGGUUGAAGGUGAUGAAGGGAACAGUAUUCCCCGAAGGUGCUGAGGUGACUUGGGCUAGUUUUGUUUGGGCUUUCUUUGGAAAGCAGUUUUCUGAUUGUGCUAGAGACAAGAAGGUGAUGGAGUUUAUGCAACUAACCCAAAAUAACCUAACGGUGGAUCAGUAUGAGGCAAGGUUUGUUGAACUCUCUAGGUUUGCUCCCAAGUUAGUUGAGGACAGGGAGGAUAAAGCCAAGAGAUUUUUGAAUGGUAUGAGGCCUGACAUUCGUAGGCAUCUAAUGCCUCCGAACUUGAAAGAUUAUCAUGAAUUGUACGAGCGUGCUCAAUUAGUGGGAGCUUGUGAUGAAAGGGACCCUAGUAACCCAUCAGGUGAGAUCAAUUCAUCAGGCUAGUUAGAGCAAUUUCCACUAUGACAAGAGACCCUUUCAAGCUGGGCGACCAUCGUUCUCAUUGACUAAGAAAAGUUGGAUUGGAGAACCUGGGAAGGCGUGGAACAGUUAGUCAUCGAGGUGACCACGAAGCCAAAGUUCUACUUGUCUGGUGUGUGGUGGAUUGCAUGUGAGCAUGUUGUGCCGAUUUGUGAAGGCAUAUUUUGGUUGUGGACAACCAAAUCACUUGGUUAAAGACUAUCCACAAAGGAGCACCCAGUAGCAACGGCCACCACAAUCAUCAAUUGCAUCGGUGUAACAAGGAAAUAACCGCAGGUCGCUAGCUCAAGAAAGAGUCUAUGCAAUUACACGUAAUGAAGUUGAGGCCUCUAAGACAAUCUUUAUAGGUAUUAUUUCCUUGUUUGACCAAAAUGCUUAUGCUUUAUUCAAUACUAGAGCUACACACUCGUUUAUGUCUACUCAGUUUGUGCAAUUAAGUAGGAUGAGACCUAGGGAGAUGGAAGUACCCCUUAAUAUCUCCACAUCGUUAAGAGACAUAGUUUUAUCUACCCUAGUAUGUAAGGACUGUAGGAUCUUUAUAGUAGGACAAAGUUUGCAUUCAAAUUUGGUGGUGUUAACUAUCUAUGAUUUUGAUGUGAUCUUGGGGAUGGAUUGGCUUCAUAAGUACCGAGCUAAUAUGGAUUGUUAUAGGAAGAUCAUUCAGUUUAAUCCUCUUGAUCGCCUAGUUUUGAAUUUUAUGGAGAUAGGGCGACUCCUUCCUUACCGCUCAUUACUGCACUUGAGGCUCAUCAACUCCUUGAGAAUGGAUGUGAGGGUUAUCUAGCUUGUGUGAAAAAUCAAGAUAGAGAAGGAGUAAAGCUAGAAGAGAUUUCGGUAGUUCGGGAGUUUCUCGAUGUUUUCCUAGGGAGUUACCAGGCCUACCCCCAAAACAAGAAGUUGAGUUCAUCAUUGAAGUGGCGCCUGGUACAAAACCUAUAUCGAAGGCCCCAUAUCAAAUGGCGCUAAGUGAGUUGAAGGAACUAAAUGUGCAACUACAAGAGUUGCUUGACAAGGGGUUUGUUAGGCCAAGUGCAUCACCUUGGGGUGCGCCAAUAUUGUUCAUGAAAAAAUAGGGAUGGAUCCUUAUGCCUAUGUAUAGAUUACAGGUAGCUAAAUCAAGUAACGAUUAAGAAUAAAUAUCCGUUGCCUAGGAUCGAUGACCUAUUUGAUCAGUUGCAAGAAGCGUCAAUGUUUUUUAAAGUCGAUCUAAGAUCAGGGUACCAUCAACUAAGAAUCAAGAAGGAGGAUGUUCCUAAGAUGGCCUUUCGAACUAGAUAUGGACAUUACGAGUUCUUAGUUAUGUCCUUUGGAUUGACUAACACACUAGCCGCUUUUAUGGAUUUAAUGAAUAGAAUAUUCAAGCCGUUCUUGGAUCGAUUCAUGAUAGUUUUCAUAAAUGAUAUCCUAGUGUGUUCGAAAGGGCGAGAAGAUCAUGGGGAGCACUUGAGGAUCAUGUUGUAAACUCUUAGAGAACAUUAGUUGUACGUCAAAUUCAGCAAAUGUGAAUUUUGGCUGGACAAAGAUAUAUUCUUAGGUCAUAUGGUGAUUGGAAAAGGGAUAUCGGUAGACCCAGAAAAAGGUCGAAGCCGUUCUAAAUUGGCCAAGAUCGAUGAUGGUAACUGAGAUUCGAAGUUUCUUGGGUUUGGUGGGAUACUAUAGGAGAUUCGUGGAAGGAUUUUCAUGGAUUGCAGGGCCGUUGACUCAAUUAACUUGGAAGAACUCAAAGUUUGAAUGGACGGAGGAGUAUGAGCAAAGUUUCCAAUAACUCAAGAGGAGGCUAAACACGGCACCUAUCUCAACAAUACCUUCAGGACUGGAAGGAGACGCAUUCAUAGAAGCUGAGGUCAGAUUCUCCUUAAGAUCUGUUUUACUGGACCUCCUGCAUUUGUUGUUUUCGUGGGUUGAAAUGUGCUGCGAAUUUAAGGUUGCUUUCUUCUUGAAAAAUGUUUUGAACAUCUUCAUUUAUAACAUAUAUUUUACUUAAGAUUUUAUGGAUUUGAAGGACUGAUUUUUCAGCUUCGUUGCAUGCAAAUUAGUAUCUUGUUUUAUGCUGGAAUCUGUGACCUUUUGGUGUUCAACAAUUUUUUUAUCAACUUUUGUGAUUUGAUUUUUAAAAUGGUUUCUUCACAAAAUUUGUUCAACACAUCUUGAAGUUUAACAUAGUCAAAUUCUAGAGCAAAUGGCAGAAUUUUUAACUUCAAACCAAGCUGGUUUUGAAAACGUGAUUUUUGGACAUGAGAACAAUUUUGAUGAUUGUUUUGUGCGAUUUACUUCUCUUAUUCUAGAAAGAACUGGGUUAAACAUUUUUCAUGAAAAUUAUUUUUUAAGUGUUCUUUAUAACAUAUUUAAAUUUAAAUAUUUUCUGAACUCUUUUGGUUAUGUUUCCGGAUUUAAUCAUAGAGCCACGCAUGUGGACAUGGUUUCUGCCGGUGAGGGCUAGUUGUCGUCUUGUUGCUAUUUCUGAUGUUUUACUUGCUGGAAAAUGCAUAUUUUGUGAUUGUGGAUGAGUUUGGCAUGCUGAGAACCAAUGCUUGAUGGCUGUGCAUGAGUAGUGCUCAUUGUGUGUGCAAAAUGAUGUGAAAUAGGCAUGGAGGUGGUGUGAAGGGCAAUUCUAUUUUAUGCAUGCUGAUGCAUUGUGAUCUUGGCAGUAUGGUAGUUUAUGUGUGUGCUAGUGGUGUCAAAAGUGUGCCCUAAUGAAAGAUUGUGAUGUGGUGAAAUGUGUGAAUGAAUCAAAUUAAGAGACAUUCCAUCGGCCAGCAUCCCGAUGAUGCCCCCCGAGGAGUGGGGAUGCCCCAAACUGUGUGGUCUGGAAUGCCUCAGUUCAAGUCACAAGGCCAGUGACCCUUGGACACCAGGAUGCCUCGAAGGGAGAUGCCUAGGGCCAACGUCUCCUGGAAGUCCAGCCAGCAACCAAAAAGUGACUCGAAUGGAACCAACCAGCGUCUCCGGUUAAAUUCGAUCCGAGGGUGGAUAUGAAAUGUUCUCACAUUGAAAUUAAUUAAUAAGGCAUGUGAGUACGUGUGAUGAUGUAGUUGUGUGCCAUGUGAUGCAUGAAUGAAUUCGUGUGCACUGUGUGACACAUGAUUAGAGUUCGUAUAUGCCUUGUGGUGCGGUCUUCAUGCAUUUUACUCAUUAUAGCAAUGAUAUCCUAGAUUUUCAGUCUUGUUUUCAAUUUAAUAAAUCGGGUUUUUCAUCGACGUGCCUAUAGUGCUAUUCUUAGAGCUGAUCACUCCUGAGAUAACUUGACUAUCUGGGGAAAUUAUUAAGGGAUUUUAAUGCAAUAGACUUGAGAAUUCAACUAGGAAUCGACUAAUCGACUGUGCUCAUCUGCAGAGAUCAUUACGGCACAGUAAAGAUUGAUUAGAGAUCAGAGAUAGGUCGGUUUGAUUGAGAUGUGUGGUUAAACAUGGAUGAUUCCACUAAAUUGCAAAUUCUUGUCAAUCGGUACUAGACUGAUUUUUCUAUCGUUUCGGUACCCUGUGUCCGUAUUUGAAACCUCGAGAUUUUCACGACUACCAAGAGUCGCCAAUGUGUUGAAGAGGUUCAUUGUGGCUCGAAGAAAAUUGACCACGAGCCAUUUGCACUAAAAAUUUCUAAAAGUUACCCGGUAGUCUAGGUCACGCUAAAAGCACGCCAAAUCAAAAUUAACCGCGAAUUUGAAUCUGAUUUCAGAAAUUGAAAGUUCUUUCAUGUCACAAGUCAUUUUAAGAAAGUCGACUCAGUUUUUGAAGAUUUUUCUACAAAUCAAGAUUUUUGGCGAAAAGUUGACAUAGGGUCGUUUUUGUCCAGAAAAUUCAAAGGACCAUUUUUUAUCGCACAAUUGGGAUACAAGUAGAUUCUAUUGGUAAGGAAAAAUACCAAUUUGAUCGAAGACUUGAUAAUGAAAUUUAUAGAUGCCAAAUUGAGUUGAUUCAAGAUGGAAUUGAAGUCCAAUUUGGGGAAAAUCCAAUCAAAGAUCGUAGCCCCCCCUUGGACACAACCUUUGGACCACCUCUAAGGCUUCUAGAGGAAGUUUGGCUACUGGAAAUUGGCUGAGGAAGCCAGCUUGCAAGUGGGACCAAGCUAAGGGAGACAAGAGGAAAGAGAGAGGUCAAGAGGGACCCUCCACCAGCCAAAGCUGUCCCCUUCCCUCUAUCCUUGCUACCGUCAACCCUUUCCCUCUAUUCCAGCUCCUUGAAGCUUCAAAAAUUUUAGAAAACCGAGCUUCAGUCCCCCCUUACCGUCGCAACCACCCGUCAAGCCACCGGACUGCCCCUCGCAGCCGCUCGCUCGCUCGCACGCCACUCGCUAUUGUCCAGCCUACCCACGUCUCCAGCCGCUCAUUCCAUUACUGCUCGCAACUGGCCGAUGUCGCUAGGUUGUCGUGCGUCGCCGUUGUAGUCGCCGGAGAUGACGUCUACCCGCCUGCACACUCGUUCAAGCUGUUACAAUCCCCGUUGACCGUCCUCGCCGCUUCAAGCCGUCGAAGCAGCUUCUUCGGCUCAACCACAAAACCGAAUGGAGUGGGUCUCGCCAGCAUUGUUUGGCCCGUUUUUGUGCCCUUCCGGACCUCGAAAGGCGCACCCGUUUUGGAAUUUAUUGAUCCUCUCUGCCUCGCUGUCAUUUCGGUUCAACCAAUUCGUUAAUCAAGUGAGUUUAACUCACUAAUCCCUGCUUAGUAAGUUAAUGAUGCUUAAGGGUUGAUUAGUUUAAGUUAAUUAGAGAAUAUGUGAUUAGUUAGAAUGGAUUAGUAAUUUAAUCGAUCAUUAUUGCAUGGUAGGUGGUUAGAGUAGUGCAAUUAGCAAGUAUAUAAGCUCUAGUAUUUACUUAGAUAGGUUCGAAAAUUUUCCGAACCUGAAUCAAUUUCCGAACCAGAAUCGAUAUUUAAUUAGGCUUUUCCGGUCUAAGUGUGCAUUUUGCUAUUUAUUGGUAGUUAUUAAUUAUUUUCCGUAAUUAUUUAAUUAAUUAUUAUUUUUCGAAAAUUAGACCAGGAUAGCCGGUGACCAGAAUUUUAUGCUAAUCGCAGUAGUGUGAUUUGUUUAAUUAAUUGAGUGCUAUCUUAUGCAAUUUGAGCGUGAUUUGUAAUUUUGGGGUAUCUAUCCCAAAAUUUUAUAUUUUAGUAUUUAAUUAGAAAAUACCGGGCGUCGGUUUACAACGCCAAAAAUGUGUUUAUGGACUAUGAAAAUUAGUGGGAUUUUCAAAUGGGAAAAUAUUGUAUUUUGGCUAAGGCUGACCGUGUACCCACACACAAUUAUAUUUAUCGGGUAUGAUAAAAAUGGUGGCAUUCUCAAUUGGUGAGAAUAAGUAUAUUAUAUCAACCUACGGGUGUCGAUAUAUCAACUUUGGGUGAGCAGUAUACUUUAUAGCUUAGGGUGAGCAUCAUAGGUAUACUAUAUCAGCCUACGGGCGUUGAUAUAUCAGUUUUGGGUGAGCAGUAUACCGGUAUAUUAUAUCAGUCUACGGACCUUGAUAUAUUAUCUUUAGGUGAGCAGUAUACCUUAGCGGCUUUUGGUGAGCAUUGAGAGUAUACUAUAUCAGUCUAAGAACCUUAAUAUAUCAGUUUUGGGUGAGCAGCAUACUAUAUUAUCAGCUUUGGAUGUACUAUACUAUCUAUCUUCAGCUUUUGAUGAGCAAUCCUCGAUGAGAUAAGACUUUAUAGAUAGUAUUGAUUGGAUUGACCGAGUAAUGGUCGUGAUGACAUGGAAUCGACUGAAUCGAUUGAUCGAUGGUUCAAUCUGAUGUGAUGAUGUGAUUUAUUGAUGUGAUUCGAUGAUUUUGUGAAUCAUACUGACUUGUAGGAAGGUACCGAGGCAAAGUAAGUCCUCUGACUCGUGUUUGUGCUUAGGCAAACCUUAGAGUGUAUUCUCUUCCUAGUCGGGUCUUAGGGGGUGAACUUGCUGAAACGUUGUCUCACCUCGUUGUCGGAUAAUAUUUCCAGGUCCUUAGAUGGCUGCUCCUCCCGAGUGUUUUGGACAACUAAAGAAAGUCACAGAACAGGUAUCUUACAUCCCGCUUCAUGGAGCCCUCGAGGAUGGGUCUAUGAGCUCAUAAGGUCCGUGGUUUGGGUCCAUGAGGCUUUAACCUCAUCAAUUCAGAUCAUGGUACCGACGUAUGCAGGAUGGACAGAGAGGGGGUCCCAUACCGAAGUCUGAGAUACAUGUGCAUGUGCUGGAGAUUGCUUUUGGAAAAGGCACAGCAAAUCCUCCUAGUGGAUCAAUUGUGGACCCGUAUCUAUCAGAUCUAGAGAUCCUGGUGUAUUCAGCUAAAGGCUCCAAUGAGGAUGAGGAUAAUGAGGAGGAAGAAGAUCUAUAGUUUUAGGUAACCUCACUGUUUUACAAACCUUGUUUUAUAGACUGGUAUUGUAUAUGACAUAAUUUGGUAUGUAUAUAUAAGUGUGGCUUGUUUGGUUUUCAAAAAUUUUGGUCCUACUUUCCUAUCACAUCUUGUUGUUAUCUGAUAAUUAUUUAUUCGCUUCCACAUACGUAUUAAAAAGAAUGGGUCGGCGACGCGUCCUGGGACGUCGCUAUUUAAUCAACCAUUGAGGAUGGGCACACGCUUGGAGGAUCGGGGCGUGACAAUAGCUUGUUUAGUUCACAUGAUAUCAUUAAUGCCAUAUGCUGCCCAAUUCGAUGUAGUCCAUGUUUAUGAUGAUUCACUAUGUUUGUGCUAUGUUCAAUAAUGAGCGAAGUUAAGAUCUUGUUGUUUAAUGCCGUACUUUAUCCUUUACUGGGCAUUGUUGCUCACUCUUUAUUUUUCCUCUCAGAUCAUUAGCUAUGGAUGUGACACCCUUGGCAACUUGUGGCACGCCUGUGCGGGUAGAUGGCGUGAAUAGGAAUUUUGAGUAUCAAGAUUCUUGUCUUGUUUUGACUCGUUAUGUUUGUACUGUCUAGAUAUAUGAUGGAUGCCAUAAUCCUUUCCCGAUGUGAUUUGUGUCCGUGUACCUCAACGUGAAUGGGAGGUUGUUUGGGCCCACCCGUUGGUGAUGUUUUGGGCAUGGAGUACGAGGCACGCGUGAUAUGAAGGGAUGUAGUGAAUGAUGAAAAUUGCCAGGUUGAUGAGUUAGGCACCUUUUUGACCUUUCCCAGGUGUUUUGUUCGGGUCAUCUUAAUAAGUAUUUUGCUAUGUUUGUAAUUGUUAAGAUGUCGUUUUCCUCUUGUAACCCCUGCUUAUGAUGAAUGAAAUGAAAGCACGUCAUUAUGGAAUUUGUUUCUGAGUAAAAUUUCCUUAUAUUAAAAAUGCAUACUCUUCCCCUUGCGGAAUAAUAAUGAAAGAUUAUAGUCGAGGGUCUAAUGUGAUGGCCUGGGACGUCACAAAAGCUAAUAUCCGAAACUUGGUCGUGGAUUUAUAUAUUAUUAUUUUAAAUUCUAAAAUCUGAUUUAAUUUUGAGCUCAAAUUCGAAGCAUAUUUUAACAAGGGUUACUCAUUUGAAGCAUAGAAAAAUACAUUUAGAAGAAAUUCAAACAGACAUCAAGAGCUGUCGACAUAUAAAAGGAGUGUUAGAUUUUGAAGAGCCAAAAAUCAACAUUUCAAAAAACUGGUGAGUUCUUAGUCCCGGGUCUUCGUCAACGAGCACUGGACUUUCAUUGGAGCAUCGUACUUGUUUUUUUUCUACCAAAAACGUAUGUACCCCUAUUCCUUCCGAGCAGGUCUCACCUGAUGAUAGUCCUCCGGUCCCACACAUCGAAGAAUUUCUAUGCUUCUGGAUGAUUAUGAGAGAAUGUGCACGUGUGGCAAUUCCAACCAAGCCUUGAACGAGGAGGGGAGGAACAUGUGAUUCAUAACCAUUGCCGAGUCGUUGUCGGGUCUUUUCGGUUUGUAUCUUGGGUUGAUUUUUAUCCACCGAGGGGACAAUCACAACACAAGAGCCUUUUUUUUUCAAUAUCUUUCUUUAAUUCCAGAACACAAGAUCCAUUUCUAUAGAUAAGAUAGAUCUAUCAGAUGGCGAUUCCAACCAAGCCUUGAACGAGGAGAGGAGGAACAUGCGAUUCAUAACCAUUGCCGAGUCUUUGUCAGGUCUUUUCGGUUUGUAUCUUAGGUUGAUUUUUAUCCACCGAGGGGACAAAAACCUUUGGUUUUUUAUUUUUAUUUUUUGUCAGAAAAAUCCUUUGGUUGAUUUAUUUUUAUUUAGUGCCGGUCUUUAUGGGGUCUGUUUGGGUCCCUCUCCCCUGAUUUUUCCUCUGGUAGGGCAAGCCAGGAACGGUCACCCUUCAUUUCUCCUGGGAAAGAAAAAAAAAAGCCAAUUGGAUCACACCUGUUGACGAAGGAACGUGGAAAUUGGACUAACGGUCACCCUAAUUUAUCCUGGAUAAAAGAAGCCAAUUGGAUCGCCCCUGUUGACGAAGGAACGUGGAAAUUGAACUAAGUCGUCUUCGCCAACCCCGGCACCUGGGAAAGCAGCUGCAAACUUGGUUCUUGAUCAAUUUCUUUACCUCGGCCUCUAGAAGUUGCUUAUUAUCGUACUCCUCUUGAAUUGAAAGACAGUCCAUGGCCGUCUUUGAAUUACUCUUACUGAACUUGCAUUCUUUCCUAGUUCAAGCAAAAAAGAUGAUCGAUGCACCAAGAAAUAUUUCCUUCGCUUUCUGGAUUUCAUGCCUGUUCCUCUUCAUCCCAGGCACUCCUGUCGGUGCACAGACAUAUGUUCAGGAGCGGUGUGCAGAUAGGGGCGACUACGCUUCUCCUAGCAAGUUUCAGGACAACCUCAGCAGCCUCCUCUCCAAGGGCGACUCCGCUGAUUACAGCAAAGGACCCAUUCGCGGUUUCUACAACACAACGGAAGGUGAAGAUCCGGACAAAGUUUAUGGUCUCUUCCUCUGCAGGUAAAUCACAAGCGAAAGAUACCAAAAAUUUCAACUUUUGAGUAAUACCUUCCAAAUCAAUUGUUAUAAUCUUUGGAAUUGGCUCGCUUGGAACUAGGAUUUAUAAUGGACCUGAUAUAUUGGUCUUAAUUGGAAUCCUCUACAAAGUACGGUGAUCCAACACCAACCUAAAAAUUACUAUCCAGAUUUAAGUGACUACUAAUGCGACUUUUCUAUUCCUCUUUAGAGGGGAGGUUGCCACCAAUCAAUGUCAGUCUUGCAUCCGUAAAGCUAGCAACACCAUCAUAGAAAGAUGUCCAGGACAGAAAGAGGCGAUGAUAUGGUAUGAUGAGUGUCUCCUGCGCUACUCUAACAGAUCGUUCUUCUCUAUCAUGGAGACAAGACCGAUUAUUUUUGUUGUCGACCCUGCGAACAAUUCAGUUACCUUCAACAAGAUUGUGGAGCAAACUUUUGAUAAUGAGAACUUUGCGGCAAAAGUGACAGAUUUGGCAAGAAAUGUCACGGACAUGGCAAUCUCCUCAGAAAGCUUAUACGCAACCAUAAACGUUAAUGUCUCAAGUUCAGUGACCCUGCAUGAGCGUGUACAGUGCACCCCCGACAUCAUAAAGUCAGCUUGUAAGAGUUGCUUGCUUUCUGCUAUCAAAGAGUUUCCUACCGCUCUUAAUUAUAAAAGGGGAGGUGCGAGAAUUCUUCAGCCAAGUUGUUAUGUACUGUACCGAAUGGAUGUUGCUGGGGAACCUGGAGGACAAGCACCAGCAUCUUCUGCAGCAAGUAAAGGUAUGAGCUAUAUAGCACUCAAAAUGUGUACUCAAUUUGUAAUUGAUAAGCAUAUAAUGGUAUCAUUCCGUUGCUUCUAAUUCUCAAUAUAAGCUGUUUUAUGUACCGUAAUGCACUUGACUUGCUUUUACGAUCUAAAGGAUCAUACUCUCUUGCUUUCAACGAGUUCUUGGUACUAUUUACACGCAGUGAAAAAAAAGUCUGCCGAUUUGUGGUAUGUUUAGAUGCAAGGAAUUUCUCUUUCUUGACAGGGCUCAAACGAAUUCCAUGGAUUGCAAUAGUUAGCUCAGUAAUUGGAUCGGGGUUACUAAUAAUCAUCGUGGGUUCGUGUCUUUUCUUUAUGAGGAAAAAGAGAUUGAAGAAAGGUACAAGUGAAUUCAUCUUGCUUGCCAUUGGGAUGACCAUUUUCUAACCUUUACCUGACUAAACUCUUGGACUCUCAGAGAUGGAAGACAGCCAAGAGGUUCAGUUACUUCAUCUACGACAAGAAAUUGGAGAAGAGUUUUCAAAGGAAAACUCUCGUGGACUGGCGGGUUCUCAAGAAUUAUCUCUGAUGCGAUUAGACAUCAUACGAGCAGCCACAGGAAACUUCUCCGAUGAAUGUAAACUUGGGGAAGGGGGGUUUGGUUCUGUGUACAGGGUAAGUAUUUCAGUGACUCAACACGUAUUUAUGGGGAAAUUGGGAAAAUCUUCUAAUGGUAGCAAAUUGGCCGAGUCAUUAUCAAUGGCAUGAACUGAAUCGAAUUUGGUUAUCAUUAGUAAUUCUCAGAUAGGGAUCUCACUACUGACUUUACGCUGUUUCAGGGCACAUUGGCAGAUGGAAAAGAAAUUGCAGUUAAGAGGCUUUCAAGAACCUCAGGCCAAGGACUCAUUGAGUUGAAGAACGAAGUCAUCUUGAUUGCCAGACUACAACACAGGAACCUUGUCCGAUUAUUGGGAUGCUGCUUGGAAGAAGAUGAAAAACUCUUGCUAUAUGAAUACUUGCCCAACAAAAGCCUGGAUGCCUUGCUUUUUGGUUUGAGCUUUAGCAGAUGCAAUGAAUUUUUGAGCUAGUUAAUUUUAGUUUUUAAAGUUGAGUGUCAUCUGAGUCUCUCAUUUUGACAGAUUCGAAUAUAGGGCGACAUCUAGAUUGGAAGCUACGCAUGAACAUCUCCUGUGGAGUAGCUCGGGGACUUCUCUAUCUGCAUGAGGAUUCUCGCCUGAAAAUUAUCCACAUGGAUCUGAAAGCUAGCAAUAUUUUGCUAGAUGGUGAGAUGAAUCCAAAGAUAUCCGAUUUUGGAAUGGCAAGGAUCUUCAGUGCAAAUCAAGACAAGGCAAACACAAACAGGGUUGUUGGAACCUAGUAAGUGCCUCAUAUAUUUCUACGUCCUUUACAUGUUUGACUGAUUCACUAGGCCAACAAAGGACUCUGAUAAUCUGCUCAACAACACCAGAUAGAGCACAUUCAUAUUUCAGAAGUUCCAUCUUGAAAUUUACUUUUCACUGUUUCUUACUUCCAACUAAUUGCUCUUCAUUAUGUAAUUCUGGUUAGUGGAUACAUGGCACCGGAGUAUGCGAUGCAAGGACUUUUUUCUGUAAAAUCAGACGUCUUCAGUUUUGGAGUUCUCUUGCUAGAGAUAGUAAGCGGGCGCAAGAAUAAUGGUUUUCAUCUCCAAGAACAGGGUGAAAGCCUUCUCACAUUUGUAUGUUCCUAAUCACCAUCUGAAUUUAAUGUGAAAUCGAAGAUUUUCGUGCAGCUAUCCUUGUUAAUUUUUCGUUGCUAAAUAACAGGCAUGGAAGUUGUGGUCCGAAGGUCGACCAUUGGAACUUAUCGAUCCGUUAAUCAAUGAGUCAUGUGAUGAAGGUGAAGUGCUGAAAUGCAUACACGUUGGUCUAUUGUGCGUUCAAGAAGACCCAGCAGAUCGACCGGCUAUGUCACUCGUGGUUCAUAUUUUAGGAGGCGAUACCAUCACACUCGGCCGACCAUCGCAGCCUGCAUUCUCAGUUGGGAGAAAAGUGAAAAAACUUGAUCGUUUCGGGCACACUCAAGAAGCCUCAACCGUUAAUGGAAUAACCAUUUCGGUUGUUACGGCUAGGUGACCAAGUAUUAUACAAUGGAAAUGCUGCUAGUAAUAAUUGUGAUAUAUUUUAUCUUUUAGGACUGUGUAUAUAUCUCCAUCGUAAUAUAUUUAUAUCAUGUUAUUUUCUGUAUUUAUCAUGUAAAACUAGCUUAUGUUCCCUUCUUCUUUAUACAUACAAAAAUAUACAGAAACGUAAAAAUCCUCUCCUUCGCAUAUUUCUUAUCUUAGCGUUAGAGUUAGACGAUCUUAAGCAAAUUUUGAGUGCUCAAGUGCAACACACCCCAGUGCACACCCGGAGCACACCUUCAUAUCCCGUGUCAUGUGAUUCAUUUUUAUUAUAGUUACUAGUAUCCCUUUCUCAAUGUCAAUUCUAAACAUUCUCGUCAUGUACACAUAAACAUCAGCCUAUUGCUGCAUAACCUACAUACAUCAAUCGGUUCUCUCUUCAUCACAUAAAAUCACCUCGUUGGAUCUUUUCUCCCAACUCCAUUUGACUUCCUCUUUUCACCUUGAGCUUGAGAGUUUGUUCAAGAUAAUUAAGAUUUUACCUUGAUCCUUCAUUUUUCAUGAUUGUAAAUAUACAUAUAUUUCCCUUAAUUGUGCAUAUUGUUGAUUGAUUUAUAAUCAAUAUCAUAAGCCAGCCCCAUUUUAUUUUGGAUGCAUUUCCACCCCGUUCAUCAAAUCCAUGUCAUUCUGCAUCUAGUUUACAUGUAAGAGGGUUGAAAUAUCACAUGCCGUUUGAUUAUGGGGUUAUAUGCUUGUUGUAUACAUGUGAUCUCUUUCUACUUAUUAGUGAAGAAUCUUUCGGUUGAAUUUUCGAAUUUCGUGAUUUAAUGAAAUAGAAUGAUAAUUACAGUGUUUGAUCUCUUUCGCAUUGUGACAACCAUUUCUUAAUCCUUGAUUUCUGAAUCAUCAAUUAAUGAUUUUAAGGGGGAAAAAAACCUGUUUAUUAGUCGUCUUGAGCAUUCCAUGUGCACAACUCCUAUGGAUUAGAUAAUUACUUGAGUGUAAAAGUUCAAAAAAAUCAUGUGUGACAAGACAGGUGCUAUAAAUUUGACAAAGUAUCCUUUACUUCAUUCUUGAGCCAAGAACAUUUAGACAUCAUCUUAUUUUUUCAUCACGUGAGUAAUAGUGAUGUGUGCAUUUUGUUGAUUCAAAGCAUUAAUUGGCCAAUAUAUUCACUAAACCUCUUUUUUGCUCAAAUAUUUAUAAUAAAAAAAAUUAAGUAUGCAAAGAGUAAGCGUAAGCAAUCUACUCAACAACCUUCAUUGCUAUGAUAUAUGUCAUGCCCCGAACUCCCGAGUGUGCAAACAUCCUUCAACGGUCAAUUAGUUGUGACGUCCCAGGAUGCGUCGCCAACCUAUUCUUUUUAUCUUUCAAUUAAACCCAAGUGGAAGAAUUUAAUAUAAACAACAUCCGAUCAAACAACAAACAAUAGGGAUAAUAAGAACACAACAAACAUUCCAAAAACAGCACUUUAAUUUAUAAACUGCUAACUCUAAGAUAUUUAAUAAUUACAAGCUUUGUUACGGCCACUUCUUACCAACCAUCUCAAAAACCUACAGGGUCAAGUUUAACCUAAACUUUAGUAACGACGAGGCCAACCAAACAUGACACUAGGCACACCAGCGUCUUGGUCCAUCAGGACCCCAAACCGCAUGUGACAGUUCUCCAUCCUACAGACUUGAAAAUAUUUAAUAAUAAUAGGAUGAAAUAUAAAUCUCAAUGGGUUAACUGCUUAAGCCUCGAUUAGGACGCAAAUUCAUCUCAAAAGCAGCCUAAACAUGCAACAACAUACAAUCUUACCUCGCCUUGACACACACCUGCAUAUUGGUACAUCACAUAUGCCAGUACCAAUGCAACAAGCAUAAUCAAUAAUCAAAACACAUAACUCCCAUACACCAAGUAUUCACAUGGGUCCCGAUUAUAAGAUAAAACCCGUUUUGGCCAAUCUUAUACCGUGCUUCACAGUUUUACUUCAUAAUCAAGCGCAAUGCAUUGCAAUCAUUUACAUGUGUUUCGAUUAUUACGACCCCUCGGGCCACGGCCAACACACAAGUUCCGGCAUGAACGGGCAUUGUCCCGUCCCAUCGAGUAUGGCAUUGUCUAGAACCCCCAUCUAGACGGCAUUCCAUAAAGAAGCAUCGAUCUGACUUUAACCACGACUUGGCAUCCAGACCCCCGCCAAGCAUUCGAUAAACAUCGGACAUCGGGUGUGUUUGGGAACCACUUUUGGGGAAAACCUUUAGGAAAAUGCAAAUACCUUUGAGUUAAAGGUGUUUUCCAAAAUGCAACCGUGUUUGGUAAAUUGUCCUUUGAAAACUCUUUGUAAAGUACUUUGAGCAAAAUAGCGUUUGGGGAAUUACAUUUACAAAGGAUCUUUGUGGUAAAAAAAAAUUAUCAAAAGAAAAAUUAAAAAAAAAAUUGACCAAAGGGCAGUGGCCGCCGGCGACCUCCGGCGACCUCCGGUGACCUCCGGCAACGCCGGAUUUGGGGCAGCGAGGUCGCGCGACGCCGUCGCGACCUCCGGCGACCUCCGGCAACGCCGGAUUUGGGGCAGCGAGGUCGCUCGACGCCGUCGCGACCUCCGGCGACCUCCGGCGACGCCGGAUUUGGGGCAGCGAGGUCGCGCGACGCCGUCGCGACCUCCGGCGACCUCCGGCGACGCCGGAUCUGGGGCAGCGAGGUCGCGGGAGGACCUCGCCGCCCCGGAUAUGGGUCGCGGCAGGGUCGCGCGACCUCGCCGCCCCCGGAUCUGGGGCGGCGAGGUCGCGGGAGGUCGCGCAAUGCUGCCGCAACCCAGAUCCGAGGGCCGCGAGGUCGCGUGACCCAGAUCGAGGGCGGCAAGGUCCUCCCGCGACCCUGCCGCCCCAGAUCUGGGUCGCGGUGACCCAGACCUCGCCGUGGGUCACGGCGGUCACGCCACCCCCCGGCGUCAGUCGUCUGGGCGACGAUCGCCAGUGACCACUCGCGGAAGAAGAAGACCGCCUGCCGCCCUAGAUUUGGGUUGCGGCGACCCAGCCCUCGGUCGCGCCACCUCCGGCGUCGGUCGCGCCACCCCCUGACGAUCACCAGCGUCCCUCUAGCAGUCUCUGGCCGCUCGCAGUCAGCCAGAACCGAACCCCCCCGGAGAAGAUGAACAGUUGCGACACAAGGGCAAGAACCGGAAAAACAAAAAAUUCGAGAGGACAAUUUCGGAAAAAAAAGAAUAUGAUCAGUGCCCGUGUGGGCAUGCCGAAAAAGCCGAAAGCCCAAGGCAGGUCCCCACCUACCUUGGGCUUUCAGCUUCACAAUGCUAGCAUUCAGGGAAUGGGGGCUCACAAUUUUUUGCCAAACGGGCUAGCAUUUGCCCAAGUAUCUUCAGACUUCAAAGGGGCUUUGGGAAGUGGUUCCCAAACGCACCAUCAUCCCUUUGGCAUUCUACUCGUCCUCUUACAUAAACCACUACAAGCAUUCCUCUACGAACUGCUUCUUAGUAUAGAAUUUGCUAUGCCAUAUCAUCUCAUAAUUAGUAAUAACUCAUAUAUGCCACACAUUAGUUUCUCAAUUCAUUAGGCUCUCACGCUUAACUACUUAUGUAAAAUUAUGUUAGGGCACUCGUUGAUGGGAGAAAAUACAUUUACCAAUAAUUUUUACUUUUGAAAAGUAAAGUGCAUCGCUCAGAUAGGAAGGGUGCAAAACGUAGAGGGAAAUUAUUAUACAAUGGUACGGUCUCCCUUGGAAGAGAGACUGUAACUUCUCUGCCUUUCAUUCUCCCAAGAGAACCUAACAAAUCGUUCAUCCGAUUUCUUUAAGAAAUUUGGAAUGAAAUCUCUUUUGUUGGGAUUUCCUCUAAUCCCUCUAAGCGAGCUUUCUUAAACGUGAGUAUAAUAAAUAAAUAAAUAAAUAAAAGUAGGAGAAAUGUUAAAUUUGAAGAAAACCCACAAAACAUCCACAACAGUGCAAAAGUUAUGGUUCAUAACCACUUAUUGAGCUGCCAUAUUUGCAUUGAGCAGUCAUCAACUCAAAACUCUAGUGAGUGUGGCUGCCGCAACCAUGAUUGCCACAAGCUUAGAGCUUGAGCUCAUGAGUAUGACGGUAGAGGUGGCAAAAGGGGUCUUAGACCCAUAUAUGACCCAUUUAAAUCAUAAAUGGGUCAUAUAUGGGUCACUUAUUUUUUUGACAAAAAGUAGAUAAUUAGGUUUAACAAUUACAAACUUUGAUAGGUGGGUCUUAAGUGGAUCUUAAAUGGAUUGGAUUUAGAACCCAUUUUCACCAAAACCUCACAAUCUCUCUCUUCUCUCUUUAACUUACAAAAACAUUUUUAUAAUAAAAACCAAAAUUAUAAUUUUUUAUUUUUCUUUUCUUUUCUUUUUUCUUUUUUCUUUCCUUUUUUUUUUUCUUUCUUCUUCCUCCGGUCGCCGGCACGGCAAUGGCCGACAACCGGCCAAGCGAGCCUCGAGCUCGCCCCUCGCCGAAUCUAGCAAGGCGGAGGCCUCGCUGACGCCCAACAAGGCUAGAGCCUCGCUAGAUCCGGCGAGGGGCGAGCUCAUUGGAUCUAGUGAGGUGGAGGCCUCGCUGACGUCCGGCGAGGCUCAAGCCUCGCCAGAUCCGGCAAGGGGUGAGCUCAAGCUCGCUCAAUGCCAGCCAGCCUUGAGCUCGUCGAAUCUAGCGAGGCGAAGGCCUCGCCGACAUCCGACAAGGCUCGAGCCUCGCUAGAUUCGGCGAGGGGCGAGCUUGAAGUUCGCCUAUGGCUCGUCGCUAGCCGUCGUCGUGGCCGGCGGCUAGCCAAAGAAGAAGAAGAACAAAAAAGAAAAAAGAAAAAUAGAAAUUAUAUUUAAAAAAAUAAAAAUAAUUAAAAUUCUAUUUUCAAAAUAAUUAUUUUAAAAUUAUAAAAAUUGUCCAUUAAAUUUGUGUUGUAUAAACUAUCUUAGCAAUAUCAUAUAUAUAUAUAUAUAAGAAAUAAGCUUUCUUAAGUUUAGUUAAAUGGGUCGGGUUCGGUAUGAGUCAAAAAUUUUGCAUUGUAAUAAAUGAGUCAUAAACAAGUUAAAUGGGUCGAUUUGGAUCGGAUCAUUUAUGACCCGACCCAAACCCGACCCGACCCACCUGUUUAAUGGGUCUAUAUGGCGGCUGUGAUGGACCACCAUCUCUCUCUCAAUUUUGUUUUCUAUUAUAUUGUUUGAUGUGGUGCUUUUUUGGCUAAUAAUAAUUUUCAACUAAUAAUAACAUAACACACAAGAAUUUUGGUCAAUCUACGUCAUUUAUUCCGCAAUCCAUGUCAACAAAAAUUGACCAUUAAGAGAAAAGGUAUAAUGAAAUGACUAUACGUUGACUUUAAGAGAGAAAGAUGAUUUUGAUUUUCGGACAAAAUAAAGGACAACGGUGAUAUUAUUCAUUGAAAAGAAAAGAAAAGAAAAAGACCUUCAUUCCACGUCAUAUAUUGCUUUUCCAUCUAAGUUCCAUUGUUGAAUUAAUCAAGGUUAGCAAUAUAAUAAUGUAUAUCUUUAGAUUCCAACAAAAGUCCAAUGGAUUAACCAUUCCUUUGAAAUGGAAAUUGCGGCCCACGGGCCACCAUCAUCCCCGUUAGGCUAACAUCUCCCAAACGUAAAUUGCAAAUGUUCAUGGUGAUAUUUAGGUAAUUUUCUUUGAAAAAUAAAGAAAUAUUCUAAAAAAUUUCAUGGAAUUAAGUUCUAAAACUUUCCAAUAGCGUAAUUAAGUCCUAAACUUGUCACAAAAGUACAAUUGAAUUUUAAAAUUUUCAAAAAGCGUAAUCAAGUCCGAAAACUUGUUAAAUUGAUUCAAUCAAAUCAUUUUGUUAUAAUACUUUUUGAAAGUUUUAGAAUCAAGUCAUUCUGUUGAUUACACUUUUUGAAAGUUUUGAAAUUUGAUUACACUUUUCAUGACGGAUUUUAAAAUUUGAUUGCACUUUUUGAAAAUUUUUAAAAUUCAAUUGUACUCUCAUGACAGAUUUCAAGACUCUCGAUACACUUAUCUCAAAUAGUAAUCACUAAACUUUUCUCAUUCCUAACCUCUACAAGCUGUACUAAAUUAUUUCAAUAUUCGAAUUUACACUAGGUUAAACUUUUUGGGAUUAGUUUUAAUUUGAAGUUAUGCAUCACUUUAAGUGAAACAAAAGUUUUCCUUCUGACAAAAAAAAAAAAGAAAAAAGAAAAAACUUUUCUCCCUCCCACAUGUCAACAUUGAAGUGUGGACAGCAAAGGAUGUUGGAAAUUCGGUACGUCUUUUCCCAUCGAUAGUAAUAAUGCCAUAAUCACGUGGGCUUUGUAACGUUAAUAAUAAGCUGUGCUUACGGAUGGCUGUGCUUCGGCCGUCGUGUCGUCACCGCGCUGCGAACGAGAGAGCAAGUUAGUCGGUCGGCGGCUUUGACCAUUCUCUCUCUCUCUCUCUGCGCUGUUCUUCCUCUGCUCUUCUCGCGAAGCCUAGAGCGUCGAGCGAUGUCGUUCCCUCGUGGGUUGUGCACGGUUUCGAGGCUCGCGAGGCGAGGCUUCAAUGGGUACCGCCGGCUUCCUUCUUCGGAUCAUCGGCUCCCCGCCCUGAUUCAGACCCACCUCGCCGGCUCUCCUGUGACGGUGCGUCCUCGUUCGCGGGUCGUUUCUUUCUUCUUUUCCGAUUGGUCGUACGCGUGGGAGCAUUUGCGAGGGGGAGUGCUGAGCUUGCCAAUCUUUUUUGGGGGGAUUGGAGAGCUGGGGUGAAAUGGUGAUCUGGGUAUGCGCUCUUUGUGUUCGACGUAUUGUCUGAGAGGUUGUUGCAUUGGUACUCGAUCUCGGCGGGAGGUGUGAUGUUGAGUCAGGAGAAGAUGUGUUGAGGAUAACCAAGAUUUGCUUGAGUGAGAACUGUGAUAUUAAGAAAUAUUAAUAAACCAUUGUCAUCUGGCUUGUUUGCUCUUGAGAGGCUUUAAGGGGGAGAGGGAAUUGUAGCUAAAGUGGUUCAAGUUUUAAGUUGAAAUUCAUGCAAUUAAGUCCUCUUGACUGGUGUAUCUAAUUGACGGAGAUUCAAUCCAUCAGCAAAACCAAGACGGUUCCAAUUAUACCCUUGUAAAAAGGCAUAUUGAUCUUGGUGAGUAUUCAUCGUAUGGCUUGGUUAUGAGAUUGAUUAAAAGACAAGACUCAAGUUUUAUGUAGAAUUGAGGAAAAUUGACUUUUGUGAAGAACCUGCAGACCGACCUUCAAAUCUCAAAUUUAAUCACCAUAGUUGAACAAAGUUCUUAUUGAUCAAUCAUUGGUUCUUAAAAACCAUACAUAAGGUUGCUCUUGAGUAUUCAAUUUGGUUAUUCAAUAAGUUUUAUUCAUUUAUUGAAUGAGAAUUUGAUUUGCAAACUCCUGGGUUUAGCUAACCUGAAUCUAUCUCCUGUUUUUUUGGUUUCUUAUUAUUUUAUUGUAAUUAGAGGCAUGUGUUUAUUAUUUAAUGAUCUUCCUUAUUCGUGGAUGACAAAUUGAACAAUUUGAUUAAGCUUUUUUGGUUUAAAUUAAAAUGGAGGGCUAGUUUUCGAUUUCAUGUAAAAAAGGUUUCUUGACUUCACAUAGAUUUUGAAUUUGGUUUGCUAUGGUAACUGAUAAUCAAGUCAUAAACUCAAUGAUUGACAAAGAACCACAGGUUUUAAUACCUGAUUAUUGGUCGAGUCAUGCUUUAUUUUGUGAAAAUUGAACAUUGUCCAAAAUUCUGGUGUCUAAACGCCACUAGUGGCCAUUUUAGGACUUGGUUGCACAUCAAAAGAAUUGGAAUUUGAUUUGAAAUAUUUAUGAUUGAUUGCACUCCGUAUGGAACUUUUAUUGCUUUUGGUGUAAUUUCGCAUGAAGGAGAUAGACACCCUUCCUAAGCCAAAUAAUAAUUUGUUGAACGUCAGGACAUAUUAAUAAUAGCAUAUGGCCCAUGAACUAUUGCGGUACUUGUGGAACUAAUGGCUUUUAGAAUAUGCUUUGAGGCAUAUUGGAACUCAAGUUCCUCUUUUCUAAUGUUUAAAUCUUUGGUUUUAAUUGGUUGUUGUGCAUGUGGAUUUCAAUUUCUUUAUCAUUUUCCAUGAUUUGAUUUCUUUUUCCAUACUUUCAGGUGCAGAUUUAUUUUGUAGAGAGACAAAGUUAGGUUUCUAGUGAUGUACAUACUUCUUAUAUUUUGGAUUUCACCUUCUCUUGAGUUUUGUCUUUUAUCUGGCACAGGUUUGACUUUUAAUGGCUAGUGCUUUGCAUAUGCCUCUGCCAGAACCAACUGAUGGUAGUGUAGGAGAUGCAGUGUCUUUGGAACUAUGUACAAGACAGCAGUGCAUAGCUGAGAUCACAGCGAUGAUUCAUGUAAGUUAGUUUUUCAUCUUCCUGUUAAAUGUGCCUUUUUUCUGUGUCUGUGGAAUCAAAGGAGUAGGAAAUAACAGGUUGUUGCUGCAUUUGCAUAUGAAUUAAGUUAAAUUAUUUUCUUAUAUCGUUUUUUUUUCUUUCUUUCUUUUAACAUUUAAGCAUCUAGAUUGCUGGUCCCGUGAACCUUGGGAACAUAUUAUACAGUAGAUGGUGGAGAAAAUUUGUCUUUUGAUUGAUCCGCAAUGGCUAUUACCAGAUGAAGUUGUUCUUUAAAUGAUGUCCAUGAUGCUACUUUCUCAUUUGCCUACAGCUUUCUUUGGACACUAGAUUAAUAUAUCUGAGCUCCCCCCAUGCUCACCACCACCAUAACCUGCCCACCAACCAAGAAAGAAAGUCUGUUGUCAGUAAAUAGAAGUAAAUAAAACGAAUAAGACGUUGCGAAGGGAAUAUAUAAAAUAAGAGAUGAUUCUCUGUAAGUUGGGAAGUUCAAUUUCACACUUAAAUAUAGAAAGAAAGGAAAGGCAACAGACCCUGCACAUAUGUAUAGCAUGUUUCAUAGUACCAGUAAUGCAGAAUAAGGAUUGCAUCUCUUUUGCUGUACAGUGUCAUAGACUCAAAUAACGUUCCCCCUAUUAUGGAACCUUUUGAUUUCUUGAUUAAUGCACGUGUUCUCUGUUUCCCUUAGGUUGCAAGCCUUCUUCAUGAUGAUGUCGUGGAUGAUGCAGACACAAGACGUGGUAUUGGUUCAUUAAAUUUUAUCAUGGGAAACAAGGUGCUCAUACAUCUCCACCAUCUUCAGGAACAUUGCUAGUUCUUAUAUUUGUUAUAUGACUAGAUUCUGUUCAUGAUUUUUGUAUGUAUGUAUGUAUGUAUUGUACUCCUAACUUGGUGUUUAUCAGUAAUGGGCGGAGAAAUCUUUCUUCUUUUACAUAGACAAGAUGCCUGCACCUUUGUGCCUCGAUUUUCUUUCACACAGGAGAAGAAGUUUUUAGUCUUACCAUCCACUCUAUGAAGAAGAUGCAUUGUGAAGAUUUGUGACUUUAUUGUGGUCCUUAUAGAUGAUAGUAUAUUAAAACAUCUAGACGUCAACAAUAUUUUGUUUGCUAUGCAGUUGGCAGUUUUAGCUGGGGAUUUUCUCCUUUCUCGAGCUUGUGUGGCACUUGCAUCCUUGAAAAACACAGAGGUAUGUGUGGAUUUCAGUUUGAUUUGACAUGAUUCUGUAUUGAUAUUUAAUGAUAGUCUUUGUUUCAGUAAUGAACACUACGUGAUAGGACUUAUUUUGUCUAGCCCAUAAAAAAGGACAUACUUUGGGUACUGGAUACUAGGCUCUUCUCUUGUCAUUUAGUUGUAAAUCGUGGAUGCAACAUUCUUGCUUGUAGAGCAAUAGAUGCGAUUUCUUAUGAUGGCUCAGGAUAUUCAAAUGAGUCUCGCAAAUGUUUGUAUUUGCGCAAACUGCCCUUGUUUAGGAUUGACAAGGAGAUCCAGCAUCCUCCUUUCUCUUCCUCUUUUGCACUGAAAUUUUGUCCACUAUUUCACAUCCCAUUUGACAAAAAUUGUAAAAUUCAAAUUCUGAGCACAGAGAGCUUUUCCAACGCAGCUCCAGUUGCCAUUUUUCUCUUCUUUGUAUCAAUCUACUAAAUUAAGAAAGACCAGAUGAGUUAUGGAGGAUAAUCCCCUUAAGUGUCUUCUCUAUUCAAUUAGUUUAUGACUCCUAAAUAAAUCUUGCUUCAUCUUCCUUCCAUUUUUCUGUUCCUUAAAGCUUUCAAUCAUUAAGAGGUGUAGAGUUUAUGUGGUAUCACUGGGAUUGCAAUGCCAUACCUUGAGCUGCAUAAAAAGGUCAAAUUCUUAUUAGAUUGCCCUAUUUGUAGGUUGUAUCAUUGUUAGCAACAGUAGUAGAGCAUCUCUUGUGCCCACUGAAGAAUCCAGGCGAUGUCGCCAAGAACCUGCAAAGGAAAAGUGCAACGUGAUUGACGUGGGGGCUCGCUGGCCGCAGGACGUGAGCUUUUGUAAAACAACAAAAUUAAACAUCCUCAACUUCCAUUCCCGAUAAAAGUAAUAGUACAUGGAGAGAAAACAUGCACCUAAAUAGGCAACUACACUGACCAAAAAAAAAUAGGCAACUACAAUCAAGUGAAAGAUUUCGAAAAGUAAAAUCGUAUUCACUCCCUUCAGCCUAAUACAAGGCAACCCUAGUUUGUAUGAUACUAUCACAGGACCAAAAUUUUAGAGGAUUAAAUAGGCAGUAACCCAACCGCUAUCACUACCCUUUAGCUUACUCACCAGACAAACACACACAAUCACACACCAUACCCAGCCCCACCUCAGCAAACAGCAAUCACCACAAAAUAGAACCGACACGUUAAGGGGGAUCUUGAAAAUUGUAAGAGUUUUACUACUACUCACAAGGCCUUGCUAUUCGAUCCGGUGGGCCCAAUAUCUCCAAAGCAAACCCCUGCGACCAAUUGAGAGCCGCGCCAGCUUAAUUGAUACCCACACCCUCAUCAAAAACCCUAGAAUCAAACACACAAGCGCUGAGCCAAACAGCUCAAAGCAAAAGAAACAACAGUCUUUGGAACUUUUUCACUCCUAUGAAGUCACAAAUUGAAGUCACGACCGGCAAAACUAGUUCAAAAGAGAUCUGAGCACUUCGGAUCUUCUAAUGUCAAGCCCUUGAAGUUUCGGUCGUGGCGAAGAGAAACGGAGAUGGAAGUCCCUAAUGGAAGUCGUGUCUCGCAGAAUUAAUUCUUCUCUUUGUGUUUGUCACUCUCACUAAAAAGGAACGAAAUAGAGCCGAAGGGUCCAGCGUGUUCCCGGGAAUAAUUUAUACUUAGAAAUAAUUUUUUCUAAUAUUGUUCUUUGGACGAGUUAUUUAGCAUUCAACCGUAUUAGUAACUGCAUAAAAUUUAUGUUCCUCGAAUAGAAAAUAAUAUAAAUAUAUUUACAAUAGAAAUAUAUUUAGUACAAGUCUUAAAUUUUUUUUGUGACAUAAAAUUUAUUUUUAUUUUUUAAUAAAUUUCUCAAAUUUUUAUUUAUUUUAUUUAUCUUUUCCUCUUCUCUUCUUCCUUCUCUAGCUAGUAACUGAGCCUCAAGAAUGGCCAGUGGCUAGCUAGAAGUGAGAGCUAGCAACUUUGUUUGCUUCGGGGGCCACUCGAGGGGAGCCUCACUAGCUCUUGGUGAGGCCAACCCAUCCAUCCACGGUAAGGUCAAGCCUCACCAAGAGUCAACGAGGUUGCCAGACCUCGUUGGUUGCUGGCCAUUGCCGAGCCUAGCAACUAACUAGAGGAGGAAGAAGAAAAAAAGUAUUUUUAAAAAAAAAAAGAUAAUGACUUGGUUUCAGAAUUUGUUUCUAGAAACAAAUAAGUAAUUUUUUUCUAUUUUUUAUUUCUAUUCCAAAUUUAUUCCAUGGCUACAGAUACGUUUUCGGGAAUAGAAAAAUUAGCUGACAUUAUUAAACGGAUUUUUGUUUUUUGGAAUAAAAGAACAAAAUUAAUUAAGAAUUAACUGGUUACCAAAAAAGGCCAAAAUAAAGUGUAAAGGUGUAUGGUGUAUGGUGGGUCAUGGACUUGUGGGUGUCGUGUGGGUUUUGAAAAUAUGGGUUAAAAUAUGGGUCACAUCUGUCUCAUGGGUCUCGCGGGUCAAGUAUAUUGGCUCUUUUUUUGGGUCUUUAGUUUCCACAACCCACUUAACCCAUUUUGAAAGAAAACGAGUUACCUAUAAUAUAACAUUGCGCCUCUUAAAAUUGAGUUAUAACUAGGGGUGAGAGGUUCUUGGUUCUGGUUCGGUUCCGUUUGGAACCUGUAACCUACUAUCGGGUAUAGAUUCCUCAUUUUUUGGAACCUGGAACUUACCCGUCAGAACUAAGAAUUUAUAAGUUCCAGGUUCUAAUAGGUUUUUUUUUUUUUUUUUCAUUUUCAUAUUUGAACUAUAACGAAGAAGGAAAGACAAACCAAAGCUUCUAUGUCCAUAAAUUGCCAAAAAUAGUUCAUUGGGAGGAGAAGCAUAAAAAAAAAAAAAAAAAAAAAACACACAUUUUUGUCCCUUUGACUAAUGCCACUCCAAAUUCACCAACUGCACAAUGAAAAGUAAUUAAUUGGUGGUUAGACAACACUCAAUGAAGCUAUAUUUAAAGUAAUAUUGAAGAAAGUUAAGACAAGGAAAUAUUUUAUUACAGAUAUCCAUGAAAGCUUCCUUCUACUCACCAUGCCUUAAUGGAGAAAGCAAAAGAAUAAAUAGAGCCAGGGGUGUGCAUGGUCCGGGCGGGCGGUUCCCGACCUAGAAUCGGAAACCGCCGGCUAAAGACCGGUUCCGAAAAAUUGGAACCGGAAUCCACCCGUUUAUUGCAUGGAUCCACCCAGGAACCGGACCGUCGGUCCGGUCCGGUUCCCGGGUGGAUCCAUGGAACCGAUCUUGACACGAAAUAAUUUUGAUUUUCAACAUAGAACGAUUACAUGACAUCAAAGUAAGCCAAAAAAAGAAAAACUAAAUUUAAGUACGUGGAGAUGUGGAUGGCAGGAGAAGUAAAUGUAGUGAAAUAGUGAUAGGAUUAGGAGUCGAAGACGAAGGGAGUGAGAUGAGAUUUAGGGUUUCUUUUAGUAAUUUUUUUUAAUAUUAAAAAGGUUCCGGUCCGGUCCGGGUGGGCGGGUGGGUGGAUCUGCCCAUGGAACCGGGAACCGGACCAGUACCCACCGGUUCCCAAAAAUUGGAACCGAGAACCGGACCGGUUCCCUCAAGAACCGCCGGUUUCGAGCGGUUCCAGUCCGGCUCCGGGCGGUCUGAGCAGUUCCCGGGUACUUUGCACACCCCUAAAUAGAGCUAUCAAACCAAACUCAAAACAAUUGAAGUGCCAUUUUAAGCUUGUUCUGUCUCCAUUUGGGCAACUUAUAGAAAACAUCCUUUGUCAUCCCAAAUUUCUCUCUAAACUCCGCUGAUGACAAAUAAGUCUGCUACAUUUCAUGCAAAGCAAUGUCCAGGAACAGAAUGAUACAACGGGAAAAUCUUAUUUAGAUAUUACCUCUUGCAUAGCUGAAAACUUUUGCAUUGACUGCAGAACCGUCGUCCUGUAGACAAUAUAACUUCACGGCAAUGAGAGCAUACCUACUGCAAAUGGACAACAAUGAAGUCUUCCUGGGCAAGCAGGAUUUUUUCCCCAAGCUGUUAUCAAUAAGAGAAAAAUAAUGAGAGCAUAAUUUAAAGAUACAGAAAAGAAGGUAAAAUCAACCAGCCACGAAGUUGCUGAACAGAUAUCAUCAUUUCUCUAAUAAAUGACUCUUAUUCAGUCUAUGACACAAAAUGACAGUAUUAUAUACUGCUCAGUUAAACAAGCUGAUGCGAAUCUUGACAUUUAACUUAGCCUCUCGUAUGUUCAGAAAAACACAGGAUUAGAAAUUGCCACUAGAUUUGGCACCAUCUAAUGAAAUAGCAUCUUUUUCUUUUUGGUAAAAAAAUAUCAAAAAGAAAAAUGGUUAAUACCUUGAAAAAUCUCAAACUGGUACACCAGUGACAAAUUUACCCAAAUUAUUUUUUUGACCAUGAAAAAUCCCAAACCGGUACAUUUAUGACAAAUUUACCCCGACUGACCAUAAGAAACCCUAAAUUGGUACAUUUAUGACAAAUUUAUCCCAAACUAAUUUAUUUGAUGGCAAAAGAUCACAAACUGGUAAAUUUGUAACAAAUAUACACUCCGCUAAUUGAAUUAAUACCACAAAAAAAUCACAAAAAUUGUAAACUAUGACAAACGAAUCUUAAAAUCGCAAAUUGGUAUACCAGUCAACUGUCAUGUGCUAUUUAACUUAAUAAUUUGACAGUAAAAUUUAACGAAAACUAACAGAUGGUAAAUUUGUUACAAGUGUAUCAGUUUGGGGUAAAUUUGUCAAAUGUAUACCAGUUUAGGGUUUUUGUUUAUAAAAAAAAUAGUCUUAGGUAAAUUUAUCACAUGUAUACCAGAAAGGUCCAAACAUAACCUAGUGAAACUCAAUAAUGGCUAUGGAAUUGUAGAUCUCAUGGAGUUAGCAUUAUGCAACUGACAUGUGUAGACAGAAUAGGAAAUCUUCAGGGAAAAAAUAAGAUUGCUUAUUGUCAUACAAGGAUCCCGCAAGAGUAAAGCAACAACUCAAACAAAACAUGACAUGCAGUCAUCACAGCAUCAAUUGCAGAGCACAAAAGCAAGUUAGAACCUACAGUCCUCAGCUUUAACAACUUAUCUGGAUUAGACUAGUCCAGUUUCAUCCAUGAGUGACUUACAAUGUUCAAUAAAAAGGUCAAACUGAAAUGGAUCCUUCAAAGCCUUAAGUGUACUACUCCACUAUCAAUCACACGGACUUGAAAAUUGGAUCUUCCAGUUCGUAUUAAUAUGCAACAAGAGAAACAGACCCCAGCUUCUUGAAAUCUGCUUUCUCAAUUCUCCCAUUUUUUCUAAGAAAAUUUUACCCAUAGUUUUUCAUCCCCUCAUAACCAAAUCCAGCAUCCCCCAUCAACACUACUGCCAAAGCAAACCCAAAACGAACAAUCAAAUAUUCACGCUGGAACUUAAUUUUGCUUUACGAAUUUCAUGAGCAUUAUACCAGCACUGAGUUUGUUAAGAUCUUACAUGUACUGAAAAUAAUAAAUGAUAUCCAUAAAGCAAGCCGAGGGCACAAGAAAAUAUUGGAGCAUAAAGAGGCUCGCGGAAGGGAAAUAAAAUCAAGCACUUGGUGCCCAUUAUACCUGACAAUAUCCCACGCUUCCAUAGAAAGGGGGAAAAACAGUGGUCAUAACUUGCUACCUUGAAAACAAAAACACUUUGAAAUAGAGCUAAACAAAAGUAGUAUUCUUGCAAACAUGAAUUUCCCCCCCUAAAUCUUACAUACAAACACAUUCGUUCAGGUCGCCGGCUGUGGCAAAUAAGGGGAAACCAAGAAAAUGAACAAUAACAACAUAGAGAGGGGCAGCAAAGAUUACCGGCUCAAAAGGCGAGCUACGAGUAGCGUCAAGGGCAACUGGCCGACUGGCUUUAGGGGAGGUUGGGCGAGCGACGCCAGCGGCGACUGGGCUAGCGACGUCGGGGGUGGCUAGGGCGAGCGGCGGUGGUGUCGAGCAAAGGUCAACACUGGCUCACCGAGCAGAGGUCAGUGUGGCGUCGAGGGCGAGCAGUGGUGGUGUCGACCAGAGGUCAGCGAUGGCUUGCCGAGUAGAGGUCAACGGUGGCGUCGAGGACGAGCGGCGGUGGCAUCAAGCAGAGGUCGGCGGUGGCGUUGAGGGCAAGUGGCGAAGGCGUUGAGCAGAGGUAGAGAACGGAAGAAGAGAGAAUGUCGUGUGAAUGUGAAGUGCUUUUCUGAUUUGGGGCUUUAAGGAACCAAAACCACCGGUUCCCAUAAAAAGGGAAGCAGGAACCGGAACCGGUCCCUUUAGAACCCAUAACUGACCAGUUCGAUUCUUCGAUUCCCGAUUCUAUUCAGGGACCACGCUCACCCCUAGUUAUAACAUAGGUACACGAACCAUUUUACCGGCCCUACUUCUGACCAACCAUAUCAGGGUCAAGUUAGUCAGCAUCCUACUUUAUAUAUUCUCUUUCUGGCUUUCACCAUCCAUGAAAUCAAUAUGGAAGAGAAUGGUUUUUUUCUAUCAUUUGCCAACAUAUAAUAAAGAGGAUAUCACAUCGUCUUCCAGGCCGUGCUUAUAUAGGCAAGUACAAAAGAAGAAUGGCAGACCUGUAAUAUACUCAAUGAACCUCCGCAAAAGUUACGGAGCUUCAUGACUUUCGAAGCAGAGAACACACAUUUGGAAAAAGAUCAAAAAGGCAUAAGUGCUCUCGACUGUUCACUUUCAAAGAGCAAGAAUCGAUAUCUAUGAGCUUCAAGAACGUAAUAAGCAGCUAAGUCUUGUCGGAUCAAUCUCCUUAGUCCCAUCAUCUUCAUCAACAUGUAUUCGAGUUUCCUUUUGGCUGUUUAUUUAACAAAGGCAUCCGCACCCUUGUGACUCUGAAGAGAAUCACAUUGGGUGUGGCAGUUACCCAUCCCACAUAAACCGAAUAAUUUAUGGGAGAUGUGCAUUCCUAUGCUCCUGGAUGACUCCAAGAGAAUACGCAAGAAUGAUGAUUCAAAUUAUGAUCUUGAACACGAGAGAUGAACACACGUAUGACUUGAGCAACCCUAACUCAUAAUUGGACUUAUAACCACCGCUUAGUCCUUGUCAGCCUUCCAGUCAACCGCUUUUUUGUUAGGUAGCGCAAGCCAGGAAUGUUCAUCCUCAUUUCUUCUGGGAAAAUGAAGCCAGUUGGGUAGUCUCUAGUGAUUACAGCAUUUGAAUAUUUGAUCAAUCCGUCAUUUCUGAAGCCGGCAUCAGGGGGGGCAGCUGCAAAACUUGUUCUUGGUCAAAUCAGACAAAUGCAAGACCUGGACGUUACUGAUAUCAAACAAGUUUGUGUAUCUUGCCCUCGAAAGUUGCUCAUCAUCUUACUUCUCUUUGAACUACUCUUAUUGUACUUGCGUUCUUUCCAAAUUAACGAAUCAAGAUGAUUAUCAAUGCACCAAGAUAUAUUGCAUUCGCUUUCUUGAUUUCAGGCCUGAUCCUCUUCAUCCCAGAUUUAUCUUCAAGAGGCGAGCUCUAGUAAGGGCAAUUACACUGCUUUUAGCAAGUUCCAAAACAACCUCUACAGCCUCCUCAACAGGUAGAGCUUCACAAUGAAGGACGUGUUAACUGUUUCUACAACAUGACAGAAGAAGAACAUUUAGACAAAGUUUAUGGUCUCUUCCUCUGCAAGUGAAUCACAUGGAAAAGACAUCCAAAGUUUCUACUUUUUAGUAAUACCUUUCAAUUCAAUCCUUAUAAUCUUUGGAAUCGGCUCACUUAGUACUGGGAUUUAUAAUGAACCUCAUGUGUUGGUCUUAAUUGAGAUCCUCUAAAAGUAUGGCGAUCCAAUGCCAACAAUUUGGCUAAUACUAUCCAAACUUAAGUGACUACUAAUGCAACUUUCCUAUCCCUUUUUAGAGGCUAUGUUGCCGCCAAUCUCUGUCAGUCUUGCAUCAAAACAGCUACCGGCAACAUCUUAGAAUGAUGUCCAGGAGAGAAAGGGGUGACCGUAGAGUACGAUGAGUGUCUCGUGCGCUGCUCUAACAGAUCAUUCUUCUCUAUCAUGGAGUCAAUGCCGGCUUUUUCAAUGUACAACCUUAUGAAAGUAUCAGGUCCCAACCAGUUCCUCUCGGUUGUAGGGGAAACUUUCAGGAAAGUGAUGGACUCGGCAAUCUCCUCAGAAAGCUUAUUCGCAACCAUCAAUGUUAGUGUUUCAAGUUCAGCGAGCUUGUAUACACUUGCGCAGUGCACCCUUGACUUAUCAGAGUCAAUUUGUGAACAGUUGCAUGGCUGCUGCAAUCGCUCAUUUUCCUACCUUCAUUAGCGAUGGAAAGCAAGGUGCGAGAGUUCUUCUGCUGAGUUGUCGGGUGCAGUUCGAACUGUAUCCUCUUUAUGAGGAAAUUAGAUGACAAGCAACAGCACAUUCUCCAACUAACAAAACCAGCAUCGAUUCCGGUACUAGAGGUAUAAAGAUUGUAUAAUGCUCAAAACGUGCAUUCAAUUUUCAUGGUAAGCAUAUAAAGGAACUCAUUAUAAGCUGUUUUGUGUAUCAUAAUGCACUUCACUUGCUUUUACGAUCUAAACUUCGAUCAUUCUCUCUAGCUUUCUCUGAGUUCCUGUUACUAUUUAUGCCUAGUGAGAAAAAUCUGCAGACCAAAUUCAAGGAAUCACUUUGUCUUGAUAGGGGUGAAACAAACAAAAGCUCCAUGGAUUGCAAUAGUUAGCUCAGUCAUUGGAUCGUGUUUGCUCUUAUCCAUCAUAGGUUCAUGCAUUGUUUUAAACAGGACAAAGAGAUUGAAGAAAGGUAUAUAUGAAUUCAUCUUGCUUGCCAUUAGAGGACCAUCUUCUAAACUUUACCUUAUGAGAGUAACCUCUUAUACUGUCAGAGAAGGAAAACAGCCUAGAGAUUCAGUUACUGCAUCUGAGACUAGAAAUUGGAGUAGAGUUUUAAGAGGAAAACUAUCGAGGAGAAAAGCCAGUAAAUCCUCGNNNNNNNNNNNNNNNNNNNNNNNNNNNNNNNNNNNNNNNNNNNNNNNNNNNNNNNNNNNNNNNNNNNNNNNNNNNNNNNNNNNNNNNNNNNNNNNNNNNNNNNNNNNNNNNNNNNNNNNNNNNNNNNNNNNNNNNNNNNNNNNNNNNNNNNNNNNNNNNNNNNNNNNNNNNNNNNNNNNNNNNNNNNNNNNNNNNNNNNNNNNNNNNNNNNNNNNNNNNNNNNNNNNNNNNNNNNNNNNNNNNNNNNNNNNNNNNNNNNNNNNNNNNNNNNNNNNNNNNNNNNNNNNNNNNNNNNNNNNNNNNNNNNNNNNNNNNNNNNNNNNNNNNNNNNNNNNNNNNNNNNNNNNNNNNNNNNNNNNNNNNNNNNNNNNNNNNNNNNNNNNNNNNNNNNNNNNNNNNNNNNNNNNNNNNNNNNNNNNNNNNNNNNNNNNNNNNNNNNNNNNNNNNNNNNNNNNNNNNNNNNNNNNNNNNNNNNNNNNNNNNNNNNNNNNNNNNNNNNNNNNNNNNNNNNNNNNNNNNNNNNNNNNNNNNNNNNNNNNNNNNNNNNNNNNNNNNNNNNNNNNNNNNNNNNNNNNNNNNNNNNNNNNNNNNNNNNNNNNNNNNNNNNNNNNNNNNNNNNNNNNNNNNNNNNNNNNNNNNNNNNNNNNNNNNNNNNNNNNNNNNNNNNNNNNNNNNNNNNNNNNNNNNNNNNNNNNNNNNNNNNNNNNNNNNNNNNNNNNNNNNNNNNNNNNNNNNNNNNNNNNNNNNNNNNNNNNNNNNNNNNNNNNNNNNNNNNNNNNNNNNNNNNNNNNNNNNNNNNNNNNNNNNNNNNNNNNNNNNNNNNNNNNNNNNNNNNNNNNNNNNNNNNNNNNNNNNNNNNNNNNNNNNNNNNNNNNNNNNNNNNNNNNNNNNNNNNNNNNNNNNNNNNNNNNNNNNNNNNNNNNNNNNNNNNNNNNNNNNNNNNNNNNNNNNNNNNNNNNNNNNNNNNNNNNNNNNNNNNNNNNNNNNNNNNNNNNNNNNNNNNNNNNNNNNNNNNNNNNNNNNNNNNNNNNNNNNNNNNNNNNNNNNNNNNNNNNNNNNNNNNNNNNNNNNNNNNNNNNNNNNNNNNNNNNNNNNNNNNNNNNNNNNNNNNNNNNNNNNNNNNNNNNNNNNNNNNNNNNNNNNNNNNNNNNNNNNNNNNNNNNNNNNNNNNNNNNNNNNNNNNNNNNNNNNNNNNNNNNNNNNNNNNNNNNNNNNNNNNNNNNNNNNNNNNNNNNNNNNNNNNNNNNNNNNNNNNNNNNNNNNNNNNNNNNNNNNNNNNNNNNNNNNNNNNNNNNNNNNNNNNNNNNNNNNNNNNNNNNNNNNNNNNNNNNNNNNNNNNNNNNNNNNNNNNNNNNNNNNNNNNNNNNNNNNNNNNNNNNNNNNNNNNNNNNNNNNNNNNNNNNNNNNNNNNNNNNNNNNNNNNNNNNNNNNNNNNNNNNNNNNNNNNNNNNNNNNNNNNNNNNNNNNNNNNNNNNNNNNNNNNNNNNNNNNNNNNNNNNNNNNNNNNNNNNNNNNNNNNNNNNNNNNNNNNNNNNNNNNNNNNNNNNNNNNNNNNNNNNNNNNNNNNNNNNNNNNNNNNNNNNNNNNNNNNNNNNNNNNNNNNNNNNNNNNNNNNNNNNNNNNNNNNNNNNNNNNNNNNNNNNNNNNNNNNNNNNNNNNNNNNNNNNNNNNNNNNNNNNNNNNNNNNNNNNNNNNNNNNNNNNNNNNNNNNNNNNNNNNNNNNNNNNNNNNNNNNNNNNNNNNNNNNNNNNNNNNNNNNNNNNNNNNNNNNNNNNNNNNNNNNNNNNNNNNNNNNNNNNNNNNNNNNNNNNNNNNNNNNNNNNNNNNNNNNNNNNNNNNNNNNNNNNNNNNNNNNNNNNNNNNNNNNNNNNNNNNNNNNNNNNNNNNNNNNNNNNNNNNNNNNNNNNNNNNNNNNNNNNNNNNNNNNNNNNNNNNNNNNNNNNNNNNNNNNNNNNNNNNNNNNNNNNNNNNNNNNNNNNNNNNNNNNNNNNNNNNNNNNNNNNNNNNNNNNNNNNNNNNNNNNNNNNNNNNNNNNNNNNNNNNNNNNNNNNNNNNNNNNNNNNNNNNNNNNNNNNNNNNNNNNNNNNNNNNNNNNNNNNNNNNNNNNNNNNNNNNNNNNNNNNNNNNNNNNNNNNNNNNNNNNNNNNNNNNNNNNNNNNNNNNNNNNNNNNNNNNNNNNNNNNNNNNNNNNNNNNNNNNNNNNNNNNNNNNNNNNNNNNNNNNNNNNNNNNNNNNNNNNNNNNNNNNNNNNNNNNNNNNNNNNNNNNNNNNNNNNNNNNNNNNNNNNNNNNNNNNNNNNNNNNNNNNNNNNNNNNNNNNNNNNNNNNNNNNNNNNNNNNNNNNNNNNNNNNNNNNNNNNNNNNNNNNNNNNNNNNNNNNNNNNNNNNNNNNNNNNNNNNNNNNNNNNNNNNNNNNNNNNNNNNNNNNNNNNNNNNNNNNNNNNNNNNNNNNNNNNNNNNNNNNNNNNNNNNNNNNNNNNNNNNNNNNNNNNNNNNNNNNNNNNNNNNNNNNNNNNNNNNNNNNNNNNNNNNNNNNNNNNNNNNNNNNNNNNNNNNNNNNNNNNNNNNNNNNNNNNNNNNNNNNNNNNNNNNNNNNNNNNNNNNNNNNNNNNNNNNNNNNNNNNNNNNNNNNNNNNNNNNNNNNNNNNNNNNNNNNNNNNNNNNNNNNNNNNNNNNNNNNNNNNNNNNNNNNNNNNNNNNNNNNNNNNNNNNNNNNNNNNNNNNNNNNNNNNNNNNNNNNNNNNNNNNNNNNNNNNNNNNNNNNNNNNNNNNNNNNNNNNNNNNNNNNNNNNNNNNNNNNNNNNNNNNNNNNNNNNNNNNNNNNNNNNNNNNNNNNNNNNNNNNNNNNNNNNNNNNNNNNNNNNNNNNNNNNNNNNNNNNNNNNNNNNNNNNNNNNNNNNNNNNNNNNNNNNNNNNNNNNNNNNNNNNNNNNNNNNNNNNNNNNNNNNNNNNNNNNNNNNNNNNNNNNNNNNNNNNNNNNNNNNNNNNNNNNNNNNNNNNNNNNNNNNNNNNNNNNNNNNNNNNNNNNNNNNNNNNNNNNNNNNNNNNNNNNNNNNNNNNNNNNNNNNNNNNNNNNNNNNNNNNNNNNNNNNNNNNNNNNNNNNNNNNNNNNNNNNNNNNNNNNNNNNNNNNNNNNNNNNNNNNNNNNNNNNNNNNNNNNNNNNNNNNNNNNNNNNNNNNNNNNNNNNNNNNNNNNNNNNNNNNNNNNNNNNNNNNNNNNNNNNNNNNNNNNNNNNNNNNNNNNNNNNNNNNNNNNNNNNNNNNNNNNNNNNNNNNNNNNNNNNNNNNNNNNNNNNNNNNNNNNNNNNNNNNNNNNNNNNNNNNNNNNNNNNNNNNNNNNNNNNNNNNNNNNNNNNNNNNNNNNNNNNNNNNNNNNNNNNNNNNNNNNNNNNNNNNNNNNNNNNNNNNNNNNNNNNNNNNNNNNNNNNNNNNNNNNNNNNNNNNNNNNNNNNNNNNNNNNNNNNNNNNNNNNNNNNNNNNNNNNNNNNNNNNNNNNNNNNNNNNNNNNNNNNNNNNNNNNNNNNNNNNNNNNNNNNNNNNNNNNNNNNNNNNNNNNNNNNNNNNNNNNNNNNNNNNNNNNNNNNNNNNNNNNNNNNNNNNNNNNNNNNNNNNNNNNNNNNNNNNNNNNNNNNNNNNNNNNNNNNNNNNNNNNNNNNNNNNNNNNNNNNNNNNNNNNNNNNNNNNNNNNNNNNNNNNNNNNNNNNNNNNNNNNNNNNNNNNNNNNNNNNNNNNNNNNNNNNNNNNNNNNNNNNNNNNNNNNNNNNNNNNNNNNNNNNNNNNNNNNNNNNNNNNNNNNNNNNNNNNNNNNNNNNNNNNNNNNNNNNNNNNNNNNNNNNNNNNNNNNNNNNNNNNNNNNNNNNNNNNNNNNNNNNNNNNNNNNNNNNNNNNNNNNNNNNNNNNNNNNNNNNNNNNNNNNNNNNNNNNNNNNNNNNNNNNNNNNNNNNNNNNNNNNNNNNNNNNNNNNNNNNNNNNNNNNNNNNNNNNNNNNNNNNNNNNNNNNNNNNNNNNNNNNNNNNNNNNNNNNNNNNNNNNNNNNNNNNNNNNNNNNNNNNNNNNNNNNNNNNNNNNNNNNNNNNNNNNNNNNNNNNNNNNNNNNNNNNNNNNNNNNNNNNNNNNNNNNNNNNNNNNNNNNNNNNNNNNNNNNNNNNNNNNNNNNNNNNNNNNNNNNNNNNNNNNNNNNNNNNNNNNNNNNNNNNNNNNNNNNNNNNNNNNNNNNNNNNNNNNNNNNNNNNNNNNNNNNNNNNNNNNNNNNNNNNNNNNNNNNNNNNNNNNNNNNNNNNNNNNNNNNNNNNNNNNNNNNNNNNNNNNNNNNNNNNNNNNNNNNNNNNNNNNNNNNNNNNNNNNNNNNNNNNNNNNNNNNNNNNNNNNNNNNNNNNNNNCCGGGGUGAGGGCCCGCAAGCCCUCGUCCAGAUUUGGGGAGAGGGUCACGGCCCUCGCUGUGAUCCGGCGAGGGCUUGCAGCCCUUGCCACUGGUCGACUAGGGGCUGGCGACCCCGGCCGACCUUCCCCCCUCUAUCGCCGGCUCUUCCCGGCUACAGCGGGGAGGCAGCGGCAGCGAGGGCUCAACCCUCAGUUGCCCCCUUCGGCCUCCCAUUUUUUUUAAAUUUUUUAAUUUUUAGAAUAUUUUAAAUAAAAUUAAGUUUAAAUUUAAUUUAAUUAAUUUUUAUAUUAUUAUUAUUUAUACAUCAGACAUGAAACGGCAUCGUUUUUGCAUUUUAUCGCCACGUCAACAUGCAAAACGACGCCGUUUUGGACCAAACUUGCCGGAAAAUUGCCACGUCAGCCAUUUUGCCGGAUUUUCACCGGAGUGGCACCUAAGUAUUCCAUUUAACUUCAAAACUGGCAUUUAAGUGUACAUUUUCGAAGUUAUGGCACUUAAGUAUCCUCUCGUGCCAAGUUAUGGCACUCCAGGUGUUCCAAACUCGCUAGGAGACGAUACUAUCCACGAUACUAUCGCACUUACCCGACCAUCGCAGUCUACAUUCUCGGUUGGGAGAUAUGUGAAAACACUUGAUUCCAUCGGCCCGAUUCACAAAGCUUCUACUGUUAAUGAACUAACAAUUGCAAAUGUUUCACCUAGAUGACCAAGUAUCAUCAAUCCUCCUCCAAUUCAUUUCUCUUUUAUACAAUGGUAGAUAGAAUGAUAAUUACAGUGUGUGAUCUCUUUACCAUUGUGACUGCCAUUUCUAAAUCCUUUCUAAAUCGUUGAUUUCCACAAUCAUCGAUUAGUAAUUGUAAGGUUAAAAAGCCCGAUAGUUGGCAUUUCUAUCCAAUUUAUCACUUUUGUUCUAUCAUAAUUAUACAUAUACUUGAGAUAUAUAUCAAUUUGUAACCCAUUGAUAAAUUAAAAUCUAAGCAUAUAUAAAUUUGAUAUUUUACCUUUAUUUUAUUCAUUGAAAUCUAAUUUGUGAUGAAUAUUAGAAUUAAAUACUACAUAACGCAUGAGCAGAAAGACCUGAACUCAAAUCUCUCUAAACCCCCAUGUACCUUUUUUACUUGCCAAUGUUCAGCCUAUGCAUGUGGAGGAGUGUUAAAUUAUUCAUACAUUAGAUGACGUCUUCAUCUAAUAGUUUAGAGAAAAUCAUUCAAAAAGUCUUACACCUAUGAACUUUUGUUAAUUCAAUCAUAGAUAUUUUUACCUUUUGACAAUUGAGUCUAUCCAGCUAAGUUUGAUAGAAAAUCGCUAACAUGAAUGCCGGAUGUCUGAUGACAUGAACAUUUUAAAUAAUAUUUAAUAAAUUUUUAUUUUAUCAUUAUUAUUUUUUAAUCCUUCCCUUCCUUUUCUUUUCUUUUCUUGGACCCAAGUCAGCAAGGGUAUCGCAGCGUUGCCCCAAAAGGGGAGAGGGCGUCAUGGCCUUCGCUUGGGGCCAAUGCCAACAAGGGUCACCAUGCCCUUACCUUGCCUUGCCUAGAUUUGGCAUGGGCAAUGCGACCAUUGCCGAACUCUUAACCCUUGCCCACUAGCUGGCAAGGGCCAUACACCCUCUCUAGCCCGAAUCCAAAAAAUGGUAAAGAAAAUAUAAAAAGAAAACAUUAUUAGAAAUUUAAUAAGAUGUUAAAAUAUCAUUAAAAAGAAAUGUCUACAUUAGCGUCAGCCAUGCCAUGUAAGACGUUUGGCAUCUACGUCACUCAUUUCUGGCCAAAAUUGCCUAGAUGGGUUCAAUCGACAAAAAAUGAAAACAUUUAUAACUCAAUUGACACAAUUAGAAGGUUUUAAAUUGAAUUAGCAAAAUCACAAUAGGUUUAGGAUAUUUUGGAUAAUUUUGUUCACAAAAAUUCAUAAUUAAUGACCUAUUUUCAUUUGAUAUAAUUAAGUAAAAAGAAAACAAUGUGUAAUGCCAAGCAAUAGUAUCAAGUAGGGUUGUGCAACCAAACUAGUUCUACCUGGGAAUCGGAUCGGACCGCCUGAAAAAUAGGUCCACGAAUCGGUUUAGGAAUAGGUUCCAAAUUUUUGGAACUGGUUGUAAUAGGUCUAGUAAUAGGUUCCGAGUGAAAACCCACUCAAGAACUAGAUUAGACUGUCCUAUUUUGGAACCGAUUUCAUAAGCUAAAAAGCCAAAAUCCUAAUUUCUUUUUCCCAUAUUCUAACCUUAGCAUUUUUUCAUCAUUUGUCCAUCCUCAAAGCUCCUCACCAAUCUUUCCUCUUCCCUAAUUAAUGACCUAUUUUCAUUUGAUAUAAUUAAGUAAAAAGAAAACAAUAAUUAAGUAAAAAGAAAACAAUGUGUAAUGCCAAACAAUAGUAUCAAGAAGAUGUGUGCAACCAAACCAGUUCUACCCAGGAACCGAAUUGGACCGCCUGAAAAAUAGGUCCACAAACCGGUUCAGGAACAGGUUCCAAAUUUUUGGAACUGGUUGUAAUAGGUCUAGUAAUAGGUUCCGAGUGAAAACCCACCCGGGAACUAGAUCAGGCCGUCCUAUUUUGAACCAAUUUUAUAAGCUAAAAAGCCAAAAUCCUAAUUUCUUUUUCCCAUAAAUUCUAACCUUAACACUUUUUCAUCAUUUGUCAUUCCUCAAAGCUCCUCACCAAUCUUUCCUAUUUCGUAAAGUUUUAUGGAUGAUUGGAGAAUGGAAUUUUAUAAUUUACGUUAUAUGUUACAUGUUUGAACUUUUUGUCAUUAUAAUUGUAUGGGAUUACGUAUUCAUAUUAUGGAUUGUUGUUUAUGGUGGAUAGUGAUUUCUGUUGUUCAUCUUUUACAUUGAAUCAUUUCGUUACUCAUAACCUCAUAUGAUUUUGCUACAAAAAAAAUGAACCCAAAAAAGGCAUAAAAAAAAAAAAAAGGUUCUCGAGUAGACUUUGGAACUUGACUGGAAAAACAAGAUAGGUUCCAAAACUGAUUUCAAGCAAACAUGGUAGGUUACAGGGUCCAAAAACUUGGAACUGAUUAUAACAAAAUACGUUCAGGUUACCUUGAAACUACCUAUCUUGGAACCAACCACCCUUAGUAUCAAGUAAUGCAUGCGGAUGACUCAGCAACGGUAUUUGUCCACUAGACCUGCUCGUUGGCGCCCAAGGGAAAAACAUUAGCUGGCCAAGCUCGCCUAGUGGAGAAACCUUCCUUCUUUUAUUUUUAAAAUUUCUAGCUAGCGAAAAAAAUUAAAAUAAAAUAUAAUUAUAGGGUUUUGUGUUAUAUUAUUUUAUCUGUGAGUUUACUACUAUUUUUCUCUCCUAUAUCGGAAUUUUCGGCUUAAUUUGUGCUACUAGUGUUUAUAAAAUCUAUAUAUCAUAGUAAAAUCACUAAUAAAAGGAAAAACACCAAAACAUAUAUUAGCAUUCAUGAAUGACCAUUCAUAUAUCUUUACUUUGGGAAAAAAAACAAAAGCAUACUAAGUGUUACUUUUGAAAACCACCCUUCACAUCAAUUAUCAGUAUGUCUCCUUUUACUUUGUAAAAUGCCCUCUCUAAAUCCUAAUUUCUCACACCCACCCAAAUUAGCCAAAACCAACUAAAAACUAAACUAUUUAAACCCUAAGCAGUAUACUAAAAUGAAUUUUGCAUGGAGGGGUAAUUUGCUCUUUUCGAGGUGGAGUUUUGCUUAGAGGUUAUAUGAAUGGUUUGCAAAGAUUGUUUAUUCGUUGGGUCAAAAGUGAGGUAUGUAUUAAGACAUGUUUUUGUAAAUUUUUUUAAUAAUAAGGGCGCAAUAGUCCUAGCCUCAAGCCCUUGCCCAGACCUAGCCCACCCGUUGACCAGACUUGUCCAAGCUUGCUAAAUAGGCUUAAAAAAUUUAGCCAACCCCAUGCGUGAAUCAGGUCUACUAGCGGGAUAUAGGCAAAAGUUACUAAAUCUGACCAAUCAUAUCUAUCAAAUCAAUAAGGAAAAAAAAAUCUAUUAUCAUUUGCCAACAUAUAUUACUGAGAACAUAUCAUUGUCUUUCAAAAUGUACUUAUAUAAGAAAGCACAAAAGAAAAAUGAUACUCGUGAUAUUCCCCUUGAAUUUGCACAAAAAUUAUGAACUUUGAUGAAUAUUGCGUCCAUCUUUUGAAACACAAUUUCUUUCUCUAACACCUCUUACAAGACCCCCAUAAACUGGGUUGCUUGCUCAAAGCAUAGGAAAACACAUUUAGAAGAAAUUCGAAAAGAUAUCCAGAGCUGUUCACAUAUAAAAGGAGUGUUAGAAUUUGAAGAGCGAAAAAUCAACAUUUCUGACCUUCAAAAAUGUGGUGAGUUCUUAGUCCCGUGUCAUCGUCAACAAACACUGGAGUUUCAUUAGAGCAUCCUAUAUAUUUUUUCUACCAAGAACAUAUAUACCCUUAUUCCUUCGAAACAAAUCUCAUCAGGUAUAAUAGUCCUCCGUUCCCACACAUGGAAAAAUUCCUAUGCUUCUGGAUGACCCCAAAAGAAUGUGUAGGUAUGGCGAUUCGCACUCGGGCCUUGAACGAGGAGGAGGAACAUGCUUAGGAUGACUCAUAACCAUUGCCAAGUCUUUGUCGGAUAUUUUGGGUUUGACCCUUAGUUGAUUUGUAUCCAUUGUGGGGACCAAACCUUCGGAUGAUCUACUUAUAUUUAGUGCUGGCCUCUAUUGUCUCUUUGUCGGACCCCGUUUAACAACUUUUUUCGGUCUUUUGGGUUCCACCCGAUCGUUGGGAGUACAAGCCAGGAGCAUCAGGGAACGCGGAAAUCGGACUAAUUCGUCUUUGCUAACCCCGGCAUCUGGGAGAGCAGCUACAAAACUUGGUUCUUGAUCAAUUUCUUUACCUCGCCCUCCAGAUGUUGCUUAUUAUCGUACUCCUCUUGAGUUGAAAGAAAGUUCAUGGCGGUCUUUGAAUUACUCUUACUGUACUUGUGUUCUUUCCAAGUUCAAGAAAAAAAGAUUAUCGAUGUACCAGGCACUCCUGUGAGUGCACAGACAUACCUUCAAGAGCGGUGCGGAGAUAGGGGAAACUACGCUGCGUAUAGCAAGUUUCAAGACAACCUCAGCCGCCUCCUCUCCGGGGGGCUUUAGAACAAAGGACCCAUUUACGGUUUCUACACACGACGGAAAGGUGAAGAUCCCGACAAAGUUUAUGGACUCUUCCUCUGCAGGUAAAUUACAUGUGAAAACAUACCAAAAAAAUUUCAAAUUUCGAGUAAGACCUUCCAGAUCAAUCAUUGCAAUCUUUGGAAUCGGUUCACUCAGAGGUAGGAUUCAUAAUGGACCCGAUACAUUGGACUUAAUCGAAAUCCUCUACAAAGUACGGUGAUUCAAUGCCAAUCGAAAAAUUACUAUUCAGAUUUAUGUGACUACUAAUGCAACUUUACUAUGCCUCUUUAGAGGGGAUGUUGCUGCCAAUCUCUGUUGGUCUUGCAUACACGCAGCUUGUAGCACCAUCAUAGAAAGAUGUCCAGGACAGAAAGAGGCGAUCAUAUGGUACAACGAGUUGUUAGAGAAAUCUUCUUGAAGUGUUUUGAAGUUGACAAAACGUUUCUAUCAGUCUAGUCUGAAGGCUUGCAGACUCUGCUAUUUAAAGUCUGAAGACCUCCGGACAGCCAGACUAAAGACUCAAAGUCUAUCCUCAUUGACAGUCUCUAAUCCGUUGAAGAAAUGUUAUCCAGAACUUGAUGUUUUGUUAAAGAUUUAACUUUAUCAACUGGAGAAGAUCUCGUGGCUGGAGAAGACAUAACGGAGUCCUUUGAUUGAUCGAAGAUUGACUCGAUAAUUGAAGAUCCGGUGAUUGCCUAAAUAUUAUUGGAAGAUUCUGCUUAUGGAAACCGAGAUCCUGAUUGUAUGGGCGAACAGGAUUGAUGGGCUAUCAACACGUUCCUUUAAUAGCUUGAACAAUCUUCCUAAUUGAUUCCGUCCAACGGGUAGAUUGGAGGAAUUCCUUUGGUAAGUGCCAACGGGUAUGAUGGCAUAAAGGAGUAUAUAAGGAAGACGAUCUUAGUUGUUCAAGGUGUGCGCGAUAGAAGAAUUCCAAAGUCUGAAGGUCCCUUUUGUUUAGACAAAUCCUUUGAGCGAAUACUUGUAUACAAAAGAGAGUCUAUAUUUGUGAGAAAUCUUGAGGAGGUGUGGUAGAACAUCUACACUGUGGAAUCAAGGCAAAGCUGUGCUGUAACUUCUCUUAUGUUCAUAGUGGAAUCCAGCCAAUAGGCUGUCAGUGAAGAAGAGUGGACGUAGGCUUGAUAUAAGCCGAACCACUAUAAACCGCGUGUUCAAUUUUCUCUUCUCUCAGUCUUACUUUGAUUAACGUUUUCUUUUACUGUCUAGUAUUGUGCAAUCGUUGAAGAAAAAUCUUUUAUAUACCUAUUCACCCCCCUCUAGGUACUCAUACUAGCAAUAUCAAUUGGUAUUAGAGCCUGUGUACUUACUUUAUUUGAAGUGUUUUACUUCGUAGUAAAAGAUCCAUGGCUAGUAUGCUAGCACCAGGGCUGAUGGAAGGGCAAAGCAAUACCAAACCACCCUACUUUGAUGGAAAGGAUUACAACAUUUGGAAGAACAAGAUGAAAGCUUUCCUUCGAUCAAAGGAUCCUCUGGAAUGGGACGUGUAGAAAANNNNNNNNNNNNNNNNNNNNNNNNNNNNNNNNNNNNNNNNNNNNNNNNNNNNNNNNNNNNNNNNNNNNNNNNNNNNNNNNNNNNNNNNNNNNNNNNNNNNUCUAUUGAUGAUGAGGACCAAACAAAGACGUAGUCUGCUUUGAAUGUAAGAAAAAUGGACACAUCAGACCCAACUGUCCUCUUCUGAAGAAGAAGAAAGGAAAAGCUGAAAAAUUUCAAAAAGCUCUCAAAGCCGAAACCUGGAGUGAUACAGAGUGUGAAGAAAGUGAUAAUGAAUAUGCCAAUCUAUGUCUGAUGGCACAAUCAGACUCAGACUCUGGAUCAGACUCAGACAGUGAAUUUGAGGCAAGUAAUUUUAAAAUUCCUAUCAAAGUUUCUAAAUACAUUGAUGAACUGUGUUUUAGUCUUAAGACUUCUCUCAAAAGAAUUUCCGAACUGAAAAAGGAAAACUCAACUCUAAAACAAAAGGAAAAUGUUUUAGUAGAAAGAGUUAAAAGUCUAGACUUGUCUGUUUCCACUCUUAAAGAAAAUGAAGAUAAUCUUUUAAAAGAAAAUGCUAUUUUAAAAACAGACUUAUCAAAUAUUUCAAAGAAAUUUUCAAUAGGGUCUGAAAAACUUGAGAAAAUUCUUUCAGCUCAAAGACCUUACUUCAAUAAGUCCAGUCUAGGUAUGACAGCAGAAACAAUUCCCUUGAUUGAUUUUCCUAAAGUAAAAGAAAGAAUUAAGAAAAGACUCUCGAGAGAGGCUUACAAAAAUCACUUCAAGGAAGUUUUUGUAAAAUCUGUAGGUAGAAAUGCUCUCAGAUGUUCAAAAUGCAACAGUCUGGAUCACUUUGAAAAAGAGUGUCCUAUGGUUUGGAAACCUGUUAAGAAAAUAUGGGCUAAUACUGCUUAUGUUACUAACACCAAAGGACCCAAGAAAGUUUGGGUACCAAAGAAAGCUUGAGACUCUAUUUUAAAUGCAGGUCACCGUCAAGAAAAAGAUAAAGUGGUAUCUUGACAGUGGAUGCUCAAGACACAUGACAAGAGACUCAAAUUGUUUUAUAAAGCUUGCUCAAGUAAAUGGUGGAAAAGUUUCAUUUGGAGGAAACAGCAAAGGAAGUAUUGUGGGAUUUGGAACUGUAAAAAUUGGAAAUCUCACCAUAAGUAAUGUUUCCUUAGUGGAAGGACUCAAUUACAAUCUUCUCAGCAUUAGUCAAAUGUGUGAUACUGGUUUCAAGAUCUUCUUUCAAGAAGGAAUAUGUUCUGGAAUCAGUAAAGACUCUACUCAGUCUUUCAUGGGUCGAAGACAUGGAAACAUCUAUCUUCUGGAUGUGAAACCAAAUGAAUCGCAAUGUUUUAUCUCAAUUCAAGAUGAAGCAAGCUUAUGGCACAAAAAGCUUGGUCAUGUCAACAUGAAGCAAUUAGCCAAAAUCUCAUCAAAACAGCUUGUUCGAGGACUACCCAAAUUACCUUAUCAAAAGACUGAUCCAUGCACUCCAUGUAUUCUGGGAAAACAGGUAAGAAAUUCAUUUAAGCCAAUAAAUCAUGUCUCUACUAAUCAUGUACUACAGUUGCUGCAUAUGGAUCUCUUCGGACCAACCAGAACACAGAGUAUUGGAGGUAAGAAAUAUUGCCUAGUAAUUGUGGACGAUUACUCCCGUUUUACUUGGGUAUAUUUCCUUGCAAGUAAGUCCGAAACCUUCUCGUAUUUUGAAAAAUUUGCUAAAAAGGUUCAAAAUGAAAAAGGAUGUGUCAUCUCAAGUAUAAGAACAGAUCAUUGAGGUGAAUUUGAAAAUCUAGAUUUUAUAAAAUUUUGUGAUGAAUCUGGAUUUAAUCAUGUGUUCUCCUCUCCAUAUACUCCUCAGCAAAAUGGAGUUGUGGAAAAAAAGAACAGAUCUCUUCAAGAAAUGGCUAGAACUCUUUUAAUUGAAAGCAAGAUUUCUUCAUGAUUUUGGGCUGAAGCUGUUUCAACAGCAUGCUAUAUAAUCAAUAGAGUCUUCUUAAGACCUAUUCUAGAGAAAACCCCUUAUGAGUUAUUUAAAGAUAAGAAGCCUAUUGUUUCAUACUUUCAUGUAUUCGGUUACAAAUGUUUUAUAUUGAAAAAUGCAAAAGAUCGAGUUGGUAAGUUUGAAGAAAGAUCAGAUGAAGGUAUCUUCCUUGGAUAUUCUACAUCAAGCAAAGCCUUCAGAGUCUAUAACAAGAAGAGCCAGUCUGUAGAGGAGUCAAUGAAUGUCAAAUUUCAAGACUCAACGCAAGAUGAAUCAAGUCAGACUCAUCAAGAAGAGUCUGAACCUGCUCCAGACCUUCCAAAGCUUACAACUCAAGAAGCAUCUCAGACUCUGGAAAACCAGCAUCAGGAUGUUCGUGAAGAUCCAAACAAAGAGAGAGAUCAUCAACCAGACAAAUCAACAAGUAACUGGAAGCAUAAGUCCAGUCAUCCCAAAGAUCUUAUAAUCGGCGAAAUUAAUGAAGGAAUUCGCACCAGAUCCAAAAGGCGAGAAGAGUCUAGUGUUGUGGCUCUCGUUUCUGAAAUUGAACCAAAGAGCAUAGAAUAAGCUUUAUCUGAUGAAAGCUGGAUUGAAGCUAUGCAAGAAGAGCUCAGACAGUUCAGCAUUAAUGAUGUCUGGGAAUUGACAUCCAAACUAAAAGGUAAAACUGUUAUUGGAGCUAAAUGGGUGUUCAGAAACAAGAUGAAUGAGAAAGGAAAAGUCGUACGAAACAAAGCAAGACUGGUGGCCAAGCGAUAUACGCAAGAAGAAGGAAUAGACUAUGAUGAGACUUACGCUCCAGUAGCAAGGUUAGAAGCUAUUCGACUAUUACUUGCGUUUGCUUGUUAUAAGAAUUUCAGGUUAUUCCAAAUAGACGUCAAAAGCGCCUUCCUAAAUGGUUUUAUCCAUGAGGAAGUUUAUGUGGAACAACCACCAGGGUUUGAAGACCCAAAGAAGCCAGACUCAGUCUUCGGACUGAAAAAGGCUUUGUAUGGUUUAAAGCAAGCACCUCGAGCUUGGUACGACAGAUUGAGUAAGUUUUUAAUACAAAAUGGUUUUGUCAAAGGUAAAGUAGAUACGACUUUAUUUAUCAAAAAGGAAAACAAGAGUUUCUUACUUGUUCAAAUAUAUGUGGAUGACAUUAUUUUCGGAUCCUCUAAUGAAAAUGUGCAAGAAAUUUUCUAAGUCUAUGCAGGAUGAGUUUGAAAUGAGUAUGAUGGGAGAGUUAACAUUCUUUCUUGGUCUUCAAGUAAAACAAUUGAAGGAAGGAACUUUUAUUUAUCAAGAAAAAUAUGUUAAUGAUCUUGUCAAAAGAUUUGGACUGGAAAGGUGCAAAAAGACCGACAUACCGAUGUCAAGUUCUUUGAAGAUAGACAAAGACGAAGAAGGGAAGAAAGUUGAUCAAAAGCUGUACAUGAGCAUCAUUAGUUCACUCCUUUAUCUUACUGCUUCUAGACCUGACAUCUUGUUGAGUGUUUGCAUCUGUGCUAGGUUUCAAUAAGAUCCUAGAGAAUCCCAUCUUAGUGCUGCGAAACGCAUCAUUAAAUACGUUGCUUCAUCAUCAAGCAUCGGUCUUUGGUAUCCUAAGAAGGGAGACUUUAAUCUUCUGGGAUAUUCAGACGCAGAUCUGGCCGGUUGCAGAGUUGAUAGAAAGAGCACUUCAGGAACUUGCCAGUUGCUUGGAAGCAGGACAGUGUCUUGGUUUUCAAGGAAACAAAGCACUGUGUCUCUUUCAACAACAGAAGCAGAGUAUGUAGCCCUGGGAAGCUGCUGUUCGCAAAUUCUAUGGAUAAAACAACAGCUAAGAGACUUUGAAAUUGAAGACUCAUGCACGGAGAUUAAUUGCGACAACACCAGCGCUAUCAACCUCACCAAAAAUCCAAUUCUCCACUCAAGAGCAAAGCAUAUAGAGAUUCGACAUCACUUUAUUAGAGACCAUGUUCAAAAUGGAGAUGUUUCAAUUCAAUUUAUUGACUCAAAGAAUCAACUGGCGGAUAUAUUCACAAAGCCUUUGGAGAAAAAUCAAUUUGAGUCUAUACGUUCCAGACUCAACAUUUUGAGGUAUGAGGAUAUCAAAGUCUAAAGACUUUUUAGACUCAGUCUUACAAGACUUUAUCUGAAAGAUAGUUUUGGUACGACCGUCAGACUGUAAGUCUUUCUCUCUUGAAUUUCAUCUUGAAAAGGUACGAUCGUCAGACUGUGUUUAAAUUGUUGCUAUAUUUAAUUGACGUAAAUAUUACAUCGUUUCAUUUUCAAAAAGGAAGUUAUUUUUGAAAUGGCUAUUUUUGCGGAAAAAGACAGUUAUUUUGAAAAGGCAUUUUUUUUUAUUUCCUCUGUGACGGUUCGUUUAUCCCUCUUUUUAACCGAUCGUGCACUGUCAAUUCCUCUUCACUUUUCUCUCAAAAAACCCUAGAAAGCAUCGAUCCUCCAUUCCCGUUUGUCUUCUUCGUUUAAUCCUCAAAAAGUUGUCAUCUUUCCUGGGAAAGUCAAGCAAGGAAUCUUCCAAAAACUGAGAAAGAUGUCAUCUUCAAGAAAGUCUUCGAGAAUUGCAAGCAGGGGACCACGGCGGAUGAGUGAGGGGCCUACGCACUUCGAUCUUACUGAAGAAGAAGUGACUCCAGAACAGCAAGCGAGCCCACAACAUUCUCAACAGCGUCAUUCUCCUCCAUCUAGUCCUCAAGGCGUUGAUCAUCAACAACAGGAAGAAAUCAUCGAGGAUGCAGACCCUGUAAGAGUUCAAAAGCCCGUUUAUAUUUACCAGUUAUAUCGUGCCUUAAAAGGAAUUCGUACUCCUUUGAACUACAUUGAUGAUUUUCUUAAAGACAAAGGACAUGGGAACGAAUAUAUCUUUCUGCGAAAAAUGGAAAGUUUGGGAAUUGCUCGAAAAGGGGUGGCUGAGGAAACCCUUGCAAAUAUCCCAAGUGAUCCUCGUGACUGGGGGCCGAAUCCUGUAGAUAGGAAUGAUGAUGAUAAAUUAUAUAGUCAAUUUCAACCGAAAAUGGGUGUUGCGGUUGAAAAUCAAGGAAAAAUGGGAGAUUUGUUCAGAUCAAAGGAGCAAAAGGAUCUGUACUCGAAAUUGCUGAAGCGUGGGGUAAUAAACCCUAGGAGUGUGGAUUUUGAUUUUCUGGAUGCUGUGAAUAUGAACUUGAGGGAAAAGUUCAGUUAUCUUCAACUUGAAAAGUUCUGCUCUGACUCUACAGAGGCCUAUGCUGAAUUAACUGCAUAUUUCUAUUCAAAUCUAAGCUUUUUGGAUGCGAAUAGAUUCUCCUUCAGCGUUAAAGACCAAGACUAUGUUGUGGAUAUGAAUAUGUUGGCAGAUGUGUUAGAAGUCGAAAGAGGAAGAUAUCAACCAAUCAAAAUUUCCAUUGCUCGGGCCACACUUGAACUGGUGAAGGACAGGAGAACAGAUGAAAAGAUCACCUACUUAAGGAUGGGUGCAUUCAACAUCUUGCUUCACAAGAUUGUGAUUAAUUGCCUCCGACCGAAAUCAACUUCCAAGACUGAUGUUUCAAGUUCAGAGGCCAAGCUGAUGUAUGCCAUUCUCUUUGGAAAAAGGCUUUCUCUCCCUCACACUGUGAUGUUUCACAUGUAUAGAGCAAUGAUGAAGGACAGAGGUCAACUCCCUUACCCAAGCCUUGUUACGAAGUUAUUCAGACAUCUGAAUAUUCAGCCUCCACAAAUCUUUUGUGUUCGACCAUGCGAUCAUAUGGUGGUAGGACUGAAAAUGGUGACCAAACUGCGUCUGAAGGAACUGAGCAAGGAGUUGGAGAAAUUCAAGGAGAAGACUCCUGCAAAAUCUCAUCAAAUCUCUUCUGCAGCUAAAAGAAAAGGGAAGGAGCCCAUGGUUGCUCCAUCCAAGAGAAGAAGAGCUCUCCUUGUUGAGGAUGAAGAUGAUGAGGAAGACAUCACCAUCUCUGCAUUGGCUUUGAAGAAUUUAAGUCGUCCUGUUCCACAGAAAGAAUCGGAGCAAAUGACGAAAGAAGCAGAGGAGAAGGAAGAAGAAGAAAUAGAAGCUGAAAAAGAAACAGAGGAGGAAAGACCUGAAGAAGAAAGAAGAGAAGAAGGAGAACCUGAAGAACACUCUUCUCCACUUGUAGGCAUGGAAACAGGGGGAGAUCAGGAGAAAGGAGUAAAGUCUUCAUAUCCUGAUGCAAGUGAAGGAGUCAGUCGCUCACCAGCAGACCCAGAGGAUGUUUAUGCAUCUCAGUUUCCAGAAGAAGGUCAUGAAGUUUCAUCGCCAAACCUGCAAGAUUAUGCUGAUCUACCAUCGUCUGCAUUUACUCCAUCAGAUCGAGCUGAAGCAAGUACUCAAACUGAUAAUGGAGCAGAUUUUCGCAGAAUCAUGGAUAUUCUCUUGGAGAUGCAAGGUCAAAUUUAUGCCUUGGGAUGCGAAGUUCAAAGCUUGAAGAAUGAAGGUCAAGCUUCUUCCUGUUCAUUGAAUGAUAAAUUGCAAGCCCUCUCUGUUCAGAAUCAGGCCAAUGCCAAGAGUGAGGAGAUUGCACAUCUAAAGGAAGACUUUAAAAGGCUGGAAGGCAUCGUUCAGUCUAUGGAAGAUUUCCAGCUUGUCCGCGUUCCUAAGCAAUCUUAACUUCAUCUCAUCCUUUUUAAUGAUGACAAAAAGGGGGAGAGAUGCAAGAUUUGAUAAAAAAAACUUUUCAUUCAUUAAACUUUUAAUUGUUUGUUGGAUUGUUUUGUGGUUUGAACUCUGUUUGACUUUGUUUUGUGUCUGGAUGAGAACUGAACUAGACUUGGACUUGACUGCUUCUAUUAACUAAUAUUGAUAUCUUAUGGAUGGCUUCAUCAUAUACUGGACUAACCUAUUUUCUGUGGUUGCAGAUUCUAGUGUUAUUCUGUUAGCCAUUUACCUCUAUAAGAUAUGCAUAUGUGUUUGAGAAAUGUUUUGCAGGUCAAAGAUAUCCAAAUCUGCAGAAAAGUUUUGUCACCAUCAAAAAGGGGGAGAUUGUUGGAGAAAUCUUCUUGAAGUGUUUUGAAGUUGACAAAACGUUUCUAUCAGUCUAGUCUGAAGGCUUGCAGACUCUGCUAUUUAAAGUCUGAAGACCUCCAGACAGCUAGACUCAAGACUCAAAGUCUAUCCUCAUUGACAGUCUCUAAUCCGUUGAAGAAAGGUUAUCCAGAACUUGAUGUUUUGUUAAAGAUUUAACUUUAUCAACUGGAGAAGAUCUCGUGGCUGGAGAAGACAUAACGGAGUCCUUUGAUUGAUCGAAGAUUGACUCGAUAAUUGAAGAUCCGGUGAUUGCCUAAAUAUUAUUGGAAGGUUCUACUUAUGGAAACCGAGAUCCUGAUUGUAUGGGCGAACAGGAUUGAUGGGCUAUUAACACGUUCCUUUAAUAGCUUGAACAAUCUUCCUAAUUAAUUCCGUCCAACGGGUAGAUUGGAGGAAUUCAUUUGGUAAGUGCCAACGGGUAUGAUGGCAUAAAGGAGUAUAUAAGGAAGACGGUCUUAGUUGUUCAAGGUGUGCGCGAUAGAAGAAUUCCAAAGUCUGAAGCUCCUUUUUGUUUAGACAAAUCCUUUGAGCGAAUACUUGUAUACAAAAGAGAGUCUAUAUUUGUGAGAAAUCUUGAGGAGGUGUGGUAGAACAUCUACACUGUGGAAUCAAGGCAAAGCUGUGCUGUAACUUCUCUUUUGUUCAUAGUGGAAUCCAGCCAAUAGGCUGUCAGUGAAGAAGAGUGGACGUAGGCUUGAUAUAAGCCGAACCACUAUAAACCGCGUGUUCAAUUUUCUCUUCUCUCGGUCUUACUUUGAUUAACGUUUUCUUCUACUGUCUAGUAUUGUGCAAUCGUUGAAGAAAAAUCUUUUAUAUACCUAUUCACCCCCCUCUAGGUACUCAUACUAGCAAUAUCACGAGUGUCUCGUGCACUACUCUAACAUAUCAUUCUUCUCUAGCAUGGAGACAACACCAAUUAUUUUCAUUGUCAAACCUGCGGACGUUUCAGUUACCUUCAACUAGAUUGUGGGGCAAACUUUCGAUAAGGAGAAGGACUUUGAGGUGGAAGUGUUGGAUUUGGCGAGGAAUGUCACGGACUUGGCGAUCUCCUCAGAAAGCUUAUAUGCGACGAUAAACCUUAAUGUCUCAAGUUCAGUGACCCUGCAUGAGCUUGUGCAGUGCACCCCGACAUAUCAAAGUUACAUUGUAAGAGUUGCUUGCUUUCCGCCAUCAAAGAGUUUCCUACCGUUCUUAAUUAUAAAAGGGGAGGUGGGAGAAUUUUUCAGCCAAGUUGUAAUCUGCGGUACAAAAUGUAUCGUUCUGAUCAGGCACCAACUAACAAAACCCACACUGAGUCCGGCAGUAAAGGGAUGAGUUAUAUAAUACUCAAAAUGUGCACUCAAUUUGUCACGGUAAACGUAUAAUGGUACCAUUCUGUUGUUUCUAAUUCUCAAUAUAAGCUGUUUUGUGUAUCACAUUGCACUUGACUUGCUUUUACUAUCUAAACUAUGAUCAUUCUCUCCUGCUUUCAGCAAGUUCUCGGUACUAUUUACACUAGGUGAAAAUAAAAAGUCUACGGAUUUGAGGUUGUUUAGAUGCAAGGAAUUUCUCUUUCUUGACAGGGGUCAAACGAAAUCCAUGGAUUACAAUAGUUAGCUCAGUAACUGGAUCGGGGUUACUAUUAAUUAUCGUGAGUUCAUGUAUUUUUUCAAAGAGGACAAAGAGAUUAAAGAAAGGUAUAAGUGAAUUCAUCGUGCUUGCCAUUAGAAUGAUCAUCUUCUAACCUUUACCUAACGAGAGUAAACUCUUGGACUCUCAGAAAAGGAAAACAGCCAAGAGGUUCUGUUACUUCAUCUGAGACAAGAAAUUGGAGAAGAGUUUUCAAAGGAAAACUCUCGUGGAGAAAAGCCAGUGGCUUCUCAACAAUUAUCUCUAAUGCGAUUAGACAUCAUACGCACGAACACAGGAAACUUCUCCAAUGAAUGUAAACUUGGGGAAGGCGGGUUUGGCCCUGUGUACAAGGUAAGCAAUUCAGUGACUCAACACGUAUUUACGAGGAAAUUGAGAAAAUCUUCUAAUGGUAGCAAACUGGCAGAGUCAUUAUCCAUAGCAUGAACUGAAUCGGAUUUGGUUAGCAUUAGUAAUUCUCAGAUAGGGAUCUCACUACUGACUUUAAGCUAUUUCAGGGCACAUUGGCAGAUGGAAAAGAAAUUGCAGUUAAGAGGCUUUCGAGAACCUCAGGCCAAGGACUCAUCGAGUUGAAGAACGAAGUCAUCUUGAUUGCCAGACUACAACACAGGAACCUCGUCCGAUUGUUGGGAUGCUACUUGGAAGAAGAAGAAAAACUCUUGAUAUAUGAAUACUUGCCCAACAGAAGCCUGGAUGUCUUCCUUUUUGGUUUGAGCUUUAGCAGAUCCAAUGAAUUUUUGAGCUAGUUAAUUUUAGUUUUAUAAAGUUAAGUUCCAUCUGAGUCUCUCAUCUUUGACAGAUUCGAAUAUAGGGCAAUAUCUAGAUUGGAAGCUACGCAUGAACAUUGCCUGUGGAAUAGCUCGGGGACUUCUCUGUCUGGAUGAGGAUUCUCACUUGAGAAUUAUCCACCGAGAUCUGAAAGCUAGCAAUAUUUUGCUAGAUGGUGAGAUGAAUCCAAAAAUAUCAGGUUUCGGAAUGGCAAGGAUCUUCAAUGUAAAUCAAGACAAGGCGAACACAAACAGGGUUGUUGGAACCUAAUAAGUGCCUCAAUAUCUUUGUAUGUCCAUUAAAUGUUCAAAUGAUCACUAGGCCAACAAAGGACUCUAAUGAUCAACUCAACAACACCAGAUUGAGCACAUAAUAUUUCAGAAGUUCCAUAUAGAAAAUUCCUUUUUUUUGCUUCUUACUUCCAACUAAUUGCUCUUCAUCACAUAAAUCUGGUUAGUGGAUAUAUGGCACCAGAGUAUGCGAUGGAAGGACUCUUUUCUGUGAAAUCAGAUCUCUUUAGUUUUGGAGUUCUCUUGCUAGAGAUAGUAAGUGGGCACAAGAAUAAUGGUUUUCAUCUUCAAGAGGAGGGUGAAAGCCUUCUCACUUUUGUAUGUUCCUAAUCACCAUCCUAGUUUAAUACGAAAUGAAAGAUUUUCGUGCAGCUACCCCUGUUUAUUUUUCUUGAUAUUUGACAAGCAUGGAAGUUGUGGUCCGAAGGUCGAGCGUUGGAACUUAUCGAUCAGUUGAUCAAUGAGUCAUGUGAUGAAAUUGAAGUGCUGAAAUGCGUACAUGUUGGUCUAUUGUGCGUUCAAGAAGACCCGGCGGAUUGACCGACUAUGUUACUCGUGGUCCAUAAUUUAGGAGGCGAUACUAUAACACUCAGCCAACCAUCACAGCCUGCAUUCUCAGUUGGGAGAGAUGCGAAGAAACUUGAUCGUGGCAUGCCCACUCAUGGAGCCUCAACUAUUAAUGGAGUAACCCUUUCGGUUGUUGUGGCUAGGUGACCAAGUAUUAUACAAUGGAAAAGCUGUUAGUUAGAUAGCAUUAUGAUAUUUAUUUUAUCUUUUAGGAUUGUGCAUGUAUCUCCAUUGUAAUAUAUUUAGAUCAUCCUACUUUCUAUAUUUGUCAUGUAAAGCCGGCUUAUGUUCUCUUCUUUAUAUAUACAAAUAUACAUAAACUAAAAUAUUCUCCCUUUUGCAUAUUUCUUAUCUUUUUAUCUUGGGAUAAGUGUUCCAAAAGUCCUACAACUUGUCACGAAAAUGCAUUUCAAUCCUAAAACUUGCAAAAAGUGCUUUUAAGUCCUAAAACUUGUCAAAUUGUUUCAAACGAGUCCUAAGAUCGACGCCGUUAGUCUUUUCCGUUAAAAAUGCUGACGCGGCAUUUUAAAUAAUUUUUUACUUUCCAGGUGUAUUUUUAAUUAAUUUUUAUCCAUUUAAAAAAUAGAUUUAAAAACUAAAAAAAUUAAAUUUAUUCUUAUCCUAUUUUCAACAAAAACUAAAAAGAAAAGUUAAAAAAUUUAUUUUUAAAAUUAUUUAAAAAAAAUUACCGCGACUCUUCUCCCCCGCCACCCGUCGCCGGAGGGGCCAGGCGACGGUCGCCGACCCUGGGCGGGGGUGGCCGGGCCGCGCCGGCCCCAGGCUAGGGCCGACGAGGCCUCGCUUAGGGUAGGCUACGACUCACCCAGGGGGGGCGAUAGCAAACUGCCAAGAGUUUUUAAAUUAUAUUUGUCCAUUAGUAUCAUUUUCCCCCUUGUGCCACGAAGAUGGAUGACAUCAUCUAUAUUGUGCGUCCAUCUGGCUGAGCAAACUUACGUUGACCAAGGAAGCUUCUUAUUUGGGGGUAGGAAUCUGAAUGAGUCGUUAACCGGUAGGGAAACAAGUAGGAACCUGUGGCCNNNNNNNNNNNNNNNNNNNNNNNNNNNNNNNNNNNNNNNNNNNNNNNNNNNNNNNNNNNNNNNNNNNNNNNNNNNNNNNNNNNNNNNNNNNNNNNNNNNNGAGUGGUAAUCCAAGAAUUUUUCCUUAUAUAGCCUCAUUAAUUUAUUGCAUAAGUGUCAAUCAUUUCAAUAAAGUUAGUAUCGUCCUAAAUUAAGAUCCCAAUCCAUAUUGAGCUAGUAGCGCGGUGAUAAAUUUGCAAGGAGAAGGAGGCGGGGAGGGGAGGAUGAAAGUUUUCAUGUCUCUCUUAGAAUUGAUGGGAGACGUGCCUUUAUAACUGCCAGAUGUGUAUCCAUAAAAUUUCAUACCCCAUCUUCUGCUUGUCUCUUCAAUGAUAAGUUAUAUCUAUCCUCGCCCCUCCAGCAAUGGGCGCGGCGGCGGCGGGGAGAGGAGCCGCUGUUUUUUUUUUAAUAUAUAUUUUAACUUUUUUUUUUAAGUUUUGGUAAAAAUAAGAUAAAAUGAAUAAAUUUGAUUUUUUUAGUUUUUAAAUCUAAUUUAAAAAUAAUAAUUAAAAAAUUCACGUGGAAAAUAAAAAAAAUAUAUUUAAAAUGUCACGUCAGCAUAUUUAACGGAAAAGGUAACGGCGUCGAUCUUAUGACUCGUUUGAAACAAUUUGACAAGUUUUAGGACUUAAAUGCACUUUUUGCAAGUUUUAGGACUGAAACGCAUUUUCAUAACAAGUUGUGGGACUUCUGGAACACUUAUCCCUUUUAUCUUAGUGUUAGAGCUAGACGGUCUUAAGCAAAUUUUGAGUGCUUGAGUGCGACACACCCGACUGCACACCUGGAGCACACCUUCACAUCUUGUAUCAUGUGAUCCAUUUUUGUUAUAAUUAGUAAUGCCCCUUUCUCAAUGUCGAUUCUUAACAUUUUCGUCACGUAUGCAUAAACGUUAGCCUAUUGCUGUCUAACCUACACACAUCCGUCAAUUCUCUCUUCAGCACAUGAAAUCACCUCUUUGGAUCUUUACUCCCAACGCCAUUUGACUUCCUUUUUGUCACUUUGAGUUUGAGUGUUUGUUUAAGAUAAUUAAGAUUUUUACCUUGAUCCUCCAUUAUUCAGGAUUGUGAAUAUGUAUGUGACAACCUGAUCCACAUACAGCCGCAUGACAACCCUUCCUCAACACUACUUUCUCUUUGGGUCAUUCAAUUGCGACGUCCCAGGAAGCAUCGUCGACCCAAAUCAUAAUAAUAUUAAAACACACAAGCAGAAAUGUUAACAAAUCUCCAACCAUCAAAUAGCGAGGAUAGUUAAAAACAUAUUCAUAUAUAUAUAUAUAUAUAAGAGUGUUACGAGUCAACGUCUCAUACAACACGAGUUCAGGGGUUAAUCAACUAGUUUCUUCACCUCUGACACGCCUUACCGCUUCGCCACAACCUCUUCCAGAAAGGGCCCUUGGGCGUAUACCUACGCCUCUAAUACUACGAGGGUGAUUCAAAAAGUGCUAACACCCACAUCUACCUAAGCCCCAAUGUCCUCCGGGGUCCAGGCCUCCCCAUCGGGAACAUCCCAAUCCUUGGCAUCCUAGCUAAUGUCGCCCGCGGGAUAGGCCCAUAGCUCUUGCCGCCUACCCAAAAGUAGCAAGCCACAGAUUGGUGUGGCACGAGGUUAAGUAAACCCUCAUUGACCAAAAUUGUCGUGACAUAUCACCUAUAGUGCGCAUUGGCCGCUCCCACUACCAGAUGGUCUGUCACCUCCUAACUAUACUCGACAGGGAGGCCAAAACGAAUCUAACAAAAUUGUUUAGUCAUUCUUAGAACCUGAAAACAUUUCAACAAACAAAUAUGAGAUAAACUCAAUAGUGAACUUCCUAGACAUGGAAAUAUCUAGGAAGAGCCCUAAACAUGCAAAUAUCUAUCAAUGGCAAAACAUGGCAACACACUUCUCACUUUACUCUUAUCGAUCUCAUAACAACUUGUCUACCAUACAAGGCCAUCAAAGUAGAUGCAUAGACAAUUUCAUAACAUAACCUUCAUGUUCUCGAGCCAAACAUACGAAUGCGCACUAUGGUUCAAAUCAUGCGCACAUGCCAUGUAAUAAUCCGAACUUGAACACAUAUGAAUCGCAUGCACUUUCCAUACAAAAAUGUGCAGAUUAUUAUGGCCACUCAAAACCCAAAGCCAAUCCCAAGGUUCACAAAUCAUCUGGAAUAACUGGGCAUGGUCUUGCCCCAUUGAGCACAGCAUCCCGUGGACUUGGGGGCAUUCCUAUAAGGAGCUUCAUUCCAAAAUUCAUCCACGAAUGGUAUCCUAUUGACUUGGGGGCAUUCGAUCUUAAUCAGGCAUCGUCCUGCGUAAAACACCUCAAGAUGAGUUCACACAUUGCGUAAAACGCAUCAGGGUCUUAGGUGAUCACACAGGCAUACCAUCACAUACUCCAUUUCUUGUCUUUAUCAUUUAACCCGUGUGAUGCUCAUGCAAUAUGCAACUUCACAUGUCAAACGUUCCACACACAUACAUCAAUUAUCUCACACACAUAUGGACCAUUCACUUCCUAAACUCAUGACACAUAAUCUGCAUAUCAUGUUUAACCACUAAUUCACAUGGCACGUAUUCCAUUUAUAAUUUCUAAGCAUCAAUCCACAUGGAAAAUCAUCCAAAUAACAUGUUUAACCACUAAAAUACAUGGCACAUUAUUCAAAUAAUAUGUUUAACCACUUAAACACAUGGCAUGUCAUUCAAAUAACAUGUUUAACCACGAAAACACAUGGCACAUCAUUCAAUUAACAUGGAUAACCACUAAAACACAUGGCACAUAACCUAAAUAACAUGUUUAACCACUAAACUACAUGUCAUAUAACCGAAAUAAUAUGUUUAACCACUAAACCACAUGUCACAUAAUCCAAACAACAUGUUUAACCCCUAAACCACAUGUCACAUAAUCCAAAUAACAUGGAUAGCCACUAAACCACAUGUCGCAUAACCCAAAUAACAUGUUCAACCACAAAACCACAUGUCACAUAAUUCAAACAACAUGUUUAGCCACAAAACCACAUGGCACAUCACUUAAAUAACAUAGAUUACUACUAAUUCACCCUAAACUACUCCCUAAACGCAACGAAAGCCCUAAUCAAAUGCUAAAAAGCCACUCACGAAUGACUCAGUCUCCCAAACAUGCUAGGGAAAAUGACUACAAGGCCGGACAACAGCUGGCCUCACGUCCUCCGCGCGUAGGUGAGUUGGACAACAGCUGAACAACAAUCUAGCGAUUGCACGUUGGGGGUUUGAUGGGUGGUUGCCGGCAAGGAAAACAAGGGGAAAAUGGAAGAAACAAGCUUGAAAUGGUGAUGAAAAUGGCUUGGAGGGUUUGGCUACUUAAAGUGAGGGAGAGAAAGGUGAGUUUGAGAGUUCAAGUGAGAAAAAUGAAAGUGAAAGUGAGAGAGAAAGGGGUGGCCAGCGGUGAGGGGAGGGAAAGGAAGAGAGGGGAAAGAGAAAGGACAUUCUAUCUCCAUAAAUGUCCAUCCCAUCCUAUAAUCUUUAACCUACUAAGCCUAGAGUUCUUUUAAUGAGGAAGUGACAACUUGAAGAGAGAACAAAGUGAGAGUGAGGGGGAGAUAGGUGGCCGGCAGUCUUGAGGGAGAGGGAGGAGAGAGACAAGAAGAAAUCUUGCUCAUAAAUGCCCAUCACUUCCCUUGACUCUUGUCCAUCAAGCUUGCCUAAAGAAGAAGCAAGAUCUAGCAUUAAAUGGGAGGAUUUGCACUCAAGUGACUACGAUUGGACUAGACUAGGUAGCCCUUUUCCCUCCGCUCUGCCGCCCCUUCUUUGCCAUUUUUCCAUUUUUAUCCUUUUGUCUUUAGUCCAAUAGGAGGGCAUUUCCGUCACUUCACCAAGAUCUCGCAUUAUUCAUGUCUUUUUGUGCAUUUAAUGUCAAGAUUGUAUCAAAAAGGGCUUGAUGGGCUUUGAGGGGCCCAUGGGCCUCCCUUGGUUGCCCACCCCUUGGGUGUGUGGGUCUUGGGUUGCCCACUUAGGCUCAAGCCCAAUAGGUCAUCAUCCCUAACCCGUUUCCACUUUUUCUACACUCAUAUGUCCUUGCUGAUGAAAAACCAAGGUUUCGCCCUUAAAUGGUCUUUUUUGAUGCCCUCAUGGCUUAUCAAUCCUCAAGACACUCUCGUCUGACGAUCACUUACCAAAAUAAUUUCAUUCUGAAAAACCGGGUCGGAACGAGGAUGUCACAACUUUUCCCCCCUCAAAAAAAUUUCGUCCCUGAAAUUUGUAGGACCAACCACUUCCUCAAAUAGAUGGGAGUAUUGGCUCCUCAUAAUGUCCUCACUUUCCCAUGUCACUGCCUCGGUGCCGUGAUACUGCCAGACAUUUUUGACCAAGCGAAUGACUUUGUUGCACAACACCCUUUCUUUUCUAUGCACGACUCGCAUUGGCUGCUCGACAUAAGUCAAUUUGUCGUCCACCUCGAUCUCUUCAUAGCUUAGCACAUGUGUCAGGUUUGAUUCAUACUUUCUCAACAUGGAAACGUGGAAGAUUUGGUAGUACUGCCAAUUGGCAAGCUAAAGUUCCAAUUCUUUCCAAAAUUUCAAAAGGUCCUACAAAUCUGGGGCUUAGCUUCCCUUUAUUGCCAAAACAAGACAUACCUCUCCUUGACGACAGUUUAAGGAACACGUGAUCUUCUGGCGACUUUGGGCUGUCUUUAACCUUUCUCAAAUGAUCUAGAUUGCAUCCACAGAUUGUUGCACAAGCUCAAGGCCCAUAAUUUCCUUUCUCCGACCUCAUCCCAACAGACGAGCGUUCUACAUGCAUGUCCAUACAAUGCCUCAAACGGUGCCGUUCCGAUGCUCAGUUGAUAAUUGUUGUUAUAUGCGAAUUUGACGAGGUGGAGUUGGUCUUCCAUUCUCCUUUGAAAUCUACGACACAUGAUAUCAUUGGUGCCAUAUGCUACCCUAUUCGAUGUAGUCCAUGUUUAUGAUGAUUCACUAUAUUUGUGCUAUGUUCACUAAUGAGCAAAGUUAGGAUCUUAUUGCUUAAUGCCAUGCUUUAUCCUUUAUUGGGCAUUGUUGCUCACCCCUUAUUUUUUCUCUUAGAUCAUUAGCUAUGGAUGUGACACCCUUGAUGACUUAUGGCACGGCUAAGUGGGUAGAUGGCAUGUAUGGGAACUUUGAGGAUGGAGAUUCUGGUCUUGUUUUGACUCAUUAUGUGUGUAUUGUCUGCAUAGAUGAUGGACGCCCUAAUCAUUUCCCACUGCAAUUUGGGUUCAUGUAACUUAGCGUGAAUGGGAGGUUGUUUGGCCCCAUCUGUUGGUGAUGUUUUGUGCAUGGAGUAGGAGACACGCAUGGUAUGGAGGGAUGUAGUGAAGGAGGAAAAUACCGAGUAGAGGAGUUAGACAACUUUUUGGCCUCUCCCAGGUAUUUUGCUUGGGUCAUCUUGAUGAGUAUUUUUCUAUGUUUGUAAUUGUCAAGAUGUCAUUUUUCUCUUGUAAUCCUGACUUAUGAUGAAUGAAAUGGAAGCAUGUUGUUAUGGAAUUUGUUCCUAAGUAAAAUUUUCAUAUUAAAAAUGUAUACUCUUCCACUUGUGUAAUAAUAAUGAAAGAUUAUAGUCGAGGGUCUAAGGUGACGGCCUGGGACAUCACAGUUACAUUGGUAUCAGAGCUAUAGGUUAACCAUGGAGUGAUAAGGUGCGCUAGUGGUGGAAGAAGGUAGGACGCGCGCGCUAAAACACUGAUCGCUUGUGCUUGUUGUAUUGCAAUUUUGUAAAGAACAAGUAACCUCGGUUACUCAUAGGGUAUUAGUAACUUAUGUUACUUAUUAGUUGGUUAGGGUAUUCAAUCACUUAAUAACUAGUGACUGAUUAGUAGAAUGGCUGGUGCUUCAAGAGGGAGAGGAACCGGUAGAAGGACAGCCACAAGUGAAUCCCUUAUAAGGACAAAGGCUAGAUUGGAGGGGAUUUUGCAAGCUCUUGCUAAUGUAGAAGCCCUGACGGAGAGACAAACUCAAUAACAACAGCAGGGCGGUGAAUGCCAAAUGCAAGGGUUGGUUGAACCAUCAAAAUUUGCUAGUUUGGGAGACCCUUCGGAGGCUGAGGUAUGGAUAGAUGAGAUGGAAAAGAGUUUUACAUUGUUGAAUUGCACAGAUGUGGAAAAACUAUCCUUGGCAAAGUACCAACUUAUGGGAAAUGCUUACCAUUGGUUGAAGGCGAUGAAGGGAACGGUAUUCCCCGAAGGUGCUGAGGUGACUUAGGCUAGUUUUGUUUGGGCUUUUUUUGGAAAGCACUUUUCUGAUUGUGCUAGAGACAAGAAGGUGAAGUUUAUGCAGCUAACCCAAAAUAACCUAACGGUGGAUCAGUAUGAGGCAAGGUUUGUUGAACUCUCUAGGUUUGCUCCCAAGUUAGAUGAGGACGGGGAGGAUAAAGCCAAGAGAUUUUUGAAUGGUAUGAGACUUGACAUUCGUAGGCAUCUAGUGCCUCCGAACUUGAAAUAUUAUCAUGAAUUGUACGAGCGUGCUCAAUUAGUGGAAUAGGAGCUUGUGACGAAAGGGACCCUAGUAACCCAUCAGGCGAAACCAAUCCAUCAGGCUGGUCAGAGCAAUUUCCACUAUGACAAGACACUCUUUCAAGCUAGGCAACCAUCGUUCUCAUUGACUAAGAAAAGUUGGACUGGAGGACCUAGGAAGGCAUGGAAUAGUUAGUCAUCGAGGUGACCGCGAAGCCAGAGUUCUACUUGUCUGGUGUGUGGUGGAUCGCAUGUGAGCAUGUUGUGCCAAUUUAUGAAGGCAUAUUUUGGUUGUGGACAACCAAAUCACUUGGUUAAAGACUAUCCACAAAGGAGCACCCAGUAGCAACAGCCGCCACAAUCAUCAGUUGCAUCAAUGUAACAAGGAAAUAACCGCAGGUCGCUAGCUCAAGAAAGAGUCUAUGCAAUUACACAUAAUGAAGUUGAGGCCUCUAAGACAGUCAUUAUAGGUAUUAUUUCCUUGUCUAACCAAAAUGCUUAUGCUUUAUUCAAUACUAGAGCUACACACUCGUUUAUGUCUACUUAGUUUGUGCAAUUAAUUAGGAUGAGACUUAGGGAGAUGGAAGUACCCCUUAAUAUCUCCACAUUGUUAAGAGACAUAGUUUUAUCUACCCUAGUGUGUAAGGACUGUAGGAUCUUUAUAGUAGGACAAAGUUUUCCUUCAAAUUUGGUGUGUUAACUAUCUAUGAUUUUGAUGUGAUCUUGGGGAUGGAUUGGCUUCAUAAGUACCGAGCUAAUAUGGAUUGUUAUAGGAAGAUCAUUCAGUUUAAUCCUCUUGAUCGCCCUAGUUUUGAAUUUUUAUGGAGAUAGAGCGACUCCUUCCUUACCACUCAUUACUACACUUGAGGCUCAUCGACUCCUUGAGAAUGGAUGUGAGGGUUAUCUAGCUUGUGUGAAAAAUCAAGAUAGAGAAGGAGUAAAGCUAGAAGAGAUUUCGGUAGUUCGGGAGUUUCUCAAUGUUUUCCUAAGGAGUUACCAAGCCUACCCCCAGAACAAGAAGUUGAGAUCGUCAUUGAAGUGGCACCUGGUACAAAACCUAUAUCGAAGGCCUCAUAUCAAAUGGCGCUAAGUGAGUUGAAGGAACUAAAUUUGCAACUACAAGAGUUGCUUGACAAUGGGUUUGUUAUGCCAAGUGCAUCACCUUGGGGUGCGCCAAUAUUGUUCAUGAAAAAGAGGGAUGGAUCCUUAUGCCUAUGUAUAGAUUACAGGUAGCUGAAUCAAGUAACAAUUAAGAAUAAAUAUCUGUUGCCUAGGACCGAUGACCUAUUUGAUCAGUUGCAAGGAGCGUCAAUGUUUUCUAAAGUCAAUCUAAGAUCAGGGUACCAUCAACUAAGAAUCAAGAAGGAGGAUGUUCCUAAGAUGGCCUUUCGAACUAGAUAUGGACAUUACGAGUUCUUAGUUAUGCCCUUUGGAUUGACUAACGCACCAACUGCUUUUAUGGAUUUAAUGAACAGAAUAUUCAAGCCGUUCUUGGAUUGAUUCGUGAUAGUUUUCAUAGAUGAUAUCCUAGUGUGUUCAAAAGGGCGAGAAGAUCAUGGGGAGCACUUGAGGAUUGUGUUGUAAACUCUUAGAGAACAUCAGUUGUACGUCAAAUUCAGCAAAUGUGAAUUUUGGCUAGACAAAGAUAUAUUCUUAGGUCAUAUGGUGACUAGAAAAGGGAUAUCGGUAGACCGAGAAAAGGUCGAAGCCGUUCUAAAUUGGCCAAGAUUGAUGAUGGUAACCAAGAUUCGAAGUUUCCUGGGUUUGGUGGGAUACUAUAGGAGAUUCGUGGAAAGAUUUGCAUGGAUUGCAGGGCCGUUGACUCAAUUAAUUUGGAAGAACUUGAAGUUUGAAUGGACGGAGGAGUGUGAGCAAAGUUUCCAAUAACUCAAGAGGAGGCUAAACACGGCACCUAUCUCAACAAUACCUUCAGGACCCAAAGGAGACGCAUUCAUAGAAGCUGAGGUUGGAUUCUCCUUAAGAUUUGUUUUACCGGACCUCCUGCAUUUGCUAUUUUUGUGGGUUGAAAUGUGCUGCGAAUUUAAGGUUGCUUUCUUCUUGAAAAAUGUUUUAAACAUCUUCAUUUAUGACAUAUAUUUUAUUUAAGAUUUUAUGGAUUUGAAGGACUGAUUUUUCAGCUUCGUUGCAUGCAAAUUAGUAUCUUGUUUUAUGCUGGAAUCCGUGACCUUUUGGUGUUCAACAAAUUUUUAUCAACUUUUGUGGUUUGAUUUUUAAAAUGGUUCACAAAAUUUGUUCAGCGCAUCUUGAAGUUUAACAUAGUCAAAUUCUAUAGCAAAUGGCGGAAUUUUUAAUUUCAAACCAAGCUGGAUUUGAAAACGUGAUUUUUGGACAUGAGAACAGUUUUGGUGAUUGUUUUGUGCGAUUUACUUCUCUUAUUCUAGAAAGAACUGGGUUAAACAUUUUUCAUGAAAAUUAUUUUUUUAAGUGUUCUUUAUAAUAUAUUUAAAUUUAAGUAUUUUCUGAACUCCUUUGAUUAUGUUUCCGGAUUUAAUCAUAGAGCCACGCAUGAGGACUUGGUUUCUGCCGGUGAGGGCUAGUUGUGGUCUUGUUGCUAAUUUUGAUGUUUUACUUGCUAGAAAAUGCAUAUUUUGUGAUUGUGGAUGAGUUUGGCAUGCUGAGAACCAAUGCUUGAUGGGUGUGCAUGAGUAGUGUUCAUUGUGUGUGCAAAAUGAUGUGAAAUAGGCAUGGAGGUGGUGUGAAGGGCAAUUCUGUUUUAUGCAUGCUAAUGCAUUGUGAUCUUGGCAGUAUGGUGGUUUAUGUGUUUGUUGGUGGUGUCAAAAGUGUGCCCUAAUGAAAGAUUGUGAUGUGGUGAAAUGUGUGAAUGAAUCAAAUUAAGAGACAUUCCAUCGGCCAACAUCCCGAUGAUGCCCCCCAAGGAGUGGGGAUGCCCCAAACUGUGUGGUCUAGGAUGCCUCAGUUCAAGUCACAGGGCCAGCGACCUUUGGACACCAGGAUGCCUCGAAGGGAGAUGCCUAGGGCCAACGUCCCCUGGAAGUCCGGCUAGCAACCAAGAAGUGACUCGAAUGGAUCCAACCAGCGUCUUUGGUUAAAUCCGAUUCGAGGUGGAUAUGAAAUGUUCUCACAUUGAAAUUAAUUAAUAAGGCAUGUGAGUACGUGUGAUGAUGUAGUUGUGUGCCAUGUGAUGCAUGAAUGAAUUCGUGUGCACCGUGUGACACAUGAUUAGAGUUCGUAUAUGCCUUGUGGUGCGAUCUUCAUGCAUUUUACUCAUUAUAGCUGUGAUAUCCUAGAUUUUCAGUCAUAUUUUCAAUUUAAUAAAUCGGGCUUUUCAUCGACGCGCCUAUAGUGCUAUUCUCAGAGCUGAUCACUCCUGAGAUAACUAGACUAUCUGGGGAAAUUAUUAAGAGAUUUUAAUAUAAUAAACUUGAGAAUUCAACUAGGAAUCGACUAAUCGACCGUGCUCAUCUACAGAGAUCAUUACAGCACGGCAAAGAUCGAUUAGAGAUCAAAGAUAAGUCGGUUCGACUGAGAUGUGUGGUUAAACGUUGAUGGUUCCACUAAAUUGCAAAUUCUUGUCAAUCGGUACUAGAUUGAUUUUUCUAUCGUUUUGGUACCUUGUGUCUGUAUUUGAAAACUCAAGAUUUUCACGAGCACCGGGAGUCUCCAAUGUGUCGAACAGGUUCAUUGUGGCUUGAAGAAAAUCGACCACAAGCCAUUUGCACUAAAAAUUUCUAAAAGUUACUAGGUAGCCUAGGUAACGCUAAAAUCACGCCAAAUCAAAAUUAACCGCAAAUUUAAAUCCAAUUUUAGAAAUUGAAAGUUCUUUCAUGUCACAAGUCAUUUUAAGAACGUCGACUCAGUUUUUGAAGAUUUUUCUACAAAUCGAGAUUUUUGGCGAAAAGUUGACAUAGGGUUGUUUUUAUCCAGAAAAUUCAAAUGACCAUUUUUUUACCUCGCAAUUGGGAUACAAGUAGGUUCUAUUGGUAAGGAAAAAUACCAAUUUGAUCGAAAACUUGAUAAUGGAAUUUAUAGAGGCCAAAUUGAGUUGAUUCAAGAUGAAAUUGAAGUCCAAUUUGGGGAAAAUCCAAUCAAAAUUCGUAGCCUCCCCUUGGACACAACCUUUGGACCACCUCUAAGUCUUCUAGAGGAAGUUUGGCUGAGGAAGCCAGCUUGCAAGUGGGACCAAGCUAAGGGAGACAAGAGGAUAGAGAUAGGCCAAGAGGGACCCUCCACCAGCCAAAGCUGUCCCCUUCCCUCUAUCCUUGCUGCCGUCAACCCUCUCCCUCCAUUCCAACUCCUUGAAGCUUAAAAAAUUAUAGAAAACUGAGCUUCAAUCCCCCUUUGCCGUUGCAACCACCCGUCAAGCCGUCGAAUUGCCCCUCACAGCCGCUUGCUCGCUCGCACGCCACUUGCGAUUGUCUAGCCUACCCACGUCUCCAGUCGCUCAUUUCGCUACUGCUCGCAACUGUCCGAUGUCACUAGGACGUCGUGCGUCGCCGUUGUAGUCACCGAAGAUGCCGUCUACCCGCCUACACACCCAUUCAAGCUGUUACAGUCCCCAUUGAUCGUCCUCACCGCUUCAAGCCGUCGAAGCAGCUUCUUUGGCUCAACCACAAAACCGAACGGAGUGGGUCUCGCUAGCAUUGUUUGGCCCGUUUUGGUGCCCUUCCGGAACUCGAAAGGCGCACCCGUUUUGGAAUUUAUUGGUCCUCUCUGUCUCGCCGUCGUUUUGGUUCAAUCGGUUCGUUAAUCAAGUGAGUUUAACUCACUAAUCCUUGCUUAGUAAGUUAAUGAUACAUAAUGGUUGAUUAGUUUAAGUUAAUUAGGGAUUAUGUGGUUAGUUAGAACGGAUUAGUAAUUUAAUCGAUCGUUAUUGCAUGUUAGGUGGUUAGAGUAGUGUAAUUAGCAAGUAUAUAAGCUCUAGUAUUUAUCUAGAUAGGUUCAGAAAUAUUCUGAACUCGAAUCGGUAUUAAAUUAGGCUUUUCCGGCCUAAGUGUGCAUUUUUGCUAUUUAUUGGUAGUUAUUAAUUAUUUUCCGUAAUUAUUUAAUUAAUUACUAUUUUUCGAAAAUUAGAUCGGGAUAGCCGGUGACCGGAAUUUUAUGCUAAUCACAGUGGUGUGAUUUGUUUAAUUAAGUGAGUGCUAUCUUGUGCAAUUUGAGCGUGAUUUGUAAUUUUGGGGUAUUUAUCCCAAAAUUUUAUAUUUUAGUAUUUAAUUAGAAAAUACCGGUGUCGGUUUACAACGCCAAAAAUGUGUUUAUGGACUAUGAAAAUUAGUGGGAUUUUCAAAUGGGAAAAUAUUGUAUUUUGGCUAAGGCCGACCGUGUACCCACACACGAUUAUAUUUAUCGAGUAUGAUAAAAAUGGUGGCAUUCUCAGUUGGUGAGAACAAGUAUACUAUAUCAGCCUACGAGUGUCGAUAUAUCAGCUUUGGGUAAGCAGUAUAUUUUAUAGCUUAGGGUGAGCAUCAUAGGUAUACUAUAUCAGCCUACGGGCGUUGAUAUAUCAAUUUUGGGCGAAUAGUAUACCGGUAUACUAUAUCAGUCUACGGACCUUGAUAUAUCAUCUUUGGAUGAGUAGUAUACUUUAGCGGCUUUUGGUGAGCAUUGAGAGUAUACUAUAUUAGUCUACGGACCUUGAUAUAUCAGUUUUGGGUGAGCAGUAUACUCUAUUAUUAGCUUUGGAUGUGCUAUACUAUCUAUCUUCAGCUUUUGAUGAGCAAUCCUCGAUGAGAUUGAACUUUAUAGAUAGUAUUGAUUGGAUUGACCAAGUAAUGGUCAUGAUGACAUGUAAUCGACUGAGUCGAUUGAUCGAUGGUUCAAUCUGAUGUGAUGAUGUGAUUUAUUGAUGUGAUUCAAUGAUUUCAUGAACAUACUGACUUGUAGGAAGGUACCGAGGCAAAGGUAAGUCCUCUGACUCGUGUUUGUGCUUAGGCAACCCUUAGAGUGUAUUCUCUUCCUAGUCGGGUCUUAGGGGGUGAACUUGCUGAGACGUCGUCUCACCCCGUUAUGAGAUAAUAUUUUCAGGUCCUUAGAUGGCUGCUCCACCCGAGUGUUUUGGACACUGAAGAAAGUCACAAAACAUGUAUCUUACAUCCCGCUUCAUGGAGCCCUCGAGGAUGGGUCUAUGAGCUCAUAAGGUCCGUGGUCUGGGUCAAUGAGGCUUUACCCUCAUCAAUUCAGAUGAUGGUACCGACGUACGCGGGAUGGAUAGAGAGGGGGUCCCAUACCGAAGUCUGAGAUACAUGUGCAUGUGCUGGAGAUUGCUUUUGGAAAAAGGCACAACAAAUCCUCCUAGUGGGUCAGUGGUGGACCCGUAUCUAUCAAAUCCAGAGAUCUCAGUGUAUUCAGCUGAAGGCUCCAAUGAGAAUGAAGAUGAGGAUGAGGAUAAGGAGGAGGAAGAAGAUCUAUAGUUUUAUGUAACCCCACUGUUUUUCAAACCUUGUUUUAUAGACUGGCAUUGUAUAUGACAUAGUUUGGUAUGUAUAUAUAUAUAAGUGUGGCUUGGUUUGGUUUUCAAAAAAAUUGGUCCCACUUUUUUAUCACAUCUUGUUGUUAUCUGGGAAUUAUUUAUUUGCUUCUGCAUACGUAUUAAAAAGAAUGGGUCGGCGACGCAUCUUGGGACGUCUCUAUUUAAUCAAUUGCUGAGGGAUGGGCACGCGCUCGGAGGAUCAGGGCGUGACAAUAGCUUGUUUAGUUCACAUGAUAUCAUUAAUGCCAUAUGCUACCCAAUUCGAUGUAGUCCAUGUUUAUGAUGAUUCACUAUGUUUGUGCUAUGUCCAAUAAUGAGCGAAGUUAAGAUUCUUGUCUUGUUUUGACUCGUUAUGUUUGUACUGUCUAGAUAAAUGAUGGAUGUCAUAAUCCUUUCCCGAUGUGAUUUGUGUCCGUGUACCUCAAUGUGAAUGGGAGGUUGUUUGGGCCCACCCGUUGGUGAUGUUUUGGGCAUGGAGUACGAGGCACGCGUGAUAUGAAGGGAUGUAGUGAAUGAGGAAAACUACCAGGUUGAUGAGUUAGGCACCUUUUUGACAUUUCCCAAGUGUUUUGUUCGGGUCAUCUUGAUAAGUAUUUUGCUAUGUUUGUAAUUGUUAAGAUGUUGUUUUCCUCUUGUAACCCCUGCUUAUGAUGAAUGAAUGAAAGCACGUCAUUAUGGAAUUUGUUUCUGAGUAAAAUUUCCUUAUAUUAAAAAUGUAUACUCUUCCCCUUGCGUAAUAAUAAGGAAAGAUUAUAGUCGAGGGUCUAACGUGAUGGCCUGGGAUGUCACAAAAGCUAAUAUCUGAAACUUGGUCAUGGAUUUCUAUAUUAUUAUUUUAAAUUCUAAAAUCUAAUUUAAUUUUGAGCUCAAAUUCGAAGCAUAUGUUAACAAGGGUUACUCAUUUAAAGCAUAGAAAAAUACUCUUAGAAGAAAUUCGAACAGACAUCAAGAGCUGUCGACAUAUCAAAGGAGUGUAAGAUUUUGAAGAGCCAAAAAUCAACAUUUCAAAAAACUGGUGAGUUCUUAGUCCCGGGUCUUCGUCAACAAGCACUGGACUUCCAUUGGAGCAUCGUACUUGUUUUUUCUACCAAAAAGGUAUGUACCCCAUUCCUUCCAAGCAGGUCUCACCAGAUGAUAGUCCUCCGGUCCCACACAUCGAAAAAUUUCUAUGCUUCUGGAUGACUACGAGAGACUCUGCACGUGUGGCGAUUCCAACCAAGCCUUGAACGAGGAGAGGAGGAACGUGUGAUUCAUAACCGUUGCCGAGUCUUUGUCGGGUCUUUUCGGUUUGUAUCUUAGGUUGAUUUUUAUCCACCGAGGGGACAAAAACCUUUGGUUUUUUUCUUUUUUUUUUGGUCAGAAAAAUCCUUCCGUUGAUUUAUUUUUAUUUAGUGCCGGUCUUUAUGGGGUAUUUUUGGGUCCCUCUCCCCUGAUUUUUCUUCUGGUAGGGCAAGCCAGGAACGGUCACCCUCAUUUCUCCUGGGAAAAAAAAAAGCCAAGUGGAUCACCCCUGUUGACGAAGGAACGUGGGAAUUGGACUAAGUCGUCUUCGCCAACCCCGGCACCUGGGAGAGCAGCUGCAAACUUGGUUCUUGGUCAAUUUCUUUACCUCGGCCUCCAGAAGUUGCUUAUUAUCGUACUCCUCUUGAAUUGAAAGACAGUCCAUGGCCGUCUUUGAAUUACUCUUACUGAAGUUUCAUUCUUUCCAAGUUCAAGCAAAAAAGAUUAUCGAUGCACCAAGAAAUAUUUCCUUCGCUUUCUGGAUUUCAUGCCUGAUCCUCUUCAUCCCAGGCACUCCUGUCGGUGCACAGACAUAUGUUCAGGAGCGGUGUGCAGAUAGGGGCGACUACGCUUCUCCUAGCAAGUUUCAGGACAACCUCAGCAGCCUCCUCCUCAGGGGCAACUCCGCUGAUUACAGCAAAGGACCCAUUCGCGGUUUCUACAACACAACGGAAGGUGAAGAUCCGGACAAAGUUUAUGGUCUCUUCCUCUGCAGGUAAAUCACAAGCGAAAGUACCAAAAAUUUCAACUUUUGAGUAAUACCUUCCAAAUCAAUCAUUAAAAUCUUUGGAAUCGGCUCGCUUGGAACCAGGAUUUAUAAUGACCUGAUAUAUUGGUCUUAAUUGGAAUCCCCUCCAAAGUACGGUGAUCCAAUGCCAACCGAAAAGUUACCAUCCAGAUAUAAGUGAUUACUAAUGCAACUUUACUAUUUCUCUUUAGAGGGGAUGUUGCCUCCGAUCUCUGUCAGACUUGCAUCCGUAACGCUAGCAGCACCAUCAUAGACAGAUGUCCAGGACAGAAAGAGGCGACCAUAUGGUACGACGAGUGUCUCCUGCGCUACUCUAACAGAUCGUUCUUCUCUGUCAUGGAGACAACACCGAUUAUUUUUUUUAUCGACCCUGAGAGCACUUCAGUUACCUUCAACAAGAUUGUGGAGCAAACUUUCGAUGAUGAGGACUUUGCGGCAAAAGUGACAGAUUUGUUCGUGAGAAAUGUCACGGACAAUGCGAUCUCCUCGGAAAGCCUAUACGCAACCAUAAACGUUAGUGUCUCAAGUUCAGUGACCCUGCAUGAGCGUGCACAGUGCACCCCUGACAUCUCAAAGUCAGCUUGUAAGAGUUGCUUGCUUUCUGCUAUCAAAGGGUUUCCUACCGCUCUUAAUCAUAAAAGGGGAGGUGCGAGAAUUCUUCAGCCAAGUUGUUAUGUACUGUACCGAAUGUAUUUUCCUGGGGAACCUGGAGGACAAGUACCAGCACCUUCUGCAACCAGGAAAGGUAUGAGCCAUAUAACACUCAAAAUGUGUACUCAAUUUGUAAUUGAUAAGCAUAUAAUGGUAUCAUUCCAUUGCUUCUAAUUCUCAAUAUAAGCUGUUUUAUGUAUCGUAAUGCACUUGAGUUGCUUUUACGAUCUAAAGGAUCAUACUCUUUUGCUUUCAACGAGUUCUUGGUACUAUUUACACUCAGUGAAAAAAAAGUCUGCCGAUUUGUGGUAUGUUCUGCCGAUUUGUGGUAUGUUUAGAUGCAAGGAAUUUCUCUUUCUUGACAGGGCUCAAACGAACUCCAUGGAUUGCAAUAGUUAGCUCAGUAAUUGGAUCGGGGUUACUAAUAAUCAUCGUGGGUUCAUGUCUUUUCUUUAUGAGGAAAAAGAGAUUGAAGAAAGGUAUAAGUGAAUUCAUCUUGCUUGCCAUUGGGAUGACCAUUUUCUAACCUUUACCUGACUAAACUCUUGGACUCUCAGAUAUGGAAAACAGCCAAGAGGUUCAGUUACUUCAUCUACAACAAGAAAUUGGAGAAGAGUUUUCAAAGGAAAACUCUCGUGGACUGGCGGGUUCUCAAGAAUUAUCUCUGAUGCGAUUAGACAUCAUACGAGCAGCCACAGGAAACUUCUCCGAUGAAUGUAAACUUGGGGAAGGGGGGUUUGGUUCUGUGUACAAGGUAAGUAUUUCAGUGACUCAACACGUUUCUGUGGGGAAAUUGGGGAAAUCUUCUAAUGGUAGCAAAUUGGCCGAGUCAUUAUCAAUGGUUCAGGGCACAUUGGCAGAUGGAAAAGAAAUUGCAGUUAAGAGGCUUUCAAAAACCUCAGGACAAGGACUCAUCGAGUUGAAAAACGAAGUCAUCUUGAUUGCCAGACUACAACACAGGAACCUUGUCCGAUUAUUGGGAUGCUGCUUGGAAGAAGAUGAAAAACUCUUGCUAUAUGAAUACUUGCCCAACAAAAGCCUGGAUGCCUUGCUUUUUGGUUUGAGCUUUAGCAGAUGCAAUGAAUUUUUGAGCUAGUUAAUUUUAGUUUUUAAAGUUGAG
RNAcentral lists this long non-coding RNA (275750 nucleotides) under Eucalyptus grandis. RNAcentral's name for it is "long non-coding RNA (EGRA_LNC002964)". Lineage: Eukaryota; Viridiplantae; Streptophyta; Magnoliopsida; Myrtales; Myrtaceae. The record is from RNAcentral.